RNAcentral lists this long non-coding RNA (238871 nucleotides) under Coffea arabica (coffee). RNAcentral's name for it is "long non-coding RNA (CARA_LNC007317)". The stretch from base 58030 to 58136 matches the Rfam family "Plant small nucleolar RNA R71". The record is from RNAcentral. Lineage: Eukaryota; Viridiplantae; Streptophyta; Magnoliopsida; Gentianales; Rubiaceae.
UUUUUUUUUUUUUUUUUUGCAUCUUGAAUUUUGUAGUCAGCUUUAACUUAAUUUGCAAAUCUAGAUAACAUCACAAACAAACAAUUCGAGCAUAUUUAUCUAUCAUAGGAGAUUUUUGGAGAGUAAAUGAUGUCUUGAAGUGGGUGAGCUUCCUCAUGUUUUAAUCUUUUUGUACCAAAAAGUAAAAAUUCAAAGAAAAAAAUUGAACAUGCAUCAAAAAAUAUUCCCACAUGUGGCUCAAGUAACUUAUACAAGAACUAGCUCAUGAAACCUUCACCAAAAAUCAUUUUGACUUGGUGUUUGGACAUAUUUCUCCCGUGGCACAUUGGCAUUUGAUCCAAAUUCCACCAAAAAUAUGGUCCCUUUUUAUUAAUCCAUCAUGUUUCUGAGGUUACAAAAUUCAUUAAAAAAAUAUUAAAUAGGGACCGGCAACUUUCGGAUCAAACAGCUAGAUUAAUUACUUAAAGCAAAACCUAGGAAAAAGGACAUCCAAAUAUGAAGGGCAAGGGUAGUAGUCUAGGUGAUGCAUGAUAUUCUCUGCAAGUGCUCUCAUUCUUCCUAUUGACAUAUUUAUACAGGAUUGAACUGCAAGAAAAAAAGCGCUAAUUCAAAAUUGGAUUACAUAAUGGACAUGGAAUAUUAUUUGAAAAUUUAAGAUGCUCAACAAAUCUGGACCCCCAAGUCCUAAUAUCAAUCAAGGCAAAUCAACUCCACCACUGGUGCACUGCUACCCCUUGAUCUCUCAAGCUUCCAUAUAGUGCUAAACAUUGCCAAUAAGUCAUCUUGCUUUUUCUUUGUUCAGCUUCAUCAUCUUGCCACUGGUUCUUGCACUCAAGAAACAACUCAUCCACCAAGCACAUUGUCUUCUCCUUCAUCAGCUCCUCGACUAGUUGUGCUUCCGCCUUCAUCACAACAAAGUCUUCUUCCUUCACAUUAUUCCGCAACCAAUCUGGUAGUCCAGUCACCUGAGAAGCUAUCAUGCUUCUUCUAGAGGAUUUAUCUGAACGGAAAGAUCUUACCUCCAAUGUAUACAUCUCAAAAUGUUGCUUCCUGGUCGGAUAGUUCUUCUUAAACCAUUCCUGAACACCAUUUUUCUCGUCAGAAAUGAAAAUUCUACGUUCAUAUGUUGCAAGAGAAUCUUCUAACAAAUCUGGAAGGAAUCUGAUCUUCCUCAUUCCAUUGUUGGAUUUCAGCAGAGUCCGUCUUGGUGGCUCAAGCAAAGCAUCUUCUAUGCCAUUCAGCGCAGCUUUCCUUUCCUCUUGUAUAAUGCCACAACCUGUUGGCUUUCUUGUGGAAUUAGCUAACACAUUGCUUAAUCCUACUUUCCUCAUUGCCACGAUUGUUUUCUCAAAUGAGCGUAAAUACACAACUCGAUAAUUUGGUUGUUUUUUCAGCAUAGUUGAAGGAUUGCUGCACAAUUGUGUGAUCACAAUGCCUCCUUUCUUGAGAACGCAAUCGACAGCCUUGAUUUUGUUGAAUCUAAAGCUUACGACAAAAUCAAAUGUCUCAUCUUGAAUUAAAUUUUUGUCCUCCAAGUUGCUACUUGAUUGAAUUACCAAAUUGUUGUCAUUGUCUUUUAAGAACUCCAAAUCUUUCGCCAGACCAUCAAUGCCAUAGCCCAGAAUUAGGCCUUUGUGGCCCCUCCUCAAAAGGCCUUCAUCAACCAAAUCAUGAAAAAGGAUGGCCAAACUCUUGAAACUAGCAAGAUUGAAGUCCAUAUCGGAACCAUAAAUAGCAUUUGAAGGACCUACUACAAUAGAACCAAUGUAGGGUAACGUCAGCAAAACAAUCGCCAAAAGCAAUGAUUUUGACAUGAUCUGCAAAACCCUCGAAUCUGAUGCCUUGACGAUCAAAAGGGUACCAACAUUAUUCGAUACCUUCACCUUCAUUCCAUUGUUGGCUCCAUUCCCCUGAGCCGUAUCCAUUUUUAAAAGGGGAAAUGGAAGCUCUUUUUGACUUCUGCAACUUUUCACCAAAAAAAAAAAAGCCUAAAUCUUCCCUGGGGCAAAUUUUUAUUCAGGGGAAAACCCAAGAUUGGGAAACUUCAAGAAAUCGAUGCUUGUUUGUAAGAGAGAAGAUCAAAGCCGAAGGGGACAAGAAAACAGGACUUUAGCGGGAGCAAAAUCUGGCAGCAGUGUGGUUUCCACCCACAAGGGCCACACGAGUGCUUCUUAUUUUACACCAAAGAAGUAUCAACUGUAAAAUUCGUUGCAACCUCCAUGACUCUUUCGUGGGUUCUCUCUCUCUAUUUACCUCUAACUCAAAAAAGAGGGUCACUUCAUUCAAAGGAAAUAUUUCAUCCUUCUUAGAUGAUAUUUUGUAACUGAUCAUCAUCUGAAAAACAGCCAACAUCAACCAUGGAAAGAAAGACAGAAGAAAAAGCAAGAGAAAUGAGCAAAGCAAAUGAGGAGAGGGGUUAAGACUCGUAGGAAUGAGGAUGGGAAGUGUACGAAAAUCUGAAGCAGGUGAAAUGGAAUAAAGAAGAGUUAGGCUUUAAUAUUGAUGGCAUGCAAGAAUAUUAUGUGCGUGUGCAGGCCGUGGGAAUUCGUUGCAUGGUUUUCUUGUUUUGGUACAUUGUGUUGUUUGUGGUUCGCAGGAGUCGAGAUUUAAGGAAAAAAGAAGCUUCAUAGCUGACAUGUAGCAGAAGAGGUGUAACUGAAAUAUGUUGCAAGGAAGGAUUAACCUUUAAAGGAUAUGAAGACAGAGCUGUACAACUUGGUUAUAUCAACAGCUUAUGAGAUCAUUGCAACACGUAAAUGAAUAGCAACUAAAUUUGUAUAAUUGGGAAAAUUACUGGUUGUCCUUCUGCUGCUUUGUGGUCGAACCACAUCAUCCUCCUAUGCUAUAAAAAUAGACACUCUUCUAUCCCACAUCCUGUGCCACGUCCUUUGCAACGGAUCUUCUGUCCCACAUCCUGUGCCACUCUCUGUCCCACUUUUUAUUAUAUUACUAUUUCUUUUUCAUAAACAUCAUGUUUUAAUUCCUUUUUGCUUCCUUAAGAUCCAAUAACUAUUAAUUGAGUAAUACACAAAAUUUAACAAACUCAAAAAAUCAAAAUGCAUAAAAAUUUAAAUUUUUUAUGAAUUUUCUGCUAUAUUUUUAAAUUUUGUAUUAUAUAUUACUUUUUUGAAGCUGUUGUAUUUAUUUUUUACUUAAUUAAUAGUUAUUGGAUCUUAAGGAAGCAAAAAGGAAUUAAAACAUGAUGUUUAUGAAAGAGAAAUAGCAAUAUAAUAAAAAGUGGGACAGAGAAUGACACAGAGUAUGGGACAGAAGAUCCGUUGCGCUCUUUUUUAUUGUUUACUAUGUCUAGUAAACAAUAGCUUCUCAUUUUUUUAGAGAUGAUUCUUCUGGCGUUCCUGCCUUGACUACAUACCGGACUCAAUCAGUUCUUUUACAAAUAAUCUCAAAGAAAUCUCUGACGAUUAAUCAACAAUUCAGAGAGAAUCUUUUCUUCUGAAUGAAUCCCUACUGUUCCAUCCAUGCGAGCGGUGGUGGACGAAGCGGAAGAACUAAGAAAAGGUAGCGAAAGCUUUAGAUGUAAAUCUUUUGGCUGUAACCUAGAAUUAUCUGACACGAUAUAUGGUAAUUCCGUCAUUGAAAACAAAGGCGGAAAUUUUCUUAGUGCUGUAAAAGUAAGGUAGAACAUAAAUUCAAGAAAUAUUGUGCUCAAUAAAUAUGCGUCACUGAAAACAAUAGAUCAGAGAUAUUCUCAUGUAUCCCGCACUAAAUUGAUUCAGAAUGGAGAUUCAUGCUAUGUUAUGUUGUAGAAACAGAAAUUGUAUGCCAUCUCACAGUAUGCAACUCCAAAACUGAUAAAUAAAUGAAACCUGACUAUUUCAGAGAACUAGUAAUCAUCUCACUUUUUCAAAAUCAAGCCACUUCAUUGCUAGAAAUAGCUUAUGUAAAAACAACUUAAACUUUUUGUGAGCAAAUAUCUGAAAAAUAACUUAAAGUUAGUAAUUCAUAAGCAUAUCAAGCAUACCAGGCCGUUUCUGACAACAGUUCAUGACAAUAAGCAAUCUCAUCGGCUAUAAUCUUGGCAUUAAUUUCACUUGUUUUUGGUUUGUUCUCCUUAGUGAUUCUUAGCUGAUUAAAUGAGUUGAUCAAGCCCAAAUCCUUAAAGUGCAAUCCAUGCACAGAGAAAUUUAUCUUGAACCAAUAAAUCCUCUCUAUGUCUGGCCCUUCCGCAAGUUCUGUGUUACUUGGUGGCUCACAAACUGGGAAUGCAAUAGGAGAAGGAUAACUAGAGCAAAGGCCAGCUGAAGAAAUGUCUCCUUCAGACUUGGAAAUGCUAACCAUUGCAUCAAAAUGUUUGGAAGGAUGCAUUUGAUCGGAGGGAAAACUUAGGUAUGUUAAACAUAUGUAUCGGCCCACCUUGAUUUGUUUGCUGAAAUGGGUCUCCAGAUAAGAUUGCUAUCAGCAUUGCAUUCUCAUUCUACACUUAUAGAUGUAUUAUCAAUACCUCCAACCACUUCAGUAAAAUAAAGAAUAAAUGGAAGUCUUCAAGAUUUUUUAUGAUAAACUUGGUGACAAAGCACAAAAGAACUAGUCACAAAUGGGUGGCCACAAUGGGUGGCCACAAAAGAACUAGUAAAUGAACAAGUUCAACUGUCUGAUCCAGAAGCCAAAGAUGAUAAAAACCGGCCAUUUUGAUCGUCUGGAUCUGUGAAAAGGGCAUUGCGAACAAACUUGUAUUGCCCUGUCAAAACAUGCUCUUUAGGGUAGUAUUCUUCUACCUUCUUUAGCAAAUGAGAGAAAGCACACUGCAAUGCUCCAUAGAAGUCCUCUAGCCAGACACAGAUGCAUAGAACACCAUUUAAGCAAGAGAUAUUAGGUGAAGUGGACAAUUAAAUGAAAAAUGUAGUAGUAAAGAGACAUGUACUCUGAUGAUGUAAACAAAAAAAAAAAAAGCAUAUCAAUGAACCAAAAUAAGAAUGAAAAUCUGUUAGGGAGACUCAUUCGACGCAAACUCAAGCAGAGAAACUUGGUCACCAUUUCAUUCAUAUGAAUACCACAAAAAAAGGCUAGAAAACUGUAAACAGUCUACAAAUUUGCUAGUCGACAAAACUGAAUAAAGAAAAUGUCACACUGAACUCAAUAAAUUUGUAAACUCCAUACACAGAACAAACAUAUCCAUGCUAAUGUGCCCAUGAGUGUGGUAACAUGCAUCAUGAUAAAAUCCAGCCAUUGCUCAUGUCUUUGAGUCAUCAAUUGAGACAUGCACAUCGCAUGUAUAAAUUUUAAUACAGUGAUUAAUUGCCAAUAAUGACCAAGACCAAAUGCGCCUAGGUAGCCUGUCUACCAGUCUUCCACCUUACCAACUCUGAAAGCAUUUCAGAUUUUGGCCCAUAGCAAAUUUUAAGGGAACUUGGAAAAGAGCACCGCUUUGGACAUGGCAUUGAGCUAUUUGAGUGAAGAACAUAAUUGGCUGAGCAAAACAGUGAAGCAGCGUAGGAGCACAAAUGCCAAUUCAAGAAAAAUAACUAAAACAUAGGAUGUAUGCUCCAAAACAUAAUAAGAGAAAAUGUGAAUCCAAGUUCUAAAAGCAUUUCAAAAUUCACCAUCUUGUAAGGUCCAAGUGCUAAACUUGUUCAACUGGCCAUUUAUCCUCGAAUACAUUGAUAUUACAGCAAUAUGAUUAAAAUAAUUGUUGCAGCAUGGAGAAGACUUAAAUGUCAAGUGCAUAAUAAUGCAAAGGUAGAUCCAAACUUCACAUUGAAAUGAUCAUCUCAAACAUGUGGAUUUAAAUGAUAGAUGAAUAUCUUGAGCCCCUCAAUUCCCUCAUCCUCAAUAUUCUUGACCGAGUCUUCAGUAGAUUGUCCACACCAGUGUACUUCAAUUGUCUCAAUAUUUCUUAAAAAGUAAUGGGACUUCCUCAAGGUCCCUACAACCUCUAAGUACCAGAUAGUGAAGGUUGGGAAGGUGAUCAUUACUGGCAUUCCAUUGGACUUCCUUUGCUUUUGAAAGGCACAAAUGACGAAGCAAAUCAUGAACAUGGCAUGUAUUGCCCCUUCCAUUAGAUCUCCUUUUUGAAUCAUACUAGGAUGCAAUCAACUAGAUCCAUCAAGAAUCCUCUGCAGCAUCGUCUGAGCACUUCAACUCAGUCAUUUGUACAAAACACUCAGCAACCCAUAACCAUGUCAACUUGCUAAUCAGAAUAUCUGUCUUCCCGAAAUGCACCCAGAUAGAGAAAGCAUGUUCCUAAGUGUGCUGGCAGGUGAUGGUAGCUCAACUGCAAUAUCUCCUUGCACCAAAACACUGGAUUUUCAACAACCAGCGAGCUUAAAUUGUCUGCAACUUCCUUCCACUUGUUCUCUUGCUUUUCUGUUUUUUUGAGGAAACCAGGUAUUGCAAUAAUUGCAAGUGGUAGUCCUUUACAAUUUUCAGCAAUUUUCUUUCCAAAUCCCAACAGUUCAUCAGGACAAUUCCUAUCAGGAAAUGUUCUCAUCUGCCACAGUUUCCAACUUUCUCAUGAGACAGUAUAAGAGAAUGAGGGACAGUAUCAAAUUCAGCUAUUGCAGCCAAGUCAUGGAGACGACUCAUAAUCAAAAUUCUACUUCCAUGUCAAUCGUCUGGUAGUGAACCUUCCAAGUCCAUCAACACAGCAAUAUUCCAGACAUCAUCCAUAAGUUUGGUUCGCCAUAUCGGCUGAUACCGAUACGUAUCGGUCGAGUUGUAACUGGAAUGGAGGGGACCAGUUCAAUACCGAUUCCCAAAUCACGGAUAUUAUCAUAUCCGUGACGACUCACUCUGAGUCGGCCGAUAUUGACCAAUUCGAAUCUGUGAUGCAUGAUAUCGGCCGAUAUAUCCGAGUCAACUCGGAUAUUUUUUCAAAUUGUGCCUUUUUUGAUAUUUUUUCAUUUUAGUAAUUUUUUCAAAAUUUUUGGAAACUUUCAUGUUUUAUAAUAUGCAUAUUACCCGAUAUUCAACCGAUAUGCCGCGAUGGAUGUGGAACAAUCGAGACCGCGACGCGACUGCGACCCCCUAUGGUGAACCAUGUCCAUAACUAUGAGAUAUGCACCACGCUUCAACUGCUGAUAUAGCUGUAAUGCUAAAUCCUCAUCAUCCAUUUGACAAAUAUUAUCACUAGGCACUCUAAUGUUGCUCAAAAUUUUAAGCAACAAUUCCCUCUUUUUAUAUUCUUGGAAGACUGGGCAGCAACCAUGAGCAUGAAAGUGAUUUGCAACUCUAGGAUGAUUGUAUAAAUUCUUAGCGAGAGUUGUCUUUCCCAUCCCUGUCAUGCCAACAAUGGAAACAAUAUCAAGUCGCGAAGAUCCUCAAGUAAGUCAUUUAAUUAUAAACAAUCCUUGAUCAACUUAUAGCCUGCUCGUAUUUGGCAGAUUACGGCUUGAAGCGUUGGCAGCAGUCUGAACUGGUCUACUCCUCACCAAUUUUGGUGGCCUGGAUCUUAACAAGUCUAAUAUCUUCUUCUAGGAGGUAAUAAAAACAUAAGAAAUAUCGCCAAUUAGAAGCUCUCCCAACCUCAAUGCAGUCGAUUGUAUAUUCCACCUUAUAUGCGAUAUCUAUAACAGCUUCACCAUCGUCCUUCAAUUUUGAAUGCUCAGCCACAAGCAAAGAUCUUAAAAGUUCUUAGUUCUAAAAAAAUCUGAUUGAUGUAAUGCGUCAUUGGUGCCACUGACUCAGGUUUACGAUUCAGCAGCUUCUCCAUGUUUCCCAAGAGAAAAGCAUGGAAGCCCAUCAAACCUCUCAGAAAUUUAAUAAUGCACAAAAUGGAAGACAAGUAAUUAUUUACACUUAUAAUUGAUAAACAACCAAAAAAUAUAUGAUCCUGAUACUUAAGGGAAUGAACACUGAUCCUAGUCCUAUGAUCCAUCCAAACGAGACAAUGUGACAUGAGACUCAAGGGAAUGAAUACUGAUAUUAAUCCUACAUUGUACAAUAUAUCCAUCCUUGAAGCUUGAAACUUCAACUAUAGCUAGUGAAAACGUUUAAUUUGGUAUAGCUUUAAGAAAAUGCAAAAGUAUUCAAGCUGCAUUCAUGGAAGACAAUUUCUGGUUUUCAAUUUAAGCUGCACAAGUUUUACCAUUUUCCAACAGCUUGUGCUCUUGCUAAUGGUGCAUCACAUUGGCUUGCAGAGGUAGAUGAUGGUUUCAACUUUCAACUGUAUCAUUGCCUUUGAUAUUUCCAGUGAAGAAUUCGAGAACUUGGCCCACUUAUGGGGAAGGUAAUUUUCAGCAAAAUUGAGCAUCUUAAAUUGUUGCCUUUCUUUACUUUAUUGUUAUAUUUCAAGUGAAAGAUAUCAUGUCAAUUUAUGGAUCAUGGAUGAAUUAAUAUGAAGUGGACAGAACUUGGACUAAGUUAAAAUCUCAUUUGAAAUUCCCGACAUUUGGUGUUGAAGACCGAUCAUAUAUAUGCUCAAACCAAAGCAGGUAACUGCUUUUGCAGAUUGAUGGAACAGAAACGCUUGUGCUCUAUGAUCUUGGAGCCGGAUACUUUAGAGACGUAGCUACUGCAAAUGGUGCAGCUAGUUUCGUUAGAUGUGAGUCUAUUGGUCACUGGCAUGAAAAUGCCUUCUUGCAUGUCUUCAUGCACCAAUUUCGAACUUGUGUAGCACUACAUUUACCUCUUCUGGUUGCCAUUCUCUGUUCUUAACUAAAAGCUCAUUUCUCCAAUUUCUUAUUCAAAUUUAAUUACAAUUGAAGAUGUCCGUUUGUUGUGAGUGCAAUCAUCCUAAUCCAGAACCCUCUAUCAGUUACAAGUUCAAGCUGCAAGCCAUUUCACUUUAUCCAUUUGCCAUCUUGCACAGGGAUUAAAUUCAUGUUGAGUAUGUUCAUACUUUCUGCACUAAUGGCAGAAAAUACAUCAAACAAAUAUGACACAGAUACGUAUAGAUCUGAAAUCAAUAUAUAUAACAGGUCUAAAAAAACAAUACAAAUAACGAUAAAUAUUGAUGCUCCUUUAUAUCUUUCAUCCAGAUGAAUCACUAUAGCCCAAUACAUCAGUGUAUGUCUGAUGACAAUCAGAUCUAAUUAAAACUAGUUCAAGUCCAAAGUAAGUCCAUACCUAAAAUACAUAACUUAGAUGUUGUAAACUCUUGUUUUUUUUGCAAAGAACAUCACAUUCAUUGUCACCAACUCAUUUUUAGAUAACAAACAAACUGAAAAAAGACAAGGAAAGAGGCUAAAACUAACUUGGAGAAAUUAAAGGAAGCAAAAUUGCAUGUUCAAUUAGUGGGAUACAGAAAAGCAAAGGAUGAAGGAAAGCAAAUGCAUAAAUCACUUGUACACAGCCUAAUUUUGCAUAACAGACAGUCUGUAUAUAAACAUGACAUUUGGGAAAUUGUUAACAGUUUUUCCGUAUAAUAUUUUUGUGUGUAUAACACAAGAAUAGCACAUGACAUUUGUGCGUGUAUAAUGUAAUUAAACAUGACAUUUGUGUGUGUAAUUAAAUGAAGAGGUGGUCAAAUUUUUGGCCCACUAAUUUGUCCUUUGGCUCAGAAUUUUUUUUUUUUUUGAAUAUUAACGGUUUUAAUAGUUUUUUUAUUUUGUCAAAUGUCAACUUCUAUAUAUUUAACGGUUUUAAUAGUCAAGUAACCAACUCCUAUAUGUAUGUAGUCAGUUUUUUAUUGCUAGAGAAGUAUAACAGUUGUUGGUUGUUGCUAGCUAGCAUGUAAUUAGCGUCCCAUUGUUUUGUACAUUCACAUGUCACGUUUGCAAGAAGAUAGAGUGCAAUAUAAUUGACAUUUUUGAGCCAAUCAAACAAAAUACCUAUUUCAUAAUAAAUAAAAUUAGAGCACAGUGAUGAAUAGGAUCGUAUUGACAGAGAUUGGGAUGAUUUAUUUCUUCCAAAGCAAUGAAUAGAAAGGGGAGAUUUUGGAGAUUAAACCAACUGAUUAAUUUAAACACAUACAAAAAUUAAGUAAAAUUAAAUUAAUAAUAAUGAAGCUCUAGCCAAAGGAAUAAUUUCCAAAAUGAUUCGUACAAUUUUCAGAUGGCUUUCAUUACAAUUUUCGCAACAAAGCAUAAGAAUUAGACACGAACAAACCACCUUGGCUGUGCCAGUUUAGCAUCAAACUAUAUUUACAGCCCUUGACCAUUUCAGAUCUAUAUCAAAUGGCACAAGACAGAAAUUUUGACAGCAUUGAGCAUCAACUUCUUAUAUAGACAAUGACUAUCAGGCUAUCUUCCAGAUAACUUUCCUUUCCACUGCCCAUUACCGACCCACCCCCCCACAAACAAACAAAAAAAACCGGCAAAAGAUGAGAGAGAGUGAACAAGUAGAUGCUGCACAAACAUCUUUCAUAGCCAGUCCUAGAAGAGCAGAAGUUACGUGGAUAAUGCACAACUAGUACCGGCAACUUAUAAUCAAUGAUGUAGUUCGCCUUCUGAAGUGUUAGAAAACGACUUGUACAACAAACUUAUCAACGCACCAAAGCAGAAUCAUGGUAGAGGCAUCAUGGCAUCAUUAAACGUUAGUUUCACUUUCAGGCAUCAUUUGUCAUAGCCAUUUGCUGAGAGGUAGAGACCACUUUCCUGAGCUCACCCGUCCCAUUCCAACAAGUAUAUAUUAAUGGAUACUUCAUCAAGAUAUUCAUCCAGUUGGUAGUAUUCCUGCUUUUUGCUCAUUUCCAUUUUGCUCUAGCUGCCAGUUGAUCUACGAGCCAGAAGUUGGGAUAUUUUUCUCGUCCAUCUAUUUCAUUGUAUUUUUUUCCCUUCUUGAAAGAUCUUCUCUUCCCACUUUGAUCAGCAACCAACAAAUAUUGGACCUGGAAAAAUUUGAAGUGUUGAUACUGCUUAUUCUUUCAAAAAUGCAACAGAAUCGCUCCUAGGAUAAAUCACAACAGAGGUGCUUAAAUUAAAGUGCAGUGAUUAAAUCAAAAUGCUGCUUACAUGAUUUCAACAGAUGUGCCCAAGCCAAAGAAACUGAUUCUAAAUUAGAAUCAUAUUGAUAGAUUUGAGCCACCUGUUGAAGAUGCAGCUUAUCAACUAAUUGCAAAUGGGACGUCAGAAUGCAUGCUAAGUCGGAUGAAGAACAUAGUAACAGUCUAUAUACUUAAAAUUUUCUGGUACAACAUCCUUUCAUCUAGCUUGAAAUUCCUCCAACCCCAGGAACUUUCAGCAUCUUUUCGGUUAAUCAGUGAGAUGGGAAAACAACAAUCCAUGAAAAAUAUCUUCAAGCAAAUUAUUAUUAAAGAUUAAGUACACAGAAAAUAGUACCUGUUAGAACCAGAUUCUCAUGUUUGCCAAGCUGUCAUUAACUAUAUACACAUAUUCUACCCAACAAGGUUGCAAAAGCAAACAGCAUUCUUUGCAUUAAAAAAAAGGGCAAAUUACAUUUUACCCCCUUGUGGUUUACCCUUUUUUACAUAACCCCCCUAUGGUUUCAAAAGCUAUACAUAACCCCCUCAUGAUUUGGAUUAAAGUGUCAAAGUGACGGAAAUAGUCACUCGUAACGGAACUUCUAAAAAUGUCAAAAUCACCCUUAUAAAUACAUGACACAUUAACCCCGUAUACUUUUUAUAUUUUACCAUAUAACCCCCUUAUGGUUUAGUAUUUUACCAUAUUACCCCCUUAUGAUUUUCAAAAUAUACACAUAACCCCCCUUGGUUAAUAAAUAAUUUUUAACUUUACAUAAGGGUAAUUUUGACAUUUUAGAUGACACCGUUACGAAUAAUAAUUUCCUGGUCAGCUGGUUUUGAGGAUCAUACCAAUCUGUAGCCAGAUUGAAGAGGAUUUUAGAAAUUAGAUAGUUUUGAUUUCAUAAACACAUGACCAUUCAAACCAAAGAAUUGAAAACCUCCAGAAGUUGGUUUGUGAAAUAUGAAUGAUUAUAUCAUUCAACUGAUCCAACAUAUACAAUUAGUCCUAUGGGAGUGGAUCUAACCUCAUGAGUGGAAUUCUUCUCUUCUUUGACUCCUUUUCUGAGUAGAUCUAAUAAUAACGCUCUUUAAGUCCUUGUUUCCCCAUUCUCUCUGUUCUUCCAGAAUUCGCUCCACAGAAUUUACAGCAGACUCACUACACCAUUUCACCUCAAUCGUUUUAAGAGUGAGGCUUUCCCCUAAACAAGGAGGGACCUCUUCCAGCUCCUCACAAAACUCCAAAACCAAUUUCUCAAGACAGGAAAAAUUAUCAGAAGAGGCAGUCCACCUACGAAUGUACAACCCUGACAGUUUCAAAAAUCGGAGGUUACAGAAUUCCCCUUCUUCCAUCUCCCAUUCUUCCUCCCGAACGGAACGAUGGCAUAAUUUGAGCACUACAAGGUUGGGCAGAUUUUUUCCAAUUGCUGAAAUUUUUCCCCACGGCCAAUAAUUAUACGAGAGAGUCAACUUUUUCAAAUUCAAAUUCAAUGAGAAUUCAAACUCAUCUCCGCUAAUCCUGCUUAUCUUAAGUGAUUCUAGUCGACUCAUGUAGUUCAGCACGAGAAUCUCCUUGCGAUUUCCACCAGAUCUGAGUGCUUGGUAACUUUCGUAUGUCAUCCUUUGGAUUCCAUAUGUUAUUGUUAGCCUGCGGGUGCUCUGUAACUUUGAUAGUAUCUUUUGUGCAUUUUGAGAAGAGCGAUGGAUUGCAAGGCUUAAAGUGUCUAAAUGUUUUAAAUCAGGGGAGCCUUCAAGAUUGUCCAUGGGAAAUAUGAAACCACAGUCGGACAAUGAUGUGACAAGAUACCUCAAUGUUUCAAUGCUCCAGAUAGUGUUUGGCAACAGAUAAUUUCCACGGCGUGCUUCUACUACAAAAGUUUCUAACCUUGAGAGGUUGGCUAUUGCAGAUGGGAUAUCCCCAACAAAACGUCCAAUUCUCAAGUACCUCAAGUGAAUAAGGAAUACUACUUCCCUUGGAAAAGAUGAAAUCCAAUAAGGAGUGUUCCAGAAAUCCAGCACUCUAAGAAGUUUAGACAGCAGAAAUUUGGAUGAAUUCUUAUCCAGCUGUGUAUAACUAUCACCACAGAAGAGCAAAGAACGCAAAUUGGGAAAAAACAGCCUUGAUUUUGUAAGCCCCAUAGUCAUGGUAGGGUGAAUAGACAAUCGAUGGGGCUUGCAUGGUCCGGUAAAAGUUAAAAGGUUAUCCACAUGUAAAAUCUGUAGAAAACUUUCUUCUUCAGCUUUCGCCACGCAAAACUCAUGUACCAAAUCAUGGAUUCGGCAAGCUUUGAUCCCACCUAAAGAUCUUUGUUGGGCAGCCAUAACUAAACUUCUCCCAAUCAGAUCCAUCAAAUAUUCAUCUGCCACAUCCUCUAAACUCUUUCCUUCAGUCUUUUGCACGAAUCCUUCCGAGAUCCAAAUCCAUAACAACCUUCGGAUAGGAAUUUCUUGGUCUUCUUGAAAUGCACCGAAGUAAAGAAGGCAUGGCUUCAAAUAAUCCGGUAAAUUAUUGAAACUUAGCUCAAUAGUCUUCAUGCAAUAUUCAUUGUCAACAAAAAUGCUAGAAGUUAAAUGUAUUACAACUUCUUCCCAGCAAUCUUGCUCGGUAGUAGCAAGAAUUCCGGCAACAAGGACAACUGUGAGAGGCAGGCCUUUACAGUAUUUUGCUGCGUCCAGUAAAACAUUACUUAAUAUUGGAGGACAAUCUUCUUUGGAAAAUAGCUUUUUCUGCAGCAAUUCGCAGCUCUCAUUAUCUGUAAGCGGGCGAAGAUGGUGAGGCUCGCUAUCAAGUUUAAUUUGCAAUGGCAAUUCCUGAAAUCUGCUGGUUAAGAGAAUCCUGCUUCCAUUGCAAUCAUCUGGCAGUGAGAGUUUCAAUAAAUCCCACCCCAGAAUGUCCCAAACAUCAUCCAAAACUAUGAGAUACCUAUUUCCCUUCAACAAUUUGCGUAGCCUGUCAGCCAUAUAAUCUUCAUCUUUCCGAAUAUAUCCAGCUGAGUUCCCAUGAUCAAUAUUACACAACAUUUGAACUAACAAACUAUGCUUGGUAUAUGCUCGAGAAAAACAACACCAAGAACGAAUGUGAAAGUGGGACUUUACCAAAGGAUCACCAUAAACUUUAUUGGCUAAUGUUGUCUUACCAAGACCAGGCAUACCCACAAUGGCAACAAUAUCCAACCGGCUUGGUCCCCUUACAAGUCCAUCAAUUAUAAUUUCCCCCUCGUCAUUGAGACCCACCACAGCUUCAUUAGAUAUUGGAGCAGUAACUUGUGAUGGCAUGGGAAUGGUAGUCUUAACAAUACUCUGGGUUUCAUAGUCAAAUCGUAUGCUAUCAUAAAUCUUUUUGGCCUCAAUCUUCAUAAGCUUGACAUCUCCAGCAAUAACAUCCAAACAAUGUUGAUGUUUUCCACCAGGUAGUGUAGAGUCAAUGAUUAUCUCUGCCCUGUAUGCCAGCUCAAUAAUACGACUCCACAGAGCUUGGAGUUUUUCAUUCCGCUUUCACUGCUCUGCAAUCUUGCCUAGGAAAGGUCUUAAGAAAUCAAGAUCUUCACGAACUGUGUGGAUUUGAUUAUUUGGGAAAGCAAUUGAAUUAGCUGUAGAAUUUUCCAGUUCCUUGAGAGUUUCUAAAAGAAAAUCAAUAGAGCCCAGCUCAUUAGUCCUAGGGAAACUAAUUGAUGAUGAUGGUGGUUGUAGUGGACAAAUCUGUUCAAUUUCUGGAAUAAUGAGCUUGAGCAGUUCGAGCGAAUGAGAAGCCACAAGAUCUAUUUCCUUGGGCAAGCUUUCUGUCAUUUCACUCUUAUAAAGGGAGAAAAUCACAAUUCCAGCAUCACAGACCACAAAUCCAAUAAGAUCCUUCAUUUCAUCAUUUAGCUCAUCGAACUUCUCGUGCUGCUGGCUGAGAAGGACACUCAGGAAUCUUGCUCCCUCAUAGAGUUUUAGUAAUUGAUCCUUCACCGGAAGCAAGAAACUGGUGUAAGAUUCUGUUAGCUCCAUAAUAAUAUGUAAAAGAUGAUCAAUAAAUUCGGCCACUAGGUGCUUAUUCUUCUCCAGGGCUAAAGUGUGUGAUGAUGGUGACAACUUGGAAGCUGUCAAGACGUGGAUAUAAGUUUCUCGGACUUGGAGAUCAACGGGAUCAAUCUUCUUUUGUAUCAGUUGAGAAAUUUCAGAUUCCAUCUCAUUGCACACCCGUUCAUCAUUUCUCUGAAACCAAGAUGUAGAGAUCAGGCUUGCAGCAUUAAUGGCCACAACUUCAAUGUGAACUAACAGAUCUACUAAUUGCUGACCCUUAACACCUUGUAGUGUUGCAAAGCAAAUGAAACUCUUCAAGAACAUUAGCUUCUCUUGAAGGGUUCCCAUUACACUUUGCAGAGCUGCAUCAUCCCUGUAAUUUCUGGUGCAAAGACGCCUCAGAUUCUCUAAAAUGGAAUCGAUGAUAUCCAUAACCAGUUGUGAAUCUCCCAGCAAGUAGUAAUGCAAUAAACUAACGAUGUUUAAUUCCUUGAUAUCUGAAUCAAAAAUCAACCGAAUAUUGCCCUCGAAUCUGUCGAGCUGGCAUUUGAAGUCAUCAGGCGAUCUACGUCUACCGAACUGUCAGACUCAGCAUCACCCCUGUCCUCCUUAUCAUAUUCCAAACACAUACACUCUUUGCUUCUCUUCCUCCUAAAAUUUCUAAUAUACAGAUCAAAGGUUUCCAAUAGACUUAUCCCCAUGUUCAGCUCCCAGAUAUGAGAUUUGAACAGACCUUUGUACCUAGAGUCUAAGUAGUCCAGAUGAUUACGAGCAACAUCGAAGCAACUAGUGCUGCUGCUGGAGGAGAUGUUCCUCAUGGUACCUGCUUUUCACUCAGAAAUGAGAUUUCUGCCUAUUGUAGCCAUUGAUAUUCAAGAUCAACAACUUUCUUAUUAUCUAACAAUAUUCACAGUUUGCCAUCAGGACUCUAUCUCUCUGUUUUUUUUUCCCUUUUUUCUUUUUUGCGUGUGGCAGGGUGGUGCUAAAAUAUUGCAAGACUUUACCCUCUUCCUCUUGAGUCUUUGUCAAGGGAAGUUCGCAUCGAUACAACAGGCAUAAGCUGUUGGGGUCCCCAUAUCAAAGAUUAAAGCAUUAGAGACGCAUUCAGCUGAGGCCUGAUGGCUAUGUAAUUUGCCACAACCUUUUUUACCGCAACAAUAUUUUUUACCACAAAACGUGAAAGGCAAAAAAAUAGAUGAAAGAAAAUCAAUCUAUACUACUGUAGUUUCAAUCAAAUGCGAAUAUGGCCAGCACUAAAAAUGAACAAAAUGAGAAAUAUCAAUUAGAUUAGCAGUCAGAUAAACAAUAGAAAAAUCAGAAGAAAAUGAUCCAUGGCUAUUGUUUAAGAAUGUAUAACUAAAUGCAUUUAAGGAUUUAGAGACAAUUGUUUUAAUUGCCAAUGUAUGUGAGUGCUGAUGCUUUAAUGCUUCUUUUUUUUAAUUUGGCAACUUCUCCAAAUUUAAAAAGUUGUAUAAUAAGAAUAACAAUUUUACUCCUUUUCCUGUGUGAGAUAACUUGAGCCUGUAAACCAUCUAAAUCAUUUUUUCUUUUUUUGGUUUUCUACAUGCACCGAGAAAUAAUAAUAACCUACAAGUACGAAAAAUCUUGUGAAGUGAAGACAAAUAUUAAUAGGGCAAAUUAUACUUUACCCUCCUGUAAUUUAGUUUUUUUUUACAUAACCCUCCUAUGGUUUAAAAAGUUAUAUAUAACCCUCUCAUAAUUUGAAUUAAAGUGUCAAAGUGACGGAAAUGAUCAUUGUAAUGGAAUCACAUAAAAUAUCAAAAAUACCCUUAUGUAAAGUUAAAAAUUAUUUAUUAACCAAGGGGGUUAUGUGUAUAUUUUAAAAAUCAUAAGAUUGUUAUACGGUAAAAUAUUAAAUAAUAAAGGGAUUAUAUGGUAAAACAUAAAAACUAUAUGGGGUUAGUGUGUCAUGUAUUUAUAAGGUAAUUUCGAUAUUUUUAAAAGUUACGAAUGACUAUUUCGGUUAUUUUGACAUUUUAAUUCAAAUCAUGACAGCGUUAUGUAUAGUUUUUAAAUCAUAGAGGGGUUAUGUAGAAAAACACUAAAUCACGUGAGGGUAAAGUAUAAUUGGCCCAUAUUAAUAUCAUAGUUACUCAUCAUAUCAUAUCACAUGAAAUUCAGUCACAUAAUUGCUUCACCUAAAAUCGAUAGGUCACGGGUUCAAAUCAUCAUGGGAUUAAGUGAGACACCACUAUUAAAUCCUCUUUUAAAAAAAAAAAAAAACUUCAGUACUUUUAGCACUGUAUGUAUUCAAAUCAAAAUUUAAUUUAUCUAAUGCUGAGUCAAAUAAAAAAGCUGAAAUUUCCUCCUAUUACGUCCCAGGCAUAAGUGAAGCGAUGAUAUGCGAGUAUGAAGUGUCAAGAACACAUGGAAGCCGUGUACAUUUCAACCACAAAAUAAUGUGUGGAAAAAAGAAAAGAAAAAGAAAUUCAGCACUUACUUUGGAGAGAAUGAACGCUAUGGCAACAAGUGAUCUGUUGAAUCUGCAGAAAUUUCAUUUAUAUGGUGAAGCCACGUUUAAAAAGAAAAACUUUAAACUUAAAAAAAAAAAAACGAAAUUCAGCACUCACUUGAGAGAAAAUGAAAUCCCUGGCAAUAGCUGGUGAUCUAGUGAAUAUGCAAAAAAAUUCCCAGUAUAUCUUGCACCUACUCACUCAAAAUUAAGUUCAAGAAAAAGAAGAACACUCCGAGGAAGAUGAAUGAUUUCAACCAAAAUGAAAGAACUCGAACAUGCAAGACUUUUUGCAGUGAGCUGGUCCAAAGUCAAUGUAACGGACAUAGUAGUCCUAGUAGCGGUAGGUUAGGACCUAUGUUUUCAGAACCGGACCAGAUAGUGACUCGGCCGAGGUCAGGGGUCAGGGGUCAAUGAGUUCGACCGGGGGUCGAUAGGGGUCGAAUCGGAUGACAUCAUAAAUAAAAAUUAUUUAAAAAUUAAAAUAUUAUAUAUAUAAUAUCUAAUAAUAUAUUGAUAUUAAUAAAGGUAUAUUCAUAUAUAUUUGAUGUUUCAAAUAUAUUUAACAAGAAAAUACAAAGAAAUUAGAACAAUCAAGUAGCAAUUUAUAUUAUUUAAUAAAUAUUUACAAGUUUAGAAUUCAAAUUAUGAAUUUAAUUGAAUAAUAACAUCAAAUUUUAGGACAAUAUUUAUAAAGUAUUAAAUAUUUGAGGUAUAUCAACAAGUUUUAACAAUUUAGGGGGUCAAAACAUAAUAUUAAAAAGUUUGAAUUUUUUUUUUUAAAAAUUACUGUUGAACCGGAAAAAUCGAUUUUUUUCAGGUCAAACCCGAUUUUUGACCGGUUUUGACCGGAUUUUAAAUUUUCGAUUUUUUAAUAUGACUCGGACCGGCUAUCUGACCGGUUUUCGGUUCGACCGACCGAUCCGGUCCGAGUUUGAAAACAGAGGUUAGGACUCACUAUUUUUAUUAUAAGGAACUCUCUUUGAUUUUUGAGUGUGUGGUGGGGAGGGAUGGUGGGCGUGAAACCUUAUCCUGACAAGAUGCUGUGUUAAUCAAGAAUUUGGCAAGUGCGGUAGAAGACUUUGACGUGUGUGGUAGAAUACCGUGUUUGCUAUAAAAUUUUCCUUUGCAUACUUUAUGUAAUUAUUGGUCACUCUAAGGUGGAACAUGCAUGCUAUAUCAGCGGGCUCAGAUUUCACGAGAACUGUCGACGGAUAUUGAGUUAAUCAAUCUCAGAAAUUAGUAUAUUUGGUGUAAGUUCGUAGAGUUUUGAUAUAAUUUUAAAUUUUAUACAAAUUUAGUUAUAUGACGUGAUAAAUUUAAAUUUACAGCCGAUUUGGACGAUUUUACACCAAAAGAGGAAAGAACUAGACCAAUCGGUUGGAUUGGACAAAUUCCAGCUUAUGAGACCUGUGAUAUAUAUAUAUAUAUAUAUAUAUAUAUAUAUAUAUAUAUAUAUAUUUAUAUGAAGUAUGGUUUGGCUAAUUGUUACCUGUUGAAUAUUUGAAAGAGUGCUUAAAUGCAAAACAUAUAAUAAUUGGGAUUGUGUAACGAAUAUCCAUGCCGAUUGGAAAAACAAAACCAUAUAACUAUAAAUAUAAAUAAAUAAAUAAAUGAUUGACUAUAUAUAUAUAUAUAUAUGUUUGUAUGUAUGUUUGUAGUAAUAUGUUUGGAAAAAAAUCCGAAUUCAAAUUUAUGCAACUUUCGUAUGAUCUAACAACUAUAACACAUUGCCAUCAAGAUUCUCUUCUUUUGCGUACACGCUACCUACAAGGAUCUCUUUUUUGCUUGUGUGGUGGAGAGGGAUGGUGGGGCAUGGUACGCAUAAAUAUCGCAAGAAUUUUCCUUCUUCCACAUGAAAUUUUUUGUGUAUGUGGUGGGGAGGGAAGAUGGUGGGGCGUGGUACUAAUAAAUAUUAUAAGACUUUUCCUUCUUCCACUCGAAACUUUAUCAAGAGAAGCUGUGUUAAUCAAGGCUUACAUGCGUGGUUGAUGCGGUAGCAAAAGCAUAAAAGUAGAAGGGGUUUCAUGAACACCUUUCAAAUGACAAUCAUUACACGAAUGAAACCCAGCAAUAAAUCAAAGAUUCAUAAAAAUAAGAGAAAUUUCUCAAUAAUUUGAUAAAACCAACAAUAUUUGAAUUACUAGAAGGAAAUUCUUUUUACAAAAGCCCUAAAGAAAAUAAUAUGUAAACUUUUAAACAAAUCAACUACGUAUCUGGAUGCAUUUAGGAUCCUCAUUGACACAUUUAGUACUAAUACUAAUAUUAUUAAUUAAAAAUAAAUAAAAAUAUAGAAAUCUACCCUAAUUAGAAUUCUAAAUAAAGUAUUAACAAUAUAGAUGAAGAAUUCCUGAACCCAGGGACCCUCUAAAUAUAUUGGCAGUAUAGAUGAGGAAUUUCUGAAACCAAGGUCCUCGUUGUGUAUCAGUGGUAGAAGACUUCUGUGUGAGUAAGCAGACUAUUUUUGCUCCUAAAAUUUUUCCUUUGCAUACUUCUUGUAGUAUUACUGGUCACUAUAAGAUGGAACAAGCAUACUAUAUUUUUCCUCUGUAUACUUCAGUAGGCUUAGAUUUGUUUUCCUCCUAAAAUUUUUCCUUUGCAUACUUCAUGUAAUAUUACUGGUCACUCUAAGAUGGAACCAGCAUUCUAUAUCAGUAGGCUUAGAUUUGUUUUUCUCAUAAUGACUCUUAGAAGGAUAAUCAUAUGUUGCCGCAAUUUCGCAAAAACUGUUGACUGGCUACAUGAGUAUAUGAUGCAUAUUGAGUUAAUCAAUCUCAGAAAUUUUGAUGUACAAAUGACUAGAAAUUAAAGAUGCAUUCAGCUAAGGGACACUUUCUAAGACCCAUGGCUGCCAUUACACAAGUACAAAUAGGGAUCUUUUUGAAAUAUAGCAUAGGUGAACAGAAAGUUCCAUGAAUUGGGAAUGCAUACGAAAAAAUGAAGAAAUCAUAGAUGAUAACUCAUUUUCUCAUUUCGAGUACUUGACUCUUGAAUUGAGACCAUUCCGCUAUUAAUCUAUGUUCUUGGCAGGCAUUGUUUUACAGUGGUAGCACCUGGGACAAGGAGCAUCACAUCACAUAAAAAAAAAUAAUGAACAUUGUAUCAUUGGUACAAAAUAUUUUUCAAGAAUUACUGUCGCGCCCCAUUUUUCGCGAUGGAAAAGAAAGUGUUUAUAAAAAGAUAUGAUUUAUUAAUAAUAAAUGAAAAAGGAUCUAGAAUGGAACUUAAAAAAAAUGCGAUAAUUUGGGUCCAAAAUUUAGUCUAAAAGGGUUUUGAAGAAAAAUUAGAAGUCUCCACUUGGUAUCGAGUUUGGGUGUAUCAAGUCACCCAAAAAGUGUUUUUAAAUAAAAUAAAAUAAAACCCUUUUCGACAACUCCAGGUCUUUGAAAACAGAGAAAAUGAGUUCGGGAGUCACGGUUGAAGAAAGGGAAGGCAAAGGUUCAAUUAUCUCAAACCUAAGGCACCCUUUCAACCUAGUCUAAGCUAGUUGCAUGGUUUAGUCAAAAUUUUCUUAAUCUAACCCUUAAAUUUAUCACAUUUGGAUGUUUUCUACAUGGAUGCAAAUCUAAAUUUAUAAAAUAUCGAAAGGGACAAAAUAUCCAUUCAAGGAUUUAAUUGAAACAAUCGCAUUAAUUGCGAAGGCCAAAAUACUUCUUUGAAAGGGUCACGAGUAUGCAAAUGAUGAAAAAAAGAAAAGUAAAGAAAAGAAAUUAAAUUAUAUACAUAGAUAUAAGUAAUCAAAGAAAAAAGGGAAUGCAACAUAAAGGGUAUGGGAGGCAAAAACUUGUGACAUAAUUUUCUUAUACAGGGAUUAAUGGAGUAUUUAAACUAAAAAAUUAUAAUCAUCCAUUUUCCAUGUUUGAAAAAUAAUUCCCCUAAUAUGACCAAGCAAAUGAACCUACUUAUCAUACAAUUUCUUAAAUGAAAUGCAAUUCUAAGUGAUAUGAUUAACACAUAUUGAGAAUAGGGGAUAAUAUAAUAGGGAAUAUCAUGCAAAUGAGAAAAGAUUCUAAAAAUGAAAAUAUGCCUGAAAAUGUAGUGAAUAGCACACAAAGAUGAAUCUAGCGCAAGACGACCUAAAAGGUCUAGUGUUGGACUAGCCAAUUUCUAGAAAUCCUUACUAACGUUGGACUAGCAAGUAAGCGGAGGGAGAAGCCACAACUAGCGUUGGACUAGUGUGGUGACGUCAUGCAUUAACAAUUCAUAGUGAAACAAAUAAAGCAUAAAUGAAAACAAAUAAACACAUAAGAGCACGUAGCACAUAACACGUAAACAUAAUAUCUAGAUGCCAAAAUCCUAAGAAAAGCGGAUAAAACACAUAACAUAUAAACCACAUAAACACGCAACCUAUCUAUUACAUCGGAGAAUCUAACUACAAUCUAAAAUGGAAAAGAUAUGAUAAAAUAAAAUUAGCUAUCCUAUCUAUUACAUUUUUGAGAUAUUUAAAUGCCUCUCGAAUAAUUAUAAAAAUUAACUAAACAAAUAUAGUAUAAGAAAAUUUAAAUGAACAUUUAAAUCCAAUAAAUAAAACAUAUAAAAAUACAUAAACACAUAGGAACACAUAAGAGCACGUAAUUGACAUUGAAAUAAUAAAAAUAGGGGUACCUCCCAUUUGAAGUGGUGACUAAAUGGAGUCAAAUUGUCCUAUUUAUACUCACAAUGAACAAAAGAAUCAUGACACCAAUUUAAUUGAAAAAAGUAAUAAUAAUAAUAAAAAUUCACCUUAAUAUGUCAAACGUAAAUAAAUUUAAGAAUAUCUAAAAAUUACAGGUUAAACAUACUCAAAAAUAGCAUAAUUAGCUAUUAAAGAAGAGAAGCAAUCAUAAUAAAGAGAGUCAAAAUUCAUCAGAGACUGAAUUGCAAAAAUUGAAAAACUUUUAGGGACAAAAAUUAUAUUUUUCCAAAGUUCAGAGGUCAAAAUUAAUUAAAAGAUAAAGUUCAAGGACCAAAGUGAAAUUAAUUUAAGGACCUAGGUGAAAGAAAUUUAAAAUGUUCUGGGCUACAGUAAAACUACUGCAAAGAUCAGGGGCCAAAGUGCAAAUCGUAACCAGAUCUUCUUAAAAAAACAGGCCACUGGGCCAUUCUCUAUUUUUUCCGGGCCAAAGGCCAUUCGGCCCAAACGAAAGUUCAAGCUAAAAUACCCAGGCCAGCCCGUUUUGUUAUAGCUCAAGCCCGACGAAAAAAAUACAUGGGCUCCAACCUCCUAGCCCAACCGAAACCCAAAAGAAAUAAACACAUAUCCAUUCCCAAAAUCCAACCAAAAAAUAACUCUUGGCCCAUCAGAGAAAUAAACAUUAGCCCAAUUCUUUUUUUUUCCUUUUUCCUUCCUUUUUUCUUUCUUCUUCUUUCUUCCCGCCGUUUCCUUCUUUCUGCUUCUGCUUUCUCCUUCUUCUCCACCGAGGAGCUGAAGCUCCCUUCUGGCUGGCGGCUAUGGCGGUCGCCGGCAGCACCACCGCCGGUCGCCAAAAUUUCUCAAAAUACACCUCUCACUCGAUUUUUCGCGUAGAUUCCAUUUCCGGGCUUAGUUUUAACAAAAAUUGACCCUAAAGUGGCCAAAAAGCCAAGAAAUCAGUUCAGUUUUUAUUUUCUUAAAACCUUUAAACCUCCACCAAAAAUCAUAAAAAAUUAUGCCAAAACCCUCCUUAUAACUUCUACAUUACAACUAUAAUCUUAGUUUGACAGGUAAACAACAACAAAAUGAUGCAUUAAGUCAAAACAGCCCCAAAAAUAAAGAAAAUAUUUCAAUGCCUUUAAAGCUCAAAAUUCCAAAAAAUUUAGAUAAGCAAACAUUUCUAGGCCUGGUGCUAGCUAACGAUCAUCCGUUUUGACAACAACAUGCACAAUAUUCAGCUUUUAAAUCCAUUUUUCCAUUUCGGCAUUUUAUCAAGCAUUUGGCAUGCAUUCACAGCACCGUUUCUUUUUUCUUAAUUUUAUACAGGCUUGUCCCAAAAACUUCAAAAACACCACAAUAGCAACAAAAAUCAGUGAAAGGAAGAGAAAAAUAGGUAGCCAAACAUGCAUUUAAUCUAAUUAAUUUAAAAAGGAAAAGCUGGAAAAAAUACCUCAAUGAGGUUGUGGUCCCUUGACUAAAAUUUUGAGGAAGUUCCAAGCUCUUUGUCCAACCGGCGGCUGCCUCCUUGUGUCUGAAUAGUGUGUGGGUGUGUUGUGUGAAGUGAGCAAAGAGAGGGAUAUGGCCGAGAGAGUGAGGGAGCUUUCUUUCUUUUUCUGUUCUGUUUUCUUUCUUCUGCCCAGUCCGAGAGAGGGAGAGAGUUGGGGAGUGCUUUUUGUUUCUUUUUUUGUGGCUUGUCUUCUGUGAGAGGGAGAGCCGAGUGAAGAGUGAAUUCAGGGAAAAAGGUGGGGAGUUGGUAUUUUUCUUGUCCAAGGGAUGGUCUCCCUGUCAGAGCCGAAAGAGUACAUAUUUUUGAGCCCCAAAGUGUCAUUUUUUUUUUCUUGUCAGUCCCACCCUCGAGAGAGUGAAUUAAGGGAGUGUGUUUUGUAUGUUACUUUUCUUUUCUUCUUUUUUUUUUCUUUUCUAAACAAACCUGCAAAAAAAAAUAAGAAAAAUGCACGUUAAAAUGUAAGAAAAUAAAUAAAUUAUUAAAUAGAAAAAUCUUGAGAAAAUAUUAAAAAUUGACAAAAAUUUGGUGUCUACAAUUACAUUUGGAUAAAUUUCAUUUUGACCCCCUAAACUAUUUGCAGUUUCCCAUUUCAAUCCCUAAACUUCAAAAUGGGACACUUAAGUCCCCAAACUACUGAAUCCGUCCCAAUUAAUUAAAAAUAUUGAUAGAAUCCACAAAACCAUCAGGGUUUUUGCGUCAUGUAAAACAUGUGCUAUUGACCAAGGGCAAGGAUGGAAAUUCAAAUAAAAUAUAUUAAAAAAGAAAAGGGAAUUUAUUUUUAGCACAAAGGAGGGAAAGUUUCCCUCCUUUUAUCCAGCACAUUCGGGUCAUAUAAUCGACCCGAUCCAAUUCACAAAAGGGAAGCGAUGUUUCCUAAGAAAAUAGAGACCAAUUGGCUGAAUUUUCAAAUAAGAGGUAAAAACUAAGAAGAAAAGAGCAUAUGAAGAUAAGAAAGGAGACAAAGGAAAGAUCGCAUGUUAAAUUUAUCAUAAUUAAAUUUUUUGUAUGUUAGAAAGACACUCUGCUUACUUUGCUUUAAGAUGUGAAAGAAUCGCUAUCCUUACGAUGAAUUUGCUCCAACAAUAAAGGCAACCUUCUAUAGGAUAUAAUAAAACUGUUCUCUUGAUUUCUCAAAAUAAAGUGUAAAAAUCGUACAUCAAUUUUGAUUGAAUUCUCGUUAUAGAUGUUAAAAGAGGGUGUUUUAAGAGUUGUUACUGUGUUUUAUAUAGCGGAUAAUUAUAGUUACAACUACUGGAGUUGGAAUGGCCAAACAUUUGAGUCCAAACGGGCAUAGUGCCUAGAGAGCUAUCAGUAAAUCUUGACACAGUUCGGACUUCAAAACAUUUAGUUUGGCCCACGAACAUCCACUUUGACAGAUUUGCAUAGUUUUUGCAAACUACUCAAUGAUUCCCCACUAAUUUGCAAAACUUAUGUAUCUUAACCCAUGGAGUCUUCAAUAAUACAACUUUAACUGAUGAAUCUUAAGCAUAAUUAGAAGUAUCUCUUGAUUUAAACUUCCAACUGGUGUAGGUGAUUUAAAUUUUUAAUGGAGUUGUUAGAGUUCUUAAAUUGAACUAUAACUCUUAUAUGUCAAAGAUGAAAACACAACACAAUUAAUGAUUGUCUUCUUUUCUCAAGAGGUUAAUAUGAACUUUAAUUAGAGCUAUUUUAGCCACAUGCUAAUCCUAGUUUCACAAUCAUCUACAAAAGUAUACUCAAACUCUUGUUGAAAUGGCAUCACUUCAAUACUUAUACAGGUAAAUUUGUACUUGUAGAGUUCUAUGUUUAUGUCAUGCAAAAACAACAGCAAUCCCACUCAUGGGAGUGCUGUAAAGUAAAUAUUAUUGACUAGGAACGUAUGUUAAGCAAAUUUCUUUAUGAUUUACAAAGUCGAAGCUAUCGAACCAGUGAGACUGUUUCUACCCAAGUCCAAAUGAGACAGAUAUUCGAAAGAAAACAAUGACCUUGCAAUACUUCCAAUGAAUUUAUUGCUCUUCAAACCGAUGUAUGUUAUGUGUGCGCAAUUCAUCUAACAAUCAGGAAUUUCUCCUGAUAAAGAAUUCUUUUAAGAUCUAGAAUUGCAAGACCUGAUUUUCCAUUCUUCAUUUCACACAAAAAGUGAGAAAUACCUUCCGAAAACAAAUAGAUCGAAAGGUCUAAUUGUUUUAGAGAAUGAGAAAUUGAUUGUGCUAGUGGACCAUUGAAUCUGUUUGACUACAAUAUAUAUAUAAUCUUUCAACAAUUUCAGAGAUGUUUGAACUCUUACCAUGAAGUCGAUUAUGAGAAAGAGACACGACUUCUGCUGCUGAGUUGAAUAACCAACGAGGAUAGUAUUUGAAAUUCCUGUGGAAGAUAAAUUCAAAUACCGAAGGGUUUUUUGGUAUUGGAGCCAUAUAGGAAAUUGAAGACCGAGAUUCCAACAACCUAAUCCAAGUCUUUCAAAUGUGCUAAAAGAGAAGUUGGCAUUAAAUGGCAUGGUGGUUUUCAUCCUCCACUUUCUAAGCACUGUUACCGGUCAGAUUUUGUGGCCUUCAAUGCCAACAAUGUUUCUUAUCGUCCUAACACUACUAGCUUCGCUUAUCGAUAUUUCCAGUGAAGAAAUCGAGAAGUUGCCCCACUAAUGGGGAAGGUAUUUUUUUCAGCAAAAUUGAGCAUCUUAAAUUGUUGCCUUUCUUUAUUCUAUUGUUAUAUUUCAAGUGAAAGAUAUCAUGUCAAUUUAUGGAACAUGGAUGAAUUAAUAUGAAGUGGACAGAACUUGGACCAAGUUAAAAUCUCAUUUGAAAUUCCCGACAUUUGGUGUUGAACACCGAUCAUAUAUAUGCUCAAACCAAAGCAGGCCACUGCAAAUGGUGCAGCUAGUUUCGUUAGAAGCCUGAUUAGGCCCUGUCGGGGCGGUGGAACAUAUUAGACUAGCAGAUGUCAGUCUAUUGAUCAUUGGCAUGAAAAUGCCUUCUUGGAUGUCUUCAUGUACCAAUUUCGAACUUGUGUAGCACUAGUUUUACCUCUUCUAGUUGCCAAUUCUCUAUUCUUAACUAAAAGCUCAUUUCUCCAAUUUCUUAUUCAAACUUAAUUACAAUUGAAGGUGUCCACUUGUUGUGAGUGCAAUUAUCCCAAUCCAGAAUCCCCUAUCAAGAAGAGGUGGUCAAAUUUUUGGUCCAUUAAUUUGCCGUUGGACUUGAAAAUUUUUUCUUUUGAAUAUCAACGGUUUCAAUAGUUAUGUAACCAAAACUUUAGAAUAAUAGUUGUUGAGUUGCCUUCUAAAUUAUGUAACCCUAAUUUCGUUACCAUAAGUAUAGGCACUAUAGCAUUGUCCUUCUAACUAUAGCAUUGUCCUUCUAAAGUUUUGUCCUGUAUACAUGAAUGUUGUCAGUUAUUUGCUAGCUAGUAUGUAAUUAGCUUCCCAUUGUUUUGUAACAUCCACAUGUCACGUUUGCAAGAAGAUAGAGUCCAAUAUAUUUGACGUUUUGACAGUCAGCCAAUCAAAAUAAAAUACCUAUUUCACAAUAAUAAAAUUAGAGCUCAGUGGUGAACAUAUCGUACCAACAAGGAUUAGAAUGAUUUAUUUCUUUCAAAACAAUUAAUAGAAAGGGGGGAUUUUGGAGAUUAAACCAACUAAUUAUUUAAACACAAAAUAAACAUACAAAAACUAAGUAAAAUUAAAUUAAUAAUAAUGGAGCUCUAGCAAAAGUAUUAACUUCCGAAAUGCUUUUCUUGACUAUCUUGAUAGUCAAAGUACGACCAUUCACUACUUUCCUAAUUGAAAAGAUAAUCAUAGGUAUGAUCGAACAUAGGAUUUAAUCUUACAGUUGCAUUAGAAAUAAAAAAGCUCAAUUCUAAUCAACAAACACGCUAUGGAGGUUUAUUUAAUUUUCAUUAUAUGUCUCCCUAACACAAACUCAAUCAUGCCAUUUACCACAAAUAUUGACCAAUAGUUUGUUAAGCUCCUUUGUUUUCCUUCAAUCUUCUGUACAGCAUUAGGUACAUUAAAUUAAGAAUCUAGUAGGAAAGUAAAAAGAAAGAAAUAGUCAGACAUUCAUACUUGAAAUUCACAAGCACAAAGUUUCCAGUAGAGAAAGAUACUGAAACUGCUAAGAUAGGAUAGGAUAGGUCCUACGUCAAUUAAAAUGUCAGAUGUUCUUUCUUGGAGAACCUGCCAAAAGUAAUCAACAGGUGUGUGUAUGCCCUUCCUCAGAUUUGCGAGGCAAUAGAACAAAAGAAAAGCAAAACAAUAGAACAAAAAUAAAAUGUUCGAUAUAACCUUAUAUUGGGAAAAAUUGCAAAAGUAUUUGGUAAUCACAAAGCUAACAGUAAAUUGGACGAUGUUCACCUAGGUUUCAUCAGCAGCAGACACAAGGAAUCCUUUAGAUGCUUCCAAAUGUCUUCAAGUCUAAGUGCGUAAUUCUUUGAAAGAACAGAAAAUACAUAUGUAGACUUCACAAAUGGAGUUCAUAUGCUGAGCAUCUGCAAUGAAUUGAAUGCUCCACUAAGGGCUAAUCUAAACUCAAAGGACAAGCUGAAUGCAUUACUUUCAUCGAUCUGAGCAAUAAAAAUUAAACAUUAGACAUGUACAAACUUUUUGGGAGUGCUAGUUUAGCAGAUGGUCAAGAAAACAAAACACGUAUUGCUGGCUUUUUCAGACAGGAAAAAACUGCAGACGUCUCCAUAACCAGGACAUUUGAAAAACAGAAUUCUAGUGUCACCUGCGGGAGGGGGGUAGCGAUUCUAGAAGAGCAGAAGCUACAUGAUGACGCACUACCAGCUACCAGCAACUUUCUGAGGUGUAAGCAGAGGACUUGUUAAUGCUCAUCUGUUCUGUCUUUCCUGCUUUCUGCUUGUUGACAUUUUCCACUAGCUGGCAGCUAAUCUACUAACCCGAAGUUAAGAAGUUCUUCUCUUCGUCUUUAAUUAGCAACAAAGACAUAUGGGACCUGGAUACGUUUGAAGUAUUAUAAGAGCUAAUCAACAAGUACAGAACUGUUUCCAGGAUGAUUUCACUAUGGCUCCUUAAAUAACGGCACAGAAAUUAUAUGGAACUUUUCAACAUAUAUCAACCUAUAUAGUAAAAGCGCGAAUGGAUCUGUUAAGAAUGGUGGUUUUGUGCUGACGUGGCUGUGUUUUAUUGGUUGGAGGAUGGUUGUCACUCAUGCGUUUCUCACGUGCCAAAAUUUUGUUUUAGGGCUUCCCUUGUUUUCUUUCCCCUCAUUGAUCUCCAUCGCCCCCAACCAAGAAGGAAGUUGAGGAGCCGCAUAUGGCAAUGGCAGAGCUUGAAGCAACUCAUGCAACUCUCAUCUUGAAUCCCCGUUCCCAAAAGCCAAUGACAAAUCAGCAGCUUAUUCACCGCCAAGGGCUUCCAAAGAGGACGAUUCACCGCGAAGAAAACAAUCUCCCUAGCUGGAUCAGAGUCACUCAAUCUCUUCUUCUUUGCUCGCUCUGUUCUCUGAUUCUUGUCGAAGACGACUUAAGUCUUCCGUCUGUGCCUCUAUUUUGUAUAUGAUCUGUCUGAUUCGUAAGAUUCUCCUACCAAGUUUUUUUUUUAUCCGGUAAACAAACCCAAUCUUGGCGAAGCCGGAAACAAACUAAAAACAAAUGCUCACCAGAGCUCCUCUCCUCUCCCCUUCCAUUUUUCUUUUCAUUUCUUUGUUCCUUUCUUCCUUUUUGUUGUUUUUUAUUUGGUCCUUUUUUCUCUGUUUUUCCUUCCCGUUUCCCCCCUCCCCCCUUUUCCCUUUCUUCUCUUUCCUUUUUUCAAUUAUAUGAUUCUAACUGAUUUUUUUCCCUUGUUAGAAUUGGUCUGGAUAUGAAGCUACUAAACGCAUGAGACGCAGAAAUCAUCUUAAUUGGUAAGCUCCAAUAUUUCCCUAAAGUUUUACAGUUUCCUUUAUUUAAAAAAGAAAGACAUUUUCCCUGCUAAGAUUUGUUAAUCUUUCGAUUAGUAACAGGGGGAUGAUAAUGUUCUGGAUGGUUUAGCAAGUCAAAAAAGUUUGAUUUUUUUCAUACCCUUUUCUAAAUAAUCAAGAACAUUAUAAUUGUACUUUUUUGGAUUGAAAUAUCAUAUAUUUCAUAGCAUUUUGCCGAAGGAUUAAUAGGGAAUGCCUUUGGAAAUAUGCUUUCAACAAUCAAUCAUAUGCAUGUAGAAAAAUUACUCCACUUCUUUUGUUUGGUUUGAAAAAUGAAGUAGUGUAUUUUUUGGCUAAUACAGGAAGUUUUCUGAAGCAAGACUUAUCACUCGAGAUAUCACAAGUGAAUAGGUGAGAAAGUUGAAGUUUUGAUGUUAGAAAUCACAUCGGGAAUGGUGAUACAAUUGACCAUAAACCAUUUAUGAAAAUUUGUUUUUUUGCUUCCACUGGACUGGAAUGCACUUACUUUUAUACUUUUUUUCCUUCAUUCUCCCAAUUUUUUUGUCUCCUAUGUUUCGGAAUUUUUUGUCUAAAUGUUUUCUUUUAAGCAGAAAAAGUAGAAAUAGACUUUUGUGUGUGCAUAUAGGGAUUUAAAAAGUAAAUACACUUUUAGAGUUAAAUAAAAAAUGAAUGGUGUUUGUUAAAUUGGUUGGUGCAGAAUAUGAUGAAAUUGGGGGGGGGGGGGCAUUGCAAGAGUUAAUUCAGUUUGAAGGCAUUCUCCAGUUAUGAUUCUGAUACUUGUGUAUUUGCCAUACUGCCUAUCUUUACUGCCUUGAAAUUUAGCGGGGUUCUAUCUAUCUCUAUUGAUAGCAGUUACUGUUUCUCAACAGUUGAAAUGUCUUACAUUUAGCGGUUAGAGCAGCUGAUGUUCUAUGCUCAAAUUUUCCAGCUCUUGUUUAGUUGUUGCUUGGGAUUUUCAAAAAAACUUAAAUUGUCAAUUUUCUUGGUUUCUUUUUCAUGUCUCUGCCAUUGUCAAUUUGCAAUGGAAUUGAACUUAUUUCAUCUUUUGAUGACUUUAGUUUGAAGUUUUUAAUUAUAGUUUUGAAUAAGUUUCAACUAAUUGUGGGAAAGAAAGUUAAAGUGGCAAAAUUUGUUAGAUUGGUUGGUAGAUGAACACUUUGGCCACAAAUGUUGUUAUGAAAGGUGUAUGUUUACCAAAAACCUAUUACUUAGAAGAAAAAUAUCCCUAGAUCUCUUUUCCUUCUUUGACCAUAUAGUUUUGGAUUCAUGGGUUGUUCAAAUUUAGCACAAUGUCUUUGGCUAAAAACUUGGUGAUUAUUUUUGUGUAACAUUUUAUAGCUUUCUUUUUUUCUAUUUGUUUCCAUUUUGCAUAUGAACAAUUUAUUUUUGCUUCUAUUUAUUGUUGUUAACUUUUUGGGUUCAAUUUUAUAGGGGUAAUGCUUCGUUUAGUACCAAUCAGUCAAGCCCAAGCUUUGGCCUUUUAGCAUAGUUCAGCUUUAGACAUGUAAGCUGUUUACACUUUAUUUAGAAAAAUAUCUUAGUCAAAUAGAUGUGCUUGUAUACUAAUAAUUAGUAGAUGUCUCUGUUGAUUAUGUUUCUGUUGAUUAUGAGAAAAUGACUAAGUUUCUGUUAAUUAUGUUUUCUGCUAUUUAACUUGUGAACCUCUGUUAAUUAUCUUUUCUGCUAUUUAACUUGCGAACCAUUUCUCUGUGUCCUUAUUUGGCAUUAAAUUAGAUGGAUACCGGGCUCUUCAUGAUGGAAUUAGGUAUUAAAAUUAUCGGCAUAUAAUAAAGCAAAUAAUGGCCUUCUACUACUUUUAAGGUGCUGAUUCUAACCUUUUUUCUUUCACCUUUCGUUUUAAUAUAACCAUCUCUAUGAAUGGAAUUUUUUUUUGCAACAGUGUCUGUAUUGUGUAUAUAAUAAUGUAAUGGAAAAUUGUUCAUUUGUAGUUAUUGCAUGUUUUAUAUUGUAAUUGAAGAUUGUUCGUUUAUUCUUUGGCUACACUGGUGCAAUAUGCCCCGACCUAUGAAUUGUACAAAAUCCUUUGCUCCAUACUUUUGCCUCCAGGGAUAAUUAUAUGGAAAAAACUUGUCUGGCAUAUAGGUAAUUGCAUAGAUAGGCGCUAAUGUUGAUGUUCCUGUAAGUGAAAAAAGUUAGAUUAAAAUGGAAGUGACAAUGAUAAAAGAAAAAAAUCUAUGAUAUAUUUUUGGAGAAUAUGGUAAUUGUUACUAAUAUUUAACUGUAUGAAGUGGAUUUUUGCAGUACCACUCGAAUGCUUCUGCCAUUUGAUUAACAAAACUACGUGUUUAUUUAUGUGGGAAGCAGAAUCGGCCACCCUUGAAGCUUUAUCAAGAUCAGAGCCUUGAAGCAUAUGACCCUGGAUAUUAGAUUUUGCACUAACUGUAGCUAUUUGAUCUUUGCAUUACCUGCUGUCUAUGUAUAUCAGCUCUUCAUGCAUUAUAUCUCACAUGGCUUGUGUUAUCAUAAUAUUUUUGUUUGGUUUAAAAUCUUGUGUAACUGGAUGAGUUAUUUUGUGCCAAGAGUUUGACCAUCCCUUUUGCUACCGAUGUAUUGAGAGAUUAGAAUUAUGGCCUAUACUAAUAAUCCUCCUCCUUUUUUGGUCAAAUGCAAUUUAUCCCACUGAGGUUAAUGUGUAAGCACAGUUUCUUUUUAUUGGAUUUUGUUGAAGUUACAGGCUAAUGAAAACCUUUUUAGUUAUUGUACUACAAAGUAAUGUGUUUUUAGUCUUUGGGUUAUUUUGAAGUGUAUGAUUCUAAUAACAAGGAAAAGGCUUGAUGCAAUACUACACUGCAUUUCUUUUUUUCCUUUUUCUUAUAUUCCUUUUUGAGCUGGAGCAGCUUUGACAUGUAAUGAGAACCUCUAGAAUGCAGUCUACUGGUCGCAAGUUUCAUAAAUGUAGCCUUUUACAUUGUCUCAUGUACUUGUCUUUCCUUUUACGAGAUUCUAGCUGUUGACAUGCAUCAAAUGAUCAAGGGCUGAAUUGCAUUGAGGCCAGUGAAACUUCCUUUUUUUUUUUUUUUUUUGUGUUAAGUAGUUGACCAUCCCCUAUGCUAUUGAUGUAUUGAGAAGAUACACCUGCAUUAGUAAUCCUCCUCCGUUUUUAGUCAAAUGCAGUUUAUCUCACUAUGGUUGAUAUGUAAACACAAUUUCUUUUCCUUUUCGUAGAUUUCUUGAAGUUACAAGCUAAUGAAGCUAUUUUGGUUAUUGUACUACAAAAUAAUGGGUUUUUUUUUUUUGCGGUCUUUGGGUUAAUUUGAUGCAAUUGCGAAAAUAGUGGAUUGGUUGUAUCAGAGUCUAAAAAUAAGGCCAAGCCUUGCUGCAAUACUACGCUGCUCUCGUUUUUUUUUUUUUUUUUUAGCUGGAAAGUCACAGAUUUUGAUGUACAUAAAAAAUAUAAGGCAGUAUUACAUAGUGAUAUAUUAUUUUCAAACUAAUGACAUUGCCAUUGUUGUCCAAUUAGUCAGCAUAACAAAAAUGACUGUCAUUUAGCAACCAGACUGAAAUUGUGUCUCUCUUCAUUGUUUAAUAAAAUUACAAAAAAUAAUCACAAAGAUUUGUGUGCACCUUCAUGUAAUUCUUUAUAUUGAAUAUCCCAAUUUGAAUAAUUGAAUAUUUCUGGGCAAACUUGAAAAUUACACCGCGCAUCGCGCGGUGUUCCCCUCCUAGUAAGUAGAAUAAGCGCCGAAGAGCUCUUAUGACCUAGAUGGUUUUCGUCGUCCUCUCACGUGCGUUGUGUGUGGUUCCUGACGACGUCGUUUUGUGUUGUUCGACUUUCAACUUGAAUUUCUGAAUUUGUUGUUGUCUUUCGCUCGUUUCUUUUCGUCCGGCAGGGUUUAGCUUCGUUGUCUUCUUCCAUGACGUUCGCCACUGUUGUAUAUCAGAAAGGCUGUUUGCCCUUGGUUGCUCCCAUUUAACUAAUCAGCUAGCCUUCGUCCUCAUCUAAUAACGGCAAUAAAUAAUUUCUGUACUACUUUUGCUUUUACUCUUCAGCCUUUUUUUCAGCUUUUCAGCCGGAGCAUUAAUGGGUUCGAGCUUUCCCAGCCUUUCCCAGCCUUCGUCUACAUGUACUUGCUCUCUAUGGUUUUUCUUAAAUUUCCGCCGCUUGCCCCUCUCUUUCUUCCCCUUCUCCUUUGCCUCACCUUCAUCCUCAGAAGCUCCGCCGCCUCUACUUCGUUUCCUCCUCUCCAAAGCAUUCGAUCUCUCAUUUCUUCUUCAUUCUUUUGCAUUUUUUCCCAUUCUCCUGGUUUUGUGUUAAAACCUUCAUUGCAUUGAAUUUUUUUUCAUUUUUUUUGGGUUGCAGCUGGAAUGAUUUUUAAUUUCUGGACUCUUAUGCUCCAUCUAAGAUAGAGUUGGUAGCGCAGAAUCAUCUUUCCUCGCUGGCUCUGUUUUUGCAGGUAAGAAUGUGAGAACCCGUAAAUUUUUCUUAUUUAUUUUAUUUUCCGGCGUGCAUUUUUCUUACCUUAUUUUAUUAUAGCAAUUUUUCAGAGAUUUUUAUAAGUGAAUAUAGUUUUAAAUCAUUUUUCUAGUAUAAGUUAGUUCAUGAGAAAUUAGGAGUGUAUAUUGGACGUGGGACCCGCUAGUACGCUAAAUGCGAUAAAUUUCUGGCAAUUAAUUAAAGUUUGGUAUUGAUGGGUAUUAUUUUACAAGGUGUUAGGAGACAAUUAGAGAUUAGCUAGAUAGCUUAACUAUUGGAAGAUAAGAGGAUUAGAUCAAACCCUUAAAGUGCCACGUGUCGCUUUCCUAUUCAAAGUUGGACUUGCCUAACUUUCUUACCUUUACUAAAACAUCAAUUUUGAUCAAGCUUUCUCCAUUUUAUUUCCUCCCUUGGCUGAACCUUUGAGAGAAGAAAGGAAAGAAGACUUCAUCUUGUAACUUCAAAUUCUGGUCCCAAUCUUGAGUUUCAACUGAUUAAUUUUCAAAUUCCUCCAUAAAAGUGACUUGUUAAGGAAGCUUGAAGGUAUUAGUGAAGUUGUUUUAGAGGAGGAAACCCUAAGCUACUACCUUUCUUGAGGUGUCAAGUUAUUUUGCCUGGAAACUCACUCUUUGUUCCUUAUAAUGGUAAAUUAGUAACUUGUGGUGGCUAAAUAGGUUGUUUUAUGGAAGAUUUCAUGGAAUAAAGUGGAGUUAGAUAAAUUUCUGAUUUUUUUGUGGAUUUUUCUGUUUUCAUAUGAUGGGUAUGAUUGGUCUUGGAUUGAUAGUUCUAAAUUGUGUUAAAUAGAGCCUUUGUGCGUUAAUUGAGGUUAGUUGCGAAAAAUUUCAGUUUUGUGCAGAAAUUUCAGGUUUAGGGUUUCAAAUCUGCCCUAUUUUACACUGCAUGUUCGUCCUUGAAGGAGGCCGAAUCAGCCCUUGCCAAAAACAUGAAAGUUGUUGGUAAUUGAGUCAGCUAGCUACCUAUAAAAUUUGAGCUCAAUCGGAGCACUGUAACAUAUGAAAUAACCAAAAUACCCUUGACUGCCCAUAAGCCUUGUUUCACGGACAGUUUUUUGUCCUCACUAAAAUUUCGAUUUUUGAUCAUGAAAAUGCAUGAUUUGGUUUUGGAGGUCUUCAUAGGAAAUGUAGGUAUAUGUCUUGGUUUCGAAACGCCAUAAGAUUCGUUUCAAUCCGAUAUGUGUAGCUUCAGUUAUGGUUAUUGUGCCGAAAGGUGUGUUUUAUAGUCUAUGAUUUGUAUGUGGUUGAUUUGAGAUGAAUUGGUGUUGAAUGUAGGAUGAAAAAAUAAGAAAAUGUAGGGGACAUACUGUCCAAAUUUUGGGAAUGUGGGAUUUCUUCGAGUUUGGUUUGGUUUGGGAUAUAUAUAAGAAAGGCUUUUGGGGUUGUUCGAACCCUAGGUCUUCAUGUUACCGCCCUAGGUUUUCAUAUUAUCUUUUCGUUCCCAAAAUCAUGUUUUGCACCAUUUCAUUAGUAAUUAUUUGGCGAGGCAUACGACUAGUAGUCGAGUCUCAUUUAUGCAUUCCGUUUACUCGAUUUUGGAUGUGAAACAUUCAAUUAUUUUACUUUGGUUAUUUUAGGGUUUCUUGGCGAUUAAAGCCACUCUGGCGUGAAAACUUUUGAAAUAUCUGUACUUCAACCAGUGAGUGUACCACUCCCUUGAAUUAUUGCUAAAAUGGUUAUCUGUACUUACAAAUUACUAUUUGAACGUCUUUAUCGACUGUUUAUUUUGUACGAGACGAGUGUGUACCUUAUCAUACUCGUUCUCUAGCCUGUGUGGCUUGUUUCCUGUAUAUACUUGAAUCUGUUACCUGCGCCUAUUAUAAUGUCGUUUGGAAGUGUAUCCAACGACCUUCCUGUUACAUCAAAACUCAAUCUCAUGGGGAGUUAAUUGAAUCGAGCCAGAAGGGCUUCGUCAAGAAAAUUGACAAUCCAUGGGUGCCUGUUCCUAGGGAAUCUAUGGGUAUUGGAGACUCUGUAUUUUCGGUAUACUCGAGUAUAUUACCAUUCCUGUUUCUGUUUGGCGUUUGGGCCCGGUAAGGAGUAUGUUUGGUGAACGGGAUUUUGGUAUUAAAGUGAUAUUCUACUGGAUUGGUUCCUUUAUUUGAACGUUGACGGAGGGUCAACAAGGCUGGAUCAUGUAUUGCAACGGGGAUUUGGCUUUUGAGAACCACCUGUAUCCUUUACAUUGUGGUGUUCAUUCAUUUCUCGUAUUUGAUGUGAAUAUGUGCCUUAAAAGUGAUUUUUCAUGAGUUCUACUAUUUCUACUGUUUAUACUUUUGGUACCUCAUUGAGCUUUUAGCUCACCCCGUUCCGUUAUCCUUGUUUUCCUUACAAGGAACCAUCUUUUGGAACUUCGAUGUUUUGAAGAAUCAGUGGAACUAGUUAGAAAUUCUUUUGUUCUUUUGGUAUAGCUCCUCGACAAUUUGAAAACCCUAAAUGUAUCUUAAUACAAUGUUCCUUUUGGUUUGUAACCUUACUAAUAUGCAUAUAUUAAAGUGUUUCCUUGGAUAUGUGGCAUAUGUAUUUGGGAAUGUACAUUCUCUCAUGUUAAACAAAGUUUACUUGAACCGGGUUGGAUUAUGACGUGACAGCGGCACUUCCAUUACGUUUUCAUUUUUCGUGGGAACGUUGUACCAAAGAUUUAUUGUAUCUUUUAGUUCGACUCAAUUGGGAUGUGAAUGUCUAUCUUCUCGAAGUUCUUUUGAGCGUUGGGUAAGGUUUACGUUUGUUUCGGAUCCGUAGUUCCGGCGAGAGUUGAGCUGGCGGUCCGCCAAACCCUUUGGUUCACCUUAGGGUGAGGUGGGGCUGUCACAGGUGGUAUCAGAGCCGCUUCACGUGGUCUCUGCGUGGAGUGAGUUUGGGCCAAAUGGUGUUAUGAUCCUGCUUUCAUGAAUGUGUCUAAGUGCUCGUAUGAGCAUAAGUUAUGAAGCGAGCAUGUUAUAUGUGUAAAAAUCUUUAUCAUGGAACUUGAGGAAGAUAGAUACGUAUGUCGGGUAUGAAUCUAUAAUAUGGAUGAUUUACUCUUAGGACCGGCCGGCUCAAGUUGUGAAUUAUUUUAUUGUGGAUUCUUGUAUUUGAGUAUCAAGUAGUGGAGAACGCGAGAAUAAGGGUCUGUAUCUUGAUUGAACUUGAGGUAUGUCUGGAUUUCAAAGUCUAAGGUACGGAAGAUUUUACAUUGGACCUAGUAAUUAGAUUGGUUGAGGGGGUUUGAUAUGAAAGUGUUAUCAUGGACUACUCUUGUACUAGUCUGGCUCGGGUUUUCUAGAGGGUGGCUAGAUUGUAAGGGAAUUCGCACCUAAGACUUGUUCCCUUUUGCUAUGACCGUAAGGACUUGAUAAUUGUUUACGUGACUUUGAGUUAGUCUAGUUACAACCACAGAGGUUUUUUCUACCCCUAUUGUGAGAUUCGAUACCCGUAGUUUGGCUCUCGAUAAACUACCCUUGCCUAUACUUUCUUGAUAUUUAUCCCUUGAUGUCAAAGUAUGGACCUGACUUGAUUAUUAUUGUGUCGAGGUCGAGAGUUUGAAAUUAGGUAUGGAAAUAUGAGAGAAAGGAUUUAGCCUCUAUACCUGUAUGCUUCUAAGUUUAAUUUUUUGUGGUUAGAUUGGGAGUGAGGGAACUUAACAGUUAUAUGGUUACAGUCCCAAGUGUACUUGGUUACUUAUUUUGAUUUUCUAAUUUGCUUGGCAGGCUAUCCCUUGAGUUCGAGCGAAUCGGUAAAAUGGCACAUUUGGCUGAUAUGUAUAAGGAGAUAGAGAUUCUUCGAAAGGAAGUAGAGUUCCAAAAGAGAUUAGCUGAGCACUGGGAAGGGCAAUGGAAACAGGGGCUCCGUUUGGAUUGGCUGUUUUUUGGAUUGUUUUUCAAAAACACCACUGUAGCAUUUCGAAUUUGAAAAACAAGUCCGUUUGGAUUAGUUGUUUUUUGGGUUGUUUUUCAAAAACUAUAUGAAAAACUUUCAUUGUAGAUUUUUUUGGAUUUUUUUUAGAGGUAUUUUUGAAACAUAUUUUUGAGUAUAAAUAUACAUUUAUGCAUUUAUGAUACAUUUAUAUUUACAAAUGUAUAAAUGUAUAUUAUUAUAAAUGUAUAAAUUAUAAAUGAAUAUUAUAUAAAUGUAUAAAUUAUAAAUUAUAAUUUUUAUAUUUUUAUAUAAAUAUACAUUUAUGCAUUUAUAAUACAUUUAUAGAUAUUUAUAAAUAAAUAUAUUUAUAUAUUCAUAUAAAAAUAUAUAAAUGUAUUAUAUUAUAUAUAAUACAUAAUAUAAAUAUAUUUAUAAAUGUAUAAGUGUAUAUUAUUAUAAAUGUAUAAAUUAUAAAUGAAUAUUAUAAAUAUAUUAUAAAUUAUAAAUGAAUAUUAUAAAUAUAUUAUAAAUUACAAGUGUAUAUUAAUAUAAAUGUAUAAAUUAUAAAUGUAUAAAUUAAUAUAUUAUAAAUAUAUAUUAAUAUUAUGUAGAAAUGUAUUUAUAUAAAUAAUAUAAAUGUAUAUAUGUAUUAAUAUUAUAUAUAAAUGUAAAAUUAAUAUUAUGUAUAUUAAUAUAAAUGUAUAAAUGUAUUAUAUUAUAUAUAAUAAAUAAUAUAAAUGUAUAUUUAAAUGUAUAAGUGUAUAUUAUUAAAAAUUUAUAAAUUAUAAAUGAAUAUUAUAUAAAUGUAUAAAUUAAUAUAUUAUAAAUAUGUAUUAAUAUUAUGUAGAAAUGUAUUAACAUAAUUUAUAUAAAUGUAUACAUGUAUUAAUAUUAUGUAUAAAUGUAAAAUUAAUAUUAUGUAUAGUAAUAUAAAUGUAUAAAUGUAUUAUAUUAUAUAUAAUACAUAAUAUAAAUGUAUAUUAUAAAUAUACAUAAAUAUUUUUAUAUUAUGUAUAAAUGUACAUUUAUAUAAAUGCAUUAAUAUAAUAUAUAUUAUAUUAUAUAUAAUUUAUAUAACAUAUAAUAUUUAUGUAAAUAUAUUAUAAAUAUAUAAAAAUAUAUUUUAAAUAAAAUAAAAUAUUUAUAAUAUGUAUGUAUAAAUAUAUAAUAUUAGAAAUGUAUAAUAUAUAUGAUAUACAUUAAUAUUAAUAUAAUUUAUAUAUAAUAUACAUAAUUGAAAUAUACAUAUUAAUAUAUAUUAUAAAACAAAAUUGCAUAAAUAUAUUUAUAAAUUUAUAUAUAAAUAAAUGUAUUUAUAUAAAUAUAUAAUAUUUAUUUCAAUUGAUAUAAUAUAUAUAAUAUUAUACAUAAUUAAAAUAAAUAUAUUUAUAUUAAUAUAAUAUAUAUAUAAUAUACAUAAUUGAAAUAUAAAUAUUAAAAUACAUAAUUGAAAUAUACAUAUUAAAAUAUAUAAUUAAAAUAUACAUAUUAAAAUAUACAAAUUGAAAUAUGCUUAUUAAAAUAUACAAUUUAAAUAUACAUAAUUGAAAUAUAUUUGGAGUUAUUUUUGAUAUAUUGUUUGGAUAUGGUGUUUUUGAAAUUGUUUUUGAAAUACACAUUUACUGUAGCAUUUGGAAUGUGAAAAACAGUUUUUCAAAAACAAGUGCAAAAAUACUCAAUCCAAACGGACGCUAGGAGUAUUCGGAAAAAAUUGAGUUACUGUACAAGAACAUAGAGCUGAAAAAGAAAUACGAAGGAAUUCUGGAAGAGAUACGAAGUAAGUUUGGGCUAGUGCCUUCAUCUAGUCAAAUGGCCUCUCAGGACAUUCCUAAUAAUAAAGAUGAAGGAGAUAAAGGAAGUGCUCACAAUAACAAAGGGAAACGCAAAGAGAUGGAUGGAAAAGGAGUUGCUAUGAAGGAUAAGGGGAGGAAGAGGAAAAAGAAUGGACACUUUAAGAAGAAAUGUGUGGCUGCUAAGUGUGAAACGUAUAACAAAAGUCAUACAUGAAUAUGUUAUGUGAAAAUUGGUGCAUGCUUUAGAUGCGGCCAACUGGGACACCAAAUGAGGAACUACCCAGAACAAAUGAAUUUUGGGAUGGCGAAUCUGCUGUAAUAGUUAAAAUCGGCAAGUAGUGAUGUGUUAGCUGAAAUAAUUGUAUUUAUGGACCUAUGUAUAUGCAACCUCUAUAUAGUGAGUAUGUUUUGGAUAAAAGUAGUAGAUCUAGUACUUGAUAUUUUGAUGACUAAUAUUAAAUAUUGGUGAUUUGACAGUAUUGAAUCCUGAUUCAUAAAUCUUUUAUUAUCUUUUAGUCUCGAUGUUAAGUGAAAUUUGCGUCUGUGGUUCGGAAGGGGGAAACUUUUGAUGUCUUCACUGAUUUUCUUAGCAUGGCGUUUUAGUCAUAGUAUUAUUGCGAUUUCUCUCUAGAUAGAUUGUGAUACGAGAAGAAUUUCGAGGACGAAAUUCUUUUAAGGGGGAGAGGGUGUGAGGACCCGUAAAUUUUUCUUAUUUAUUUUAUUUUCCGGCGUGCAUUUUUCUUACUUUAUUUUAUUAUCAUAAUUUUCCAGAGAUUUUUAUAAGUGAGUAUAGUUUUUAAAUCAUUUUUCUAGUAUAAGUUAAUUCAUGAGAAAUUAGGAGUGUAUAUUGGACGUGGGACUCGCUAGUGCGCUAAGUGCGAUAAAUUUUUGACAAUUAAUUGAAGUUUGGUAUUGAUGUGUAUUAUUUUACAAGGUAUUAGGAGACAAUUAGAGAUUAACUAGAUAGUUUAACCAUUGGAAGAUAAGAGAAUUAGAUCAAACCCUUAAAGUGCCAUGUGUCACGUUCCUAUUCAAAGUUGGACUUGCCUAACUUUCUUACUUUUACUAAAACAUCAAUUUUGAUCAAGCUUUCUCCAUUUUAUUUCCUCCCUUGGCCGAACCUUUGAGAGAAGAAAGGAAAGAAGACUUUAUCUUGUAACUUCAAAUUCUUGUCCCAAUAUUGAGCUUCAACCGAUUAAUUUGUAAAUUCCUCCAUAAAAGUGACUUGCUAAGGAAGUUUGAAGGUAUUGGCAAGUUGUUUUGGAGGAGGAAACCCUAAGCUACUACCUUUCUUGAGGUGUCAAGGUAUUUUGCUUGAAAACUCACUCUUUGUUCCUAAUAAUGGUAAAUUAGUGACUUGUGGUGGCUAAAUAGGUUGUUUUAUGGAAGAUUUUAUGGAUUAAAGUGAAGUUAGAUAAAUUUCUGAUUUUUUUGGAGAUUUUAUGUUUUCAUAUGAUGGGUAUGAUUGGCCUUGUAUUGAUAGCUCUAAAUUGUGUUAAAUGGAACUUUUGUGCGUUAAUUGCGGUUAGUUGCGGAAAAUUUCAAUUUUGUGUGGAAAUUUCAGGUUUAAGGUUUCAAAUCUGCCCUGUUUUUCACUGCAUGUUUAUCCUUGAAGGAGGCCGAAUCAGCCCUUGCCAAAAACAUAAAAGUUGUUGGUAAUUGAGUCAGCUAGCUACCUAUAAAAUUUGAGCUCAAUCGGAGCAUUGUAGCAUAUGAAAUAACAAAAAUACCCUUGACUGCCCAUAAGUCUUGUUUCAUAGACAGUUUUCUAUCCUCACUAAAAUUUCGAUUUUUGGCCAUGAAAAUGCAUGAUUUGGUUUUGGAGGUCUUCAUAAGAAAUGUAGGUAUAUGUCUUGGUUUCGAAACGCCAUAAGAUUCGUUUCAAUCCGAUAUGUGUAACUUCAGUUAUGGUUAUUGUGCCGAAAAGUGUGUUUUAUAGUCUAUGAUUUGUAUAUGGUUCAUUUGAGAUGAAUUGGUGUUGAUUGUAAGAUGGAAAAGUAAGGAAAUGUAGGGGACAUGCUGUCCAAAUUUUGGGAAUGUGGGAUUUCUUCGAGUUUGGUUUGGUUUGGGAUAUAUAUAAGAAAGGCUUUUGGGGUUGUUCGAGCCCUAGGUCUUCAUGUUACCGCCCUAGAUCUUCAUGUUACCUUUUCGUUUCCAAAAUCAUGUUUUGCACCCUUUCAUUAGUAAUUAUUUGGCGAGGCAUACGACUAGUAGUCGAAUCUUACUUAGACAUUCCGUUUACUCGAUUUUGGAUGUGGAACCUUUAAUUGUUUUACUUUGGUUAUUUUAGAGUUUCUUGGCGAUUAAAACCACUCUGGCGUGAAAACUUUUGAAGUAUAUGUACUUGAAUCAGUGAGUGUACCACUCCCUUGAAUUAUUGCUAAAAUGGUUAUCUGUACUUGCAAAUUGCUAUUUAAACGUCUUUAUCGACUGUUUAUUUUGUACGAGAUGAGUGUGUACUUUAUCACACUCGUUCUCUGGCCUGUGUGGCUUGUUUCCUGUAUAUACUGGAAUAUGUUACCUGCGCCUGUUAUAAUGUAGUUUGGAAGUGUAUCCAACGACCUUCCUAUUACAUCUGAGUUCAAUCUCAUGGGGAGUUAAUUGAAUCGAGCCAGAAGGGCUUGGUCGAGAAAAUUGACAAUCCAUGUGUACCUGUUCCUAGGAAAUCUAUGGGUAUUGGAGAUUCUAAAUUUUCGGUAUACUCGAGUAUUACCAUUCCUGUUCCUGUUUGGCGUACUGGCGCAGUAAGAGGUAUGUUUGGUGAUCGAGAUUUUGGCAUUAAAGUGGUGUUCUAUUGGACUGGUUCCUUUAUUUGAACGUUGACGGAGGGUCAACGAGGUUGGAUCAAGUAUUGCAACGGAGAUUUGGCUCCUGAGAACUACCUGUAUCCUUUACAUUGUGGUGUUCAUUCAUUUCUCAUAUUUGAUGUGAAUAUGUGCCUUAAAAGUGAUUUCUCAUGAGUUCUACUAUUUCUACUGUUUAUACUUUUGAUACCUCAUUGAGUUUUUAGCUCACCCCGUCCCGUUAUUCUUGUUUUCCUUACAGGGAACCAUCUUUUGGAACUUCGAUAUUUUGAAAAAUGAGUGGAGCUAGUUAGAAAUUCUUUUGUUCUUUUGGUAUAACUCCUCGACAAUUUGAAAACCCUAAAUGUAUCUUAAUACAAUGUUUCUUUUGGUUUGUAACCUUACUAAUAUGUAUAUAUUAAAGUGUUUCCUUGGUUAUGUGGCAUAUGUAUUUGGGAAUGUACAUUUUCUCAUGUUAAACAAAGUUUACUUGAACCGGGUUGGAUUAUGACGUGACAGCGGCACUUCCAUUACGUUUUCAUUUUUUGUGAGAACGUUGUACCAAAGAUUUAUUGUAUCUUUUAGUUCGACUCAAUUGGGAUUUGAAUAUCUAUCUUCUCGAAGUUCUUUUGAGCGUUGGGUAAGGUUUACGUUUGGUUCGGAUCCGUAGUUCCGGCAAGAGUUGGGCAGGCGAUCCGCCGAACCCUUUAGUUCGACUUAGAGUGAGGUGGGACUGUCACAGAGAAUCACGGCCAUUAGAUUCGCAUUCUUGAACUCCGACAACUGGUUGCUGAACCCACUAUGAGGUGCGUACCAGAGGAACUUUUCUCCCCUAAAUUCUUCUGAACUUGUGCAUUGUGGAGGAACUGGGACUUGUUCGGAAUUACCUGAAAUUGAAAGCACGGAUGGGGGAAGAAGGCGCUUGUACGUAAUGAAAAGAAGAAGAGAGCAACAAAGAAGGACAAAAAGUGCGAAGGAUUUUGAUUUGGGAUGCUGAUUUUGAUUCUCUCUUUUUGCUUCUGAUGGGAUUCAGCGGUUCCAUAUUUCGUCUUAGGAAGAAUCAAAAGGUUUUGGAUUGGUCGUUAGUUAGCUGUUCAUAAAUUCACAUAAGUCGCAAUGAAGUAGUACGACAUUGGAUCAAGAAAAUUGGAUCAGAAAAGAACUGUCAAGUUCUAAAAUUAUACUAUAAUUUUGGUUCCAUUGUCCUUUUUAAGGUACUACCUUCUUUGUUCUGAUGUUUUUUCCCAUUUUUUCUAUUUCCCUUGUUCGAGCUUUGUGGAUUAGCCCAUAUUUUAAAAGCGACAAGUCAAGAUUGAAUCCAUGUUGCGAGCUGCUGAGUUGCGGCACAUUAAAUUGAACACGGUUGCAUAUAAUUCUGCGAUUGGAAGUUACAUGAAUUUUGGGGACUUUGAAAAAGCAAUAAUGGUGUAUGGGUCGAUGAGGAAACACAAUGUUAAACCCGAUUCUGUCACUUACAAUGUGUUGAUAAGUGGUUGCUGUAAGAUGUCAAAGUUCUCUAAUGCACUUGAAUUUCUCAAUGAAAUGUUGGACCUCAAAGUUCCAUUAUCACAAGAGGUGUAUUCAUCUGCUAUAUGUGCCUAUAGUAAACAGGCAAGGACUAUCGAUUUGUGACUACUGUCCCUGUAAUUAGAUUCUUCCAUACUUAAAUCUCUCUCUCUCUCUCAGGGUCAACUUGCUGGAGCAGAAUCAAUGUUUUCCAUGAUGAAGAUGGCUGGUUUUCAUCCUGAUGUUGUCACAUAUACUGCUAUGCUACAUGCAUAUAGUGUUGCUGGUAAAAUCCUAUGUCGGACUAUUUCAUAUAUGCUGGCUUAAAAUUACUGAUAUUAAGAAGCUCAAACUGAAUGUCUUGUGGAAAUUCCGUAUGCAGAUGACUGGGAGAAAGCUUUUGCAAUAUUUCAAGAAAUGGAAUUGCCUGGUGUCCAGCAAUUCAAGGAGUGGUUUUGUAAAUGAAGCAAAGCUCCUCCCGGAACUGAGCCCAAUAAAAUUCUUUCCUUUGUUGGAAUGCAUAUGGAUGUUGUUACUGCCAACCCUUCUGACUGGGUAACAGAUUUUGAACUUUUAGCAUUUUUGAGUAAUUUAUUUGUAAUCUGAUUAUACAUUUUGGCAUUUUUAUUACAUUCUGAUGAUUGGUUUUGUCUUGUGUUUGACUGGAACUGAUCGUAAAUUUGUUUUGUGUUGUGAGUUUGCCAGAAUGAGGACAAAAGAAAAUGGUAUAUGUUAAUUGGGUUUUCUUACUUUAAGUUUGCAACUCUCUCUCUAUUCUGAAAAAAAGAUUGUUUUAAUUGAUGAUGAAAGGGGUUUCUUUGAUUGGAAGUUUAAAUUUGAUAGUGCAAGGUUUAAAGUUGGAGACUUUUUGUGUUUUUAUACACUGGCAAUAUUUUUCUGAAUCGUUUCAUUGUUAUUAUGGUUAGAUCUCGCUGUUGCAUGUACAAUGCUACAAACAUAUCCAUUUUCCCCAGGAAUUUGAACCUCGUAUGGAAAUUGUAGUUAUGCAAUGACAAGCCGUGGAACUUAGUUAAUUUUUCGUAGAUAUUGAAUGCAUGCAAGUUUUAUUUUACGGUAGCUGCUGAUUUGUAGUCUAAGGAUGUUCACUAUAAGAAAAUUAAAUCUUGAGUGCUAAAUUGGUACCUUAAUGAAAAUUUUUGGCUCUCUAUAUUGUUUUAUGAGGCCCGUGCUAUGAUUUGGGGGAAUGAGUUCAUUAGCCUUACUAACUAAUGGGUAUCUCAUUCUGUUGUUGCAAAUAUUGUAUUCCAUCGAAACAAAAUUACGUCAGCUCGUAACUUAUAUUUAAAGCUAUUUAAAGCUAUUUAACCAGCUAUUUCUUAAUUCGAGGGCAUGAUUAUGGAAUUUAGCUAGAACCUGUCAUUGUAAUUAUCUUUUUCCAAGGUUUCAAGGAAGUAAAUAGAGGGGUUGGAAACAAACUAAGUUUGAGUUCUGCUCUUUGACCUGGGUAUAAAUUUUUGUCUCCUCAGUAUUCGAGUGUUUUGUAUUUAGAGUCUAAGACAAUAUCUAUGCCUCAGAAUUUUGAUCCUUUUUCGCUGAGCAUUGAUGGGGAUAAACUACGGGGACGCGGAACUACUGAUUGCCUUGGGCAUGUCGCUCUUGUAGCUGAACUUAUGACGAAACUGGGAGAGACAAAGCCACAGCUGAAGUCCUCUGUUGUUGCUGUUUUUAUAGCCAGUGAAGAGAAUUCAUCUAUUCCUGGGGUUGGUGUGGAUGCAUUGGUUAAGGAUGGAUUGCUCGAUAAGUUGAAACAGGGGCCUUUGUAAGGACAUAAAAGUAGUAUUUAAGUAUGAGAAUCUUUUAUUGGUUAAUUGGUUAUGUUGAAAUUGUUUGGCAUUUGGUUAAUGGUUUAUGUGUUUGAAAACAGAUUUUGGAUAGAUACAGCGGAUAAACAGCCUUGCAUUGGGACAGGUGGCAUGAUACCAUGGAAACUCCAUGUUACCGGAAAGCUUUUCCACAGUGGUUUGCCCCAUAAGCUGCUUUUUGGCUUUCUGUUGUCUCAUAUCAGCUGCACUAAUUCUUUGUGUAAAACUCACAUAUGCAGGAAAGAGAUACUGUCACUUUCUUAGUUGUGUCACCAUGCAGGCAGUUCAUAUUAUGACAAAGAUCAAGUAAUUAAAGUAACCAUUUUUCUGGAAUGAUGAAACUAAACUAAAAGAGAGGCAUCAAAAAAAAAUUUUAACUUUGCAAGCACAAAAAAUACAUUUAAUAUUAUUUCCUCUUGAAUUAAAUUAUUUAUGCAGAAACAACUGCAUUUGAAGUAUUCUUAGUUCACGGAUAAAUCCUUGUUAGUGAUCACAGUGCACCAAAAAUAAAUGGGAUAGGGUUGGCUGUAGAUGAAUUAAUGUUACGAUAAUUUAGCUGGACAAUAACUUGGAGGGAUUGAAGAGGAAUACUGCUGCAAGUUCAUGCACAUUAAGAAUGCUCCAUUACUGGGAGGAACCUGUGAAUGUGUUCCAUUUAGUAGUUUUCUUUUUCUGUAGGCUAUUAAUCCCUUGGAGCUAGCAAUGGAAGCACUCAAAGAGAUCCAAUUACGGUUCUAUAAAGAUUUCCCUCCUCAUCCUAAGGAACAAGUUUAUGGAUUUGCAACACCAUCAACAAUGAAACCAACUCAAUGGUCUUGUAAGUCUUGAUCACAUUGUGGAAGAACUCGGACAAGUGUGAUAUUUGACUUGCCAUAAGCGGCCAAUCCAAUUCCAUUUUUCUGAAUAACCAUUUUAUAUUGCAGAUCCAGGAGGUGGAAUUAACCAAAUUCCAGCUGAAUGUACAGUUUCAGGGGAUGUUAGGUACAUAUUUCUUUAUAUAUUCUUGUUUAGGAUCUUGAACUUUUAAACCCUUCUAACAAUGCCUCUUUACUUUUGCAGGUUGACUCCAUUUUACAGGUGGAAAAUUUUUCCUUUUUUCUCCUUAGUAAAUUGUGGAUGAUUUAAUUUAUCAGAUUAUGAUAUUUCACAAUUAAUUCCUUUGCCCUCUUCAUUUUUAUGCUUUAGGCUUAAACUAAUUAUCUUCCUGUACUUAAGUCUGCUGUAGCUUUACCAGUUGAGUUUAGAAGGAUAUUCAGGUAAAAAUUCAAAAGUUUGACAGUAUAUAUUAUUCACUCCUCAACAGUGUAUCAGAUGUGCUGAAGAAGUUACAGGAGUAUGUAGAAGACAUAAAUGAAAAUAUUGAGAAGCUUGAUACUAGGGGCCCUGUUUCAAAAUAUGUGCUACCAGAUGAAAACCUAAGGGGAAGGUAUGCCUUUGUCGACUGCUUUGUUUAGUAGGAGCAUGCUGAGUGGUUGUUGCUUUCACUUUAAAUUUGGUAGGAAUGAAAAAGGGGAUUGUAGUUUAUCAAAUUGAAAAUCAUUUAUCCACUAAUUCAAGAAAAUUUUAAUAUACAGAGAAGAAGUAUGCAUAAGGUAAUUACACAUCCUAAGAUUAUAAACACUGCAAGAAACCAUUAUUAGGCCCAACAGUCAACAAUGUAAUGCGAAAGUUUUUUGUAAACUGACAGAAAAGUUAAAACUGUCCCUGGAUACAAUCUAUGAAUAUGGGAUAAAUUCUACAUUUUAGAUCUUGAACUAAGACUUCUCUGUUGCAAAUGGUUUUUCAACUCAAAGCCACAUGCUUCAUCUGGGACUAGGAGGGAUCACAGAACCAAAGCUCCCUUGUUUUCUACAGUUUCUAAUUCAUAUCUUUCCACUUUCCCAGAAGUUUAAUUGAGUAUGCUCUUUCAAAGUUCAAAUAAACAGAAAAGAAAGUCCCACAUCUUUCUUGCAAACUGGAAAGCAUUUCAUCGAAGGAUAUUUAGGUUUGGGCUUCCUGUCAUAGACAUGCUUCAUCACGUUGGGGGUUUUCUUUUAUCUUUUUCCUUGGGAGUUGGAAUGGGCAGCACUGAUGGCAAACAACAUAAGGGAAAAAAAUGCCCAUGUCAUGAGAACUUUUGUUUCCACAUAGGGGAUGGAACAGCUUUCCACUAAUAAAGACAUUCCUUGAUCAAGUAUUUAUGUUGUGAAUUGCAUUGCACCCUGAGAUUAUAAUUUCAAACAUGGAAGUAGGGUGAUGGUCUUAUGGAAUCAGUUUUCUUUGCAUAUCAGUACAGUACUCAUUGUGUAACAUUCAGUUUUACAAUUUAUUUACCCUCAGAAUCACACUAAGUUUCAACGAGGCAAAUUCUGGAGUUGCUUGCAAUCUUGAAUCCCCUGGUUUCCAUGUCCUAUGUAAAGCGACUGAACAGGCAGUGGGGCAUGUAAAGCCCUAUUCUAUUACUGGUAGUUUGCCACUUAUUAGAGAAUUGCAGGUACAAUGAAUUUGCUUGUCAUAAGACUCAAAUCUUUUGGCAUCCUUCUAACUUUGUUAUUUGGCAGGAUGAGGGCUUUGAUGUCCAAACUGCAGGCUAUGGUAAGAUUCUUCCAUAUCCUACCACUUUUUUAUUUAAAUAAUAUAAGCUUAUAGCUGUAUGCUUCUGGUAGUAUUUUGUGAAAAAGAUGUUUUAGUCUGCACUAGGAUUUUUCCUAGAGCUUGGUUGCUUGAAUCCUUUCUUGAGCAUGUUACUUGCCAGUUAUACCAUUCCUCUUAUCUUAGAAGGAACUCGAUGAAAGCAUGUUAAGAUUCUGUCUUCUUGAUAAUUAUUUCUUCUAUAUGGCUAACACCUAACCUGGUUGACAUCUUCUACACCCAUUCUGAUGCAAAAGAUAUAUAUGCUGCUGUCAAUUUUGGCUACACCAAAACAGAUGGAUUAAUGGAUUUUGCUCUUUUCAUAAACAUGCAGGCUUGAUGGCUACAUACCAUGCCAAGAAUGAGUACUGCCUUCUAACUGACAUGUGCCAGGGCUAUCAUGUGCCUUGUGCCCAUGUCAUGCUAAUAAUAACGAAUAAAAUUCAUGACUUUUCAUUAUUGAUGUGAAUGUCAGAUGAUGGAAUAGUGGUAAAGGUGAGGUUAUUUUCUUUUAAUGCGUAGGAAGUUCCACGAAUGGUUGGUGGCUUGUUAAGACUAUAUUUUCUUGCAUGUGGGAUAUUCUUUUGUAUAUUUUCUAGCAUGUAGGAUAUUCUUUUGUGACUUGUGAGAAAGUCGUGGUAAUUGUUAUGUUUCAUAUGAAUAGUUUCCAUAUUUUAGUUAUUCCUAUCUGACACAUAUGGCUCACUCAUUGCCAAGUCUUGGAAAUUUUUUGCACGGGAGCACCAUUGAUGGUAAUAAAUGGAAAAAAAAAUGACAAUAAUAGGUGCAGAAAUGGUAUAAUGGUAAGGUUUCUUACACAAAUUGAAAAAACAAUGAAAGAAAAGGAUAGGGAUGAAAGAAUAUAAAGGACUUUAUGAACUUUGUGUUUCUAUAGCCAUUUGAUAUUCACACACAGAUUAUUGCUUCAUUUUGAAACAGGUUGCAAAGGAGGGAAUUCCACUGCCUCCAGAUAGAAUGUUAUGCCCUUUGUGUUCACAAAAGCAUGUAAAUCCAUCAGCUGUAGCUGUUUCAGGAUUUGUCUUUUGUUAUUCUUGCAUAUUUAAAUAAGUCUCUUAGGUUUGUUUCUCCAUACUUUUGUAUUGAUCAUGGUAAAAUUGCAGAACUACUGCCAAAUAUUGUUUCUAAGUGAUGCUUUCUCUUAUGUCGCAUUUCAGGAAGCUUUAUCAUUUUUCUGUAUAGUGUACGCUAAACUUAAACAGUAAAUUGUACACUGUAGCCAGAAAUUCAAUUUUGCAACUAAUUCUUUUGUUUAAUCAUACUAGCAGUUGCUUGUUACCCGAGUUCAGUUACAUGAGAUUUGCCAUUUUCAGUUACAAUUCGAUAUUGUUUUGAGUUGUUGAUGGGCUGGGAUGCUAGGCUAUCUAGAUCCAUGUCUGUCUUUGUUGUUGUAAACUACUGCAGUAUCUCUGAUGAAAAAUUAUCUGAGUGUUCUCUCUUUUGGUAAAAAUUUCUGUAGUAGGAUAUUUUGUCGUAUAUCAUUUACUUUUAAGUUCCAAUUCUUUUAUGAACAGGACUGUUAGGUCCUUUUCCUUUUCUUCCUUUUUUGGUCGAAUUAAUGAAUGGAAGAUUGUAAUCGCAUGAAUAUUGUACAUUGUGAUAUCUACUCAAGUUAAUGCAUUCUAAGGGCAUUUGCCAAUCUUUGGGCUGACCAUCCUUUGCUGUUGUUGUAUUCAAUCAAAAAGGCAUCGAAAAAAUGUAUCCAUGGCAUUUUAAUUUUCAUCUUCAGCUCAAUUAGGCCAUUAUUAAUCUGGUACAUUUCAGUAAUUGACAGGUGUCGAGCCUGUGCAAUAAUAAAUACCUACUCGAGAAAAAUGAAUUUUCUGUGUAUAGUAGUGAGUAGGGUCGAAUCCACAGGGAUUGGAAAAAAUUCGAUUCUUUUCACGUUCGGGACACGGGGGAUUUUUAUCAAAUAAAACUAAAAAUAAAUAAUUAAACAAUUUAACUAAAAAUAAUUAAACAAUUUAACCAAAGAUAAAUAAUUAAUUAAUACAAUUGUAAAUAGCAAUUAAAUAAAUGAUAAAUAAAUUCUAGCCAAGGAUACAACUACGCAGACACAGUCCAUUCAUCCGAUCAUUGAUGCAAAGAAGGUUCACUUAAUUUAAUUAAUAGGCUAGUUAUAGUCGCCGAUAAACUCUAACGACCAGUUUUUCCUUAAUUUAUUGAUAACCAAGGUACGACCAUUGAUUACCCCUAACCAGGAAAUACUCCUAGGUACGACCGUAGGAAUUAAUUUCCUAAUUGCAUUAAAAACUAGAAAAGCCUAAUCCAAAUUAAUAACACGCUACGAGGGUUAUUUAAAUCAGAUUGCAUGUUCUCCUAGUAUGUGAAAAUACUAGUUGUCACUAAUAUUAACCAACUAAACAAUUAAGGAUUUAAUUGAUUAAUUUGACAAGAGAUUAAUAAGUCAAAUUGCACAUCGGUCCCUUGAUAUCCAAUUAACAAAAUAAUCCCAUGGAAAUUAAAAUAGAAAACAUGCAAAUAUUAACAAAUUAAGGAACACGUAAAAUUAAUUAGAUCUCACAGAUAUUUGGGACUGCGUCUUCGCGUUGAUCCUUGACUAGAGGAGAAAAUUAGCCACGCCUCAUAAGAAAAUUCCCACGCAAUUUAAUUGAACUCAAAGACAUUUAUCUCUUACUAAUAAUUAAAAAUAAGAAUUGUAUUCUCUGUAGUCUAAUACAAUAAAAAUAGUCUCAUGGAAGAGACGGAAGAAAACAAGACACACGAGAAAUCUUCACCCCCAAAACUAAAAACUUCUCUUCCCAGACAGAAGAGAAGAAGAAAAACUGAUUCUGUAAAAUGUCCGGCCCUCUCUCAUUCUCCUCUGCACUAGUUUUAUAUGAGAACUAGUUACGUAGGAAGCAAAUAGAAAAGCUACUUUCAUCAUCAAAGUCCACCUAUGGCUAAUGAGUACAUCUCCCAAAAGAAGAACACAUUUUCUAAAUCAAUGUUACGUGGUCCCUGCAGAAUUCUCUCCUUUUGACUUCUUAUUGCUAGUGGACUUGUCAGGACUUAAUAAUAGGAAGGCAACUCUUCAUCAGCAAUUCCGUUGGUUUGCACAAUUUGGGCUGAUUGUGGAAAGCUUUUAGAAGCUUUCACGUGUGGAGAGAUCUUCUCAAGAAGGUUCCCUUUUAGCACUUUUCUGCUCCACUUUCUGAAAUUAUAUCCAAAUACCAAAUAUAAAUAUAUAUUGACAAUUAAAGCAAUAUUUGGCAAGGAUAAAGAGGAGAAUUAACAAUAAAAUUACUAACAAUUAACAUCCUAUCAAUUCCCCCCACACUUAAAUCAUGCUUGUCCUCAAGCAUGGGAACAACUAAAUUCAACAAUGGCUAACUCUCAUUUCAUUUACUGCCAAGCUAUGCUUAUCCCAAAAUCAAGUUUUAGUGGCUAAGUGUCAAGACAUAUUUCUCCCGAUUAGCUCCUGAAAUCAUAGACUCGUCCAAUUCAUGGCUAACUCGUCUAAGAAAUUAAAAUAUUAAACUAGCAAAAGUUAGCAAUUGGGUCAACUGAAAAUCAAAAUCUCAACAUUGAAGAACAAGGAUCGGCAGGCCAAUAUGAUCAUAAGUUUACACAUUAUUUUAUUCUCUCUCUCUUUUUUUUUUUUUUAACAAUUAAUUUUUUUUUUUCAAAAAUGCUCAGUCCCAAGCUAUUCAAGUCUUUUGACGUGAACUCUGACAUUUUUAGAUGAAAGAGCCCAGUUACUCAACUUUUCACAGCUUCAGGACUAACUACUCAUAGAUAUCGCCACUUUUUGACGCGAAAGUCGACACUUGUGGUGAAAACUCCCGGUUACUGGGUGACGGCACUAGCGGAGUAGAGUCAUUUAUUAAUCACAAUUAAAGUAUCAGAAUACCAGAUAAUUAAAGAUCAUGGCCCACGUCAUCUCCUAAUAUGGAGAACUAAGAUCAACAAUUACCCAAUCCACAUAACAAUUGCUAAUAAAAUAUUUAAAUUGCCUAAACAAGUUAACCACAAUUUGCACCAAGUCAUUAAACUCAUGAUAUUCACCAAGAUAACAUGCGUUUACUUGCCAUCUAAACAAAAUUCAUAGGAUAAAUCACAACCAGCAAUAAACGAAUGAAUUGCCAUAUUUAUUCAUCAAAACACUAGUAAGAAAGGCAGUAAAUUAAAGAAACACCAAUCAAAACUAAACCCAAAUCCCCCCCCACACUUAAAUCACACAUUGCCCUCAAUGUGAUAAUGAAACAGUAAAAAUAAGAAGAAGGACAACGAAACUCCCCUGAAACUGGUGCCAGCUAUUAGCACCUGUAGUUGGAGGAGGCGGAGCGGAGGUCAAAGGGUCGGGAUCGUGGUUUCACCAUUCUUUCCAAAUUGUACUAAAUAAAUAAAAAUCAAGCAAAGUAAAAAGAAACAGGCAAAAUAACACAGAAGUAUCCAACUAAGGAUGAAUAGAAAUGUCAGGUAGUCCAAACACGCAAAAUUUUCAAAAACGUACUGUAAUAAAAAUAAUAAAAACAUACUGCAAUAAUAAAAUAAAAAAAUAAAAAAAAAUAAUAGAAAGAGAUUGAGGCAGGCGCGUGCAUACGAAGCCAGUGGUGCGAUGAAGGUGGUGGCUGUGAGAGAGAAGAGUUUGCGGCAGCUGGAUCUGGUGGUGCUUAGCGACUGCGGGUGGUGGGCGACGGGUUGGGGUAGCGCGCGCGAGGGAGCGGCGGGCUCCAGGUGGCGCGCGCGAGGGAGCGGCGGUGGCGUCGGUGGAGCAGGAUUUAGGGAGGAGACCUGGGGUGGCGGCGGUGGGCGGCGGUGGGGUGAGGUUCGCAGCCGAAGAAGAAAGAAAAAGAAAGGGACAGCGGAAAGAGAAGAAAGAAAAGAAGAAGAAAGAAAGAAAGAAAAAGAAAAGAGAAAAAGAAAGGAAAAAAAAUAGUUUUUGAUCUUACAGUUUUUUUUUUUUUUUUUUAGUUCGUCAAACAUGGCAUGGGCACGCCAAGAUUAGAAAACAUUCUCUGACCUUGAAGUUGGAACUUGUAAGAUUAAUGCGUGCCCUCUCCGCGCGGGCACGCCAUGAUCACCUGUCCUGAUCAUAGUAGAGAAAAUAUCAAAUUUAAGCAAUACCCAGAUGAGAAACGACAUAUUUAACGAAUUGAACAACAAAAACCAACAAAAUCAAAAAUUGGGUUGCCUCCCAAAAGCGCCUUUCUUUAACGUCUUUGGCUAGACGGUGUCCAGAAUUUGCUUAAACUAAGCAAAUCGGGUCUUCCAGUUGCAUCAUCUCCACCCGUUCAAUUGGAAAUCCUUCAUAAUACGGCUUGAGACGGUGACCAUUCACCACAAAUUUCUUCUCCGUUUUCAAAAUUUGGAUCUCUACUGCACCAUAAUGAAAGACAUUAGUCACAACAAAAGGGCCAAUCCAACGAGAACGUAAUUUACCUGGAAAUAGUUUCAAUUUGGAGUGGUAUAGUAAAACUUUUUGCCCGCAGACGAAUAUCUUCCUAGAGAUCUGUUGGUCAUGAAAGAUCCGAUUCUUCUCUUUAUAGAUCACUGCAUUCUCGUAUGCUUCAUUUCGGAUUUCUUCCAACUCUUGUAAUUGCAACUUCCUUUGAAUUCCGCCCUCCUCGAUAUCCAUAUUGCAUUGCUUGACCGCCCAAAACGCUCUAUGCUCAAACUCUAUCGGGAGAUGACAUGGCUUUCCAAAUACCAAUCGGUAAGGGGACAUGCCAAUAGGUGUCUUGUAUGCCGUCCUAUAUGCCCAUAGUGCAUCCUCUAGUCUCACACUCCAAUCCUUCCUAUCGGGUCGGACCAUCUUUUCUAGAAUUGAUUUGAUCUCUCGGUUCGAUGCUUCCGCCUGACCAUUUGUCUGAGGAUGGUAGGAUGUAGAGACUUUGUGCAAAACACCGUAUCUCCUAAAAAUUGCAGCGAUCGUUUUGUUGCAGAAAUGAGUACCCCGAUCACUUACAAUUGCUCGCGGCAUCCCAAAGCGAACAAAAAUAUUAGACUUAACGAAUUCUGCAACCACUUUGGAAUCAUUAGUACGGGUGGCCUUUGCUUCUACCCACUUCGAAACAUAAUCUACAGCAAGCAAUAUAUACAAAAAACCAAAGGACGAAGGAAAAGGACCCAUAAAAUCAAUGCCCCAAACGUCAAAAAUUUCAACAAAAAUCAUUGGGGUUUGAGUCAUUUGAUCCCUACGAGAGAUAUUACCCACUCUUUGACACUUAUCACAUGACUUACAAAAUGAGUAGGCAUCCUUGAAUAGAGUUGGCCAAUAGAAUCCACUCUCUAGCACCUUACGAGCCGUUCUCUUCGGUCCAAAGUGACCUCCACAUGCAAAAGAGUGACAAUAUGCUAGAAUAGAUUGAAAUUCAACUUCACUUACACAUCUACGGAUGAUUUGAUCGGCACCCCGCUUUCAGAGGUAAGGAUCAUCCCAAAUGUAGAACUUUGCAUCGCUCCUCAACUUGUCUCUCUUUGCCUUAGGCCAUCCUGUAGGAAAUUUGUCAGUGACUAUAAAAUUAACAAUAUCUGCAUACCAAGGCAAGAAUGAAUUAAUAGAAAAUAAAUGCUCCUCGGGAAAUGCUUCUCUCAAUGGGAGGUCCUUUUCGACGACUUGUACUCGACUCAAAUGAUCUGCUACUAGGUUCUCUGCCCCUUUCUUAUCUCGGAUCUCCAGGUUGAACUCUUGUAACAACAAUAUCCACCGUAUCAAUCGCGGUUUUGCCUCUUUCUUGGUCAAUAAAUACCGUAAAGCUGCAUGAUCAGAAAAAAUAAUAACUUUAGCACCAAGUAAAUAAGACCGAAAUUUUUCUAAGGCAAAAACAACUGCUAAAAGCUCCUUUUCGGUGGUUGAAUAGUUCAAUUGAGCUCCGUUCAAGGCUCGAGAUGCGUAGUAGAUAGCAUGAGCUGCCUUUCCUACUCUUUGACCCAAUACCGCACCCACUGCAUGGUCGCUGGCGUCACACAUGAUCUCGAAUGGGAGGUUCCAGUCAGGGGGUUGGAUAAUAGGUGAGGUGGUCAAUAACUCCUUUAACUUAUUGAAUGCCCCCUUACAUGUUUCAUCAAAUUCGAAAGAUACAUCUUUUUGCAAAAGUUGGAACAAGGGUGCUCCAAUUUUCGAGAAGUCCUUGAUGAACCUUCUAUGGAAACCUGCGUGACCCAAGAAGGAACGAACUUCCCGCACACUCGCGGGGUAAGGUAAAGUAGAUAUAACAUCUAUUUUUGCCUUAUCAACCUCAAUACCUGUAGAUGAUACAACAUGACCCAAAAACUAUCCCGUGUUCAACCAUAAAAUGACAUUUUUUCCAAUUAAACACGAGAUUAGUUUCUAUACACCUUACUAAGAUCAAUUUCAGGUUAUCUAGACAGUUUUCAAAACUUUCACCAAAUACACUGAAAUCGUCCAUGAAAACCUCAAUAAUCUUCUCAACAUAUUCUGAAAAGAUACUUACCGUGCAUCUUUGGAAGGUAGCAGGUGCAUUGCACAAUCCAAAUGGCAUCCUUCGGUAUGCAAAUGUUCCAAAUGGGCAGGUGAAAGUAGUCUUCUCUUGGUCUUCGGGUGCGAUGGCAAUUUGAAAAUAACCUGAAAAUCCAUCCAAGAAACAAUAGUAAGCUCGACAUGCUAAUCGCUCCACCAUUUGGUCAAUGAAAGGGAGGGGGAAAUGGUCCUUUUUCGUGACGGCAUUUAGCUUUCGGUAAUCGAUACACUGUCGCCAUCCGGUGGGCUUUCGAAUUGGUACGAGCUCACCCUUUUGGUUUGAUUCCACUGUCACCCCUGCCUUCUUCGGGACCACCUGUACUGGACUUACCCAUGGGCUGUCUGAUAGUGCAAAUAUAAUUCCAACGUCCAGCAGCUUUAAAAUCUCUUUCUUUACGACCUCCAUCAUGAGAGGAUUUAAUCUCCGUUGAGCUUGUCGUAUAGGUUUAGCAUUCUUCUCGAGUCGAAUUCGGUGCAUACACACCGCGGGGCUAAUUCCCUUGAUAUCGGCGAUGGUCCAUCCUAUCGCCUGCUUAUGUUCCCUAAGAACUCGAAGUAGUUUCUCUUCUUGAACCUUUGAUAAACCCGCGGAGAUGAUCACUGGAAGUGUCUCCCCUUCACCUAAGUAUAUAUACUUUAGGUGUUUCGGCAGUGGUUUUAGUUCCAAAACAGGUGCCUGCACCACAGAUGGAAGUAACCUUUUGUGAGGUUCAGGUAUAAAAAUGGGUGCGAGGUCAUACCUUGUCUUCGUGGUUGGUAACGUUUGCAACGAUCCAAUCACGCAUUUAAGCUCUUCACUCAACUCUACUCCAGAUGUCGUUUCGGACUCGAAGUGCUUGGUCAGAACGACCUCUAACUCAUCUCUGCCUUCAAUUUCAAAAACCUCCUGUAUAGCAGGGUCAAUAACAUUUACCGAGAAAACAGAGCCAACAUUUGAAUCGGAUGGAUAUUUCAUGGUCUCAAAGAUGUUAAAGUGAACAAUCUCACCAUCAAAUUCCAUAGACAAAAUACCCUUAUUAACAUCAAUUUUGGUUCGGGCUGUGCUCAAAAAGGGUCUACCUAACAAUAGAGGUGACGGACCACGGGAGUGUUCAUCCUCCAUGUCGAGCACAUAAAAAUCAGCUGGAAAAACCAAUUCAUUAAUUUUUACCAAAACAUCUUCAAUCAACCCGUCAGGGUAUGCAUUGGUCCUGUCAGCUAAUUGGAUUAUUAUCCCAAUUUCUUUCAAAGGGCCUAAGUUCAAAGAAGCAUAAAUAGAUUUCGGCAUGACAUUAAUCGAUGCUCCUAGAUCUAACAUGGCCUUUCCAAUCAAAAUAUUACCUAUCCUACAAGGAAUAGUAAACAUACCUGGAUCUCCGCAUUUCGGUGGAAGCUUUCUUUGUAGAAUUGCUGAAACAUUCUCCCCAACUAUAACUCGUUCAUCUCCCUUCAAUCGCUUGCGGUUGGCACACAGGUCCCUCAAAAAUUUUGCGUACCUGGGUACUUGUUUAAUCGCAUCCAGCAGGGGUAUGUUGAUCUCCACCUUGCGAAAGAUCUCCAAGAUCUCUUUUUCCUUGUCUUGCUUCUUUGGUUUCUCUAACCUGCUAGGAAAGGGAGGUGGAUUAGUUUUAGCUGUAGGAAUUGGGUUCGAGGGUACCUUUGCAUUUUUGUUGUCUCUGCCCUCCUCUUCCAAAUCUUUCUCAAUCCGUUCCUCGUCCUUGUCUUUAGGAAUCACCGGUUCGGGUCCUUGAACUUCCUUGCCACUCCUCAAGGUCAUUGCGCUUACAUUCUUUGGAUUUGCCUCAGGUUGAGAUGGCAACUUUCCUUGAACUUGGGACUCCAAACGAUUGAUUGUUAUAGCCAUUUGAUUCAUUUGAUUUUGCAAUGAUUGCACCUGUCCCAAUUGAUUUCUCAUGCUUUGCAAGUCUGAAUCCGUCUUUUGUUGAUUAGCAAGUAAUUGCUUCAUCAUCUCUUCCAUGGACGGACUUGAAUUUGAAGGGGGUGGUGGUGGUGGGCGAGGAUGGUACUGCUGUUGGUGUCCUUGCUGUCUAUUUGGCACAAAGUUAGACUGCCUAUUUCCUCCAUAGCUAAGGUUGGGGUGAUCCCUCCAACCAGGAUUGUAGGUGUUUGAGUAUGGAUCAUACGGCUUUCUUGGCGUGGGCGCGUGGCCAGCCAUGUUCACCUGUUCUGCAGUUUCUUCUUGAACCAGUGGACACAUUUCCGUAGGAUGACCUACGGCAGUGCACACCCCACACACUUUGGCUUGCGAGGCACUUCCCACAGCUAAUUGUCUGACGAAAGAUGUUAAUUCGGAGAUCUGCUGUUGGAUAGAGGACGUUUCUACCUUAUUCACCCUACGCGUCGGGAUGUCCUCUCUUGAACCAAACUGCUGUGAGUUCUCAGCCAUUCCUUCAAUCAGCUCCCAUGCUCCUCGAGGAGUUUUGUUCACCAACGCCCCUCCACUUGCAGCAUCGAUUAUGCUUCUGUCCCUGAAAAGCAACCCUUCAUAGAAAUAUUGAAUGAGCAGUUGCUCACUUAUCUGAUGCUGAGGGCAUUUGGUGCAUAGUUUCUUAAACCUCUCCCAGUACUCAUAGAGUGACUCGCCUGGGUGUUGUUUGAUGCCACAUAUCUCCUUCCUUAGACUUGCAGCUCGAGAUGCCGGAAAGUAUUUGUCCAGAAAUUUUUUCUUCAAUUGAUCCCACGUGGUGAUACUACCAGGCGGUAGGUAGUAGAGCCAGUCUUUUGCGGAGUCCUUCAAAGAGAAGGGGAAAGCCCUCAUCUUUAUUUGCUCUUCUGUAAUUCCCGGAGGCUUCAUACUGUUGCAAACGACGUCAAACUCUUGCAAGUGCUUGUAGGGCUCCUCACCUGGUAGACCAUGGAAAGAUGGCAAGAGAUGAAUUAAACCAGAUUUUAGUUCAAAGGGAGUGUCAUCAUUUAAAUUUGGAAAAGUAAUGCACAAGGGCUGCUGAUUUAAAUCAGGAGCAGCCAACUCCCUUAAUGUUCGUGUAUUUGCCAUAGUGACUUCCUCUUGGUCUGAAUCACUCGAAUUGUCACCAGACAAAUUUAUCGGCUCAACCUCUGGAUCUAGUCCCUGAGGUGCAAUACCGUAUUGCUCUUCUCUGAGCCGCCUGGUUUCUUUCCUCGUUCUACGCGCGGUCUUCUCUACUUCAGGGUCGAAAACUAAUUCGCCUGUACGAGAAGAGCGAGGCAUAAACUAGAAAAAAAUACCAGAAAAUUAGAACAAAAAUGAACUUAAAAAGAAACAAAUAAUUAACGCCAAUCCCCGACAACGGCGCCAAAAAUUGACAGGUGUCGAGCCUGUGCAAUAAUAAAUAUCUACUCGAGAAAAAUGAAUUUUCUGUGUAUAGUAGUGAGUAGGGUCGAAUCCACAGGGAUUGGAAAAAAUUCGAUUCUUUUCAAGUUCGGGACACGGGGGAUUUUUAUCAGAUAAAACUAAAAAUAAAUAAUUAAACAAUUUAACUAAAAAUAAUUAAACAAUUUAACCAAAGAUAAAUAAUUAAUUAAUACAAUUGUAAAUAGCAAUUAAAUAAAUGAUAAAUAAAUUCUAGCCAAGGAUACAACUACGCAGACACAGUCCAUUCAUCCGAUCAUUGAUGCAAAGAAGGUUCACUUAAUUUAAUUAAUAGGCUAGUUAUAGUCGCCGAUAAACUCUAACGACCAGUUUUUCCUUAAUUUAUUGAUAACCAAGGUACGACCAUUGAUUACCCCUAACCAGGAAAUACUCCUAGGUACGACCGUAGGAAUUAAUUUCCUAAUUGCAUUAAAAACUAGAAAAGCCUAAUCCAAAUUAAUAACACGCUACGAGGGUUAUUUAAAUCAGAUUGCAUGUUCUCCUAGUAUGUGAAAAUACUAGUUGUCACUAAUAUUAACCAACUAAACAAUUAAGGAUUUAAUUGAUUAAUUUGACAAGAGAUUAAUAAGUCAAAUUGCACAUCGGUCCCUUGAUAUCCAAUUAACAAAAUAAUCCCAUGGAAAUUAAAAUAGAAAACAUGCAAAUAUUAACAAAUUAAGGAACACGUAAAAUUAAUUAGAUCUCACAGAUAUUUGGGACUGCGUCUUCGCGUUGAUCCUUGACUAGAGGAGAAAAUUAGCCACGCCUCAUAAGAAAAUUCCCACGCAAUUUAAUUGAACUCAAAGACAUUUAUCUCUUACUAAUAAUUAAAAAUAAGAAUUGUAUUCUCUGUAGUCUAAUACAAUAAAAAUAGUCUCAUGGAAGAGACGGAAGAAAACAAGACACACGAGAAAUCUUCACCCCCAAAACUAAAAACUUCUCUUCCCAGACAGAAGAGAAGAAGAAAAACUGAUUCUGUAAAAUGUCCGGCCCUCUCUCAUUCUCCUCUGCACUAGUUUUAUAUGAGAACUAGUUACGUAGGAAGCAAAUAGAAAAGCUACUUUCAUCAUCAAAGUCCACCUAUGGCUAAUGAGUACAUCUCCCAAAAGAAGAACACAUUUUCUAAAUCAAUGUUACGUGGUCCCUGCAGAAUUCUCUCCUUUUGACUUCUUAUUGCUAGUGGACUUGUCAGGACUUAAUAAUAGGAAGGCAACUCUUCAUCAGCAAUUCCGUUGGUUUGCACAAUUUGGGCUGAUUGUGGAAAGCUUUUAGAAGCUUUCACGUGUGGAGAGAUCUUCUCAAGAAGGUUCCCUUUUAGCACUUUUCUGCUCCACUUUCUGAAAUUAUAUCCAAAUACCAAAUAUAAAUAUAUAUUGACAAUUAAAGCAAUAUUUGGCAAGGAUAAAGAGGAGAAUUAACAAUAAAAUUACUAACAAUUAACAUCCUAUCAGUAAUGUAUCAGUAAACUGGCAUUUUACUGUAUCAGUAAUCUUCCAUGUUUUAAUGCUUCUUUUGAAAUGCAAUGUAAGGUUAUUCCCUGUUUUCUCCAGUAUUAUCUUCUUGAAGAAUUUAUCGGUCUUUGCUACAACUAUUUCUGCAGCAAUGGAUAAGUUUUAGUUGCUUUCAAUUACUUUGUGAAAUUACGUCAGAAGCCACGGGUGAUGAAUCCAAAAAGAUAUAGCAUCAACUUACAAGGUUUCAACCUGCAAGUUAUUAGGUUUUCUGAAAAUAUAGAGAAUACCUCGCUUUUAUAGUUUGUGAUUUUACUAUCCAGUGCAGCAGCCAGGUACAUUAUCAUCAUCGUUGCCAAAUUCAUGUAAUGCAAUGGAUUUGAAGUCUUUGCAUUGUCUUGAAGUUUAAUGGACUUUUGGAUUAUCAACCUUAAUCUAUAUAGCUCAGUGAUAUUUUUCCCUCUGUCAACUGCCAUGCAUAUUCAUACUGAUAUACAAAAAAAAAAAAAAAAAAAGAGGAUUUGCAUGCAAUGUUGCAUAAAAGAAGAAUGCACCAAAAUUCAAUCACUCCCUUAAUCCACAUAUUUGACAAGGCAUAUUACCUUUAGUCACCUACGUGCAUCGCGCGUUUUAUACCUCCUAGUCUUCUCUUAAGAUGUGAAACCCAAGAUUCUGAUAUAAGAUUGGGCAUCAUAAAGAAAAUGACCACCAUCUUCAUCUCUCUAUCUCACAGUUUCACAUGCACACUGCAAGCUGCCCAACCUUGAAAAUCUUGAUUUUAUAUGAGACAGACUGUGAUUCUCAAGAUUCAAAGAUACCUGCUCAAGAUGCAACUUUGGCAACCAAAAGGGAAUUCAGAUCUGAACUAAAGUGGUAGGAAAUCCAUUUAUCAAGGUAUUUUUUUUUAUUUGCUCAUUUCCUCCACCUCCAUAAACUUUCAGCAGGUUUUCACUGAUAGAUUAGAUGAACAAUCUAGAAGCAUGAAUUGUUUCAAAGAAAAAGUUCGGAAAGAUUCUAUCAAAGAUACACAACAGGAGUAGUCAUUCAAACCAUAUGAAGUGGGUGAGCUUCAAGAAAUGAAGAAAACAUUCUAACCACAACUUUUGAAAAUUUUUUACUUUGGCUUAUUUAUGCACAUCAAAAUGUCAGAACAAGAUGGCUAAUGGUCAAGUCUAAAGCACAAGAAGGGUACAAAGUUUUCAACAAUCUACAAAAACAUUGCGUAACAAAAUCUGCCCAAAAGCUGAGAUAAGCGGGAACAAGCUCAUCUAUUAAACAUAGAAGACAAAACUUAAGCUAAGAUCCAAUCGCAAAAUUUGAGGUCAUUGGGACCUCAAGAUGACGGACAAGCAUGUCGCUCUCUCAUGUUGAAUUUGCAGAGGGCCGUUUACGCUGAUUGUGAUCAGAACUACAAGAGAACUGAAGCAAGAAAAGAAAAUCAGGAAAAUAUAGGGAAGCUGAAACUUUACAAAUAGCAGAUCCCAUACCUUACCAAAUUGAAUCACAGCUUUGGUGUGUUUCUGCAUAUAUUUAUACAUAAGUGCUUGUGCAGAAGUAUCAUACAAGAUCUGCCACGGCACAAAAAGUAUGUCUCAGUACACAAUUGUAAACUCAGCCAGACAUUGAACGAAAAAAACGUUUUAGGAACAGAGUCUGAUACGAAAAAACAAAAUGUUGACUUCCAUUGUGCUUGACAGUUCGUGUCACUGCAAUCUUGAAGCUAUAGCAUCAAAUCCAAACCAAAGCAUUGAGAAACUAGAAGAAUUGUUUUGACAAAUUUGAAUAACUUAAUUAAUGAAUUCAGUCAACAGAUAAUAUUAGUACUGUACUACUAUAUCUAACCUAAAUUGCAGAAUCCCAACCUCCGUUGACUCUCUUCUGCAUCUACCAGCACAGAAUAGAGGUGAACGGUUCACCAUUUUAACAUGUGAUAAGGAAAUCAACUCUCUCCUUCCCCUCUCAUUGUCAAGAUAACAUCCAAAUCUCAUUGCAUUUUCACUCCAUGGCUGUCUGGAUCACUCGCAAUGACAUGAGAGCGCCAAUUCUUUUAAAUUCAGGGGGAAAGUUAAAACCAAACUCACGUACAGAAAACUGAACCAAUUUGAGUGAUUCCAGUUGACUCAGAAAAUCCAGCUUGAUAAUUUUAUUGCAACUCCUCCUGAUCAUGUUCCAAAAGCGUUCCACGGUAUCUCCUCCACCAAUUUCUCACAUACAGAUCAAAAGUCUUUAUAAGUCCUACCCUGUCUAAUGUCGCUCUUUAACAUCCCUAUUUAAUUCCUUAAUAUAGCAUCAUCUGCAGGUCAUCAUUUAACAGGUUGAAGCCAACCUGAAUGGUUACUAAAGACUAGCAGAAUGCUAUUGCACUCCGCUCCUAAAUUUUUCUUCAGACAAGCAUGCUAUAUGUGUACUUACCGUGAGGAAAUUUUUGGGCUUGUGCACGAGGACUAUCUGGAGUUUAUAUUUGUAUCUUACCUUCAUCGAUCUUCAGAAACCAGAGUGUUAUUAAUUGGUGCAGGUAUUAUGUAUUAAUUAUACAAGCUUUUGACCUUUUUUGUGAGUUAUUAAAACGAAAGAUGCUGUAGUUAGUUCUUCUAAGUGUGUUACUUCGAGUUCUGAAUUGGCAACUAUCUCAAUAUCAAAUGAAUCUUAGAAGCAUAAUCAUAUGGUAGCUAGACACUACCAACUGUAAGCCUAUAAUGUUGCAGACAUUUGGGUUGAACUGUUGUCAGUUGACUGACUAUAUUAUUAUGAACUGAUGUUGUACAUUGAGGAGAUGAGUCCAUUAUCUUGAGUAAUCUAAUAAAUUUUGAUACAUAAAUGUCAAAAAAUGGGGAUGCAUUUUUAGCUGAGGGCCUGAAGGCUUUGUAACUUACAAUAAUGACAAAUUCAAAACAAACAUCUACCACCGCCUUUCUUCUAAAUUAGUAGCAGUUCUCCAUUCUCUGUUUUUUUUUUUUUGGGGGGGGGGGGGGUAAAGAUUUGGUAGUGCCGUAAGGCUGCAAUUUUGAUGAGGCAAUUCAAAAUGUGAAUUAUUUUCCAGAGCCAUUACAAUAGGAUAUCAAAUCCGUAACUUAAAAAAAAAAAAAAGGAAGAUUACUGCAGUGUAAAUAUUGAACUAAUCUAAGAUCCAUGAAGCACCAUAAAUGAACAAAAUGAACUUCAAUCAAUUUAUCGGAGAUGUCAAAGUAAAAGGUAGACAAGCCAGAAGUAAAUGGGCAUCAGAGGUUGAAAUGAGAAAGAGACAUUUUUCAUGAUUGAUGGCUAGCAUUACAAUUUCCUUCAAUCAAAACAGGAUUUUUCUUAAGACAUAGUAUGAAUAGAAAGUUCAACCAUUUCGUAGAACAUAUGCAAAAUGAGCAAAACACGGCUAAAGUCUCACAUUUUCAUUGUUCUGGAUUGCUUGACAUCAUUGCACUAGUAAUCUCUGUUAUUGGCCAUAUUGGUUGCCUAAUUUUGGUGGGCAUGGCUACAGAGAAAAGAAGGGAAAAUGGAAAACAUUAUUGUUCGGCUCAAGUUUGGGUAGUUUUAGUAAUUAGGCAACGCUAAUUCAUCAAAAUGAACUGACCUUAUGAAUUUUUGUGGAGAAUUUUGGUUUAGUUAUGGAGACUGGGGAGAAAGAUGUAAAGAAAAAGAGUGAGGGAAAAAAGUGGGGAGGUGGACAAUGUAUAAAGUUUCCAACAGACUGUAAAUUGUAUAUUAUCAUUGUAAAGUAUUUUGAACAAAUUGUAAAUAAUGAGCAUUAUCUUGUGAAUGUUGUUGUUAUCAGUAUUAUGCGAAAUUAUAUUCAUGUAACGAACAAAAACAGACACAAAUACCAUAAACAAGAACUAGAAUUUUAUCCUUCUUAUACUUCUCAAAUCUCCAUCAUGUAUUCCAAGUUAAAGACUGAGGGGUACACACUAUCCAAUUCAAUUCAGUAUAUACAGUUUUCCUUUUAAGAAAAAAAAAAACUUGCAAUUCAAAUAUUUUUCACUUGAUUACAAAUUUACAACAAUCAUUUCCACUUCAUUAACGGCAAAUGAAAUUUUUAGUGCUAUUCUUGCAAGACUUGUUCCCCUUCCUGAUGCAAUUAUUGAAGUAGGUUUCAUCAGGGAAUAACAAUGGCUACUAGUGACAACUUUUUAAGAUGAUAAUCAAGCUAGUGAGGUAUGGUCCCAGAAUCAAGGGAUUACCUGUCAAGAACAAUAUCAAAAACAGGAAGGGCAUGAAGGUUAAGUAGCUCAUGCAAAGCCUCCAGUGGGUGAUAAAAUACUAGAUGAUCCAUCCGCUGGAAAUAUUCAAUUGAAGAACCUUGACAGCAUCAUAAAUACUUGGCUGGUUAAGGCAUUUGCUGCAGGCCAGUAGUGCAUGAAGACUGUCAAGUCAUUCAUGCAUGCUGCACUACUUUGUGGUUUUAUUUAGGUUGUCCUUCUGUAUAUGUAGAACUCUGCUCCAUUGGGUGAUUGAAUCAAUCAAACAAACUAAUAGAAGAAAAAAAAUAGAGAAUUGGAGCACAUAAACCUGACAAUUGCAGGCAAAUAGCUUUGAGUAUAGUUCCAAUAUCUGUUUAACGUCAGAUGCUCAUUCUUGGAGGACCUGCAAAAAAAAAAUUGAAUUCUAUGUAUAUGCUGUUUUUGAGCUUUAUGAGGAAAUGGAACAACAGAGCAGAAAAAUAAAGCCCACGAAAACCUUAAAUUGGGAAAACUGUAAAGAUAUUUGGUAAAUCACAAAGCUAACACUAAAUUGGACCAUCUGCUCUUGAGUAUCGUCAGAAAAAAGGUAGGACUAGUACUUUUGGUCCUUCCAAAUGUCUUUCAAUUCUAAAGAUGCAAUUGUUGGAGAAGAACAGAGAGAACAUAUAUUGACUGCAAAACACCAAGCAGGUGAAGUAAAUUCCAGAUUAAAGGCUAAUGGAAGUAUGAAGAACUACCUGAACGAAUGGCUUUCAUUACAAUUUUCACAACAAAGCAUAAGAAUUAGACACGAACAAACCACUUUGGCUGUGCCAGUUUAGCAUCAAAUUAUAUUUACCCUUUGACCAUUUCAGAUCUUAUAUCAAAUGGCACAAGACAAAUUUUGACAGCAUUGAGCAUCAACUUCUUAUAUAGACAAUGACUAUCAGGCUAUCUUCCAGAUAACCCUCCUUUCCACUGACCGGCAAAAGAUGAGAGAGAGUGAAUAAGUAGAUGCUGCACAAACAUCUUUCAUAGCCAAUCCUAGAAGAGCGGAAGUUACGUGGAUAAUGCACAACUAGUAUGAGCAACUUAUAAUCAAUGAUGUAGUUCGCCUUCUGAAGUGUUAGAAAACGACUUGUACAACAAACUUAUCAAUGCACCAACGCAGAAUCAUGGUAGAGGCAUCAUGGAAUCAUUAAAUGCUAGUUUCACUUUCAGGCAUCAUUUGUCAUAGCCAUUUGCAGAGAGGUAGAGACCACUUUCCUGAGCUCACCCGUCCCAUUCCAACAAGUAUAUAUUAAUGGAUACUUCAUCAAGAUAUUCAUCCAGUUGGUACUCCUGCCUUUUGCUCAUUUCCAAUUUUCUCUAGCUGGCAGUUGAUCUAUGAGUCAGAAGUUAGGAUAUUUUUCUCUUCCAUCUAUUUCACCGUACUUUUUUCCCUUCUUGAAAGAUCUUCUCUUCCCACUUUGAUCAGCAACCAACAAAUAUUGGACCUCGAAAAAUUUGAAGUGUUGAUGCUGCUUAUUCUUUCAAAAAUGCAACAGAAUUGCUCCUAGGAUAAAUCACAACAGAUGUGCUUAAAUUAAAGUGCAGAGAUUAAAUCAAAAUGCUGCUUACAUGAUUUGUGGAAAAACUGAAAAUGGUGAUCAUCUCUUUCACUCUCUCUCUCCCCCUCACCCAACCACACACGCACACGCACUCAUUGAAACCGCCCGAGCCAAAGAAAUUGAUUCUAAAUUAGACUCGUAUUGAUAGAUUUAAGCCACUUGUUGAAGAUGCAACUUACCAACAAAUUGCAAAUGGGGCAUCAGAAUGCAUGCUAAGUCGGAUGAAGAACAUAGUAACAGUCUAAAUACUUAGAAUUUUCUGGUACUACAUCCUUUCAUCUAGUUUGAAAUUCCACCACCCCCAGGACCUUUCAGCAUCUUUUCGCUAAAUCAGUGAGAUGGGAAAACAAGAAUCCAUGAAAAUAUCUUCAAGCAAAUUAUUACUAAAGAUUAAGUACACAGAAAAUAGUAUUUAUUAGAACCAUCUAACAGGGUUCAUCUUCAUGAAAUAAAGAAUAUACUUACUUCAACAUGUUAAUUUCUUUUUGCCUACUGAUCUUGGCUUCUUUAUGCAUAUCAAGGUAUCAAAAGAAGAUGGAUAAAGCACAACUAAUUUAUAUACUUUAGAACAUACUACAAGAACAUAGUUUUUUUUUUUGUUUUAACUCUGGUAAAUGCAGACAUAAGCAGGAACAAGCUCAUGUCUCUAGACGAUAAAAAAAAAAUAGAAAGACAAAACUGAAAAAGACAGAUUCUCAUGUUUGCCAAGCCGUCAUUAACUAUAUACACAUAUUCUACCCAACAAGGUUGCAAACGCAUACAGCAUUCUUUGCAUUAAAAAAAAAAGGAAAAAGAAAGUCUCAGGUCAUUCAGCUAUUUACUUCAAGAAAAGAAACCCACUCUGCAUUACUUAAGCUGAAAUGUAUAGAAGAAAUAAAAAUGUGUACCUGACAUUUAUGCUUGUGCUCAGUUGGUUUGAAGGAUCAUACCAAUCUGUAGCCAUAUUGAAGAGGAUUUCAGAAAUUAGAUAGUUUUGAUUAUAUAAACACAUGACCAUUCAAAUCAAAGAACUGAAAACCUCCAGGAAUUGCUUUGCGAAAUAUGAAUGAUUAUAUCAUUGAACUGAUCCAACAUGUACAAUUAGUACUAUGGGAGUGGAUCUAACCUCAUGAGUGGAAUUCUUCUCUGCUUUGACUCCCUUUCUGAGUAGAUCUAAUAAUGACGCUCUUUAAGUCCUUGUUUCCCCAUUCUCUCUGUUCUUGCAGAAUUUGCUCCACAGAAUUUACAGCAGACUCACUACACCUUUUCAACUCAAUCAUUUUAAGAGUGACGCUUUCCCCUAAACAAGGAGGGACCUCUUCCAGCUCCUCACAAAACUCCAAAACCAAUUUCUCAAGACAGGAAAAAUUAUCAGAAGAGGCAGUCCACCUGCGAAUGUACAACCCUGACAAUUUCAAAAAUCGGAGGUUACAGAAUUCCCCUUCUGCCAUUUCCCAUUCUUCCUCCCGAACGGAACGAUGGCAUAAUUUAAGCACUACAAGGUUGGGCAGCUUUCUUCCAAUUGCAGAAAUUUUACUCCACGGCCAAUAAUUAUAGGAGAGAGUCAACUUUUUCAAAUUCAAAUUCAAUGAGAAUUCAAACUCAUCUCUACUCAUCCUGCUUAUCUUAAGUGAUUCUAGUCGACUCAUGUAGUUCAGCAUGAGAAUCUCCCCGUGAUUUCCACCAGAUUCGAUUGCUCGGUAACUUUCGUAUGUCGCUAUUGUUAGCCUGCGGGUGCUCUGUAACUUUGACAGUAUCUUUUGUGCACUUUGAGAAUAGGGAUUCAUUGCAAGACUUAAAGUGUCUAAAUGUUUUAAAUCAGGGGAGCCUUCAAGAUUGUCCUUGGGAAAUAUGAAACCACAGGCGGGCAAUGAUGUGACAAGAUGCCUCAAUGUUUCAAUGUUCCAGAUAGUGUUUGGUAACACAUAAUCUUCAGCGCGUGCUUCUACUACAAAAGUUUCUAACCUUGAGAGGUUGGCUAUUGCAGAUGGGAUAUCCCCAGCAAACCUUCCAAUUCUCAAGUACCUCAAGUGAACGAGGAAUACUACUUCCCUUGGAAAAUAUGAAGUCGGAUAAGAAUUGUUCCAGAAAUCCAGCACUCUAAGAAGUUUAGACAGCAGAAAUUUGAAUGAAUUCUUAUCCAGCUGUGUAUGACUAUCACCACAGAAGAGCAAACAACGCAAAUUGGGAGAAAACAGUCUUGAUUUUGUAGGCCCCAUAGUCAUGGUGGGGUGAAUAGACAAUCGAUGGAGGUUACAUGGUCCAGUAAAAGUUAAAAGGUUACCCACAUGUAAAAUCUGUAGAAAACUUUCUUCUUUAGCUUUCGCCACGCAAAACUCAUGUACCAAAUCAUGGAUUCGGCAAGCUUUGAUCCCACCUGAAGAUCUUUGUUGGGUAGCCAUAACUAAACUUCUCCUAACCAGAUCCAUCAAAUAGUCAUCUGCCACAUCCUCUAAGCUCUUUCCUUCAGUCUUUUGCACGAAUCCUUCAGAGAUCCAAAUCCAUAACAACCUUCGGAUAGGAAUUUCUUGGUCUUCUUGAAAUGCACCGAAGUAAAGAAGGCAUGGUUUCAAAUAAUCUGGUAAAUUAUUGUAACUUAAUUCAAUUGUCUUCAUGCAAUAUUCAUUGUCAACAAAAAUGCUGGAAGUUAAAUGUUUUACAACUUCUUCCCAGCAAUCUUGCUCAGUAGUAGCAAGAAUUCCGGCAACAAGGACAACUGUGAGAGGUAGGCCUUUACAGUUUUUUGCUGCAUGCAGUAAAACAUUACUUAAUAUUGGAGGACAAUCUUCUUUGGCAAAUAGCUUUUUCUGCAGCAAUUCGCAGCUUUCAUUAUCUGUAAGUGGGCGAAGAUGGUGAGGCUCACUAUCAAGUUUAAUUUGCAAUGACAAUUCCUGCAAUCUACUGGUUAAGAGAAUCCUGCUUCCAUUGCAAUCAUCUGGCAGUGAGAGUUUCAAUAAAUCCCAACCCCGAAUGUCCCAAACAUCAUCCAGAACUAUGAGAUACCUAUUUCCCUUCAACAAUUUGCGUAGCCUGUUAGCCAUGUAAUCUUCAUCUCUCCGAAGAUAUCCAGCUGAGUUCCCACAAUCGAUAUUACACAACAUUUGAACUAACAAACUAUGCUUGGUAUAUGCUCGAGAAAAACAACACCAAGAACGAAUGUGAAAGUGGGACUUUACCAAUGGAUCACCAUAAACUUUAUUGGCUAAUGUUGUCUUACCAAGACCAGGCAUACCCACAAUGGCAACAAUAUCCAACCGGCUUGGUCCCCUUACAAGUCCAUCAAUUAUAAUUUCCCCCUCAUCAUUGAGACCCACCACAGCUUCAUUAAAUAUUGGAGCAGUAACUUGUGAUGGCAUGUGAAUUGUAGUCUUGACAAUACUCUGGGUUUCACAGUCAAAUCGUAUGUUAUCAUAAAUCUCUUUGGCCUCAAUCUUCAUAAGCUUGAUAUCUCCAGCAAUAACAUCCAAACAAUGUUGAUGUUUGCCACCAAGUAGUGUAGAGUCAAUGAUUAUUUCUGCCCUGUAUGCCAGCUCACUAAUACGACUCCAAAGAGCUUGGAGUUUUUCAUUCCCCUUCCGCUGCUCUGCAAUCUUGCCUAGGAAAGGUCUUAAGAAAUCAAGAUCUUCACGAACUGUGUGGAUUUGAUUAUUUGGGAAAGCAAUUGAAUUAGCUGUAGAACUUUCAAGUUCCUCGAGAGUUUCUAAAAGAAAAUCAAUAGAGCCCAGCUCAUUAGUCCUAGGGAAACUAAUUGAUGAUGAUGGUGGUUGUUGUGGACAAAUCUGUUCAAUUUCUGGAAUAAUGAGCUUGAGCAGUUCGAGCAUAUGAGAAGCCACAAGAUCUAUUUCCUUGGGCAAGCUUUCUGUCAUUUCACUCUUAUAAAGGGAGAAAAUCACAAUUCCAGCAUCACAGAGUACAAAUCCAAUACGAUCCUUCAUUUCAUCAUUUAGCUUAUCGAAUUUCUCGUGCUGCUGGCUGAGAAGGACACUCAGGAAUCUUGCUCCCUCAUAAAGUUUUAGUAAUUGAUCCUUCACCGGAACCAAGAAACUGGUGUAAGAUUCUGUUAGCUCCAUAAUAAUAUGUAAAAGAUCAUCAAUAAAUUCGGCCACUAGGUGCUUAUUCUUCUCCAGGGCUAAAGUGUGUGAUGAUGGUGACAACUUGGACGCUGUCAAGACGUGGAUAUAAGUUUCUCGGACUUGGAGAUCAACGGGAUCAAUCUUCUUUUGUAUCAGUUGAGAAAUUUCAGAUUCCAUCUCGUUGCACACCUUUUCAUCAUUUCUCUGAAACCAAGAUGUAGAGAUCAGGCUUGCAGCAUUAAUGGCCACAACUUCAAUGUGAACUAACAGAUCUACUAAUUGCUGACCCUUAACACCAUGUAAUGUUGCAAAGCAAAUGAAACUCUUCAAGAACAUUAGCUUCUCUUGAAGGGUUCCCAUUACACUUUGCAGAGCUCCAUCAUCCCUGUAAUUUCUGGUGCAAAGAUGCCUCAGAUUCUCUAAAAUGGAAUCAGUGAUAUCCAUAACCAGUUGGAAAUCUCCAAGCAAGUUGUGAAGCAAUAAACUACAGAUGUUGGAUUCCUUGAUGUCUGAAUCAAAAAUCAACCGCAUAUUUUCCUCGAAUCUGCCGAGCUUGCGUUUGGUGUCAUCAAGCGAUACUGCUGAGCCAAGUUCAUGCUUUAUUCCACUAACCAGAUCCUGAAUCCUGAAAGAGAUACUGCUGAGCCUCAAACUGUCAGACUCAGCAUCACCCCUGUCCUCCUUAUCAUAUUCCAAACACAUACACUCUUUGCUCCUCUUCCUCCUAAACUUUCUAAUAUACAGAUCAAAUGUUUCCAAUAGACUUAUCCCCAUCUUCAGCUCCCAGAUAUGAGAUUCGAACAGACAUUUGGACGCACCGUCUAAGUCGUCCAGAUACUCCCGAGCAACAUCGAAGCAACUAGUGCUACUGCUGAAGGAGAUGUUCGUCAUGGUACCUGCUUUUCACUGAGAAAUGAGAUUUCUGCCUAUUGUAGCCAUUGAUAUUCAAGAUCAACAACUUUCUAAUGAUCUAACAAUAUUCACAGUUUGCCGUCAAGACUCUUAUCUCUCUGGUUUUUUUAUUCUUUCUUCUUUUUUGUGUGUGGCAAGGUGGUGCUAAAAUAUUGCAAGACUUUACCUUCUUCCUCUCGAAACUUUGUCAAGGGAAGCUCGCAUCGAUACAACAGGCAUAAGCUGUUGGGGUCCCCAUAUCAAAGAUUAAAACAUUAGAGAUGCAUUCAGCUGAGGCCUGAUGGCUUUGUAAUUUGCCACAACCUUUUUUACCGCAACAAUAUUUUUUACCACAAAACGUGAAAGGGAAAAAAAUAGAUGAAAGAAAAUCAAUAUAUAGUAUUGUAGUUUCAAUCAAAUCCGCCAGCACUAAAAAUGAACAAAAUGAGAAAUAUCAAUUAGGUUAGCGGUCAAAAUAAACAAUAGAAAAAUCAGAAGAAAAUGAUCCAUGGCUAUUGUUUAAGAAUGUAUAACUAAAUACAUUUAAGGAUUUUAGAGAAAAUUGUUUUUUAAUUGCUAAUGUAUGUGAGUGCUGAUGUUUUAAUGCUUCUUUUUUCUAAUUUUUUAAUUUGGCAACUUCUCCAAAUUUAAAAAGUUGUAUAAUAAGAAUAACAAUUUUACUCCUUUUCCCGUGUGAGAUAACUUGAGCCUGUAAACCAUCUAAAUCAUUUUUUCUUUUUUUGGUUUUCUACAUGCACCGAGAAAUAAUAACAACCUACAAGUACGAAAAAUCUUGUGAAGUGAAAACAAAUAUUAAUAGGGCACAUUAUAGUUUACCCUCCUGUGGUUUAGAGUUUUUUUACAUAACCCUCCUAUGAUUUUAAAAGUUAUGCAUAACCCUCUCAUGGUUUGGAGUAAAGUGUCAAAGUGACGGAAAUUAUCAUUGUAAUGGAACAACUAAAAUAUCAAAAAUACUCUUAUGUAAAAUUAAAAAGUAUUUAUUAACCAAGGGGGUUAUGUGUAUAUUUUGAAAACCAUAAGAGUGUUAUACGGUAAAGUAUUAAACCAUAAAGGGAUUAUAUGGUAAAACAUAAAAACUAUAUGAGAUUAGUUUGUCAUGUAUUUAUAAGGGUAAUUUCGACAUUUUUAAAAGCUACGAAGGACUAUUUUAGUUAUUUUGACACUUUAAUUCAAACCAUGAGAGAGUUAUGUAUAAUUUUGAAAUCAUAGAGGGGUUAUGUAGAAAAACAUUAAACCAUAGAAGGGUAAAGCAUAAUUGGCCCAUAUUAAUAUCAUAGUUACUCAUCAUAUAAUAAAUAUCACAUGAAAUUCGUUCACAUAAUUGCUUCACCUAAAAUCGAUAGGUCAGGGGUUCAAAUCAUCAAGGAUUAAGUGAGACACCACUAUUAAAUCCUCUUUUUUUUUUUUUUUUUUUUUAAAAAAAAAAAAAAGGCUUCAGUACUUUUAGCACUGUAUGUAUUCAAAUCAAAAUUUGAUUUAUCUAAUGCUGAGUCAAAUAAAAAAGCUGAAAUUUCCUCCUAUUACGUCCCAGGCAUAAGUGAAGCGAUGAUAUGCGAGUAUGAAGUGUCAAGAACACAUGGAAGCCAUGUACAUUUCAACCACAAAAUAAUAAAUGUGUGGAAAAAAGAAAAGAAAAAGAAAUUCAGCACUUACUUUGGAGAGAAUGACCGCUAUGGCAACAAGUGAUCUGUUGAAUCUGCAGAAAUUCCAUUUAUAUGGUGAAGCCACGUUUAAAAAGAAAAACUUUAAACUUAAAAAAAAAAACGAAAUUCAGCACUCACUUGAGAGAAAAUGAAAUCCCUGGCAAUAGCUGGUGAUCUAGUGAAUAUGCAAAAAAAUUCCCAGUAUAUCUUGCACCUACUCACUCAAAAUUAAGUUCAAGAAAAAGAAGAACAUUCCGAGGAAGAUGAUGAUUUCAACCAAAAUGAAAGAACUCGUACAUGCAAGACUUUUUGCAGUGAGAAAGUAGUACUGGUAGCAGUCGGUAAGGGCUCACUAUUUUGUUAUAAGGAACUCUCUUUGAUUUUUGCGCGUGUGGUGGGGACGAGGGAUGGUGGGCGUGGCACUGAUAAGUAUUACAAGACUUUUCCUUCUUCUUCCGCGUGAAGCUUUAUCCAGAGAAGAUGCUGUGUUAAUCAAGAAUUUGGCAAGUGUGGCAGAUGACUUUGACACGUGUGGUAGAAUACGUGUUUGCUCUAAAAUUUCCUUUAUGUAAUUCUUGGUCACUGGGUAGAACAAGCAUGCUAUAUCAGUAGGCUCAGAUUUCACGAUAACUGUGGACAGAUAUUGAGUUAAUCAAUCUCAGAAAUUUUGAUGACCAAAUGACUAGAAAUUAGAGAUGCAGCACAAGAAAUGGCAUGUUAAGUUAUCGUAAAACGAUCAUUAGCAUAUUUGGUGUAAGUUUGUAGAGUUUUGAUAUAAUUUUGAAUUUUAUACAAAUUUAGUUAUAUGAGAUGAUAAAUUUAAGGGUAAAAAAUCUCAGCGGCCACUAAACUAUUGGUCAGAUCAUAUUUUGACUAUCAAACUAUUUUUCGUUAAUAAUUGGUCACUAAACAACUUAAUCAGUAAACUCAUGACAUUUAGUCGAUAAUUGUUCUUAAUCUGUAAAAUUAGCAAUUAAUCUGUGAAAUAGGAUCGCAUAAUUAUUGGACAAAAUUACCCUGCACUUUGCCACGUAUACAGCUAAUUUCACAUAUUAAGAGCAAUUAUCGACUAAAUGGUCACGGAUUUACUGAUUAAGUUGUUUAGUGGCCAAUUACUAACGAAAAAUAGUUUGAUGGCCAAAACAUGAUCUGACCAAUAGUUUAGUGGCCGCUGAGGAUUUUUGCCCUAAAUUUAAAUUUACAACCGAUUUGGACGAUUUUACACCAAAAAGGGGAAGAACUAGACCAACCAGUUGGAUUGGACAAAUUCCAACUUAUGAGACCAGAGACAUAUAUGGUUUGACUAAUUGUUACCUGUUGAAUAUCUGGUGAAAGGAGUCUCAUGUGGUUUUUUAAAAAGUAUAAUUAAUUUGAAAGAGUGCUUAAAUGCAAAACAUAUAAUAAUUGGGAUUGUGUAACGAAUAUCCAUGCCGAUUGGAAAAACAAAACCAUAUAACUAUAAAUAUAAAUAAAUAAAUAAAUGAUUGACUAUAUAUAUGUUUGUAGUAAUAUGUUUGGAAAAAAAUCCAAAUUCAAAUUUAUGCAACUUUCGUGUGAUCUAACAACUAUAACACAUUGCCAUCAAGAUUCUCUUCUUUUGCAUACACGCUGCCUGCAAGGAUCUCUUUUUUGCUUGUGUGGUGGAGAGGGAUGGUGGGGCAUGGUACAGAUAAAUAUAGCAAGAAUUUUCCUUCUUUCACGUGAAAUUUUUUGUGUAUGUGGUGGGGAGGGAAGAUGGUGGGGCAUGGUGCUGAUAAAUAUUGUAAGACUUUUCCUUCUUCCACUUGAAACUUUAUCAAGAGAAGCUGUGUUAAUCUAGGUUUACAUGCGUGAUUAAUGCGGUAGCGAAAGCAUAAAAAUAGAAGGGGUUUCAUGAACACCUUUCAAAUGACAAUCAUUACACGAACAAAACCCAGCAAUAAAUCAAGAUUCAUAAAAAUAAGAGAAAUUUCUCAACAAUUUGAUAAAACCAACAAUAUUUGAAUUAUUAGGAGGAAAUUCUUUUUACAAAAGCCCUAAAGAAAAUAAUAUGUAAAGUUUUAAACAAAAUCAACUACGUGUCUGAUGCAUUUAGGAUCCUUAUUGACACAUUUAAUACUAAUACUAAUAUUAUUAAUUAAAAAUAAAUAAAAAUAUAGAAAUCUACCCUAAUUAGAAUUCUAAAUAAAGUAUUAACAAUAUAGAUGAAGAAUUCCUGAACCCAAGCAUGCUAUAUCAGAAGGCUUAGAUUUGUUUUUCUCGUAAUGAACCUCAGAAGCGUAAUCAUAUGUUGCCGCAAUUUCGCAUAAACAGUUGACUGACUACAUGAGUAUGUGAUGCAUAUUGAGUUAAUCAAUCUCAGAAUUUGAUCGGUUACAAUUUCAUUAUUUAUUUUAUUAUUAAUUUUUCCUUUUACCUGACCUGAUGUGGAUUUAUUAUUAGAUUUUACUCACUUUUCGUAAUUUACAUUUAUUUCAGGGAGUAGAAUAAAAAUAUCACAAUCAAGGCCAAUUUAACAGUCAUCGGGAAAGAAUUCAAAUGGAAGGUCUUCAGGGAUAUUUUGGAACAAGGAGACACAAGUCUUUUUUAGUAAUUUGCGGAAGACAACAUUCAAAAAAGAAGCACAAAAGGUUGGAGUCGUUUCUCUCCUGGUGGGCCACCGCACAUGAGAGCCGAGCAUUAGAAUAGAUUAGUAAUUCAAUAGGUACAGGGAGUAGCAGAAGACUUUUCUUGGGCUUUGGACAAUUUUGUCCUUUAGUGGUUUUGAGUCCACGUAUGUUACACUUAGGGUAGAAAUAAGGGGUCAUCAUUUUUUUUGACCAAGUAGUCUUUUUUUCCAUUAUUCGGUUUUCCACCUUUUUUUCCUCCUUAAUUGGGAGAAUGUACGUCGCAACUAUUUAUGCAGUUUUGUAUGGGAUUUUUUCAUCAAUAAUGAGCUAAACCCCUUUUUCUAAUCAAGGAGUAACGGAGGCUUUGACUCGCCUAAAAUUAUGAGAUCGAUUUAAUUUUACCUUUUUCUUUUAUUUAUUGGUAUUCGUAUAUUCCUUGGUUACAGUACUUAUGAUUAUUUAAUUAAUUGAUUGUCUUGGAUCCGGAUAAUUAAUUAAUUUGAUAAUCUAUUGUCAAUUAGAACGUUAAAUCCGUAAUUAUUUAAUUGUCUCAAAAUAGUGAUAACUGGCAUGAUUGGGUUUGUGUCAGGGGAAUACGCGGGUUAAUUUAAAAUAACCCUGGUAGUGUGUUAUUUGGUUAGAAUAGGACUCCUCUAAUACGUAAAGCAAUUGGGAAAUUAAAUCUUACGGGCGUACCUAAGAUUAUUUCUCAAUUAGAGUAGUGAUUAACGGGCGUACCUUAAUCACCGACACAGUAAGGAGGGGUUGAUUGUCAUCGCUUGUUUGGCAGUUAUAACCUAUUUAUUAGUAAAUAAUUGGAAUUGCCUUUGUUUCAAUGAUCAAUUAGGUGAACCAUUGCUGAAAUUAUUCCUUGGCUAGAUCCUUAAUUAUCAUUCAUUUGAUUUUAGUAAAUUGUUAUUUAAUUUCUAGUUGGCUAUUUUAUUUUUAUUAUUUUACUUUUAGUUGAAUUGCUUAAAUUGUCACCCCUGAUAUAAAAACACCCCCUUGUCACUGUGAAUUUGAAAAGAAACAAUUACUCCCAAUCCCUGUGGAUUCGACCCUACUCAUCGCUAUCUACAAAAAUUACUUUUAGUUUGAGUAGGUUUUAUUAUUGCACAGGCCAACAACCUGUCAAUUUUUUACGCCGUUGCCGGGGAUUGGGGCUAGUUAUUUGUUUCUUUUUUAUUUCAUCUUGUUUUCAUUUUUUUAUUUAUUUUUCUGUUUUUUUAUAUAGUUUAUGGCUGCUAACAUUCUAUAUUUUGAUGAUAGACUGGACUUUAUUCCUGAAUGGGGUUAUGAGACUCGUGUUUUUCCUAAUGAUCAAUGGGCUGCUGCAAAUUGUGAAACUUAUUUUGCCUCAAGUUAUUCAACCAACAUAUACCCCACAUUUCAAGAUAAUCUAAGUACUCCAAUUGAUACUUUUGGAGAUUUUUCACCUCGAUUUCAAACGUGGUAUGACCCUUACCCAAACAGGUAUGAUCAAGGAGGGUGGGAUAAUUUCAAUUUUAAUUAUGCGACCGGGCCAAUGAAUUUUCAACAGCAAGAGUCUCAGCAAUCAUCCUCCGUGUCAGGUAUGUCUCUUGAAGAAAUGAUUGAAUUACUAAUUGUUAAUUCAUAUCGAUUUCAACAGGAGAUGCAAGCGAUGGUGGAUCAAGUGCAACUAUUGACAUCCGAGAUAGCAGAUCAAGUACAUCUAUUGACAUCCAGGAUAACGCGAUUGGCUUCUCACCUUGAAGAAUUGCCUGCACAAACCAAUACCAACCUUGAGGAAGAUGAGAGUGCAAUUGUCCGGCCAAAUGACAUGAAACUGCAAGAGUUUCAAAAAAACAGAUCUAAAGCUACAGUUGAAAAGGAAGUUGAAGUGCAAGAAAUGAGACCCCAGUAUCAACUCGUUCAAGUGAAUGAAUCCAAUGAACAAUCUUUAAAUGCGGUGACAUCUCAUCCAUUCCUUCAUCAAUAUUCUCCUGACUCUUAUUGUUCAAUUCCUGCUAAUGAAAUUGACUUUAUUAUACCAGAAAAUUUUAAAUUUCAUGACAGGAAUAAAUUAAGAGUGAUCAUGGCAAGAUAUCUUGAACCAAUAAAUGCAAGUGAGGGAGGAAUGAAUGGAGAAUUCAAAUUAUCGUUGACUUGUUUGACACCAUUUAUUAGUCCAAGGAAGACCGUAGCUCGUGUGCUCAAAGAUUACUCUAUUUACGAGGGCUAUCGGACUAUAUAGAGGAUGAAGCAUUGAAACGAGCCACAAGAUUUUAUCCUCCCUGAACAAAUAUGACAAUGUCUAGCCAAAAACAUUAAAAAAAUGCGCUCAUUGGGAGGCAACCCAAUUUCUUUUAGUUAUUUGUUUAUUUUUUGUUCGUUAGUUUAAAUAUAUUUUUUCUUGGAUUUGACUGAUUUAUGGUUUCAAUUUUCGUUUUUGAUGAUUCAUAGGUAUCUCUUUGACAUGACGCGCCCGCGCCAACUGGGCGCGUGACACAUUGCGAUCUCCUGGUGCUUGGUAAAAAGGGUUUCGAUCUCCUUGACGUGCCCGCGUCAAGUCACAUGGAGAGUUCACGGUCAGAAGGGUUCUUGCCCUCAUGACGUGCCCGCGUCCAGUCACCUAGAAAGCUCCUCCUUCCAUGCCUUCAUGGCAUGCCCACGUCACGUUCGCGGGAGAGAUAAGUAUUUAAAAAACUCAAGAACGGUUGUUGAUUGUCGGUUAAUCUCUGCUUUUGAAUCUCGAAAAUAAAAUUUGCCAAUGAGAAAAAAUUUUCAAAAAAAAAAAUUUAAAAAAUAAAAUUUUUGUUUCACCGUAGCUUAGAUUUUCAAAGUGUAAUUUUUUUUAAAAAAAUAAAAAUAAUUUCUCUUUCUUUUUCUUUUUCUUCUUUUCUUUCUUUUUCUUUCUUUCUUUCUUAUUCUUUCAUUUUCUUUCUUCUUUCUCUCUUCUCCCUUGUUUCUUCCUCUUGCUCGAUGCAAAACCUUUGUCCGCCGCGCCAAUCGAUCCGCCACCAUCUCCUCUGUUGCCGUGCGCCGCCACUCUCCGUUUGACCGCCAUUUCUUCGAUCCACAUCGCCGCAUCUCUCUCUCUCUCUUUGCCCACCUAGCCCGCGCACGCCGCCCAUUCUUUCCCCCUCACGGCUCUCUCCCUUGCGCGCUCAACUUCUUCGCGGGCUACCCACGUGGCCACCUAGUCAAGUCACCGCCGUCGAUCCCACCCUCGCACGCACGCUGCCACCACUAGCUGUCCUUUGGCCGCCAACAUCAUUCUCUGUCACAGCGAUUAUUUGGCAGCUUCCAGUGGUGAAGGUAUUCGAACUCCAAUUCCAAGUCUUUGAUAUUGUUUGGUGUUGCUUGUGCGAUUAACUGUCCAACUGGAGUCAUUUGAUGAAAUUUUUGGUGGGUUGAAAUUUUGCAUUUGUCUAUUGAUCAUUGGAAGGCAUCUCUGCCAGUGUUUCGAUUACUGAGGUUUUGGUUCAAUUAUUUCUGAUAUUGCCUAUUGAAUUGGGGCCCUGUGCCGCGUGAUUUACUUUGUGAGAUUGGUGAUCACUAAUUGCAUUAUUGGGGACAUUCUGGCGAUUGGUUCAUAUUGCUAAUUUGGGGACCAUUGUCUGUGCUUUCGAUUGUUUUAUUUGUGCAUGUGGUUGUCAAGCUGCUCGAAGUCCUUUUUUGGCUGAUUGUUGACUUCAGUGGUCGGGGUUGAAUACUUAUCUUGUUGGUAUUUUUCUUUGGGUAAUCUUUCUUUGCUGGUGGGUGACUACAUACUUGGCGCUAUUGCUCUACUACUACUUUGCUAUGCUCUAGCAAUUUCUUUGGUUUUGGAUUGUGAUUUGCACCAGUGGUACUGGUGGGGUAAUUGGAUCUCAAUUGAGUACCUCUAUUUGGUUGGCCGAGUUAUUAUUGUCAAAUUUCUAAGCUAUUAUUGUUGAAAUUGCUGAUUCUGAGUUAAGACAUUAACUGGCCAACUGGAGCCAUUUGUUGAGAUUUUGGGUGUACAGAGUCUUGCAUUUGCUGGUUGAAUUGAGUUAUGAUGUCUCAGAACUUGGGCGCGUACUUCCACUACAUCGGUUUCCCUCCACCGUCCCCGCCUGCCUUGUAGCCACUCGAGAGGGAAGUUUCGUUGUCCUCUUCGCUUUAAUUGCUUUAAUCCCUCCAUUGAGGACAAUGUAGGAUUUAGGUGUGGGGAGUACAGCUGUGCUAGUUUUUUCUAGUUUUUAAUUUUCAGAUGUUCUUCUUUUAUUUUUAGUUUGUUAUUUGUCUAGUCUUCGUUUACUUUCUUUUUUUAAUGAAUACCGAAGUUUGAUGUUGGAUUGUUGUCUGUAAUUCUACUAUUGCCAAGUUUUAAUAAUAAAAGGGUAUCAAGUUAAUGUGGUUUAGUUUAGGGACUUCUUUUUGGUGAAUAUCAGUAAUUGCUUGACUCUUUUAUUUUUUGGUUAACUAUUCUAGGCAUAGGAAAUAAUUGUUGAUUUUUUCAUGUGAAUUGGUCCGAUUAUUAACUUUAGUUCUCCAUGUUUGAAAAUUUGAGACUGGCUGUUGUUACUAUUGUGUUGUUUUGUAGUUAUCGUACUAUAUGAGUAUAAAUAAGAGUUGACUGUACUCCGCUAGUUGCUACUACCGAGUAACCGGGGAUUUUCACCUAAAGUGUCGAUUCUCUCGUCAAAAAGUAGUAAAUGCUAUAAGUACGUGGUCACGUGGCGAUAGAACCUGAGUAACCGAGUUCUUUCAUCUGACAAAUGUCAGAGUUUGCGUUAAAAGGCUCCCAUGGCUAUAAGACUAAGUCUCGUGUUACUAUUGAAAAAAAAAUGAAAAAAAUGAAAAAAAAGUGAUGGUUGUGUUAAUGUGUGAUAAAAGUCAGCUUGCCGAUUUAUGGAUUUAAUGUUGAGAUUUUGGUUAAUAGUUGGACCAUUUGCUGAUAAAUGUUGAGCGACCACUCCUUUUUCUUAGAUUAGUUAACCUGAAAUUGGAAGAGUUUAUGGUUUAAAAGCUAAUCGGAGUGAUGUUUUUUGGACUUGACCAUUGAUGCUUGAUUAUUAUUUUUCUUGGUAUCUUGGCAAUUUGGUGGAUAGAGCAAUAGCCACUAUCACAUAUUGGUGUUUGUUUGUUGUUCUCAUGCUUGAGGACAAGCAUGGUUUAGGUGUAGGGGGAAUUGAUCGGUUACAAUUUCAUUAUUUAUUUUAUUAUUAAUUUUCCCUAUUAUCUGACCUGAUGUGGAUUAAUUAUUAGAUUAUACUCACUUUUCGUAAUUUACAUUUAUUUCAGGGAGUAGAAUAAAAAUAUCACAAUCAAGACCAAUUUGACAGUCAUCGGGAAAUAAUUCAAAUGGAAGAUCUUCAGGGAUAUUUUGGAACAAGGAGACACAAGUCUUUUUGGGUAAUUUGCGGAAGACAACAUUCAAAAAAGAAGCACAAAAGGCUGGAGUCGUUUCUCUCCUAGUGGGCUGCCACACAUGAGAGCCAAGCAUUAGAAUAGAUUAGUAAUUCAAUAGGUACGGGGAGUAGCAGAAGACUUCUCUUGGGCUUUGGACAAUUUUGUCCUUUAGUGGUUUUGAGUCCACGUAUGUUACACUUAGGGUAGAAAUAAGGGGUCAUCAUUUUUUUUGACCAAGUAGUCUUUUUUUCCAUUAUUCGGUUUUCCACCGUUUUUUCUUCCCUAAUUGGGAGAAUGUACAUCGCAACUAUUUAUGCAAUUUUGUAUGGGAUUUUUUCAUCAAUAAUGAGCUAAACCCUUUUUUCUAAUCAAGGAGCAACGGAUGCUUUGACUCGCCUAAAAUUAUGAGAUUGAUUUAAUUUUACCUUUUUCUUUUAUUUAUUGGUAUUCGCAUAUUCCCUGGUUACAGUGCUUGUGAUUGUUUAAUUGAUUGAUUGUCUUGGAUCCGGAUAAUUAGUUAAUUUGAUAAUCUAUUGUCAAUUGGGACGUUAAAUCCGUAAUUGUUUAAUUGUCUCAAAAUAGUGAUAACUGGCAUGAUUGGGUUUGUGUCAAAGGAAUACGCGGACUAAUCUAAAAUAACCCUAGUAGUGUGUUAUUUGAUUAGAAUAGGGCUCCUCUAAUACGUAAAGCAAUUGGGAAAUUAAAUCUUACGGGCGUACCUAAGAUUAUUUUCUCAAUUAGAGUAGUGAUUAACGGGCGUACCUUAAUCACCGACACAGUAAGGAGGGGUUGAUUGUCAUCGCUUGUUUGGCAGUUAUAACCUAUUUAUUGGUAAAUAAUUGGAAUUGCCUUUGUUUCAAUGAUCAAUUAGGUGAACCAUUGCUGAAAUUAUUCCUUGGCUAGAUCCUUAAUUAUCACUUAUUUGAUUUUAGUAAAUUGUUAUUUAAUUUCUAGUUGGCUAUUUUAUUUUGAUUAUUUUACUUUUAGUUGAAUUGCUUAAAUUGUCACUCCUGAUAUAAAAACACCCCAUUGUCACUGUGAAUUUGAAAAGAAACAAUUACUCCCAAUCCUUGUGGAUUCGACCUUACUCACCGCUAUCUACAGAAAUUACUUUUAGUUUGAGCAGGUUUUAUUAUUGUACAGGCCGACGACCUGUCAUAUGUUGCCGCAAUUUCGCAUAAACAGUUGACUGACUACAUGAGUAUGUGAUGCAUAUUGAGUUAAUCAAUCUCAGAAUUUUUGAUGUACAAAUGACUAGAAAUUAGAGAUGCAUUCAGCUAUGGGCCUGGUGGCUCUGUAAUUUGCAAUGACAACAAAUUCAUAACUAAUAUCUGCAGCACUGCAGUAUUCAAUCAGAUUUGGAAUAUGGGAAAAAUGAACAAAACAAGAAAUAUUAACCAGAUUAGCAAUCAAAGUAAACGGUAGACAACUCAGAAGAAAAUGAGCACCAGAGGUUGAAACGAGUAAAAGACACUUUCUAAGAUCAAUGGCUACCAUUACACAAGUAAAAAUAGGGAUCUUCUUGAAAUACAGCAUAGGCGAAUAGAAAGUUCCAUGAAUUGGGAAUGCAUACGAAAAAAUGAAGAAUUCACAUAUGAUAACUCAUUUUCUCAUUUCGAGUACUUGACUCUUGAAUUGAGACCAUUCCGCUAUUAAUCUGUGUUAUUGGCAGGCAUUGUUUUACAGAAAGAAGUGGUGGUAGCGCCUGGGACAAGAAGCAUCCCAUCACAUGAAAAAAAAUAAUGAACAUUGUAUCAUUGGUACAAAAUAUUUUCCAAGAAUUAUAUUUGGAUAAAUUUCAUUUUGACCCCCUAAACUAUUUGUAGUUUCCCAUUUCAAUCCCUAAAUUUCAAAAUGGGACACUUAAGUCCCCAAACUACUGAAUCCGUCCCAAUUAAUUAAAAACAUUGAUAGAAUCCACAAAACCAUCAGAGUUUUUGCAUCAUGUAAAACAUGUACUAUUGACCAAGGGCAAGGAUGGAAAUUCAAAUAAAAUAUAUUUAAAAAGAAAAGGGAAUUUAUUUUAUCCAGCACAUUCGGGUCAUAUAAUCGACCCGAUCCAAUUCAUAAAAGGGAAGUGAUGUUUCCUAAGAAAAUAGAGAGCAAUUGGCUGAAUCUCCAAAUAAGAGGUAAAAACUAAGAAGAAAAGAGCAUAUGAAGAUAAGAAAAGAGACAAAGGAAAGAUCGCACAUUAAAUUUAUCAUGAUUAAAUUUUUUGCAUGUUAGAAAGACACUCCGCCUACUUUGCUUUAAGAUGUCAAAGAAUCACUAUCCUUGUGAUGAAUUUGCUCCAACAAUAAAGACAAUCUUCUACAGGAUAUAAUAAAACUGUUCUCUUGAUUUCUCAAAAGAAAGUGUAAAAAUCGUACAUCAAUUUUGAUUGAAUCCUCGUUAUAGAUGUUAAAAGAGGGUGUUUGAAGAGUUAUUACUGUAUUUUAUAUAGCGGAUACAAGUACCGGAGUAGGAAUGGCCAAACAUUUGAGUCCAAACGGGCAUAGUGUCUAGAGAGCUAUCAUUAAAUCUUGACACAGUUCGGACUUCAAAACAUUUAGUUUGGCCCACGAACAUCCACUUUGACAGAUUUGCAUAGUUUUGGCAAACUACUCAAUAAUUCCCCACUAAUUUGCAAAACUUAUGUAUCUUAACCCAUGGAGUCUUCAAUAAUACAACUUUAACUGAUGAAUCUUAAGCAUAAUUAGAAGUAUCUCUUGAUUUAAACUUCCAACUGGUGUAGGUGAUUUAAAUUUUUAAUGGAGUUGUUAGAGUUCUUAAAUUGAACUAUAACUCUUAUAUGUCAAAGACGAAAACACAACACAAUUAAUUAUUGUCUUCUUUUCUCAAGAGGUUAAUAUGAGCUUUAAUUAGAGCUAUUUUAGCCACAUGCUAAUCCUAGUUUCACAAUCAUCUACAAAAGUAUACUCAAACUCUUGUUGAAAUGGCAUCACUUCAAUACUUAUACAGGUAAAAUUGUACUUGUAGAGUUCUAUGUUUAUGUCAUGCAAAAUCAACAGCAAUCCCACUCAUGGGAGUACUGUAAAGUAAAUAUUAUUGACUAGGAACUUAUGUUAAGCAAAUUUCUUUAUGAUUUACAAAGUCAAAGCUAUCGAACCAGUGAGGGUGUUUCUGCCUAAGUCCAAAUGAGACAGAUAUUCGAAAGAAAACAAUGACCUUGCAAUAUUUCCAAUGAAUUUAUUGCUCUUCAAACUGAUGUAUGUUAUGUGUGCGUAAUUCAUCUAACAAUCAGGAAUUUCUCUUGAUAAAGAAUUCUUUUUAAGAUCUAGAAUUGCAAGGCCUGAUUUUCCAUUCUUCAUUUCACACAAAAAGUGAGAAAUACCUCCUGAAAACAAAUAGAUUGAAAGGUCUAAUUGUUUCAGAGAAUGAGAAAUUGAUUGUGCUAGUGGACCAUUGAAUCUGUUUGACUAUCAUAAAUAUAUAAUCUUUCAACAAUUUCAGAGAUGUUGAACUCUUACCAUGAAGUUGAUUGUGAGAAAGAGACACGAAUCCUGUUGUUGAGUUGAAUAACCAAGGGGGAUAGUAUUUGAAAUUCCUGUGGAAGACAAAUUCAAAUACCGAAGGGUUUUUUGAGACAUAUAGGAAAUUGAAGACUGAGAUUCCAAGAACCUAAUCCAAGUCUUUCAAAUGUGCUAAAAGAGAUGUUGGCAUUAAAUGGCAUGGUGGUUUUUAUCCUCCACUUUCUAAGCACUGUUACCGGUCAGAUUUUGUGGCCUUCAAUGCCAACAAUGUUUCUUAUCGUCCUAACACUGCUAGCUUCGCUUAUCGAUAUUUCCAGUGAAGAAAUCGAGAAGUUGCCCCACUAAUGGGGAAGGUAUUUUUUCAGCAAAAUUGAGCAUCUUAAAUUGUUGCCUUUCUUUACUUUAUUGUUAUAUUUCAAGUGAAAGAUAUCAUGUCAAUUUAUGGACCAUGGACGAAUUAAUAUGAAGUGGACAGAACUUGGACCAAGUUAAAAUCUCAUUUGAAAUUUCCGACAUUUGGUGUUGAACACCGAUCAUAUAUAUGCUCAAACCAAAGCAGGCCACUGCAAAUGGUGCAGCUAGUUUCGUUAGAAGCCUGAUUAGGCCCUGUCGGGGCGGUGGAACAGAUUAGACUAGCAGAUGUCAGUCUAUUGAUCAUUGGCAUGAAAAUGCCUUCUUGGAUGUCUUCAUGUACCAAUUUCGAACUUGUGUAGCACUAGUUUUACCUCUUCUGGUUGCCAAUUCUAUAUUCUUAACUAAAAGCUCAUUUCUCCAAUUUCUUAUUCAAACUUAAUUACAAUUGAAGGUGUCCACUUGUUGUGAGUGCAAUUAUCCCAAUCCAGAAUCCCCUAUCAAUAAGAGGUGGUCAAAUUUUUGGUCCAUUAAUUUGCCGUUGGACUCGAAAAUUUUUUCUUUUGAAUAUCAACGGUUUCAAUAGUUAUGUAACCAUAACUUUAGAAUAGUAGCUGUUGAGCUGCCUUCUAAGUUAUAUGGAAAAGUCUGAAGUAACAAUCGUUAUGGUAACGAAACUGUUUUGACAUGAUAUGAUAGAUAAAAACACUUUUAAUAACUAUUUGAUUACCUGUUGAACCAGUUACCUAAUUUUAAUCUUACAAUUAAAAACUUACUAAUAUUAAUAUUAAUUAUUUUAAUACAAUAUUUAAAAAGACGCUAAAAAACUUGAUGUGUCGCUAAAGUUAAUAGAAACCUACAAUAAUAAAUUAUCCUAAUUUCAUACCAUAACUAUAGUCACUAUAGCAUUGUCCUGUAUACAUGUAUGUUGUCAGUUAUUGCUAGAGAAGGAUAAUAGUUGUUGCUGGCUAGUAUGUAAUUAGCUUCCCAUUGUUUUGUAACAUCCAAAUGUCACGUUUGCAAGAAGAUAGAGUCCAAUAUAUUUGACAUUUUGACAGUCAGCCAAUGAAAAUAAAAUACCUCUUUCACAAUAAUAAAAUUAGAGCUCAGUGGUAAACAUAUCGUACCAACAGGGAUUAAAAUUAUUUAUUUCUUUCAAAAUAAUUAAUAGAAAGGAGGGAUUUUGGAGAUUAAACCAACUAAUUAAUUUAAACACAAAAUAAACAUACAAAAAUUAAGUAAAAUUAAAUUAAUAAUAAUGGAGCUCUAGCCAAAGUAUUAACUUCUGAAAUGCUUUUCUUGACUAUCUUGAUAAUUAAAGUACGACCAUUCGCUACUUUCCUAAUUCAAAAGAUAAUCAUAUGUAUGACCAACCAUAGGAUUUAAACUUACAAUUGCAUUAGAAAUAAAAAAGCUCAAUUCUAAUCAACGAACACGCUAUGGAGGUUUAUUUAAUUUUGAUUAUAUAUCUCCCUAACACAAACUCAAUCAAGCCAUUCACCACAAAUAUUGACCUAUAGUUUGUUAAGCUCCUUUGUUUUCCUUCAAUCUUCUGUACAGUAAUCUGCUUCAUUAGGUACAUUAAAUUAAGAAUCUAGUAGGAAAGUAAAAAGAAAGAAAUAGUCAGCCAUUCAUACUUGAAAUUCACAAGCACAAAGUUUCCAGUGGAGAAAGACACAGAAACUGCUAAGAUAGGAUAGGAUAGGUCCUACGUCAAUUAAAAUGUCAGAUGUUCUUUCUUGGAAAACCUGCCAAAAGGAAUCAACUGUGUAUAUGCCCUUCCUGAGCUUUGCGAGGCAAUGGAACAAAAGAAAAGCAAAGCAAUAGAACAAAUAUAAAAUGUUCGAUAUAACCUUAUAUUGGGACUAGGAGGUAUAAUCUGCGCGGUGCGCGGAGGUAUAGAAAGAGAAGAUGCCCAAGACAAGCAUAUGAUAUGGAAGGAAAAUAUCGGAGGAGGAUAUAAAGCAAAAGGCAGAAAAAAGGAUGAAAGGAUAGACACACACAAGAUUCAUAAAGCAUCGAAAAUCAAGGCAUGAUAAGCAAAAUCCAUAAUAAUAAAGCAUCGAAUUUGCCGCUACUCAUAUUAGACUUUGUUAGAGCUACUAAUAACCGACAAAGUUGCAGCAAAUCACUAACAUCUCACGGCAGCCUUUAAUUCAUAAAGAAGGAGCUAUAAAUAUUUGAUACAAGGUAGUCUCUUUACUCCUUUGUAGAUGGGCCUUCAACUCCCUGCAUGAGCUAGAACAGGAGUACAAUUUUUGGCUCUAUGUUUAGUUGGUCUUUGUUGAAGAUGAUCGGCUACUAAGGGAAUGACAGCUCCACUAAAUUUUACAUGGUCCCAGAAAUCACCCCCUUCCUUUCCAAUCCCCUUCCACUGUUUUCCUGUCUUUUAGCAACUUGCACAUUGCAGGCGGAGGAGAUUAUGAACUUCUAUUUUGUGACUGCAAAAACUGCUGGCCCUUCCACCUGGAAAAUAUCACCAAAAAGAUAUUGCAAAAGAGAACAAAUUUCAGCAUCACCAAACCAGAGUGAAUCUAAGCCAUGAUUUUAAGACAAGCCCACAUGAUAAACAAUCAUCUUUGACCAAUAGAUCCCCCUAAUAAGGGACCAAAUGACCUCACUGAGUAUAUGCUCCUGGAUUUCAAAAAAAAAAAUGGUUUGCACAAUUUUUUUUUCUUUUCUGUGUUAUUUGGCUGGUAACAUAGAGAGAAUCUCAUCUGUUUACCAUGAACUUUGCUCCCCAUAUUUCUUCCUCUUUAGCUGGAAUUGCAGUGAUCUUAUUCUUUGGAUUCUCAUAGCUUCUCAGUUCACCCAAAGCUGUGGAGAAGAAGGAACCUGAACAAACAGACAUCAACGCACAUUACAAGAUUGGAAUUGUUCAACAUAGCAAAGAAAUUUGAAAGAAAAGAUGUACUAACAAAAAGAAAGGAACUUUAGUGUUCCUUAACACAAGCAGUUAAUGUAUUCAUUAAUUUAAGAAUCAAUUCUUUGAUGGCUGAAUUGAGCGCCUAAGAAUCAAAUUUACCUUGAGGGAAAGAUGCAAGGGACUUGCCACAAGCACCUUUAAGCAAGUCAGCAUCAUCUGCAAAUGCUACCCAUCCAUCAGCAGUGAUUCCACAAUAUAGAGGAACCUUAGCCUUUUCAUCCCGUCACAACAUCACCAACCAGACUGUUAAAACAUUUCAAUUAAGUCAAAUCGGUAGGUAAGGAAAUGCGAAGAUCACUCACAGUAGCCACAAACAAGGUGGAGGUGGCCUUGCCGAAGACAAUAAAUGCAAAAUUCCCUUCUGGGUGGCCAACAACAUGGUUUGGAGGAUAACGUGCCCUGUCACGAAGCGCCUUGUAUGCUUCAAUCAUCAAAACCACCUCAUUUGAAGACUUUGGAAGCCUGUAUUGUUGCUUCAGACUCCCUAGAUUAUCAAGUGCUCCCUCAAACAAGCAAAAUAUGUCAUCCUUAACUGCGAAUGACCUACAAAUUUGUAUUGCCAAGUUAGUUUCACAUGUCACUUUUUAAAAAAAAAUUGAUUCACAUAAGGCCUAAUUACUGCUAACCAACCAAAAAUAGGUUUGCAAGUUAACAGCUUUAAAAGUUAAAAGAUAUAUGUAUAUUUCAUCAGAUCAUCGCACGGUACUGACUACAAAGGUCCCAAUUUUUUGCUUCUUCCCCGCCAACUCUCUCCCCAUUUUUUUUUUUUUUUAAAUAGACUCUGGCCGGGAGGGGGUUGGGGAGUUGGACUUAUUGGGGAGGUUGACUGACUGAAUGGAAAUGAAUGGGAGUGAGUUCAAGUAACUUGAUUCUCAAGAUAAAAUGAAGCUGCUAAAUUUACCUCUGUGUUUUCUUUUCUGCCAAUUGAUUUUGUUCCGUAUUAAUCACUAAAAAUAAUAAUAACAAUAAUAAUAAAACAUAUUCUUACUUUAGCCGGUACUUGUAAAAGCAAGAAUGUACUUUCACUUUUAGACCCAAAGGCAUUGCAUGUAAUAAUUAAAAACAACAAUUGAACAAAGGGAAUUAAGGGAAGUGCUGAUCGAUCGGACCAACUCUCUAUUUCUUCUCAAAGUACAGUUUGAUUUGUAAGCAAUACUCAUUGAGAUUGGCUGCCGGCAACAUAUGUGAUAUGAUAUGCGCGGUGGGCUGGGGUGGAGGUCUUUCAAAAUGGUGUGAACCAACUAUAUGCGAGUAUUAACGAUGUUGCUUGAACAAGCUUGAACAAGCUUGAACAAGGGACAAUCCACAAAAGCUUGAACAAGGGAAAUAGAAAAAAUGGGAAAGCACAUCAGAACAAAGAAGGUAGUACCUUAGAAAGGGCAAAAAACAGAGCAAGCUGCGGAAGAUGCUUCUGCGCUUCCAACUCUAUCUUAGACAGAGAAUAAGAGUCCAGAAAUUAAAAAUCAUUCUACCUGCAACCUGAAAAAAGUGAAAAAAAUUCAAUGCAAUGAAGGUUUUAACCCAAAACCAAGAGAAAGGGGAAAAAAAGAGAGAGAUCUAGUGCAUGUUGAUGACUGAGGAAGGGGAAGAGGACCGGCCAUGAAGCUCAGUAAAGUCACUAGUCCAGAACACGUCGUCUUCGUUAAGCUCCGGAGGCAGAGUUGUCUCCAGAAAGCAGUGAGAGCGGUGCUUCGUUCAGUCAGAGCGAAAACGCUGAGAAAUCUGUCAGAGGAGGGCAAUUGACGAUGACGGGAAUUAACGGUGCCAUUUUGGUCCAUUUGAGUGUGACAGCUAUGGUCCUACCUACUACUACUACUACUGUUGCCACCAGCAGUAGUGAAACUGCAGGACCGCGCGAGUAAUCUGUUGCCGUUGGGAUGGGUUUAGCUUCUGAGGAUAGAGGUAGGAUGAAGGAGAAGAGGAGAGAAGAAAGAAAGCGGCGGCAGCGGCAGCGGAGGAAAUUUAAGAAAACCCUAGAGAGGAAGUAUAUGCAGGCGUCAGCGCAUCGCGCGGGAAAAAAAGGCUGGUGACUCACAUGUGCGGCACGUGAGAGGACGACGAAAACCAUUCCAGGUCACAAGAGGCCUUCGGCUCUUAUUUUAUACUAGGAGAUGUUCACCGUGCUCGUGCACGGUGGUAAGUUGUAGGUAUGCCCAUGUUGAGAGUACAGUAAAUAUUUAUUUUAGAAGAGAUUUGUUGUACAGAGAACUUAUUAAGCUUGGUUGGAAUUUUUUUUAAUUCUAUAGGUUAUUUUAUAUUUAAAGAGAUAGAACAUUUAAAAUUCCCUGUUUUCCUGGUGUACACUUAAGUAUGCAAAGAAAAUGAAUAUGCUAUACUUUAAAAUGUACACACGAGAAGUUAAUGCUAUUCCAAUGUAAUGCAUUCAGUUUCAGUUGGAUUGAUACAAAUUUUUCUUCUUCCCCAAAAACAAAGACACCAUAGUGAGUCUACAGGGAGGAGAAACUCUAAAGCAUCAUCCACUCAAUAAGCUAAUAGCAAAAGCGGCUACAUAUUGACCCAGAGAAUCCAGUAUAAGCAGCCUGACAUCCUAUACCCAAUUGCAACAGAAGGAAAAAGAACAAGGCAAAGAAUCAUAAAUGCAAGAAACACAACUAAAUAGCAACCUAGGCAAGAAGUAAAUUAUCACAAGGACACCAAAGCUUUCAUAGUACCCUUUAAUUUUCCAGUUUUGUGUGUGCAUGUGAGAGAGAGGCAAUAAUUAAUAAAAACAUUACAAUGCAAGUUCCAAAUCACCGUGGUAAAGAAAAAUGACAUAAUCCAAAUACAUUUUCGUUUUCUUAUUCUAUAACCUAUGAUAUGCACUCUGGCUGCUUUUUAGCAGUGAGUGCAGAGGCAUAGAGGCUAGAAAAACGAAAUGUUUGCAGGCAACUUUUUCGGUGGGAGAGUUUUUCAUAAGAAAAAGGAGUUAUGGAGGAUGGAAUAAUACAUGAGCAAAAAUAGUCCUUAUACUAAACGUUGAAAAAAGAAACAUGGCAUAGGAAAAUUUCUUAUUUUGAUAGAUCUAAAUUCACUCAUUUUUCAUGAUGGAGUACACAUGGAAACUAUGAUACCACGAGAACUGCUUUUCGACACCAUACUCAUAAAAAAUUAGAACAUUGUAGGUGUAAGCUGAUUCAGGAAGGAAAGCUAAAAUUUCGUCCAAUUCCAGUUGAUGCUCAGCAACAAAGACGUCCCAGAGAUUAUCCUUCUUUUCCUGUGGCAUUUUUGCAUAACGCUUGCGAUGCUUGGCAUUUCUAUCCAUUAAGCUGGCACCAAUGAAGUAAAUAAUUCACACACUCCCAAACACAAGUUAGCUAUCAGCCAAAAAAUGCCAGAACAGUAGCAAGACAUGAAGGUGAUAUAUAUGGCUACUCUCAUACCACAUAACAUCUAUAGUAGACAAACUAUCCAAGCAAACUAACAGAAACAAGACCAACAAGAAAGGAAUAGCAAAUGAUAGCCAAAAAAGGAAGGAAAACUUGCAAAAUAAAAACAGAAGAGGCUAAACGAAUUUACCAAAAAAGAAUGAAUGAGCAAGGAGGUUUAACAAUAAAAGUCACAUAGUUCGAAGAGUAGAAAGUGGUUACAACUCCAGGAGAUGCACAUACAAUCUACAUGUAAGAAAGGGAAGCAGCACAUCUAGUGCAGCAACAGUGCGAAACCAAGGAAAAAGGAGCAAACAUCUAGUGCAGAGCAGCUAACAUAAAUUGAAAAGGCAUAAAUACGUUUUCAUUGCUCAACUAACAGCAAAUGGGACAAAUAACAUAAAACACUGACGAUUUAUAUCUAUAAAAGCGAGUCCCAGUGAAAAAAACACACAACAUUUCCUGAAAGAGGCAAGAGAAAUAACAAAGAACAGUUCAAAGAGCAACGACAUAUGCAACGAGCAAAUAGAAUAUCAAGCUAGACACACCGGAGGAACAACAGUCACUCAAAAACAUUAGCAUAUAAAAUAAGAACGUCACGGAGAAACGAGAAAACAAGUCAUGAGUUUACAAACGCAAUGCACACUAUAUAACCAGAUAAGCAGUUGACAACCAGCUAAUGCAAACCAUUUAAAAGCAGUUACCAUGGCAAAUCAAUAUAAUAAUAGCCACUAAUCUAUUAAGGAAAACUGUUAAUUAGUAAACAAGUCAAGCUGAAUGCAGAUUGGUAGAAGAACAACCUCAUUGAGCUUUAGAACCUGGAUAGCCAAGAAACAAGAAAUAUAAUUUGAUUAAAAGAAGUCUAAAGUAGAAACAGGAGGAACACCUCUUCCACCUCAUGGCAACAAGGAGUAUACUGAUGCUGAUGCCAAGAGUCAGAAAAAAGGAGCACACGCCUCCAAAGCAAAAGGAUCACCAAGAGGAACAGGGAUGCCGCAGCCAAUAGCUACAGGAUUAAAAAAAAGAUCAAAACUUCAGCAUGCACAAAAGAACAGAAACAAGGCAGAAAAACACGGGCAAAAAGUAAGAAGAAGGAAAGCAGGUCACAGAAGGCACUAACAAGCAUUACAGCAAACAAAUAAAGCGUAAAAAGAAAGGAUCCGAAAGAAAACUGAGAAAUGAGGAAAAAAAUAAAUAAAAAAGCAAGAGAAAAUGAGAGAAAACCGAAAGAGAAGGAAAAAAACAUCUGGAAGCAAAAGAAGAGUGAACAUGUCACGGCCCCACCUCCCCCUAAGGCAAACCAAAGGGUUUGGCGAGUCGUCUGCCCGACUCUCGCCGGGACUCAGUCGUUCCUUAAUCAAAUCCAGAAUAAAUCACAAGAAUAUAUAGGGCAGUAAUCCAAACUUAAAGCGGAACUUAUAUACAUUGCUAUCUCAAAAGGAAGUACAGCCAUCAAAUGUACAAAGGUUCUCACUUCACCAUACAACCAGCCCGUGCCAAGCACUAGGGCGAGAACCAUUACAAAAGAAACAAAAUACCUAGACUAGGCUAGUCUAUGCUCUCAUCCUGCUCGCCGUCCCCUAUUAAGGAAAACAAAACUAAAGGGGUGAGUUAAAAGCUCAGUGAGGUUCCGAACAGAUAAUCAACAAUCAAUUCAAUACAUUAAACAUGGAGUAUUAAUAAUUCAAGAAACAUUUACAAUGGAAAGCAAUAGUUACAUUCAUUAAAAGGAUACAGGCUGACAUGGAGCUAUUCGUUCUUUCGUUCGUUCCCCUAACAUUUCCCCUUAUUCCUCCAAUUAUUUGAAAAUUUCCUUUUUGAGAAAUAAAACUCUCGUGCCUUUGUUCGUUCAUUCAUCCCUUUCCAGACAUUGACCGGACUCCACCCAUCUGGACGUUGACCGGACUCCACCCAUCCGGACGUAGCCGGACUACAAGGUAAUACUCGAGUAUACCAAAUUCACCCAGGGUCACCAUAUCGCCCGAUCGAGUCCGCUUCUGGCUCGAGUCGAUCGGUAACGAAGGGUAGGGCCCAAUUCAGCCAAAAAGGCUUACAUCAUGCGCAACUAAUGUUUCCAUCAUUAAAUCAUUGAAAAUUUUACGUUUCAUUAAGGUCGAGCGCGAUAAAGUACACGCUCGCCUAGAAAACUCGUUUUAGAAAUCCUUGAAAGCACUUAACACAUUAUCAAACAACAACAACAAGUCAUGAAGUCAGGGAGAAUAUAACAAACAAGGAACACUCACCUAGUUAUGCAAAAUAACGUGCAAAAUAUCCUUCCGGAUAUUACCCUUAGUCACCAAUGAAACCUAAGGUUGAACAAGAGAACAUAUUACAGUUUAUCGAGCAAAACAUUUAAGGGAAACAAAGAAACCCGACUAAUUAGGAGUAAAUCGUGUAAAGAUGACUUUCAAGUAAGAAGAGGGUUGUUUGAACCCAAGGAUGAAAAAUCAUGUUUUAAAAUGGAAAGCCGGUCAUGGUAUUGGCCAAACAAAAGUAUUCAAGUUCAAAUAGGAACCUAACCCUCGAGCGAAAAUUUGGGCAGCACGCCCUUUGUGUUUACCUAAUUUUCCAGCCAUUUAGGCUUCAUUAUUUUUCCUCAGCCAAUCCCAAAGUCAUAUAUAUCAUAAAUGCAAGUCAAUAGCCAUUCCAUAGGCUCAUAACAUCAUAAGAAUAAGAAUCAAAGUCGUAACAAGUGUGGAAAUACAAUCUAGCAAAAGACAGAUUUGACGUGUGGUUGUGGAAAUAACACAUCCGAGGCUACGCUUAUCGGAUUGAGGCACAACUUAUACCAUUUCGAAGGUAAGACACAGGGCUACAAUGUUCAUGAAUAUCACUUAGUCCAGUUUCCAAUGCAACCUAGCCAAAUCCUCAAUUUACAGAACCAAAAUCUCACUCGUCGGCUAUUUAACCGAUCUGCACUGGAAUGGUCAUAUCUUAGGUUACCAAGGUCCAUUUAGGGUGUUCUUGUAGGUGUUAGAAAGCUUAAAUAGAUUACUAAAACUUUCAUGUUUUGGAAAAAAGCUAAAUCAGCAUGGAUCCUAGUGAACAAACAUGAUAAACUGGAUGAACUGACGAAAACGGAACACUGGAAAUUUCCUAAAAUAGUGAGGGUAUUUUGGUCUUUUCACAGGCUACGUUGCUCCGAUUGAGCUGAAAUUUUGCAGGCACCUCUAAAAUGUCAUUCCCUACAACUUUCAUGUUUUAAGCUAAGGCCAAUUCGGCCUCUAACAUAGGGCAAUAAAAACAGGCAGAAUAGGAUGAAAAUUUCCAGAAAUCUGAAAUCUUUUGGUUUCAAUGAUAGUUUUCUUAAUUUCUUGCUACACUUGCUACCAAAACCCCCUAUAUAACCUUAUAUACAACAUAUACUAAUUAUACAACAAGUUUAGGCAGAAAUUAAUCAAACUCUAACUUACAUAUUUCAUCCAAAAAUCACCACAACAACUUGCAUCACUUGUAAUCAAACCCAAAACAUGGACUAUUUAACAUCUUAAACAAGAAUAAAAGGAUCAAAGCCAUAGAUCAGAUUUUAUACCUCAAAAAGAAGGCUUGCAAGAGUGAUCCUCCACUAUUUCUUGAAGUUUUUGGUUCCCUUAGCUUCCCAAGCUACCAAACUUACAAUCAAUCGGUUUAGAAUUCGAUUUUAGCACUUGGUUGGUGUAAAUCAAGAAGGAAUUUGUUUUCUCUUGCUCUCCCUUUCUCUCUCUCUUGCUUGGCCAAGACCAGAAAAAAUGAAGAAGAAAGAUGGCUGAAGUGAAGGAUAAAAAGGCAAGAAAAAAAAUUAAUUAAGGAGCCAUGAGGUGGUGACACUUGGCGCCACCAAAGCCAUGCAAAUUUUUCUCUCUCUCCCUUACAUUUUUUGCCACAAAUUUCGGUCAAAGGCAGCUGGAAAUGAAGGGAUAUUUUGCUCAAAUAUCAAUGAGCUCAUGUGGUAAGAAAGUGGUGGUCCAGUGGUGUGUUCAAUCGGUAGUGUGCGGUACACGUCGGUUCACACCGUUUUUCUUUAAAACACCCGUACUAGGGUUUUUACUUCCUAUUCACUAACCUUAUAUCAUUGCUCCUAAUCACGUAUUAUUUCUCACUUAAAAGUCACUUUUAAUCACCAAAUUUGAUCAUUGUUCCGUACCAAAAAAUCAUCCGGCGAAAAUCGCGAAAACCCUAAUUUGCUCCAAUUUUGAAAACGAAGAGUGAAACCCUACUUUCUAGGUUCAUGUGCACUUAUUGGAGAAUGAUUGGGUAGUAGGGCUAUAAUAAAGGAAUAAUUUCUAAAUAAAAAGGCAUUUUUGAAAAAAAUAUAAGAAAUUUGCGAGUCCUCACAGAACAUGCACAGCAUAAGUGCAGGCAACAGGAGACCAUCUCACUACAAAAAAACAGAGCGAAAAAAGAUUAAGAACCCGGACGCGGGUUCACAGAAAAUGGCAAUGCAACAGUAGACUAAAAAGCUAACAAAAGCGGCUAACGAAGAGGUGAAAUGAUCUAAAAAUCAAGAGAAAAGGUAGGAAAAUCUUUGGAAGCAAAAGAAACGGGAACUUGCAGAACAUCAAUGCAUCAUAACAAAGCAGAGGAAGAAAGAUUAAGAACACGCACCUGUGGUUAUGGAAGGCGGCAAUGCAACAGUAGUGAUAGGGUAUACUUUGUUAGUAAUUUUAUUAUUGAUUUCCCCUUCUAUUCCUGACAAAUAUUGUGUUAAUUGCUGAUAUUUACUCAUAUUUGGUAUUUGGAAUCAAUUUCAGGAGUGAAGCAGAAAAUUACCAAAAAGGAGGGAUUUGUAUGGAAAAAUGUAGACUUCUAAGGGUUUCAACCUUUGGGCCCUUGAAUUGGUGGGGACCACAAGCUAGUGCAAGGCAUUUAGUCAUUUGGGCUUUUCAAAGAAAGCAACGUAGAGAAACUUGGAACAACAAGUACUUUGGAGGCUUGUUCACAUGUGUGGGGACCACAGGGAAAUAGCUUUUAGGCAUCUUUCUUUUAGCUUUUUAAGUAGAGACGUACAGAAGCAAAAGGAGAUCCCUUUUUUUUAGACGACUUUUUUAGUUUAGUUUUUAGUCUAGUCUUUAGUUUUUCUUUCUUUCUCCUGACUGGCCUCUGACACACGCCAGGUGUUCGACAAUAUUCCCCAACGGGAAAAACACCUUUUAUUCCUUGCUUCCUAAUAGAAAACGCAAUGCCUUUGCAAUUUAUUAAUUCGUGGGGUGAUUUAAUUAUGUGGCGUGGCUAAGUCUUCCAUCUAGUCAAGGAUCAACUCGACGGCGCAGUCCCGAAAAUCUGUGAGAUCUAAUUAGUUUUCACGUGUUCCUUUAUUUAUUAAUAUUUGCACGUUGUCUGCUUGAAUUUUCAUGGGAUUAUUUUAUUAAUUGGAUGUCAAGGGCCCGAUGUUCAAUGUGAUUUAUUAAUCUCGUGCCAAUUUAGUCAAUUAAAUCCGUAAUUGUUUGAUUGAUUAAUAUUAGUGGCAACUGGUGUGUUCACACACUAGGGGAACGUACGAUCUAAUUUAAAUAACCCUCGUAGCGUGUUAUUGAUUAGGGUUAGAUUUUUCUAGUUAUUAAUGAAAUGGGAAAUUAGUUCCUAUGGUCGUACCUAGGAGUAUUUUCUGGUUAGGGGUGAUCAAUGGUCGUACCUUGGUUAUCAAUAAUUUAAGGAAAAAUUGAUUGUCAGAGUUCAUCGGCAACUAUAACUAGUCUAUUAAUAAAUUAAGUGAACCUCUCUUGCAUCAAUGAUCGGAUAAGUGGACUGUGCCUGAGUAGUUGCAUCCUCGGCUAGAAUUUAUUCAUUCUUGAUUUAACUCCUGCUAUAUUUGUGCUAGUUAAUUAUUUAUUUAUUUCUGUUGAAUUAUUCAAUUGAUUUUAGUUUCAUUCUGGUGAAAUCCCCCCUUACCAAUUGGCAUUUAAAAAGAGACAAAUAUCCCCAGUCCCUGAGGAGACGACCCUACUUGCCAUUGUCUACUAUUCAGUAAUUUUCGUUAACUAAUUAAUUCUGGUAUAUCGGGUUAAGCAAACUCUUCGGGAACAGGGUGAAUCAAGUAACCCAUUGCACACCUAGAGUCCCUGCUCCAGUACCUAGGAUUAACUAUUGACUGCUUUUAGUGGUAGUUGGGAUUUUAUUAUUAUUAUUGCACAGGUUUGACGCCCUGUCAAGUAGCCACCUAUAAAGCUAACAACCAGAAACAAAAAGAAUAUAGGAUAAACAUAGGUAAAAGACACAACAAAAAAAAUGAAAACCAGAAGCAAGCAUGAGGACAGACCACACUAACCAUAAGCACAACAAACAGCAAACAAGCGAUAGCAGAAACCAGCGAGCAGGAGGCAGAAUGAAGAGAAGCAGCCCAAACGGAACCCAAAAAGGAAAAUUGUCCAACAGAAAAUUAACGGAAUUAUCCAACGGUUACGAGAGAUCCUGCCAUAGCCGUACAGAGAUGAGCUGUUGAACUGUAAAAAAACUGAAAGUCUCAGACAGCGGAAAUUUGGCGGCAAAAGUAAUUUUACAUAGAUGGACACACCCCCACAAAAUAUUACCAACGAAUACAAAAAAAAAAAAAAACAAGUCACAAAAAUAAAUCUUGGUGGGGAAAGCGUAAUUUCACCAUUGACCAACAAGUUUGCUAUCCCCAAAAAUGACUAACUGAUGACUGAUGACUGAUGACUAAUGACUAUGACUAAUGACAAACAAAAACAAGGACAGCAUCACAAUUGUCUCUGAGGAAAACAAAAACAAAAGAGGCCCAUGAGAAAAAAAAAAAAAAAACUACCUGGCAGCACCACCGGCCAAUCCCCAGUUGCCACAUGGGCGGACGACCAUCCUAAGUGGCAGGAGGCUUCCCCUCUUUAUCUAUAUGUUUAAUAUGUUGAAAAAUUGCAAAAGUAUUUGGUAAUUACAAAUCUAACGGUAAAUUGGACAAUGUUCACCUAGGUUUCAUCAGCAGCAGAUACAAAGGAAUCCUUUAGAUGCUUCCAUAUGUCUUCAAGUCUAAGCAGCAGAUACAAAGGAAUCCAUCAGAUGCUUCCAUAUGUCUUCAAGUCUAAGUGCGUAAUUCUUUGAAAGAACAGAAAAUACAUAUGUAGACUUCACAAAUGGAGUUCAUCUGUUGAGCAUCUGCAAUGAAUUGAAUCCUCCACUAAGGGCUAAUUUAAACUUAAAAGGACAACCUGAAUGCAUUACUUUCAUCGAUCUGAGCAAUAAAAAUUAAACAUUAGACAUGUACAAACUUUUUGGGAGUGUUAGUUUAGCAGAUGGUGUUGGUUUUUUGGGGUAUAAACUAAGAAACAACAACUUAAUGUUGCAUAAAAAGCUUAAAAGAAACUUGUAUUGAAAGUGGAAAAUGACCUUGUGUUCUACAUUUAUCAACUCAUUAUUUAUAGUGAUUACAUGAAACAAACUAGCAAAAUAUUCAACUAACAAUUAUCCUAAAAAUCUCAACAAGAUAUAAUCUUUUUCUACUGUUAACAUAUUUGUUAACAAACCAACAUGAUCUCUGGUUAACAAAUAUCUUUAUUCUUCUAAUAACUAAAUUAUUUUGAUAUCAAACAUAAUCUAACAAAAUUUGUAGGAAAAGCUGGCAUACAUUAUAGCUCAAAUGAGAAUACUUUUUUUUUUUGUUUGAAAACUUUCAAUGUUUAUUGGGUGAAGAUAAAAUUUUGUGAGUCUAACUUGGGGAGGUGACUCCUAUCCAAUCUCCUCCCCGGAGCCCCUAGGCUGGUCCGCACAUAAUUUGCUAGUCAUUAAGUAGGAAAAAUCAACAUUUAUGAUGACUGGUGCUAUUUUUCUGUUAUGGCUGCUAUCAUAAUUCAUGGCUAGAGACCACCACACUAAUUUCUGCUCCCACCUCCAUGUGUGUGUUAGCGUGUUAUGAAGAUUUCCAUGCUCUUCUUCAAUAUAUAUGAUUUUUUUUUGUUGUUGAUACCAAUCUUUGUGAGCAUGGCAAUGGGCAAAAUUCACUACUACUCCUUAAAUUUUAGCCUAGUUUCGUAUGCUAUAAGGGCUGCCAGCAACAACAAUAUUGCUAUGGAUCAAUCAGCGCUUCUUGACAUUAGUAGAGAAAACAACUUCCCUGGAGAACACCUUAAUUUUGGUAUUAAUAAUUUUGGUGGAGAGCUUCCCUCUUGUUUUCGUUAUUUACAGAAACUCCAGCAACUUUUGACUCAUAAACAAAAGCUUUACGGGCUCUAUCCCGUCUUCUAAGCACUCCAACAGGUGUACAUUACUCAGUAUAUUGCAGCAGGGGAAUGAUUUCAAUGUUCAAGGAUCUUUUGAUGUCAAAGUUAUGAUAAAUUUUGCCUUGUAGUCAUGACAUAUUACAGGAAUUCAGAGUCAUUUAAGGACAUGGGCAAAGCCAAAUUGAAUACAUUUCUUCCACCAGCUAAACAAAUACCUUACUGUCUUUACAAUACGAGUGUUAUAGAGAUUAAAUACUUGCCUAUGUGGUUUCACAGAACUUAAACUGUAACAGUGUAUUUAAUAUCUAGACAAGCCAAUGUUCCACAUAUCAUAUACCAACCAAUGAGUAAAAGGCAAUACUCAAAAGCUUUAUGUGUAAUAGCAUUUUUUCAGCGUAUAUAUAUAUUUGCUACAAGUAAAAGUCUAACUAUAUGAAAGUUUCGUCAACAUGUAUUUACAAGGUUUUUUUUUUUGGGAUAGCAAUUUGAAGUGAUCCCAGUAUAUCUCUAAUUAACUGCAUUGUGGCUAAGGGUGUAAAUUUUUUAGUAGGAACAUACUAGGUAACUUUAAAUGGUUAACUGCUAGCUUAAUACGAAAAUAUUUACCAUAAAAUAAACAAUCAAACGUGCAACGGACGAUAUGGGAGUGCCUUUCACCAAUAGAGAGCCAAUCACAUAUUCAUGUCAAGCAAUUAUGGAAUAACGGAAAAGAAGCGACUUGAGGGACGACUUGAGGCGGGAGACAAGUGCACGUCUCCUUCAUUCCACCGCACAUGACAAAAGAAACAGACCCUAACUUGUCUUGCACGGUGGACACCCGCUAACCUUGAUGCUAUGGUCUCCGAAGACUAUUCUAAUGUCUACCGAAUAGCGACCUGAUAUUGUGCAAAGUUCUAACCCAACAAGAGGUUUAAAGAAGACUCGACUCGACGGUGGCCCUUUCCCCAGUCCGGCCCCUUACGUCCGUCCUUACAUAAUUUGGUAGUAAUUUUAAACUUGGUUAGAAAUAAAUGUAAUGAGUUUUUUUCAAUGUGGUGAAACUUUUAAAGUAAUGACGACUGGAUAUGAAAGUGUUGAAAAUAUGCUUGAAUUUUCUAAGAAGCAAUGACGAAACCAAAUUAAUGAGAAAAACUUGUAUUUAGAAUGGGUAUGUAAAAAACAACCACUUAUGUUUAAUUUGCAUUUUGGCAGAGAGUAUAUAUAUAUAAAGAAAAACUACUAUUCUGAUACUUUAUUGGAACAAGUAUUUGUCCGAUAAAAAAGGUGAUAGGGGUUAAAAGAAUAGUUCAUAAAAUAUUUUUCAAAUAGUAGCAGAUCAAACAAAUAUAGCUUGCAAAAAAUUGUUUUUUCAUGAUAUACUAAACUAGUUCAUCUACUUUUUUAAUAAAAAUUUGUGCAAUCAUAUCAUCUGUGCGUCUUCUAGGGGUUUCAAAUUAUUUUCGUUGAAGUGAUAUCAUUCUUCCAUAAUGCUCGGAUAAUGAAUUGAUUGCCCAAAAAAUUUUUUUGAUUUCUUCCACAGGAUUACAUAGUUUCCCAGCUUGCAAUGACUUGAAAUUCAAAAGGAGUUAACAAGCAACGUCAUGAAUCCAAAUCGAAGGAUAUAAUAAAUUGGGCAAAUUACAUUUUACCCCCUUGUGGUUUACCCUUUUUUUAUAUAACCCUCCUAUGGUUUCAAAAGCUAUACAUAACCCCCUCAUGGUUUGGAUUAAAGUGUCAAAGUGACGGAAAUAGUCACUCGUAACGGAACUUCUAAAAAUGUCAAAAUUACCCUUAUAAAUACAUGACACAUUAGCCCCGUAUGCUUUUUAUAUUUUACCAUAUAACUCCAUUAUGGUUUAAUACUUUACCAUAUAACUCCCUUAUGAUUUUCAAAAUAUACACAUAAUCCCCCUUGGUUAAUAAAUAAUUUUUAACUUUACAUAAGGGUAAUUUUGACAUUUUAAGUGACACCGUUACGAAUAAUAAUUUCCGUUACUUUGACACUUUAAUCCAAACCAUAAGGGGGUUAUGUAUAACUUUUGAAACUACUGGGGGGUUAUGUGAAAAAACGCUAAACCACAAGGGGGUAAAGUGGAAUUUACCCUAAUAAAUUGGAAGAGAAGAAGUCUAGAGCUCACUUUCAGGGGAGACUUCAGAGACGACUAGAGGUAAGAUAAUUGAGCUGCAUCUUCCCCGAUAUUGACAUUAUAUUCUCCGAAGACUAUUCUGCUAAAUUGAGCCAAUCCUGACCUGGUAAUGCAAAAAGUGAUCAAGAGACUACUUAAUAAUUUGAAGCACUAAUGUUCUACCCACCUUGGGUACACAAAUAAUUUGAAAGCCGUUUAAAUUGUAAUUGACAUAUUUUGCGAGAAUGAUAGACAUCUAUGCUAUUUAGUCAUAGCAGCCUCUUUCUCGAUUUGAUGCAUAGACCCGAUGCAGAACACAUUAUUUUGGGAGGGAAAAUUUGAUUUCAUAUGAACUAGAUGGAAUAAUAAAAAGAUCUUGCAAAGUUUUGUAGAGGAGCAAAUAUUUUAACUCAAAAAAAAAAUACUUUGAAAACUUUAAGACAUUUAAGGGACGAAAAUGAAAUUUUCUGAAUCUAACUUGGGACGAUGACUCCUAUCUAGUCUUCUCUCCCAAACCCCUCUAGACCGGUCUGCCGUAAUUUGAUAGUUAAUAAGUAGGAAAGAGAGAAACACAACAUUGAUAUUGACUGGUGGGUAUUUUUCUGCCAUAGAUGUUAUCAUAGCUAGAGACCACCACAUUAAUUGCUAUUCCCCACCUCCAUGUGUGUGUUUUUUUGUCAUGAAGACUUCCACUGAUACGCUCCUCGAUCCACACGUUCGAGACACGUAGCACGUUUGCCCAAGGAUCUAGCGAGGAUGUCCAACGCUUGGAAUUCCGGGAUCUAGAACCAAACGGACGACACGAUUUGAUUCAAGACGGUAGGACGACGACUCCAAUGAAGGUGGAUACUCCACGGGAUAGGUCGGUAGAACAAUCUAGGACGAGACGCAAGACUGCUCAAAACCCUUGCCAAAGCAAGUAAAGGGGUCGAAUCUCUCUCUCAAGAAGAAUCGAAAAUAUGCCAAACUUUAUUGAUAAAACGUCUACCCUUAAACCUUACAAAGCAAGCCUAUUUAUAGGCUAAAGUGACUAAAACCCUAAAGGCUAGGAAAAGGAAAAAGUCGGCCCAUGUUUUUGGAACAAGAUGGGCCGGCCCAUGCUCUUACUUAAUCAUUAACUAAUUGCUAACUAAUUGAUGGGGCCUAAGGCCUUAUUCUCUUGGUGGCCCGCUUGACUCUUCGUGGACUUGGAUCAUGGUGUAAAUGACUCGAUUGUCUCACUCCAAGCCCUCAAUAUCUUAGUGAACUCCAUGUUGGUCUUGAACGUUCCUUGAAUUGCUUAGCCCGUGCACAUGUGACUGGGCCCAAUGGUACUUGGACUGGGUCAUUGGUGGGCCAAGGUCCGUGCACACAUCAGUCCCCUCCUCUUAAGAAGGAUUUGUCCUCAAAUCUAGAUGGAGAUGGAAGAUACUAACAAGAGUUAGUAGUAUGACAACGCGAAUCGAUAGUGCGUUUGGAAGUCAGCCACGUUGGGAACAAAUGAAAGUUCACGAGCCAAGUUAAAUGUCGUUUGGUCAGCUUCAUUAGGCUCUCAAACAAGGACAUGCGCCAAGGUAGGAAAGAGCCUGUGUAAGGCUCGCGAAACUUCCAGGUAGCAAUCCAGAGCGCUCUAAUCAUCCUUCGGCCAUGCAUUGGUAUAGUGUCACCAUUCUCAUGCACAAGAUAAGGAUCUUCAGAAUGAUGCUCAUGGGAGCAAGAGAAAUUCCAAAUCGGGUUUUUCAAGGUGGUAUGACUCGUCCCUGGUUGUUGCUGAUUUGGCACAACUUGCCUAUUUGGAGGUGAAACAUUGAACCAAUCAGGUUGCACUUCCCUAGAAGUACGAACCAGUGAUGUAAGACCAACGUUCGGAUCUUUAUUGACACAUUUGUGGGUAUCACCCGACAAAAGUGGCAGCAAUGAAGUGAGACGCACUCCAUACGAAUCAUAUGAAUUUGUGCAAGUUGGAGUUGGUGAAGUAAGCUCGUGGUGACCAGCUUUUGGACAUGUGAAGAAGCCCGAACGUGCUCCACUUUCAGCAGGAAUAAGCACGAAAUCGGGUUGCAAGUUCUUAACCAUAGUUGGAAAAUUUUGGACAGCGUUACAACCUACAAAAACAAAAUAACCUUCAACUUGAAGCAAUUCGGAAAUCGGGUAAAGAACUAAUGGUACAUUAUCAACUAGAUGGUAAGAAGGUGUAGAACAAGAUGGAAAUGAGAAAACUCCCUUUGACACUUCAAUAUUCCUUCUACCAAUUGAUUCAACUUGAGAUGCCAGUGCUAGUCCUUUACACUUCUCUUUAACACCUACAUGAGAGCAACAAGAGUUAGUGCUAGUAUCAUGCUCAAAAUAAGGCAAAGGUGAGGAAUGAACCAUAGGUAGAGAACAAGCAGUAGAAUCUGAAAUUUCCCUUUUAAGACGAGCUCGAAUCAAUCCUCCAAUGGUGUGGACAGGUUUGAGUUGACAUGGUUCCAUGAAUUGAGACCAAAGAGAUUUAGCUCCUAGAAGACAAACUCCAUGGAAACUCGCAAAGUGUCCAAGUGACGUGGGAAUGGAACAUGCCAUGACCAACUCUACUUGACUUUGUUUAAUCUGCACAAAAGAAGAGGUACUAAACAAAACACAUGUUAGCUUGUUAGCAAACAAAACGUCCACACUUUCAACUUUUGCGAACAUGGCCAACUCCUCCUUUUUACUCAUCAAUAAGGCCAAACUAUUCUUGCCCUUUCCUACUCCAUUUGUCUCGGACCAUUGUCCAUUCAUUGCACUUGAGUUCGGAUUAUGUUCAUGGCUUAGCUGCAUCUCAUUCAUAGAGGGCUCUUCAAUCGACGAGGGACUAGGAUGAAUAUUUCCUUUGUUACCACCGGUCGACACAUGAUUAAGUUGCUCAAAGUGGGAAUCCCAUACUUGGCUAAGUCUUUCCAUCAUAGAAUUAACCCAUGCUUUAGUUUGACUUCGGAAUUCAUCCUUUGCUUCACGAAGCUUUGACUCAAUUCGAAAAUUCUCGAGCUCCUCGUCUUGAUUGUCAAGACGCUUCUUAGAUGAACCUUGUUUGCAUGAAGUUGACCUUGAUUUAGAUGCUCUACGCAAACUGCUUUGCUCCUUCUCAUACUCAUCACAAUCUUGUUUAUACCUUUCAUAUACACACAAAACACGGUGGCGUUGCAUCUCCUCCCGGAGUGAAUGAUACCCAUGUUGUGAACUGGAUUGCAUGGAACUAGAGUACUUGUGAGUAGGCCUCUUGAGACCCCUCCUCCUGAGAGGCCCAUUCUCCAAGAAUUCUUGGUUGUAUGGGUAAGACGCAACUUCUCUAGGCAUGAGUGUGUGACCUGCCAAAAUGGUAAGCAAAGAAAAGGAGAUGCCUCACGUCACACAAGCUCACGUGUAUGUGCUCAUCCCUCGUGUAUCUCUCGCAGUGUUCUAAUGGACUUACCAAAUACCUUUACCUGUUGGAUUAGGUAGUUGAGAAAUGCUGCUCAAAUCCAACAACCGUUACCAACCUUUCCACAAGUGUAACCACAAGAACGUAGGAGAAAAUGUAGGAAAGUGUUCCUAAAAUCUAGGAGAAAAUAUAGGAGCAAAUGUAGGAGAAAAUGUAGGAAAGUUUCCUAAAAUGGGGAAGAGAAUAUAGGAGAGUUUCCUAAAGUGGAUGAGAGAAUAUAGGAAAUGACCUAAAAAUGGAUGAGAAAAUUUUAAGUGAGUUUCCUAGAAAUGGAUGCGAGAGUUUAGGAAAAUUUCCUAAAAAAUGGAUGAGAGAAUUUAGGAAAGUUUCCAAAAAAUGGAUGAGAGAAUUUAGGAAAGUUUCCAAAAAAAAAAAUGGAUGAGAGAGUUUAGGAAAAUUUCCUAAAAAUGGAUGAGAGAAUUUAAGAAAGUUUCCAAAAAAAAAAUGGAUGAGAAAAUUUAGGAAAGUUUCCUAAAAAAUAGAUAAGAGAUUUUAGGAAAGUUUCCAAAAAAAUGGAUGAGAGAGUUUAGGAAAAUUUCCUAAAAAUGGAUGAGAGAAUUUAGGAAAGUUUCCAAAAAAAUAGGUGAGAGACUUUAGGAAAGUUUCCUAAAAAGAUAGGAGGGAGAGUGUCCAAGUGAGUACAAAGAGUUAUCCAAGUACUUUACUUAGUUUCCUAAUUGAUUUUGGAAACAAGUUAGUUUUUGGAAACCUUUUGAAAAUCCUUUUCCUCUUGAACAACUUUUGGUAACCUUCUUGAAACAACUUUUGGUAAUCUUCUUGAAACAACUUUUGGUAACCUUCCUGAAACAACCUUUGGUAAUCUUCUUGAAAUAACUUUUGGUAACGUCCAAAUUCUACUCCAAGAAAGAUUGCACAAAUCAGAUUUGGUUCCCUAUUCAAAACAAUUCGGUUGCCCCUUUCUUUCCUUUCCUUUUUUUUUUCUCUUGCCAACCGAUUCCUCUUUUCUUUCCUUUUUUUUUCGUUUUCGUUUUUGUUUUCUUUUUUUUUUCUUGACUACAACUAUCAACCACGACACAAAACAAGGAAAUCCACAAAUAAUAACUACCAAAAACUCCAAGAUAUUUCAAGAACUUCUCAAAGAAGUUGUCAGGAACUUCAGAAAUUUCAAGAUUAUGGUCAAGAAUUCAAGAAGCUCAAGAUUAUUGUAAGUUCUCUUCAAGAUUCACAAAAUUCCAACAAGUUUUGCCAAAAUCCAGAUUUGAAAACCAAGUAAACAAGUUGGAUAACACAAACAACAAGGCUGGACAGAUUUGUAUUCGGAUGAACAGUACGAUGAACAGUGUCGGUGAACAGUACGAUGAACAGUAACGGUGAACAGUGUCGACUGAACAGUACGAUGAACAGUACCGGUGAACAGUGAUUUUUUUUUUUUUUUUUAACAAGGCAGCGGACAAAACACAAAGACCCUACGACACAACUACGAAAAAAUACGGAUAUAACGAAAGAUACCUCUACCAAAGCUCUGAAGCCAACUGAUACGUUCCUCGAUCAACACGUUUCGAGACACGUAGCACGUUUGCCCAAGGAUCUAGCGAGGAUGUCCAACGCUUGGAAUUGCGGGAUCUAGAACCAAACGGAUGACACGAUUUGAUUCCAGACGGUAGGACGACGACUCCAAUGAAGGUGGAUACUCCACGGGAUAGGUCGGUAGAACAAUCUAGGACGAGACGCAAGACUGCUCAAAACCCUUGCCAAAGCAAGUAAAGGGGGGUCGAAUCUCUCUCUCAAGAAGAAUCGAAAAAUAUGCAAAACUUUAUUGAUAAAACGUCUACCCUUAAACCUUACAAAGCAAGCCUAUUUAUAGGCUAAAGUGACUAAAACCCUAAAGGCUAGGAAAAGGAAAAAGUCGGCCCAUGUUUUUGGAACAAGAUGGGCCGCCCCAUGCUCUUACUUAAUCAUUAACUAAUUGCUAACUAAUUGAUGGGGCCUAAGGCCUUAUUCUCUUGGUGGCCCGCUUGACUCUUCGUGGACUUGGAUCAUGGUGUAAAUGACUCGAUUGUCUCUCUCCAAGCCCUCAAUAUCUUAGUGAACUCCAUGUUGGUCUUGAACGUUCCUUGAAUUGCUUAGCCCAUGCACGUGUGACUGGGCCCAAUGGUACUUGAACUGGGUCAUUGGUGGGCCAAGGUCCGUGCACACAUCAUCCACGCUCGUCUUCAGUAUAUAUGAUUUUGCUGCUGACACCAAUUCAUGUGAGUUACGGUCAAAAAAAUCUCAACUUGAUCAAUAAGCAAGGCCAUGGGCAAAAUUCACUACCUUUUCUUGAUAAAUUUUAGCAUAGUUUCGUUAGCCAUGAUGGCUGCCGGCAACAGUAAUGUUACGUCGGAUCAAUUAGCGCUUCUUGCGCUAAGAGAUCGCAUGAUCAAUUCAGAGCCUCGAGAAAUCUUGGCAAAAAACUGGUCCAUUACCUCCUCUGUUUGUGAUUGGAUAGUGGUCACCUGCGGCUCUCGACACCGCCGAGUGACUGCCUUGAAUAUCUCAAACAUGAACCUUACUGGUACCUUACCUCCUCAACUUGGGAACCUGUUCUUUCUGGGUUCCCUUAACAUUAGCGGGAACAAUUUCCAUGGAGAAUUACCCUGAGUUAGUUCAGUUGCGCAGAUUGAGAUACCUUGAUUUUGGGAUCAACAAUCUCGGUGGAGAGCUUCCCUCCUGGUUUGGUUUAUUACACAAACUCCAAUACCUGUCUCUCAGAAACAAUAGCUUUGCGGGUUCUAUCCCGCCUUCCAUCUCUAACAUGUCAAACUUGGAGACGCUAUGGCUGUCUUUCAAUUUCAUUGAGGGGACCGUUCCAACAGAAUUUCAGAAUCUUCAUAAUUUGAAGAAUUUGAUUAUUGAGUAUAAUCAGCUUUCUCGUCCUUUGCCACCCCAUGCAUUCAAUAUUUCCUCGCUGGAAAGCAUUUCCUUCAUGAAUAACAGCCUAUCUGGCAUUCUUCCGGACAACAUCUGUUAGCGCCUUCAGAAACUUACAUGGCUUAAUCUAGCAUAUAACAAUUUGAUCGGUCCAAUACCUUCAACAGUGUCUCAGUGUUCACUGCUUCGGUAUCUUGCCUUGUCUGAGAACCAUUUAAGUGGAUCGAUACCCAUGGGAAUUGGGAACUUGACAAUGCUGGAGAAACUACACCUGGAGAGCAACAAUUUAACAGGUAAAAUGUGGUAGUGAUCUGCUUUUAUUCCUAUUUUUUAAGCAUAGAUUAAGCUUAUGCUUCUGUUCUUGUAUGUGGUUGUCACGCCCCGAGCCCGCACGUGCCCGUCACAUGACAUCUGCCGUACUCUCAAGUCUCACUCAAGAAUACAAGACUAUAUUAACUAAUUUAACUUGAACAGUACUAAAUAAUUUAACUAAAUAAAGUGCGGUACGAAUUACAUAUAAAAGGAAGUCUACGAAUAUUCAAAGCGUUCGUACAUUUAUUCUCCAAUUGAAACAGCGGAAACAAGAGUAAAUAAGACUAACACUAGAAGUAACUAGCCUGCCAACUUCUAUGCACCUAAACUAAUAAAAGUCAUCCUCAGGGUCUUCUAUAUAAACCAAUUCAUACUCUUCCGAAUCUGCAAAAAUGGUAAGAAGUGGGUUGAGCGACACAUCGCUCAGUAGGUAAUAUUUACCCCUCUGUUGGAUCAUGCACUCUUAAUUUUAUAGGUACACAAAUGUUUGAAAGUAACGUUAUUUAUAAAGCAAUCAGUAGUAAAGAAUGACAAGCAAUUUAAAAGCAUCUCGUUGAUAGUUGUACAUGAGAAAUCGUAAGGUCAUAAAUCAUUUCGUCUCAAGUCACAAACCUCUCCAUAACCAUUCGCAAAUCAACUCAUAUCAGUUCAUAAGUCUCAUUUCAACUCAGUUCAUAAAUCAUUCCAUCAGAUCAGCUCAUAACAAGUACAUGCAAUGACCGGCUACUGAGUACUCAGCCUAGAGAUUAGAUCCCUUCUAGGUGGGCGACCAAUAGAUUUCAUGACUAUCGAUUGAUCUCAUUUCAUUCUUGGGUCAAUCGGUCGGACUUUAUAUCAGGCUACCAUGACCUUGCCAAUCGGCCGGACUUUAUACCAAGCUACCAUGGCUUUGUCAAUCGGCCGGACUCUAUACUACGCUACCAUGACCUUACCAAUCGGCCGGACUUCAUACCAGACUACCAUGGCGAUUAGACAGGACUAUAGCCCCUACCGUCUAUUCCAUGACUGCUCUGAGCCUUACUUGUCAAAAUUCAUUUCGUAUAUCACAUACAUAAUUCUUUGCUUUCAUAAAAGAUUCAACUCAUUUUGUAUAUAAGAACAUAUCAAAAUAUUUCAAAUAGGUCACAUGGUCCAUUUUUAUAUAGUAAAAUAUAGCUUUCAUAAAUAUCCAAGUAAAGCAUUUAAUCAAACACAUUUCGAGUCAACACAACAAAAUAGGGUUGAAAACAAGAAUUUCAUUUGUACAUUUGAAAUCUCAGAAGGAUAAGUACCACCUAUCUCUGUUUGGCGGCUCGAGUGGAACUACUUUAGGUCCUUAUAUCGUACCUAUCAAAAGUAUAGGUUCCCUAAUUAGUUGUUACUUCCUAUAGAUGCAUAAAUAUACACCUCUAAGUAAGUACAGCAUUCAUAUCUAAACCAUUAUAUGGACCCUAAUAGUAUUUCCCCCAAAUUGGACGAUUUUUAUUUUUGGAAAGUUUCCUAAUUUGAAGAGUUUCUAUUUUUAGAAAGUUUCUUAAUUUGGAAAGUGCUCAUUUUGUAAAGUUUCCUAAUUUAACAGAAAAUAAUUAUUCACAAUCCUGGUUAUUAUCCUCACUACUAUCUUACUAUAUUUAUUUAUAAUUUAUGAUUAUCCGUUAUUAUUAUUACCAUCCCCGUCAUCGCUAAUUUAUUUUAUUAUCACUUAUAUAUAUAUAUUAGAUAGUCACUAUUACCUUCCCCUUUAUUUCCACUUUUAGGCGUGUGUAGGUGUUAUUAUUAUUUGUAUAUAUAUCUACCCAUACACUUAUACAUACUGACUUUCUAUAAUUGUUUUAGUUUAUUCCACUCGUAAUUAUAUCUUAUUUUUUGUUUAUAUUCUUCAUUUAUUUCCCCCACGUCCACAUUAUUGUUAUUCUCACUAUCAUUGUUUUAUUAAUUAUUAUUUACUAUUACUACUACCACUAGUAUUAUUAUUAUAUUUAUCCUCAUAUAUAUAUAUAUAUAUAUAUUUUAUUAUAUAUAUUUAUUAUUAUUAUUAUUAUUAUUAUUAUUAUUUUAAGCAUUUCGUUUAGCAAUUUAGCACUUACCUUACCUUGUUUGAUGUGGCUUAAGACGGCUAGAUUAAGAUGUUUUAGAUUUCCAUUUAAGUAUCUUAUACGUAAUUAACUAAUGAUAGUUAAUGAGAAAAUUCAACAUUGAUAUUGGCUGGUGGGUAUUUUUCUAAUAUUGAUGUUAUCAUAGCUAAAGACCACCGCAUUAAUUGCCGGUCCCCACCUCCGUGUGUGUGUUUUUGUGCCAUGAAGACUUCCACGCUCGUCUUCAGUAUAUAUGAUUUUGCUGCUGACACCAAUUCAUGUGAGUUUCGGUCAAAAAAAUCUCAACUUGAUCAAUGAGCAAGGCCAUGGGCAAAAUUCACUACCUUUCCUUGAUAAAUUUUAGCAUAGUUUCGUUAGCCAUGAUGGCUGCCGGCAACAGUAAUGUUACGUCGGAUCAAUUAGCGCUUCUUGCGCUAAGAGAUCGCAUGAUCAAUUCAGAGCCUCGAGAAAUAUUGGCAAAAAACUGGUCCAUUACCUCCCCUGUUUGCGAUUGGAUAGGGGUCACCUGCGGCUCUCGACACCGCGGAGUGACUGCCUUGAAUAUCUCAAACAUGAACCUUACCGGUACCUUACCUCCUCAACUUGGGAAUCUGUCCUUUCUUGUUUCCCUUGAUAUUAGCAAAAACUAUUUCCACGGAGAACUACCUCGCGAGUUAGCUCACUGGCGCCGACUAAGAUACCUUGAUUUCGGGUUCAACAAUGUCGGUGGAGAGCUUCCCUCCUGGUUUGGCUAUUUGCAUAAACUCCGAUACCUGUCCCUCAGAGAAAAUAGCUUUACGGGUUCUAUCCCGCCUUCCAUCUCUAACAUGUCAAACUUGGAGAUGCUAUGGCUGUCUUAUAAUUCCAUUGAGGGGAACGUUCCGAUAGUAUUUCAGGAACUUCAUAAUUUGAAGCAUUUGAUUAUUGAGCAUAAUCAGCUUUCGGGUCCUUUGCCUCUCCACACUUUCAAUAUUUCCUGACAGGAAAGCAUUUCUUUCAAUAAUAACAGCCUAUUUGGCAUACUUCCAGACAACAUCUGUGACGGCCUUCAGAAACUUACUUUUCUUGGUCUAACAGGUAAUAGUUUGACUGGUCAAAUACCUUCAACACUGUCCCGGUGUUCACUGCUUCAGGUGCUAUCCUUGUCAGUGAAUUAUUUCACUGGACCCAUACCCAAGGAAAUAGGAAACUUGACAAAGCUGGAAAAGCUAUACUUGGGGACCAACAACUUAAGAGGUAGAAAGUAGUAGUGAACAAUUUUUCUUUUUAUUUUAUAAACUCAUAUAGGUAUCAAUGUCCAUUUUUUUUCCCUUGUGUUGAGCUCACACUUCAUUUCUUCGGUUCUUCUAUAUGGACGUGUUAGUGAAACAGAAAAACACUACAGCCAUUUACCUUUUUUUUUUUUGGAUAGAAGGUUCUUUGUGAUUCAUGUUUCAAAAGACUUAAAUAUGCAAAUGAAAAGCUUUCAGUUUUAGGGGUACUCGACUUGUUAUAGGCAUCCUGUUCUUGUGUUUCUAAAAUUUUGAAUAAUCUUGACACCAAAAGGUGCAGGAAACACGACCAUUUCCAAUUGAUAAAAUUUGGAAAGUUCAAAAGUCUCAUCAUUGCUGUCGCUAUAUAUUUCCAUUCCAAGUCAAACCAAUCUCAUGAGAGUUGCAAUUUUGCAGGUGCAAUUUCAACUGAAUUAUGGAAUUUAACCAUGUUGAUGAAUUUAGAUUUUGGCGACAACAAAUUGACAGGUAUGCCAAAGUUGCUAAUUACAAGGUCUUAAUUGCGUAGACCAACAUUAAAACUUGGCAUCAGUUUGAUCAGUAGGAUACUUGGGGCCUAUGUUCGGUUAUUUGACAAUUUGACAUCAACUUUUCCUUUUAACGGAUUUUUUCAAACUUUAAAUUCUAGAUAGUGCCAAUGGAAAGUUGCCAAUGAUAUGCUAACACAAAAGUGCUUUACCAUAUUACAGGUGGAAUACCUGAAAGCAUUGGGAAUCUUCACACAUUAGAGACUCUUGCUUUAUUCAACAAUUCAUUAUCAGGUUCCAUACCAGCUGCAAUUUUUAACAUUUCAUCUCUCCAAUAUAUUGGACUCCACCAGAACAAAUUCUCAGGAACGAUUCCUUUGACAGUGAGUAAUAAGUUAAGCAAUUUGGAGUCUCUUUUUCUUUAUCGGAAUGACUUGACUGGUGUUAUACCCAACUCCAUCUCAAAUGCUUCUAAGCUAGUUUUUUUGAUACUUUACAAUAACGAGCUCACAGGUUCAAUCCCCACCUCUUUAGGAAGUUUAAGAAAUCUAAAAAUUCUAAACUUGGUUUUCAACAGGCUAUCAAGUGAAUCCUCAGAAUUGAGCUUUUUCACUUUCUUGACGGCUUGCAGAUCCUUGAGAUAUUUAACAUUGAAUAAUAAUCCUCUAAAUGGUUUUCUACCAGCUUCCAUUUCUAACUAUUCGACUUCACUUGAAGGGAUAAGUGCAGUCACUUGUAAAAUCAAAGGAAACAUCCCAGCUGGAAUCAACAAUUUGAGCAGUUUACUAGUUCUAGAUUUUUCAGAUAAUGAAUUGAUUGGAUCUGUCCCAAGAACUAUGCAUAGUCUGGCAAAUCUUCAAGUGCUGUACUUGAACUCGAAUCAAAUAAGAGAUGUCUUGGACAUUUUCUGUGGAUUACAUAGUUUGGGGUUGUUAAGCUUGAGCCAAAAUCAAUUCUUUGGUAGUAUUCCAGAAUGCUUAGGAAAUAUGACAAAUUUUAGACAGAUUUUUCUAGACUCCAACAGGUUGACUUCCAUGAUACCUGCUAACCUAUUGAGCAUGAAAGAUCUCCAAAUUCUCAACCUUUCAUCAAAUUUCUUAAGUGGAUCGCUACCUUUAGACAUCGGGAACCUCAAAGCAGCAUAUAGUUUAGAUAUCUCGUUCAAUCAAUUAUCAGACAAAAUCCCUACAACCAUUGGAGAGCUACAAGCUUUACAGAACCUUUCAUUGGCGAGAAAUAAUUUGCAGGGUUCUAUACCAGAAUCAUUUAGCUAUAUGGUAUUUUGGAAUUCUUGGACCUUUCACAUAAUAAUCUCUCUGGUGUGAUACCCAAGUCAAUGGAGGCACUCAAAUCUCUUAAGGAAUGCAAUGUUUCUUUUAAUAGAUUAAGUGGAGAAAUUCCUCGAGAUGGUCCCUUCAGAAACUUUACAGGUUAAUUGUUCAUGAACAAUGAAGGACUCUCUGGUGACCUAAGGCUUAGUGUUCCACCAUGUCAGAGUAAUUCAAUUAGAAGAUCGAGCAAAAGAAAGGUGCUUCUACUUGUCAUUAGUCUGUCAGGGAUGGCAGCAAUACUGAUAAUAGCAAUUGGAGCAUUAUUGAAUCUAAAGUGGCUAAAGAAACCAAAGAGUUCUGGUGGAACAGAGUUGAUGUUAGCGGCAAAAUAUGAAAGAUUUUCAUACUAUGACCUUUUGCACUCAACCGAUAACUACAAUGAAAGCAAUUUGCCUGGAGAAGGGAGCUAUUGUUCUGUUUACAAAGGGAUCCUAAGUGAUGGCACUGUUGUGGCUAUCAAGGUAUUCAACUUGCUAGUGGAAGGUUCAUUAAAAAGUUUUGUUAGAGAAUGUGAGGUUCUAAAGAGUUUAUGCCAUCGAAAUCUUACAAAAGUGCUCGGCAGCUGCUGUAACCUUGAUUUUAAAGCCUUGGUACUCAAAUACAUGCCCAAUGGGAAUCUUGAGAAGUGUUCGUACUCUCACAACCAUUUUUUAGAUAUGUUCCAAAGAAUAAACAUAAUGAUUGACGUUGCUUAUGCAUUCGAAUAUCUCCAUUAUGGUUAUGAUACUCCUGUGGUACAUUGUGACUUGAAACCCAGUAAUAUCUUGCUUGAUGAAGAUAUGGCUGCCCAUGUAAGUGACUUUGGUAUAACAAAAAUGUUUGGUGAAGGAGAAAGUAUUUUGCAUACCAACACCCUUGCAACACUGGGAUACAUUGCGCCAGGUUAAGCAUUUAAACUUUUGCUGUCUACAUUUCCUUUACUUCUACGAUGUUGUUCAUCUGUUGUUAAUCUUUUAACUGAUUCUAUUAUUCUGACUAUUGUAAUCUUGUGCCAGAGUAUGGAUCAGAGGGGAUAGUUUCGACAAGAAUUGAUGUAUACAGCUUUGGAAUAGUUUUGAUGGAAGUUUUUUCAAGGAUGAGGCCUAGUGAUGAAAUGUUUUUGGGAGAUUUAAGCCUUAAAAGUUGGAUAGAAGAUUCUCUUCCUGAUGCACUUCAGGUCGUUGAUGCAAACUUAAUAAGGCCAGAGGAUGAGCAUUUCACUCACAAGCUGAAGUGUGUUUUAUUGAUCAUGAAUUUGGCUUUGAACUGCUGUAGAGAAUCUCCAAGAGAACGGAUGAACAUGAAAGAUGUUUUAGCAGAACUACUAAAGAUCAAGAACCAAUUUCAAUUUCUGAUGAUAGUAAGUAUUUAUCCUUUUUGUGCAAAUUUUACUUCUCAAUGUUGAAAGUUAUGUUUCCUUAUUCAAUUGAGCUUAUAACCUGCUAUUUUUUGCAGCAUACCGUUAGGUCUUGAUCGUAUCAGAAACAAUGCUUUGGCCAAUGCAAACGGAUAUUGCUGUAUAAUUUGUAAGCUUGAUUUAUUUUGAAGGCCAGAGAGAGAUGUACAUUAUUCCCUUGGUGUCAUCUACAUCACAUUUGGACUUUCAGUUAUAAGGAACAUUGCAUCUAGGGUUUUACUUUGCUUUUCUUUUUUUUCCUUUAAUUCUGACUAAGUUCUUGGCUACCUUUUACUUUAAAUAAUCUAGUGACAAAAAGUAGAAAAUUCACAAUUCCCUGCCAUAAAAAUAGAAUAGCAAAAGCAUACCAUUCACUUUCAAAGGAGACUUCAGGGACGACUAGUCUAGGUCUGGGUUUGUUUCUUCUCCAUCCACAUAUAUAAUAAUGGAAACUGGAAUUAAAGUCAAUGAAGGAAUAAAGCAAGACUAAUGGUGGCCCCUUCCCAAUCAGCGUCGCAAGCUCCAUGUCGUCCAUGAUUUGAUAGUCCUUGUUUGGAACCUACUUGGAAAAUAAAUCAAUGUUACAACCUUUCUCCAUUGAUUUGGUUUUAUUAUUCCUGGAAUGUGUUAUUAGUGGACUUCCAUGCUCGUUUCUAUCUGUAUAUAUCGUUUUCCAGUUCAUCCCAAUUCUUAAUUAGUGAGUGCCCCGGUGAGUGUGGAAAUCUGAAAUUGAACCAUAAGCAUGGCCAGGGACAAAAUCUACUACUUCUUCAUGCUUAUCAUGCUUACUAUGGAUCAAUCAGUGACAUGAUCACUUCAGAACCUCAAGAAUUCUUGGCAAAAAAUUGGUCAAUUACCUCCUCUAUUUGUGAAUUGCUUCGUCAGUUGGCUCACUUGCGUAGAUUGAGAUACCUUAAUUUGGAAUCAACAAUUUUGGUGGACAACUUCGCUCCUGGUUUGGUUCCUUAUAGAAACUCCAAUACCCGUCUCUCAGAAACAAUUGCUUUACGGGUUCUCUCCCACCUUCCAUCUCUAACAUGUCAAACUUGAAGACGUUAUGGCUGUCCUUCAAUUCCAUUGAGGGAACAAUUCCAACAGAAUUUCAGAAUCUUCAUAGUUUGAAGAAUUUACAUAUUCAGCAUAAUCGGCUGUCUGGUCCUCUGCCACUCCACACUUUCAAUAUCUCCUCACUGGAAAACAUUUCUUUUAUUGAAUUAGGGUAUACCAAAAUUUACUUUAAGAUAUGUAAUAGGGAUGUAAAUAGUUAUAUUUAUAUUGUAUAGUUAUAUUUUUUUCUGCAUGAGCGACAUAUUGGAGCAUCUUUUCAUAACGUGCAACAUGGGUGGUUUGUGAUAUUAUAAUAUAUAUCAAAUAUAUUACAUGAUCUAUUUGCAUAUAACAAAAUAAAACUUGCUUUUAAGGAAAUUUCACAUUUAAUAUUCAAAAAUUCAAAGAGGUGAGUACCAUCGAAAAACUUAAUUUGGUCCUUUAAAGAAGCAAGUUGUUCUAAUUUUGAUCAUUUAUCAUAUUUUGUUAAGGAAAAAUCAUUCAAACGUUCCUCACAUUUUAUAAAAUGAUUUUUUUCGUCCCUCACUUUUAAAAGUAUAAUUUUACGUUCUCAAACAACGUGUACUAUUUAUAGUGGGAAGUAAGAUUUCCGAACAACUCCUAAUAUUCAUCAUAUGUACAAUAGCACAUUUUUUAAAAACAAAAGCUAUAGUAAUAUCUUAAAAAAUGCCAAAAAGAACUUAUUAAGAACUAAAAACACUUGAAAAGAAUACACUAACAUUCCUUUACAUUACCACCUUUUUUCUUCUCACUUUCUCCUUUCCUCUUUCCUUCGCACCAUGCCACUACCUCUCUCCUUUCCCUUCGCCCCUCUCUUCCCCCCCUCCCCACCCAAAUCGCCUCCCUCCACUAUACUUCUCGACUCAUUUCUCUUUUUCCUUCUCAACACCCACUAUUCCUCUAACCUUUAUGCUUUCCCACCUUCACCCACCAGCGCACCAAUUCCCCUCCUCUCUUUUGUUCCCUUUCCCUUUCUUUUCUUCAUCACUCUUGGAAUACCCAAUCCAUCUUGUUUUCUGAAAAUGUAACAUGCAUGAUAUAUAGAUAUUAAACGUGCCUCUAAAAAUAAUUAAUCUAACGAGCUCAUACAUUGAUUUCCUAAGUGCUCUGACAUCUUAAAGAUAGCAAUUAUAUAAAGCUAUUUUCUUUUUUCAUUUACCUAGUAUUAUCGAAAACAAAUUGAUAAACUCGGACUUUGUCCGAAGUAUAAAUGUGUGAGCAGCAAUCGGGCUUCAUAUGUGAGCUUCGAGCGGGGCAAAUGUAACUGAGCAAAGUUCUGCUCUAGUUUAUCGAAUGCAUAAUGCAUAUCAUUAAGUUCUCGAUUUUUAAAUGCAUAAAGCUAUUUAAUAGAAUGCAUAGCUAAAAUUCUUGAAACCUCUCAUCCUCAAAUACAUGCAUAGCUAAGCUCUUUUACUGCAAAAGCUGAUUCAGAGAAAAUCUUUAAUCAACAAAAAUAUGGACAGAAGAAGAAGGGUAAAUAGAGGGCAAAAGUAUAAAAUUAAAACUGCAAUUAAUGCUCAUAGGACAGGUUCACAAAAUUAUGAUGGGAGAUUUGUGACUUCCAUAUAAACAAAAGGGAAAUCAGUAUAAUUUAGCCUAACUAAAAGAGACACCCAAAAAAUUUAAGGAUUUUUCAAAAGACUACAUCAUAGGGAUGACAAUGGGGUGGGUGCCUGCAGGGGCGAGGGAAAAUGCAGGACUAAAGUGUGGGAUGGAUUUAAUAUAGUAUAAUAUGGAUGUAGUUUUUUUUUUUGAAUAAUUUUUUAAAAUAAUAUCAUACACUUUAUUUUAUAUAUAUAACUUUGAAAUAAAUUGUAUGGUAUUAUUAUGCUUAAAUACAUAACUUUGAAUUAAUAACAUGAUUUAUUGUCAAUUUAUUAUGGUAAAAUGAUAAUUUUAUUAUGUUCAUUUACUUAUUUUCUUUUUCAUGUAUUGCAUGUUGUUUAUUAAAAAAAAUGACAAUUGGUUUAGAUUCUAUGUUGUAUCAAAAAUAAAAAAAAUUCCAAAAGUAUAUUUUUGGGUUUGAUACCUUCCGAAAAUUUUAUUAUCACAACUCUCCAAUAAAUUGAUCUUAAUACCAACAAUUUCUCAGGAACUCUUCCUUCGACAAUUGGAAAUAAGCUAAGCAAUCUUGAGAUUCUUGGACUCCACCAAAAUGACUUGUGUGGAGUUAUACCUGACUCCACCUCAAAUGCUUCUAAGCUCGUUCGGCUAAGCCUUCAAUUUAAUAGCUUCACUGGUGUAAUUCCCAACUCCCUAGGAAAUUUGAGAAACAUCAAGAAUCUAUGCUUAGCCAGCCACAAUCUAUCAACUGAUUCCUCUACUGGAUUGAGCUUUCUCACUUCCUUGACAAGGUGUAGAUUCUUGAGAUAUUUAAAUAGUGGGCGAUAAUCCACUCAAUGGUUUUCUUCCAAUAUUUUUGAACUAUUCGACUUCUCUGAAAGUCUUAAUUGCUACUAGUUGUAAAAUCAAGGGAAACAUCCCUAAAAAAAUCGGCAAUUUGAGUAGUUUUACUGGUGUUAGAUUUUUUUUUCCUGGUGUUAGAUUUAUCAUGUAAUGUACUCACUGGAUCUCUUCCAAGAACAAUACAAGGUUUAACAAAACUUCAGCGACGGGACUUUAGUGUCAAUGAAAUAAGAGACUCCUUGGAAGUUUUUAGUGAAUCAUAUACAUUGGGUGAGUUGCAUUUGAGCCAAAAUCAGUUCUCCGGUCCACUUCCAACGUGUUUAGGAAACCUUACAUCUCUAACCAAGAUUCAUGUGGAUUCCAAAAAAUCGACUUCAAAGAUUCCUACAAGUGGACCGUGAAAAAUCUUCAAGAACUCAAUCUUUCCUCAAGCUUUUCAAGUGGAUUCCUACCUCCAGAGAUCGAAAACCUCAAACCAGCAUACCUUUUAGAUUUCUCAGUCAAUCAACUAUGAGAUAUUAUUCCUACUACAAUUGGAGAGCUACAAGAUUUGACUUGCCUUUCUUUGGCAAACAACACUUUUCAAGGGUAUAUUCCAGAAUCAAUUGGAAACAUGAUCAGCUUGGAAUCCUUGAACCUUUCAUAUGAAAUCAGAAGAUUAGUUUUAAUUGUGAACAUUAUAGACCAACCUAUUGCGACCACAUUUGCUGUACAUGCAAAAAAGAAGGAAUAUUCCUGAUGACAUUCAGCUUAACUCUCCAAAAUCUUGUUGAUUGUUAACGCUACGUCAAUUGCGUGCAAUUAAUCAAGUUUUUUUUCCCAUCGUCCCACCUCUUCCACCAGAUAGCCAGUUAGAUACUGGAAUUGAAUUUAAACUUGAUAAUGGGGAAAAAUCUAAUAGCCCCUCUCCUGGCUACUGUGAGUGAAUUGAAUAUUGAUUCUCAAUCCAAUUAAUUGAGUUUAAUAUUUAAACAAAGGCCAAUACAAGUUGACUCAAUUGGCAAGGAUGAUUACUUUUUCGCAAAAGGUCGUGUGUUCGAAUUCCUAUCUCGAUAUAAGAAUUGUGUUGAUAUAUGGUCUCGAUAUAUGGUCUUGGAGGCAUGCACCACCCAUGAUAGUGAUUGGAAUUGAAUCCAUCCAAAUUUUCACUUACCAAAAAAAAAAAAACUUAAAUGAAGGCAAAAUCUCAAUUACAGCUAUUUGAGUGGCUGAAUUUUUUUCCUUCAUGUUAAUGUUUGCAAAAUAAACUCUCACUUACCAAAAAAAAAAUUUAAAUGAAGGCAAAAUCCCAAUUACAGCUGCUUGAAUGGCUGAAUUUUUUUUUCUUUAUGAUAAUGUUUACAAAAUUUCGCUCGUUCAUUCUAUUUUUAAACAUCUCUGAUUGCCUCGUUCACUGCCUCCUGGACCAAUUUAGCUUAGGACCAAGAGUGUAUUUGUUAGAUCCAAACGUGGAACAAACAACUAUUAAGAUAUCAAAUAUACAACAAUUUAAUGAUAAAUAAGCCACAAGCAUGAAAGAUAAACACACAUAAUAUUUAACGUGGUUCGAUUCCACCAUUGAGCCUACGUCCAUGGAGAGACACCUGCUCUUUAUUAUGAGAGGAAAACCCUAUACAAGAAUACAAUUUGAACCCAAACCCAACCCUUGUAUACCAUCUCUCAUCUUCCAAAAACCCUCUCUCACACUCCAUGUAUAAGGUUACAUGACACCCUUGUGUGUCCUUGUGUAUUGUAUGUCAACCCACCUAUUUAUAGAAAAUAUUAUUUGACCAAAAUCCAAAUAACAAUAGCAAAUCAAUGCUAAUUUCUAAGCUAGUUCAGAAUAAGAAAUAAUUUCUGAGCUAAUUUCCUGCAACAAAGUCAGUUCUCUGUUGAUUGGCCACCACGUGUGGGAGAUCACAUACAAGACAUUCUAAGUUGGGAAAAUUUUGGGCAAUGCCCUUAGCAAAUUCACCAGUGCCACCUCGAACAUCAACGAAAGAUGUCAGGUCCUGAAACACAGACUUGCAUUGGGUCAUCACCACCUCAACGAUUAAACUAGAGUCACCAGCCAUGGCUUCAUUAAAGAUUUUCGCAAACUGAGGUUCCGCAGCAGCAUAAGACCAGAAGUUUUGAAGGGUGUAUUACAGAUUUAUACAAACAGAUAAAAGCCUGCUGAAUACAGAUUUAUAAGGGUGUAUUCUUCUCUCUGGAAUUGAGAAUCAUAUGAUUCUCAAAUGACUAGUCAAAGUCUAAGAAAUUAAAUCCCAGAUUUUUAGAUGUUAUUGUUGUCGUUAAAAUAAAUUUUUGUUCGGUGAUUUCCAAAUAUAAGAGGUAAAUGGCUGAAAACUUAAUGUCAAUGAUCCUUAGAAGACGCCAUAUUUUGGUGGAUUCUAAAGUGAAAGUAUCAAAGAGAGUUAAAUCUCGCGGAUUUUCGAACACCACAGCUUAGGUCAAACUUGAGCAGCUCAAAUAGUGAUAGAACCUAGCGCUUGAGCAAAAGCAUAUGUCUGUGAGGCUCGAAACACUGUCAAAUUUAAUUGAGCAUGAAAAAAAAAAUAAUCUUAAUCGAGCGUUACACAUAUGUAUAAAUUUUUUUUAUUAGUUUGAAAUGUUUACUGUAUGUCUGAUCACAAUUAAAUGGAUAAAGUUUUACAAAAAUAUGCACACUCUAACUCGGUGUAAGUUAAGUUUCAACAACAACAAUGACAUUUAAAAAUUUGGGAUUUAAUUUUCUUGGAUUUUGAAAAAUUCUUGUCACUUUCAAAAUCAUGUGAUUCUCAAUUCUUGAGAGAAGAAUAGAUCCUUAUUGAUACGAACUCGACCCAACAAGAACCUGUCUUGAAGAACCGAAUCGAUCAGGCAGCGGAAGGAUCUAUCUUGACCAGGUUAUGGAUACAAAGAUGGAAAGACCUUACGACCCCUCUAAUCCCCGUGACUACGAACUUGUUGAUAUUAUCUCAACCCGUAACCAAACGAAUUAGUAAACCUCAGGCAAGUGUAGAAGGCGCCACAAUUCAACAUGGUCUUGAAUUGAUAAGCCGAAACUUGAACAAAGGAGAUACAACUCACUUUGUAUCAAGGAACGCUCCCAAAGGAACAAGAAAGAGAAAACUCUCAAUUUUUUUAUUCAUCUCAUAAUUGUGUUUUUCAAUAGUUAAAUAAAGUUGGCUAUUUAUAGCCUUGCAAGACUCAAAACCCUAAUCUAAAUUGGAAACAAUACAAGUUUCCUUAUUUGACUUGACUUCUAAACUUGACACAACUUCCUAAACAAAUUUGGAAGCAAUUAACUGCUUUCCUAAAACUCUAAUUCAACUAGAAUAGGAAACUAACUAAUUCAAAUUGGCUUAAUUAUGGUCAACAUGACCUUAGCCUUUAUUCCCUAAUUCAAACAACUUACUUAACUCUCAAUUUGGAAAUCAAUCAAGAUACCAAUCAAGAUUUGGAAGCCAAUUAAAAUUUGAAAAAUUUGGAUCUUCAAUGAUUCUCGAGCCCGAUUGCACCAUCAACCAUCAUUAGAAUGUGCAGACUUGUAAAAUGAAAGGAAUCCAUGCAAAUCUUCAUGUUCUCAUCAUUCCCCUCCUCUUGAAAGACGAUUUGUCCUCAAAUCGAGUGCUUGUUUACAAAGGAGUAACUCGGAGAAUGUUAUAUGUAAUCCAAGAACUUCAAGAAAUUAUCAAGCCAACUACAAGAAGCAAGAACAACAAGAAACAACCACAAGGUAUGGGGAAAAAAGAGAAAAAAAAAUAAUUUUCGGAUGAAUAGUACUGCUACAGUACUACUACAAUGCGGCGAUGAACAGUACUGCUACAGUGUGAACAGUUCUGAUGAACAGUACCGCUGUGAACAGUACUUUUUUUUUUUUUUGCUUUUGACGACUCGAUGCAAGGUUAGGACUUCACUUGGAAGAAAUUUAAUAGGAGUUAAACCCUUGAAAAACCUGUUUUCAAGAACGUAAUCACACCAAGAAAUUCCAACCUCGUUCAAUCAAGGGGGUAGGUUAGACUCAAGUGAUAAAAUAAUAAAAACCAAAAAAAUUUUUUUUCUUUUAAAAUUGAAAGGCGGCUAGGGUUUCGAUAGAAAAAAAAAAUAGACAAAUAAGAAAAGAAAAAGGAUAUUAACCUGAAUCAAGAGCCGAAGCUCUGAUACCAGAUGAUACGAACUCGACCCAACAAGAACUUGUCUUGAAGAAUCGAAUCGAUCAGGCAGCGGAAGGAUCUAUCUUGACCAGGUUAUGGAUACAAAGAUGGAAAGACCUUACGACCCCUCUAAUCCCCGUGACUACGAACUUGUUGAUAUUAUCUCAACCCGUAACCAAACGAAUUAGUGAACCUCAGGCAAGUGUAGAAGGCGCCACAAUUCAACAUGGUCUUGAAUUGAUAAGCCGAAACUUGAACAAAGGAGAUACAACUCACUUUGUAUCAAGGAACGCUCCCAAAGGAACAAGAAAGAGAAAACUCUCAAUUUUUUAUUCAUCUCAUAAUUGUGUUUUUCAAUAGUUAAAUAAAGUUGGCUAUUUAUAGCCUUGCAAAACUCAAAACCCUAAUCUAAAUUGGAAACAAUACAAGUUUCCUUAUUUGACUUGACUUCUAAACUUGACACAACUUCCUAAACAAAUUUGGAAGCAAUUAACUGCUUUCCUAAAACUCUAAUUCAACUAGAAUAGGAAACUAACUAAUUCAAAUUGGCUUAACUAUGGUCAACAUGACCUUAGCCUUUAUUCCCUAAUUCAAACAACUUACUUAACUCUCAAUUUGGAAAUCAAUCAAGAUAUCAAUCAAGAUACCAAUCAAGAUUUGGAAGCCAAUUAAAAUUUGGAAAAUUUGGAUCUUCAAUGAUUCUCGAGCCCGAUUGCACCAUCAACCAUCAUUAGAAUGUGCAGACUUGUAAAAUGAAAGGAAUCCAUGCAAAUCUUCAUGUUCUCAUCACUUAUAAAUCUGUAUUCAGCUGGCUUUUAUCUGUUUUUUUAAUGGGGUUUUUAUAGCCGACCAAUUUUUGGUGUAUUUUCAAGAUAAAAUACCCCUUUGUCUUAUAUAUUGAUACAUUACCUCUUUGUCUUACAUGUGAAUCUCCAUUACCGGCCGCUUGUUGAUUUAUGAUGCCGCCUUAUACAUCAAUUCAUUUCCAACCUGCAUUAGAUAUUGUAUUUUCGAAAUACAGUCUAAUGCAUCCAUCUGAUACUUUCUUUUGAGGUUUUCUCUGUGGUCUCGAAAGCCAAUCCAUCUUCUCGGGUGCCUCAAUCCUGAAUUGGAUACUCUUGCUUUGACUUUCACUAUGGUACUGUAUUUUUGUGGAGUAAAUGACACAAAUAGUUUUAAAUUGUUCAAAAUUUAUUAUUGUGAUCUUCAAAAUUAUGUACUCUUGUGACAAUUAUGUUUUAAAAUUUAUUAUGAAAGGCUUGUUUAGACCAGCCUUGCUUUGGUUGUUUUAUUUGAUAACUUUUGUAUAUAGAAUUAGGUUAUAGUAGUAAAUAGUUGUAUUUUGUAUAGCAGGUUGAAUUUCGGGUUCAUCUUGGUUGUUGCCAAUUGCUACAUACGUACAUGGUAGGAAGACUUAAAAGUUAGUAUGUACAAAAUUUUAGUUAUUUUUGGUUUGAUUCUAGAGAGGGUGAUGUUAUGUCCUAGUUUUGGGACGUGAAAACACAUAUAAUGGCUUCUUUUCUUCUCAAUUCUCUUUUUCAUUACACGAUUGAGGAGAGAGUUGUGAUGGCUGAAAGUUUUUGAAGGCUUUUUUUUGAAUUGAAAAGGGAAAAGUGAAUUAAAAAAGGAUCAAGUGAUGAUAUUCCAUCCAAAUUUGUUAGGAAGCCAUCAAUUGUUUUCAAUUAAUCAAAAUUAUGAGGAUGAAAUGGGUUUUGGUUGGAACUUGAAGAACAAAAUUAGUCCAGAUCCGAAACAUUGGGAAUUAAAAGUGCAAUUUUCUCCUCAUGAUAGAAAUGAUACACCAUGAAGGCCUAAACUGGUUUCUAUCAAAUAUGGUUCACCUUUGUCGUAGGUUGUAAAUUAUUUUCGUUUAAGUGGUAAUAUAAAAAUCUUCUAUGAUCCUUGAAUAACAAAUUAAUUGUCGAAAAAUGUUUUUGGUUUCUUCCACAAAAUUCUGUAGUUUCCCAGCUUGCAACAAGUUGAAGUUCAAAAAGAGUUUGGAGCAAUGUCACCAAUCAAAUAUGAAUAAGUCAAUUAAUUGGAAGAUCAUAAUUCCGCAGCUCACUUUCAGAGGAGACUUCAGAGACGACUGGAAGUAAGAUGUUGAGCUGCAUCUAUUUUCCGUCCACAUAUUGAAGUUUUAGUCUUCAAAGACUAUUCUGCUUAAUUACAAUCAAUCCUAAUUGACCUGUUUUUCUAGAAAAUGACCCUGUGGAAUAACAAAUAUCUAUGCUAGUUGGUCAUAGCAGCCUCUAUCUCGAUUUCAUCCUUAGACCCGAGGCAGAACAUAUUGCUUUGAUUUCGAAUGAACCAGAUGGUAUAAUAACAAGAAUUUCUAAAAUUUAGUACGGGGGAAAACAUUAUAGCUCAAAUGAGAAUACUUGUUUUUUUUUUUUUUUUUUAAAACUUUCAAAUGUUUAAUGGGUGAAGAUAAAAUUUUCUGAGUCUAACUUGGGGUGGUGAUUCCUAUCGGAUCUCCUCUCCGGAACCCCUAGGCCGGUCCGCCCAUAAUUUGCUAGUCAUUAAGUGGGAAAAUCAACAUUUAUGAUGACUGGUGCUGUUUUCUGUUAUGGCUCCUAUCAUAAUUCACGGCUGGAGACCACCACACUAAUUUCUGCUCCCAGUUCCAUGUGUGUGUUAGCGUGUUAUGAAGACUUCCAUGCUCUUCUUCAAUAUUUAUCAUCUAUCUUUUUUGUUGAUACCAAUCUAUGUGAGCAUGGCAAUGGGCAAAAUUCACUACUUUUUUUUUUUUUUUCCUGAAACAAUAGAAGCUUUUAUUUCUACUAAUAGAGAAAUUACACUGUAUGAGCAAGGGCUCAAGUUUUCCUUCACAAAAGUGUACUAAGACACUGAGGAUCAAAGACUUCCUCAUCAAAAUGUAAAUGCAUUGCUUGCUUACUCAGUUUAUGACUGAGGCUAUUCAUCCUAUUAUUACCAGACUGAAUAUCAAAUGAGCAUGUCCUAAACAUUAAGCUAAGAUCUUUUAUGUAUUGUACGUGGCCUGCUAGUCGCAUGUUGCCUGGGACUUGACAGUUGAUAAGCUUGGAAACCUGAUUGCUUGGUGUCUGAAGUUUGAUGUUGCGGCAGCCUCGUUCCUUUAGCUUGCAAAGUGCCAACUGUAUAGCCACAAGAUUGUCCAGUACAGGUGAUCCCAUGCUUCUUUCUUUCAUCAUCCACACUGCACAUAUGUGGUGCAUGCUGUUUUCUGCCAUAAUGCCAAUUCCCAUGUUCUGACCUUCGAAGUGCUGUCCCACAUGUACACAAAUGAUCAAUGUGUUUGCAUCUUCGCCCACUAUUUCCUCUUGUGCAUUUGCUGUAUCUGUUUCUGAGAUGCUCACUUGUUGUUCAGCCUGUUGGGAUUUUAGAUAUUCCUCCCACUCCAUGACUGCCUUUGUAAUCACUUUCAUUGGAUGUCUCUCUUUGUCUUCAAACUCUACUGCAUUCCUGGCUUUCCAAAUCUGCCAGAGAAUGUCAACUAUCAAUGUUAUAUGUUCCCUUCCUUCUUUCCUAGCUUUAACUUCCAUUAGUAUACUCCACCAUUUUCUGAAGUCGUUUGUGAACUCAUGAAGACCAUCCCAUUGUAAUGGAGCCAUCUUCCAUAUCAUCCUUGCUUUCCUGCACAGGAAGAAAAUGUGCUCCACUGUCUCACGGUUUUCACCACAUUGCUUACAAAUUAAUUCCCCUUUCCCUGUUCUCCGAAAGAUUGCCUCUCGUCCUGGUAACACUUGAUGCAGGCACUUCCAUAAAAACAACUUGUGCUUGUGCUUUACUUUAAGUUCCCAUAGCUGUUUCUAGAUUUUGCUAUUUCCCCCUGUCCAACUUGUUUCCCCCUUGUUGUUCAUUUGUACAAUAGACUGCCUGGCAGGACAUGUGAGUGCUGCAUAUGCAGACCUGAUAGUGUAGGUUUCGUUUUUGCUAUGAGUCCAAAAGUAACAAUCUGGUCUCCCUGUCAAGCUUAUAGGUGUUUUGAGUAUGUGGCCUGCUUCUUGUGAACUAAAAAGCCUAAAAAUGAGAGCUGAUUUCCACCUAAAGCUAGAUAUCAGCUCACUAACUUUUGUGACCUUGCAACCAGGGGGUUUUGUGGAUUCAAUCUUACCUCCCUUACCUUCCAACAUCCAAGCAUCUUCCCAAAUUCUGGUACUUUUCCCAUUUCCAAUUUGUUUCCUAGCUCCUCGCUGGACCUCCUCUCUUGCGCUCAUCAAACUCUUCCAUAUCCAUGAUGCAUUACCUUUUACUUCACAGCUCAAGAGUGUUGUCUUGGGAUAGUACCUAGCUCUCAACACUUUGCUAAGCAAAAGAUUGGGGCAUGUGAGGAGCCUCCAAAUCUGUUUGCCUAGCAAAGCUUUAUUAAAACUUUGAAGAUCUUUGAAGCCAAGUCCACCAGCUUUUUUCUCAGUUGUCAUUUUCUUCCAUGAAACCCAAUGCAUUUUCGUUUUGCCUUUCUCCUCCCCCCACCAAAAUCUUGCCAUGAGAGAGUUGAUGUCUUUGCAUAACCUCACGGGUAGUUUAAAACACGACAUGGCAUAAGUUGGCAUUGCCAUAGUUACUGCUUUAAGCAAAACCUCUUUCCCUGCUUGACUUAGCUGUGUAUUCCUCCAGUUGAGGAUUGUUUUUUGGCAUUUAUCUCUGAUGAAGCCAAAGAUUUGCUCUUUGGUUUUUGUGAUUACCAUUGGCAACUCCAAGUAUUUCCCUUGCUUCACCACCUUUCCCUGGCUACUAAAAAGCUCCUUAAAUUUUAGCCUAGUUUCCUUAAUAAUAAUAUUACUAUGGAUCAAUCAGCCCUUCUUGACAUUAGUAGAGAAACAAUUUCCCUGGAGAACACCUUAAUUUUGGUAUUAAUAAUUUUGGUGGAGAGCUUCCCUCUUGUUUUCGUUAUUUACAGACACUCCAGCAACUUUUGACUCAUAAACAAUACCUUUACGGGUUCUAUCCCACCUUCUAAGCACUCGAACAGAUGUAGAUUACUUAAACAUAUUGCAGGGAAUGAUUUCAAUGUUCAAGGAUAUUUUGAUUUCAAAGUUAUGAUGAAUUUCACCUCGUAGUCAUGACAUAUUACAAAAAUUUAGAAUCAUUUAAGGACAUGGGCAAAGCCAAAUUGAAUAAAUUUCUUCCACUAGCUAAACAAAUACCUUACUGUCAUUACAAUACAAGUAUUAUGGAGAUUAAAUACUUGGCCUAUGUGGUUUCACAGAACUUGAACGGUAACAGUGUAUUUAAUAUCUAGACAAGCCAAUGUUCCACAUAAGGAUGGCAAUGGGGCACCCACACCGCGGGGGUAGAAAUGGGGCGGGGGAUGGGGCGGGGCGGGGGCGGGGGCAAAAUAUUUCCUCCCGCAUUACAACGGGGCGGGAGAGGGGAAACAUACACCUGCCCCAUCCCCCGCAUACAAUAAUAUAUAUAUAUAUAUUACAAUUCUAAAUUUUCUAAAGUUGCAACCUUACUUACAAGUACAACGUUAGUCAGUGUCAACGGCCGUCGCAACAACUGAAAAAAUUUCUUGGACUAUUGUUGAUUUGUUUCUUGCGGCCCCCCAAAGACUAAGCUAUCCAAUUCCAACCUGUUUUGGUCCUAACUUUUUUUUAUUUCGAUCGGUUCCCUUCCUCCGCACUGAAUGUAACUUAACUUGUUAUGCUUUAUUUCCAUCUUGACAGCUUUUUAAUCGUAUUUAACAUUGUUUACAAUUGUAUUAUUGUAAAUAAACAUUUACGAUAGAUUGAUUUCUUACCACAGGGGAAACGGGGCAAGGGCGGGGGACGGGACGGGGGGAGUUAUUUGACAACGGGGCGGGGGCGGGGGCGGGGGAUCCAUUGCCACCCCUAGUUCCAGAUAUCAUAUACCAACCAAUGAAUAUUAAGCGCAAAUAAGUAAAAUCGAUGUAUAUAAAAGGCAAUACUCAAAAGCUUUACGCGUAAUAGCAUUUUUUGAGCGUAUAUAUUUGCUACAAGUAAAAUGUCUAACUAUAUGAAAGUUUCAUCAACAACUAUUUCAUGAAGUGAUCUCAGUAUAUCUCAAAUUAACUGCAUUGUGGCUAAGGGUGUAAAUUUUUUUGUAAGAACAUACCGGGUAACUUGAAAUGGUUACCUGCUGGCUUAAUACGAAAAUAUUUACCAUAAAAUAAACAAUCAAACGUGCAACGGACGAUAUGAGAGUACCUUUCACUAAUUGAGAGCCAAUAACAUAUUCCUGUCAAGCAAUGGAUAACAGAUAAUUUCAGAAACCUCCUCUGAGGUUUCUAAUAAUUCUGCUUGGCUCCCCUAACUCCCUUUCCAUUUAAAACGACAACACUAAACUUAAUAUUUUUAAUAAAACUCUCUUGUUACCAUGUUUAUGCAAAGGAUGGAUUUUAUAAUUUUUUUACGUUUUUCCUUCUUAUUCAUUUCUCUUAUAUUUCAUUAGAAGUACAGAAAAGCUAUCAAUGCUGUCCUUAAUAUCUAUCCAAAUUAAACAUUAAACUAGUAAUAUUUUUUUGAUAACUUUUAAUAUCAUUCAAUUUUUUUUGUAGCCCUUUUUUUUGGUAUCAAAUUCAAGGAUAAAUCAACAAUAAUUAAAAAUAAAUGACCCAAAAUCACCACUAAAUUAUGAUAGUUCCAUCACCAAUCUAGUCCAUAAACUUUUAUUAAAAAAAUAGUUUGUAAACUUUAAAAGAAACAAAAUAGCACCUUUUUCUCUAUUUUAAAAAAAAUUUAUAUUCCCAAUAAAGUAUUAUAAAAAAAUACCCUAUUAUAGCAAAAGAUUUAUUGUUGUAGUUGAUUCUCAAAGAACAAAUAUUGGCAUGAAAAAAUUGACGCUCUUUUUGUUUAAAGGAACAAAUUAAACUUUGUAAGAUAAAAGCAUUUAGGGUAUACAUUAAAUUUUUUACUCUAUUUUAAACUUUGGUUACCAAAAUGUUAAAUCAAGAAAGGUAAGUGUAAUUUUUAAAACGUCAAGAACUAAGUGAAAUAGUAAGAAACCUCAAGGCAGGUUUCUGAAAUUAUCCCUAACAGAAGUACAUACAAAAUUCAACUUUGAAAAGAGAAUAGACUUGAGGGGCGACUUGAGAUGGGUGUGAAGUCCUUGUUUCCUUCAUUCCACGGCACAUGGCAAAAGAAACUAGGAUCGUGACAGUGAUAGGCAAAAUAUAUCAAGUGACAGUGCCUGAUAGGCAAAAUAUUCCAACCUUGAAGCUAUAAUCUCCGAAGACUAUUCUAACGUCUACCGAAUAGCGAGUAGCGACCUGAUAUUCUGCAAAGCUCUAACCCAACAAGAGGUUUAAAGAAGACUUGACGGUGGCCCCUUCCCCGCCCCGGUCCCUUAGGUCCGUCCUUGCAUAAUUUGGUAGCAAUUUUGAGCUUGGUUAGAAAUAAAUGUACUGAGGUUUUUUUUUUUUUUUUUUUUUUUUUCCUAGUGGGGCGAAACUUUGAAGUAAUGACGACAAGACAUGGAAGUGUUGGAAAUAUGCUUGAAUUUUUUGGGAAGCAAUGACAAAAACCAAAUUAAUGAGAAAAAACAUGUAUUUAGGAUGGGUAUGGAAUCGUCAUCCUUAUGUUUGAUUUGCAUUUUUGCAGAGAUUAUAUAAAAAAGAAAAUAGAAAACUACUAUUCUGAUACGUUAUUGGAACAAGUAUUUGUCCAGUAAAAGGGUGAUAUGGUUAAAAGAAUAGUUCAUAAAAUAUUUUUCAAAUAGUAGCAGAUCAAACAAAUAUAGCUUGCAAAAAAUUGUUUGGAUAGGGUAUUAUUUGAAAUAUUAUUUGUUUGUAAUGUGAUAUAUGUGAGAUAAAAAGGUGGUUGGGAAUAUAAAAAGGUGAGUUGAAAAAUAUGUUUAUGAUGCAAGCGAAAUAUUAUUUGGGAUAAGUUCACUAUCCAAACAAACAAAUAUUGUUUUUUCAUGAUAUACUAAACUAGUUGAUCUACUUUUUUAAUAAAAAUUUGAGCAAUCAUAUCAUCUGUGCGUCUUCUAAGGGUUUCAAAUUAUUUUCGUUGAAGGGUCUGUUUGAUUGGAAGUAAAAUGUUUUCCUUGGGAAAAUAUUUUCCGUGGAAGUAAUUUUCCAUGAAAAUCAUUUCCCUUUCAUCAUUUUCAGGUGUUUGGUUAGCUUAUCGAAAAUAUUUUCUUACUUCAUUUUUCUGGUGUUUGUUUAAUUUUUGAAAUAUUUUCACUUUUAUCUCUAUCUUUACUUUCUACACAUUAUAACAACAUACUUCUUCCCAUACAACAUAAGAAAAUUUAUCUCAUUGUUUAACUUUAAAAAAUCUUGGAGAAAUGUAUAUAUGAAUAAAAAAUAUUUCCUUAAGCAAUAAACAAAUUGCUGGCCAUUUAGUGUGAAAUAUCAAUCACAUGCAAUGCUUAUUGUGACAUAUAUCUUGCACUCUCACUCUGAAAGUUUCUCUAGAAAAGAAUGUCCCUAUUAUACAUAAUUAAUUACUAGCAUAAGAUGAGCAGGAUGAGGUUUUUUUUUUUUUUUUAAUAUACUAGAGGGAGGGUUGGGUUGGGUGGUACGGGGGAGGGAGUGUAAGGAAGAGGUCUUGGGUUCGAAUCCUCCUGUUUACACUAAAAAAAAAAAAAAAAGAACAUACUACAAGAUGUUUUCAGUAAGUUUGGAACAUACUACAGGCGGGAUGCAUGCAUUUCGGAAAACAACUUCAGUAAGUUUGGAAGGGAAGUUGUUUUCCAUAAGAUGAGAGAAAAUAUUUUACAUAGGAAAAUGUUUUCAGUAACUUUUGUGCAACCAAACACGGGAAAUUAGGAAAAUAUUUUCCUGAAAAACAUUUUCACCCGAAACAAACGGACUCGGAGUGAUAUCAGUCUUCCAUAGUGCUUGGAUAAUGAAUUGAUUGCCCAAAAAAAAAUUUUCAUUUCUUCCACAGGAUUACAUAGUUUCCCAGCUUGCAAUGACUUGAAAUUCAAAAGGAGUUAACAAGCAACGUCAUGAAUCCAAAUCGAAGGAUAUAAUAAAUUGGAAGAGAAGAAGUCUAGAGCUCACUUUCAGGGGAGACUUCAGAGACGACGUGAGGUAAGAUAAUGAGCUGCAUCUUCCCCGACAUUGACAUUAUAAUCUCCGAAGACUAUUCUGCUAAAUUGAGUCAAUCCUGACCUGGUAAUGCAAAAAGUGAUCAAGAGACUACUUAAUAAUUUGAAGCACUAAUGUUCUACCCACCUUGGGUACACAAAUAAUUUGAAAGCCGUUUAAAUUUGUAAUUGACAUAGUUUGCGAGAAUGAUAGACAUCUAUGCUAUUUAGUCAUAGCAGCCUCUUUCUCGAUUUGAUGCAUAGACCCGAUGCAGAACACAUUAUUUUGGGAGGGAAAAUUUGAUUUCAUAUGAACUAGAUGGAAUAAUAAAAAGAUCUUGCAAAGUUUUGUAGAGGAGCAAAUAUUUUAACUCAAAAAAAAAAUACUUUGAAAACUUUAAGACAUUUAAGGGACGAAAAUGAAAUUUUCUGAAUCUAACUUGGGACGAUGACUCCUAUCUAGUCUUCUCUCCCGAACCCCUCUAGACCGGUCUGCCGUAAUUUGAUAGUUAACUAUGUUUUCAGUACAACUAUGUUUUCAGUGAUCAAAUGCUGUCGAAAAAUAUAUAGACCAAUUUUGUGAUCUUAGACGUAGUUUUUCUCAGUCGCCAUCUUCAUUGCAAACGGUGCCGUCGUCAAGAAUUUGAGGUAGUUUUUUCCUCCUCUCUUUCAAAUAUUAGUCCUAUAAGAAGCAAAUUGAAGGUGCGAGUAAAAAAUCUCUGCUUGCUAUCUUUUAACUUCAUUUGAUGACAUGCAAAAGUAUGUUGAAGGGAAAAUGUCUUGGAGUUUACACAAAAUUAACAAGGAAAGAAAAAAAAUUUUUUGUCAUCACAACGUGAGUUAACAUAAAGCAAGAGGUACGUACGGGCACUUGUAUAAACUACAAAUGAAUUGGUCUAUACUCUUAUCAUUUUGGAAAAUAACUCGAUCUCAGAUCUUAAACAGGAAGUAGAAAUUAAAUGAUCUUCUUAUAUAUGUUCUACAUUUUCAUGAAAAGAAUUUCCAGCCAAUUGCAUAUCCAAUUAUUUGAGAUAUUUUUUUUUAAAAAAAAUUGCUAUUAUGAAAAUAGUUCUUUUUUCAAAAAAUUUUUUUGAUGAUCGUCAAAGGAGAAGAAGCAAACCUCAAAGUCUUCAACAUUUGAAGUCCAAGUCUUUCUUGCAGGAUGAAUUGUGGACUUCUUGGAUGCUAAACUUUUGUAAUUGAUGACAAGUGGGAUGUCUAUCACUUUACUUAUUUACGAAGCAUCCUUUCAUCACGGCUUGACUAGUGAACAAAUUUUUCUACAAAUUAAGCAUCAAGAUUUCAUAUAUAUUUUGAUGUCAAAGUUAUGAUAAAUUUCAUCUUAUAGCCGUGACAUAUUACUGGAAUUCGGAAUCAUUUAAGGACAUGGGUAAAGCCAAAUUGAAUAAAUUUCUUCCACCAGCUAAACAAAUACCUUACCAUCUUUACAAUAGGAGUAUUGUAGAGAUUAAAUACUUGGCCUAUGUGAUUUCACAGAACUUGAACUGUAACAGAGUAUAUUUAAUAUCUAGACAAGCCAAUGUUCCACAUAUCAUAUACCAACCAAUGAAUAUUAAGCGCAGAUAAAAAUCGAUGUAUGUAAAAGGCAAUACUCAAAAGCUUUAUGCGUAAUAGCAUUUUUUGAGCGUACGUAUAUAUUUGCUACAAGUAAAAAGUCUAACUAUAUGAAAGUUUUAUCAACAACUAUUUACAAGUUUUUUUUGUAAGAACAUACUGGGUAACUUGAAAUAGUUAUCUGCUGGCUUACUAUGAAUCGUCCCGUCCCUGUGCCAUGUGUCGUGGGUGGGGCCCACCAGGCCGGGGACACGUGUCAGAUGAGAAUCUUCUCGAACCUCGAGGUUCGAAUGCUUUAGAAGUGAUAGAAUUGGCUCACAUACACACAAUCGUGGUUGGUCAGAGGUUUGGUCGAUACGGUGUGUUUCGAAGAGCAGAAAUAAAAUGGCCAACACGAGGGACAUGGCAGGAUUCUUCAGGGUCGUGAGGGACUGCGGCAUGGAGCACGUCGUGCUCCUCGGCAUGUACUUCGCACUAUGCAUGGGGAGACAUCGCUUCAUCAGCGAACUGGACCUGCUGUUCAGGGCAGUGGAGGAGCUCAAGAGAACCCUGUCGGAUUCAGACGAGGCCGCGGAUGAUGGCAGCUCGACCGGGAGCAGCCGACCUUCUUCGGUAGAAGAAGCGGACUGAAACCCAGAUCCGGUGAAACCCUUCCAUCGGAUGAUGAGGUGGGACCCACAUGCACAGGGAAUGCGUAUUAACGCGACGUAGAUUUCUGGAUAGCAUACUCGUAUACGUACGUAUGUAAUACAUAGGGAUUCAAUGCAGCAGUGACACGUGUAACAGAUGCGCAGGAAGGAAAUAAAAUGCCUCAAUUCAUUUCAUCCUUAAACAAUAUGCAUACAAACUAGACAUGCCUUGACCCUAAUAUUAAUGGUGACAUAUUGAGAUAUUACAUUUUGUGCCAUACAUUGAGAAAUUAUUUAUUGGGCCUGAUGCUCGGCCCAAUGCCAGUGUUAACGGCCCACUGGAUCAAGAAAUUGAGAACAUUUUCGAUUAAAUUGACCUGGGCCUGGGGAGAGGCCCACUAGAAAUUAACUGGCCCAGUUAACAUUUGAACGACCCAUCUGAUCAAGAAAUGCUGAAUGUGCAGGGCAACGGGAACUCAGUUGCUGCUGUCCAAUUCUUCAACUUCUUGGACAAUUGGUGCCUGCUCUUGGUUUGUGAGUGCAAAGAGAGGUUGUUGCAGGAAGAAGAAAGCCGCAUUCUGCUUAGUCCAGUUGAAAAGAUCCUGGCGGUCUGGUGCACUUAAGUAGACGUCAUAUGAAGAAUUGAGACCAGGAUUGCAGAGUACAAUUGAUGGAAUUCCCCCUUUGAUUUUCCUGGGUUUGGCAUAUUUGCAAUUGGAUGACCAAUCUCGUUGUGCACCUAGGAAUUCUUUCCAGUGUUUGAGAAAUUGAGGGUUUACGUCAUCUAUGACGUUGUACCAUGCAUCAUCACAGUGAUGGGCCAGAUCAAUAUGGCCUGCGUAGUAAUUGUGGGCCUGAGAAUUGAGACUUCUUGCCCAGCAUGUUUUACCAGUUCGACUUGGGCCUUCUAUUAUUAUGGACAUGGGCCUGUGUGGUCUAUUACCAGACCCAGUAACAUUUGUAUCGGCCCAAUGGGUCAAGAACGAAGGAACGCGUUGGAAACGAGUCACGUAUGGUUCUGGUGGCUUCUGGAAUAUUCUAUCCAAAUUGCUGGACAGUUUGUCGUAAUGAAUAAUGAACGAUCGAGGAUCGCCCCUCUUGAAAAUAUUGAGAGCCAUGCCCUUAUCUUGCCCGGCAAGCGCAGCGGCAUAUACCUCAUCUGUUUUGUCAGAUGAGAAUCUGCUCCAGCCAUCUGGCUGGAACUCUCCCCAUUCAACGAAAUCACCAUAUUUGGAUAUGUAAUCCUUAACUGCUGAUGAAUUCCUGGCACCUUGGACAUUCGGGUGGAACAUCGAAUUUGAAAUGGGAGAUUUGAUAUCGAAGAAUCUCGCAGAUGCAGUGCGAAAUUUACCUUGGAAUUGGAUCAGACAAUGUAGAUGAGGAGAACCAUCUUCGUGUGUUUUUUGAGCAACCCGUAUGUAAAUGGAGGAAAUAGAGAACUGGAGGUUCCUAAUUGCAUCUAAUGCUUGUUGUUUGGGAAGAACACACCUGGGAUAGGUGAGGAAUAUGUUCUUCGCGUUUAUGAAGAAGGAAGGACGUGCUCUCGGCAUCCUGAAACUCAACCCAACCUGAUGACGUCACUCACCUCAAUACAAAGUAUCCCUAGUAUUGGCUAUACUGGGUCGGCUUAUAUAGGGGUCUUCCGAGCGUCUUAUAAUAUUACAAAGACGCUCGGGGCGGACACGUGGACGGCGGAUGGAGGGGCCACGUCACCCCCCAAGAGUAAACUGGACGGUUGAGAUCAGCUCAACUCAAUGGCAUUGUGGUAAAUAGUUCGCUCAACCCAAUGGCAUUUUUGCCAUUUGGCCCAAGGGCCCCCCACGUGUCCCCCCACGGUCCGACAGGAACGUGGGCCGCCGUACUCUCUUGCCACGUGGCCGAAGGCCACUGGCCGCCCGGGGCCCUCGGGCCCCGCACUGGUGCACAGUGCUAGCAAGUGGAGCAGCACAGUGCCCGGAUGCACUGUUGCAAUUCGAAUUUGAAAUUAAAAUUCGAAAUUCCCACCUCAUCAUCCGAUGGAGGGGUUUCACCGGAUCUGGGUUUCAGUCCGCUUCUUCGGAGGACCCAUCUGAUCAAGAAAUGUCGAUUAUGUUGGGCCACUUACACGGAUGGCCCACGAUGAGAUAGCCCUAACUCUAUUCAUUUAUCUUCCCCUGCAACCGCCCCUAGUUUCGACUAAGCUAAUUCUGCUAUUAACAAUUAUCACUUGAUAGCUAGUUUGGGAGUUUGGGACAGAAAAAGAAAAGAAGAGAGAGCUUAAGUUAGAAAAGAAAAGAAAAUACAAGAUGGGUUGGUUCUAUUAAAUAUACGCCUCGUUGACCUUUUUCGGGGGCACAUGGGUCGGAGUUGAACUAAUCCAACUCUAUUGAUUGUCCUAAACAAAAAGGAAGAUGCUACUGUAGGGUCUAGGAACGGUGGUCAUUGGACCAUGGGACAAUACUGUGUCAGGUUUUUAAGUCUUUAGAGAUCAAUUUAGUAAUUUUAGAAUAAAAAGAAAAAGAAUUGAGAACAAAAUUAAGUAGACUAAGAGAAAGAGAGGAAGGAAGCACAAAGGAGAUGAUUGAUCCAGGAUAGAGAAAGAGAUGAGGACUAAUUCUAUUAUGAUUACAAUUGAUAUCCCAUUACUCUAACGGAUAUGGGCCCUUACAAAUCAAGUUCAAACCAGCUGUGUAAACCCAUUUCAAACCAUCUAUGUAAUAUAUUUGGCGUAGAUUGGUACAAUUUUGGUGUGAUCAUGAUUUUUGCACAAAUUUAGUUGCAUAAAUCCCAAGCUCAAAAUUUAUACCAAAGUUGCACCAAUUUACAAAUGUUACAAGAAUUAGACUUGAAUUGAACAAUAAUUCAACUCGUGAGACUCCAAAUCCUAAUGGAUUCGAACUCCUCUAUACAAGCAGCUGAUCACUAAUGGCCAAUUGGCAAACUACACUUACUAAUUGAAACUACAACUUAAUGAUACAAAAUGCAAGUGAAACAAUAAGAAACAACAAUUGCCUUGUGUUCUUGUCAUACAGUUUAGGUUUUCCUAUACUUGUCCGUCUUUCAUAUUUUUUACAUAAUAUAGUGUACAUUUAUAGAAUUUAUUGUACUUAUAAAUUUUAUUGGCAAUCUCACCUAUAAAUGUACACUAAAUUGUGGAAAAAAUACAAUAACCAUACCUACCCCGUGGUCACUGAUUUGUUAAAUUUAUGGGUUUUUUUCUUUUUAUAAACAAAUUAGAUAAGCUAUUAUUUCCUGAAUAGUUUUUUGUUUGAUGUUUUCUUCUUCUUCUUUUUUUGUGUAAAUCCUUGUUGAAUUUUAGUAAUGUCUCACUAGUUUUGGAUAAAAUAGAAAUUGGUUCCUUUUCCUUGAUUUAAUGGAACACUCAUUUUUAGAAAUUCAAUAGGAAAAGAGCUCUUAUCUAAUUUUCUUUGUUAAUUUAGUGAUUUAUGCUUAAAAAAGGAAUUUAGUGCGUUAAAUAGGAAGGGAAAAUCAGUUUUGUAUUCAUUGGAUACUUUUCCAUAUUCAGUAGGCAGUAGCUCUGUUAGUUGAGUUUAAACACUGUGAUAGACAAGCAUGACCGUAAAAUUGCCAAACCUAAUCUAUAAUUUGGUCAAAUCUCCCCCCUGUUAUGUUGUAGACAUGCUAUAAUCAUUUUCAAUUAAUGCAUUUGGAGAAUUCAAUAAUCUCAUUAACGUUGUUAUUAAAUACUUCCAUUACAAGUCAAAAACUCAUAAAAGUUGCAAUUUUGCAGGUGCAAUUCCAAAUGAAAUAGGGAAUCUAACUAUAUUGACGAUUUUAAAUUUUCGCGACAACAAAUUGACUGGUAUGCCAAAGUUCCUAAUUACAAGGUCUGAAUUGCUUAAACCAUAGGCAAAAUUGACUGGUAUGCCAAAGUUCCUAAUUACAAGGUCUGAAUUGCUUAAACCAUAGGCAAAAACUCGGCAUGCGAUUGGAUCUAUAGGAUAGAAGGAUCACGACUAUGUCCAAUCCCCAACUCUUUACAAUGACGAGCUCAUAGGUUCAAUCCCCAACUCUUUAGGAAGUUUAAGAAAUCUAAAAUUUCUAAACUUGGCUUUCAACAGGCUAUCAAGUGAAUCCUCAGAAUUGAGCUUUUUCACUUUCUUGACGGCUUGCAGAUCCUUGAGAUAUUAAGCGUUGAAUAAUAAUCCUCUAAAUGGUUUUCUACCAGCUUCCAUUUCUAACUAUUCGACUUCACUUGAAGGCAUAAGUGCAGUCAGUUGUAAAAUCAAAGGACACUUCCCAGCUGAUUGGAUCAGCAAUUUGAGCAGUUUACUAGUUCUAGAUUUUUUAGGUAAUGAAUUGAUUGGAUCUGUCCCAAGAACUAUGCAUAGUCUGGCAAAUCUUCAGGUGCUGUACUUGAACUCCAAUCAAAUAAGACAUGUCUUGGACAUUUUCUGUGGAUUACAUAGUUUGGGAUUGUUAAGCUUAAGCCAAAAUCAAUUCUUUGGUAGUAUUCCAGAAUGCUUAGGAAAUAUGACAAAUUUGAGACAGAUUUUUCUAGACUCCAAUAGGUUGACUUCCAUGAUGCCUGCUAACCUAUUGAGCAUGAAAGAUCUCCAAAUUCUCAACCUUUCAUCAAAUUUCUUAAGUGGAUCGCUACCUUUAGAGAUCGGGAACCUCAAAGCAGCAUAUAGUUUAGAUAUCUCGUUCAAUCAAUUAUCAGACAAAAUCCCUACAACCAUUGGAGAGCUACAAGCUUUACAGAACCUUUCAUUGGCGAGAAAUAAUUUGCAGGGUUCUAUACCAGAAUCAUUUAGCUAUAUGGUAUUUUGGAAUUCUUGGACCUUUCACAUAAUAAUCUCUCUGGUGUGAUACCCAAGUCAAUGGAGGCACUCAAAUCUCUUAAGGAAUGCAAUGUUUCUUUUAAUAGAUUAAGUGGAGAAAUUCCUCGAGAUGGUCCCUUCAGAAACUUUACAGGUUAAUUGUUCAUGAACAAUGAAGGACUCUCUGGUGACCUAAGGCUUAGUGUUCCACCAUGUCAGAGUAAUUCAAUUAGAAGAUCGAGCAAAAGAAAGGUGCUUCUACUUGUCAUUAGUCUGUCAGGGAUGGCAGCAAUACUGAUAAUAGCAAUUGGAGCAUUAUUGAAUCUAAAGUGGCUAAAGAAACCAAAGAGUUCUGGUGGAACAGAGUUGAUGUUAGCGGCAAAAUAUGAAAGAUUUUCAUACUAUGACCUUUUGCACUCAACCGAUAACUACAAUGAAAGCAAUUUGCCUGGAGAAGGGAGCUAUUGUUCUGUUUACAAAGGGAUCCUAAGUGAUGGCACUGUUGUGGCUAUCAAGGUAUUCAACUUGCUAGUGGAAGGUUCAUUAAAAAGUUUUGUUAGAGAAUGUGAGGUUCUAAAGAGUUUAUGCCAUCGAAAUCUUACAAAAGUGCUCGGCAGCUGCUAUAACCCUGAUUUUAAAGCCUUGGUACUCAAAUACAUGUCUAAUGGGAAUGUUGAGAAGUGGUUGUACUCUCACAACCAUUUUUUAGAUAUGUUCCAAAGAAUAAACAUAAUAAUUGAUGUUGCUUGUGCAUUGGAAUAUCUCCAUCAUAGUUCUGAUACUCCUGCGGUACAUUGUGACUUGAAACCCAGUAAUAUCUUGCUUGAUGAAGAUAUGGCUGCCCAUGUAAGUGACUUUGGUAUAGCAAAAAUGUUUGGUGAAGGAGAAAGUAUUUUGCAUACCAACACCCUUGCAACACUGGGAUACAUUGCACCAGGUUAAGCAUUUAAACUUUUGCUGUCUACAUUUCCUCUACUUCUAUGAUGCUGUUCAUCUGUUGUUAAUCUUUUAACUAAUUCUAUUAUUCUGACUAUUAUAAUCUUGUGACAGAGUAUGGAUCAGAGGGGAUAGUUUCGACAAGAAUUGAUGUAUACAGCUUUGGAAUAGUUUUGAUGGAAGUUUUUGCAAGGAUGACGCCUAAUGAUGAAAUGUUUUCAGGAGAUUUAAGCCUUAACAGCUGGGUAGAAGAUUCUCUUCCUGAUGCACUCCAAGUCGUUGAUGCAAACUUAAUUAGGCCAGAGGAUGAGCAUUUCACUGACAAGCUGAAGUGUGUUACAUUGAUUAUGAAAUUGGCUUUGAACUGCUAUAGAGAAUGUCCAAGAGAAAGGAUCAGUAUGAAAGAUGUUUUAGCAAAACUAAUAAAGAUCAAGCACCAAUUUCAAUUUCUGAUGGCACUAAGUAUUUAUCCUUUUUGUACAAAUUUUACUUCUGAAUGCUGAAAGUUAUGUUUCCUUAUUCAAUUGGGCUUAUAACCUGCUAUAUUUUUGCAGCAUACCGUCAGGUCUUGAUCAUAUCAGAAACAAUGCUUUUGACUAGCGUUGCAAGCUCCAUUUCGUCCAUGAUUUGAUAGUCCUUGUUUGGAACCUACUUGGAAAAUAAAUCAAUGUUACGACCUUUUCCAUUGAUUUGGUUUUAUUAUUCCUAGAAUGUGUUAUUAGUGGACUUCCAUGCUCGUUUCUAUCUGUAUAUAUCGUUUCGCAGUUCAUCCCAAUUCUUAAUUAGUGAGUGCCCUGGUGAGUGUGGAAAUCUGAAAUUGAACCGUAAGCAUGGCCAAGGACAAAAUCUACUACUUCUUCUUGCUUAUCUUUAGGUUAGCCGGCAUGGCAGCUAGCAACAGUAAUAUUACUAUGGAUCAAUCAGUGACAUGGUUAAUUACCUCUACCAUUUGUGAUUGGAUAGGGGUCACUAGCAAUUCUCGACACGUUGAGUGACUCCCUUGCAUAUUUCAAACAUGAACUUUUCUAGGGGUACCAUACCUCCUCAACUUGGGAAUAUAUCCUUUCUCGUUUCCCUUGACGUUAGCAGGAACAAUUUCCUUGAAGAACUGCUUCGCGAGUUGGCUCACUUGCGUAGAUUGAGAUACCUUAAUCUUGGAAUCAACAAUUUUGGUGGACAACUUCCCUCCUGGAUUGGUUCCUUAUAGAAACUCCAAUACCUGUCUCUCAGAAACAAUAGCUUUAUGGGUUCUCUCCCACCUUCCAUCUCUAAUAUGUCAAACUUGGAGACGCUAUGGCUGUCCUUCAAUUCCAUUGAGGGAACAAUUCCAACAGAAUUUCGGAGUCAGGUCCUCUGCCACUCCACACUUUCAAUAUUUCCUCACUGGAAACAUUUCUUUCAAUAACAAUAGGCAUUCUUCCAGGCAACAUCUGUCGCAGCCUUCAGAAACUUACACAGCUUGGUCUAGCGCAUAAUAAUUUCAGUGGUCAAAUACCUCCAACAUUGUCUCAGUGUUCAUUGCUUCAGGUGCUAUCCUUGGCUGCGAACAUUUAACCGGAAUCAUAUCCAAACAAAUUGGGAAUUUGACGAUGCUGGAGUUUCUGGAUGCGUGGAGCAACUAUUUAGAAGGUAGAAUCCGGGACAGAACAAUUAAAGUAUAGGACUGACCUGCUUUUCAUUCCAUUAUUUAGGUAUAUUUAAGGGUUGAUUGCACUCUACACCUCAUGACAUUUGUGUUUAACACUUUGCCCUUAAACUAUCAAUUACAAGUUUACAACACCAUGAUAUCUUUGUCUUCUUGUGCAACCUGUACCAUCUAUAGUGGGAAGUAAGAUUUCCGAACAAAUCCGAACAAUUUUCAGGUACAAUUUCAGAGGAAAUUUGGAAUUUAAAUAUGUUGAGACUCGUAAGCUUUCAUGGCAACUUCUUGACAAGUAGGCCAAACUUCCUUAAUUACAAGAUUGAUCUUAAUUGAUUUAGACUGCAAUUAUAACUUGGCAUGAGUUUGACCUAGAGGAUACCUAGCGAAUAUUUUCAAUUCAGUGAGAUUUGCAGUUGCCAGUUAAUUUUGAUCUAAAGAUCUUUGGAGAAGCUUACAUCCAAUUUUCACUUUUACUAGUUUUUAAGAAUUUUAUGUCCAAAGAGGUCUACGCCAAAGAAGCAACUUUGAAGCUUGAACAAGGAUACACAAUAGUCAAAUACUUGAAAGAUUUGUUUGUUUCAGAGAGUUGCUAAUUAGUGCGAUUAAAAAAUCAACAAUUGUGUGCUACUAAACUUAAGAAAAUUCUAUGAUAUUUCCUUAACUUAUAUCUCUUAUUAAAGAUAGUAAUUUAAAUUUUAAAUAUUUAAGAAUAUUUAAUCUAAGAAACAAUAAUACUUCUUCCACCAUCCGACAGUAAACUUUAUUUAUGGAUAUGAUAUCCAAAAGGAACGGUAAAAUCUGCUCUAAACUUAUUAAGAUUAUCAAAGGUGUGGGCUAACCUGUGCUUGGCCCAUUAAAAAUUCAAAGCGAGUUCACUUGCAUUAGCGCUAAGUCAAUGUUGGACCUAUAUUUGGAAACCAAUUAAAAUAUCGGCUAGGUUGUGGGCAAGUUAGGCUCAUCUUGAAUAAGGCUUGACCCAUUUAAUUAUAUAAUUUUUGUUUUCUUUGUUUGGAGUAGAUGAUAUCGAUACGCCACUUUUUGACAUGUAUCUACUUUCCCUGUUUUAGAUUGGUUUUAGGAGGCAGCAAAUAUUAAAGGGUAAGGCUAUAAGGGUGUGUGGAUAUCAAGUGGAAAGAGCUUAAUAUUUAUUUGUUUAGAGUAGAUGAUAUCGAUACGCCACUUUUUAACAUGUAUCUUGAGAUUCUUGGACUCCACCAAAAUGACUUGAAUGGAGUUAUACCCGGCUCCAUCUCAAAUGCUUCUAAUCUCAUUUGGCUAAGCCUUCAAUUUAAUAGCUUCACUGGCGUAAUUCCCAACUCCCUAAGAAAUUUGAGAAACAUCAAGAAUCUAGACUUAGCCAGCAACAAUCUAGCAACUGAUUCCUCUGCCAGAUCGAGCUUUCUCAUUUCCUUGACAAGUUGUAGGUUCUUGAGAUAUUCAAUAGUGGGCGAUAAUCCACUCAAUGGUUUUCUUCUAGUAGCAUUUUCGAACUAUUCAACUUCUCUGGAAGUCUUAAUUGCUACUAGGUGUAAAGUCAAGGGAAACAUCCCUAAAACAAUUGGCAAUUUGAGCAGUUUUACUGGUGUUAGAUUUAUCAUAUAAUGUACUCAUUGGAUCUGUUCCAAGAACAAUACAAGGUUUAACAAAACUUUAGCGAUUGGACUUUAGUGUCAAUGAAAUAAGAGAAUCCUUGGAACUUUUCUGUGGAUCAUAUACAUUGGGUGAGUUGCAAUUGAGCCAAAAUCAGUUCUCCGGUCCACUUGCAAUGUGUUUAGGAAAUCUUACAUCUCUGACCAAGAUUCCAAUAAAUUGACUUCAAAGAUUCAUACCAGACUGUGGAACGUGAAAAAUCUUCAAGAACUCAAUCUUUCCUCAAACCUUUUAAGUGGAUCCCUACCUCCAAAGAUCGACAACCUCAAACCAACAUACCUUUUAGAUUUCUCAGUCAAUCAACUAUAAGACAUUAUUUCUACUACAAUUGGAGAGCUACAAGAUUUGACUUACCUUUCUAUGGCAAACUGAUAGGGCGUUAAUUGUCAGUAAUUUUAUUGUUAAUUUUCCCCUUUAUCCUUGCUAAAUAUUGUUUUAAAUUGUUAAUAUAUACUUAUAUUUGGUACUUGGACAUAUCUAUAGGAAGGGGACGGAAAAGUGCUAAAAAGGGGGACCUGUUGAAGAAAAUUGCUCCACACGUGGGAGACUUCAAAAAGCUUCACAAACUUGGCCCACGGGUACUUAGCAACGGACUUCCCUUUUUCUUUUGCUGAUGAAGAGUCUUACUAGCAAGAGAAAACUAAAAAAAGUGGAAGUCGGCAGAGCUUCCUUUUUGUACUUUGACUCUCAAUUCGGCGGGGACCACGGAGGGGAGCAUUAGUCAUUGUUUUAGAAACAAACAUAGAGAGCCGUGGGUGAUUGUUUUUUUUAGCAAUAGUUUAGUUCUCUUUCUUUUUUCUCCUUUGCAUGCAUUCCUGGUGUUCGACGAUAUUCCCCUUUGAAAAACAGCUUUGACUUCUUGCUUUCUAGUGAAAAGAGUGAUGCCUUUGCAAUCAAUUAAUUUGCGUGAAGAUUUACUUAUGCGGCGUGAUUAAGCUUUUCAUCUAAUUAAGGAUCAACGCGACGAUGCAAUCCCGAAUAUCUGUGAGAUCGAAUUAGUUUUCAUGUGUUCCUUAAUUUGUUAAUAUUUGCACGUUGUCUACUUGAAUUUCCUUGCGAUUAGUUUGAUAAUUGGAUGUCAAGGGCCUGAUGUUCAAUGUGACUGAUUAAUCUCUUGCCAAAUUAGUCAAUUAAAUCCGUAAUUGUUUAAUCGAUUAAUAUCAGUGGCAACUAGCAUUUUUACACACUAGGGAAACAUGCAAUCUGAUUUAAAUAACCCUCGUAGUGUGUUAUUGAUUGGGGUUAGGUUUUUCUAGUUUUUAAUGCAAUUGGGGAAUGAAUUCCUACGGUCGUACCUAAGAGUAUUUUCUAAUUAGGGGUAAUCAAUGGUCGUACCUUGGUUAUCAAUAAAUUAAGGAAAAAUUGAUCAUCAGAGCUCGUUGGCGACUAUAACUGACCUAUUAAUAAAUUAAAUGAACCUCCAUUGCAUCAAUGAUCGGAUGAAUGGACUGUAUCUGUGUCUGUGUAGUUGUAUCCUUGGUUAGAAUUUAUCUAUUCUUGAUUUAAUUCCUGUCUAUAUUCGUGGUAGUUAAUUAUUAGUUUUAAUUGAGUUGCUUAAUUAUUUUUAGCUUUAUUCUGAUAAAACCCCUCUUUUUCCAAUUGGAACCUCAAAGAGACAAAUAUUCCCAAUUCCUGAGGAGACGACUCUGCUUGCCACUAUCUAUUAGUUAAUAAAUUUUAUCAACUUAUUAAUUCUGAUAUAUCGGAUUAAGCGAAUUCUUCGGGAACAGAGUGAAUCAAGUAACCCAUUGCAUACCUAAAGUCCCUGUUCCAGUACCUAGAUUUGAUUAUUGACUGCUUUUAGUGGUAAUUAAAUUUUAUUAUUAUAAUUGCACAGACUCGACACCUGUCAAUUUUUUACGCCGCUGCCGGAGACUGGCAUUAAUUAUUUGUUUCUUUUAAAUUCAUCUUUGUUCUAAUUAUCUGAUGCUUCUCUAGUGUAUGCCCCAUUCUUCUUGUACAGGCGAAUUAAUUUUCGACCCUGAAGUAGGGAAGAUCACAUGUAGAACGAGGAAAGAAACCAGACAAUUUAGGGAAGAGCAAUCCAGUGUUGCACCUCAAGGACUUGAUCCAAAGGUUGAGUCAACGAAUUUACGUGGUGAUACUUCGAGUGAUUCAGACCAAGAGAAAGUCACCAUGGCGAAUGCACACACACUAAGAGAGUUGGCUGCUUCUGAUUUAAAUCAGCAGCCCUUAUGCAUUACUUUUUCGCAUUUAAAUGAUAGCACAUUUUUUGAGUUGAAAUCUGGCCUAAUUCAUCUUUUACCAUCUUUUCAUGGCUUACCAAGUGAGGAGUCUCACAAACACUUGCAGGAGUUUGAUGUCGUCUGCAACAAUAUGAAACCCUCGAGAAUUACAGAGGAACAAAUAAAAAUAAUGCCAUUCCCCUUUUCUUUGAAGGAUUUCGCAAAAGACUGGCUAUACUACCUACCACCAGAUAGCAUCACUACGUAAGACCAGCUGAAGAAAAAAUUUCUGGAAAAAUAUUUUCCUGCAUCUCGGGCCGUUAGUUUAAGGAAAGAGAUUUGCAGCAUCAAACAACACUUAGGUGAGUCUCUCUACGAAUACUGGGAAAGAUUCAAAAAGUUGUGUAUCAAAUGCCCUCAACACCAGAUAAGUGAGCAACUGCUCAUUCAAUAUUUCUACAAGGGCCUACUCUUCAAAGAUAGAAGCAUAAUCGAUACUGCAAAUGGAGGAGCAUUGGUAAACAAGACUCCUCGAGAGGCUUGGGAGCUAAUUGAGGGGAUGGCUAAGAAUUCACAGCAGUUCAGUUCAAGAGAGGGUGUCCCGACGCGUAGGGUGAAUGAGGUAGAAACAUCCUCCAUCCAACAACAACUCUCUGAAUUGAUGUCUUUCGUGCGACAACUAGCUAUGGGAAGUGCCUCACAAGCCAAAGUAUGUGGGGUGUGCACUGUCUUAGGUCAUUUUACGGAGAUGUGUCCGUUAGUUCAAGAAAAAAAUGCAGAACACGUAAAUAUGGCUAGCCACGUGCCUGUGCCAAGAAAGCAAUACGAUCCAUAUUCAAAUACAUACAAUCUUGAUUAGAGAGAUCAUCCCAACCUCAGUUAUAGAGGAAAUAGACAGUCUAACUUUGUGCCAAAUAGACAACAAGGGUACCAGCAGCAGUACCAACCUCGACCACCACCCCAACCACCGAGGUCUAGUCCAUCUUUGGAGAAGAUGAUGAAACAACUGAUGGCUACUACCGCACAACAUUAACAAAAGAUGGACUCGAAAUUGCAGAGCAUAAGAAAUCAAAUGAACCAGAUGCAAUCCAUGCAAAGUCAAAUGAAUCAGAUGGCAAUAGCGAUCAACCACAUGGAAUCCCAAGUUCAAGGGAAGCUGCCAUCUCAACCUGAGUUAAAUUCCAAAAAAUGUUAGUGUAAUGACCUUGAGGAGUGGCAAGGAAAUCCAAGGACCCGAACUGGUGAUUCCUAAGGACAAGAACGAGGAACGAAUUGAGAAAGAGUUGGAAGAAGAGAGCAAAAACAACAAAGAUUCAAAGGUAACCCCAAACCCAGUCACUUUAGUUUGCAAUAAUCCAUCUCCCUUCCCCAGCAGGCUAGAGAAACCAAAGAAGCCGAACAAGGAGAAAGAGGUUCUAGAGAUCUUCUGCAAGGUGGAGAUGAACAUUCCCUGUUGGACGCGAUUAAACAAGUACCCAAAUAAGCAAAAUUUUUGAAAAACUUGUGUGUCAACCGAAAGUGGUUGAAAGGAGAUGAGCGAGUGGUAGUGGGGGAGAAUGUGUCAGUAAUUCUACAACGGAAGUUUCCACCAAAAUGCAAGGACCCAAGUAUAUAAACUAUUCCUUGUAGGAUAAGUAAUACCUUAAUUGGGAAAACAAUGUUAGACCUAGGAGCUUCGAUAAAUGUCAUGCCAAAGUUCAUAUAUGCUUCUUUGAAUUUAGACCCUUUAAAAUAGAUUGGGAUAAUAAUCCAAUUAGUUGACCAAACCAAUACAUACCCUGACGGGUUGAUUGGAGAUGUUUUGAUAAAAAAUAAUGAAUUGAUUUUUCCAGCUGACUUCUAUGUGCUUGACAUAGAUGAUGAACACUCCCAUGAACUAUCACCCUUUCUGUUAGGUAGAGCCUUUUUUAGUACAGUCAGAACAAAAAUUGAUGUUAAUAAGGGUACCUUGUCCAUGAAAUUUGAUGGUGCGAUUGUUCACUUUAACAUCUUUGAGACCAUGAAAUAUCCUUCUGAUUCAAAUAUUGGCUCUAUUUUCUCUGUAAAUGUUAUUGACCUUACUGUACAGGAAGUUUUUGAAAUUAAAAGUAGUGAUGAGUUAGAAGUCGCCUUGACCAGGCACUUCGGGUCAGAGACGACCUCUGAGGUAGAGUUGAACGAAGAACUCAAAUAUGUGAUUGGAUCGUUGCAAUCGUUGCCAACCACGAGAACAAAGGUUUGUUUGGAUAGAUUAUUAUUUAAAAUAUUAUUUGAAAUAAAUACUGCAACAAUUUUGUGAUAUGAUAUAUGCGAGAUAAAAAGGUGGUUGGAAAUAUAAAAAAAUGUGUUGAAAAAUGUGUUUAUGAUGCAAGCGAAAUAUUCUUUGGGAUAACUUCACUAUCCAAACAAACCCAAGGUAUGGUUUUGCACCCAUUUUCACACCUGAAUCUCAUCAAAGGUUACUUCCAUCUGUGGUGCAGGCGCCUGUUUUGAAAUUAAAACCUCUGCCAAAACACCUGAAGCAUGCAUACUUGGGUAAAGGGGAGACACUUCCAGUGAUCAUAUCUGCUAGUUUGUCAGAAGUUCAAGAAAACAAACUGAUUCGAGUCUUGAGGGAACAUAAGCAGGCGAUAGGAUGGACCAUCGCCUAUAUCAAGGGAAUUAGCCCCACAGUGUGUAUACAUAGGAUCCGACUCGAGGAGGGUGCUAAACCCGUACGGCAGGUUCAAAGGAGAUUAAAUCCUUUUAUGAUGGAGGUUGUGAAGAAAGAGAUUUUAAAGUUGCUGGAUGUCCGAAUUAUAUUUACAAUAUCGGAUAGCUCAUGGGUGAGUCCAGUGCAUGUGGUUUCGAGGAAGACAGGGGUGACGGUGGAAUUAAACCAAAAGGGUGAGGUCGUACUAGUUCGGAAACCCACAGGGUGCCUGCAGUAUAUAAACUACCAGGAGUUAAACAUCGUCAUAAAAAAGGAUUAUUUCCCUCUCUCUUUCAUUGAUCAGAUGGUAGAGCGAUUAGCAUGUUGAGCUUACUAUUAUUUUUUGGAUGGAUUUUCAGGUUAUUUCCAAAUUACCAUCGCACCCAAGGAUCAGGAGAAGACUACCUUCACGUGUCCGUUUAGAACGUUUGCAUACCGAAAGAUGCCCUUGGGAUUGUGCAUUGCAUCUGCUACCUUCCAAAGAUGCAUGGUAAGUAUCUUUUCAGAGUAUGUUGAAAGAUUAUUGAGGUUUUCAUGGACGAUUUCAGUAUGUAUGGUGAAAGUUUUGAUAACUGUCUAGAUAACCUGAAAUUGAUCUUAGUAAGGUGUAUAUAAACUAAUAUCGUGCUUAAUUGGGAAAAAUGCCACUUUAUGAUCGAACGCGGGAUAAUUUUGGGUCAUGUAGUGUCAUUUAGGGGUAUUGAAGUCGAUAAGGCAAAAAUAGAUGUUAUAUCUAUUUUACCUUACCCCGCGAGCGUGAGGGAAGUGCAUUCUUUUUUGGAUCAUGCAGGUUUCUAUCGAAAGUUCAUUAAAGACUUCUCGAAGAUUGGAGCACCAUUAUUCCAACUUCUGCAAAAAGAGGUGUCAUUCGAGUUCGAUGAAGCAUGUAAGAGGGCGUUCGACAGGUUGAAAGGGCUAUUGACCUCCUCACCUAUUAUCCAAUCGCCUGAUUUGAACAUACCAUUCGAGAUCAUGUGCGAUGCUGGUGCUGGGUCAAAGAGUGGGAAAGACAGCCCAUGCUAUCUACUACGCAUUUCGAGCCUUAAACGGAGCUCAAUUGAACUAUUCAACCACCAAAAAGGAGUUUUUGACAGUUGUUUUUGCUUUAGAGAAAUUUUGGUCUUAUUUAUUAGAUGCUAAGGUUAUUAUUUUUUCUGAUCAUGCAGCUUUGCGGUAUCUGUUGACCAAGAAAGAGGCAAAAUCACGACUGAUACGGUGGAUAUUAUUGCUACAAGAGUUCGACCUGGAGAUCCGAGAUAAGAAAGGGGUGGAGAACCUGGUAGCAGAUCACUUGAAUCGAGUACAUGUCGUCAAGAACAACCUCCCACUGAGAGACGCAUUCCCUGAUAAGUAUUUAUUUUCUAUUAAUUUAUCUUUGUCUUGAUAUGCAGAUAUUGUUAACUUUCUAAUCACUGACAAGUUCCCUUCAGGAUGGCCCAAGGCGAAGAGGGACAAGUUGAGGAGUGAUGCAAAAUCCUACAUUUGGGAUGAUCCUUACCUCUGGAAGCAAAGUUCCGACCAAGUCAUCCGCAGAUGUGUAAGUGAGAAUUAAUUCCAAUUUAUUUUAACUUAUUAUCACUCUUUUGUGUGUGGAGGCCACUUUGGACCAAAGAGAACGGCUCGUAAGGCUCUAGAAAGCGGGUUCUAUUGGCCGACCCUCUUCAAGGACGCCUACUCAUUUUGUAAAUCCUGUGAUAAGUGUCAACGAGUAGGUAGUCUCUCUCGUAGGGAUCAAAUGACUCAGACCCUCAUGAUUUUUGUUGAAAUUUUUGACGUUUGGGGCAUCGAUUUUAUGGAUUCUUUUUCUUCAUCUUUUGGUUUUUUGUAUAUAUUGUUUGCUGUAGAUUAUGUUUCAAAGUGGAUGGAAGCAAAGGCCACCCGCACUAAUGAUUCCAGAGUAGUUGCAUAUUUUAUCAAAUCUAACAUUUUUGUCCGCUUUGGGAUGCCGCGAGCAAUUGUAAGCGAUUGGGGCACUCAUUUCUGUAACAAGACGAUUGCUGCAGUUUUUAGGAGCUAUGAUGUCUUGCACAAAGUCUCCACAUCCUACUAUCCUCAGACAAACGGUCAGGCGGAAGCGUCAAACCGAGAGAUCAAGUCGAUUUUAGAGAAUAUGGUUCGACCCGAUAGGAAAGAUUGGAGUGUGAAACUGGAGGAUGCACUAAGGCAUAUAGGACGGUGUACAAGACACCAUUGGCAUGUCCCCAUACCAUUUGGUAUUUGAGAAGCCAUGUCACUUCCCGAUUGAGUUCGAGCAUAGAGCGUUUUAGGCGGUCAAAUAAUACAAUAUGGAUAUCGAGGAAGGCAAAAUUCAUAGAAAGUUGCAAUUACAAGAAUUGAAACAAAUUCAAAAUGAAGCAUAUGAGAAUGCGGUGAUCUAUAAGGAGAAAAAUAGGAUCUUUCAUGACCAACAGAUAUCCAGGAAGACAUUCGUCUACGGGCAAAAAGUUCUACUGUACCACUCGAAAUUGAAGCUAUUUUCAGAUAAAUUACGUUCUUGUUGGAUUGGUCCUUUUGUUGUGACUAAUGUUUUUCAUUAUGGUGCAGUGGAGAUCCAGAAUUUGAAAACGGAGAAAAAAUUUGUAGUGAAUGGUCACCGUCUCAAGCCAUAUUAUGAAGGGCUUCCAGUUGAGUAGGUGGAGAUGAUGCAACUAGAAGAUCCGAUUUGCUUAGUUUAAGCAAAUUCUGGGCUAUGUGUAGUCAAAAAUAUUAAAGAAAGGCGCUUUUUGAGAGGCAACCAAAAUAUUGAUUUUAUUGUUUUUCGUGGUUCAAUUCUUUCGUUUUGUUAUUUCUCAUUUGGGUAGUAGUCGGUCUUAAUAUUUUUCUCCAUUAUGACCAGGAAGGGGAAUCUUGGCGUGUCCACGCCGUGUCAGUGCCUCCCGAGAUCAGUGGACGUUUACCAAUCUUGGCAUGCCCACACCAUGUUGGUAAAAUCUCAACAUCUCACGAUAUUGGCAUGAAGGAAAAUUUUGGCAUGCUCACACUGUGUUAGUGCCUCCCGAGGUCAGUGGACGUUUUGUAAUCUUGGCAUGCUCACGCUAUAUUUGACGACCCAAAAACAAAGGAAAUAUUUUUAAUUUAAAAAUAAAAAAAUGAUUAGAAAAAAAUAAAAAUAAAUUUAUUUUCCUUUUAAACCUUCAAUUUUGUUAAAAAAAAUAUUUUCAAAUUUUGAAAUUUAAAUUCGAAAAAAUUUGUACUUAAAAAAAACUAUUUUAUUUUUUUCUUUUCCUUCUUCUUUUCUUUCCUUCUUCUUUUCUUUCUAUCUUCUCCCCAAUUCCUUUCUCCUUCACUUUGGCCGACACCACCUCGCGUCCGCCGCUCUUUCGUCUCCCUCCUCGCGCGACCAACCUUCUCUCCUGUCACGCCCGCAAGGGGCGCCGCCACUCUCCACCGUCCAUCCUCGCGAUCUCUCUCUCUCGAUCUCACCUAGUGCGUCGCCUCCACCCCACGCCGCUGCUGGUGCCGGGCGUCGCCAUCAGACGCCCACUCAAGGCGAGCGCCGCGAACCUCCAUCGCGCGCCACCAGCACGCCCGUCGCUCACUCGUCAACCACCGUUGUCUCCGAGCUCCACCGCCAGUCCAACCCGCGACGUCUCCCUCCUCCUCUCCUCUCUCGUUCAACCACAGUCCGCUGCACUCUAACCCGCGACAGCAGCCCCUUGUCACACGCCGUACCUAAAAAAAAAAACCCCAAGCCGCCGUAGCCGCUGCUCGCCGCUCCUUCUAUCGUGCACCGCCGCUACCGUGAGCACCCACGGACGCCGCGGUCUCCAUCAGCAAUCAGGCCUCCAUCUCCCUAGUGCACAACUGUCCAGCUUCGCGACCACUCGCUUCUGCCUCCAACCUCACGCGACUGCCGACACUCGAAGCCACCGGCGGUACUCUCUCUCUCCCCGGUGGAGGUGCCAUUCCAUUCUCCCCUAUUGCCUACUUGUUGGGAUUAUUCAUUGCUGGAUUUUCGUUGUUGGCCUCUAUAGAGGGCAUCUCUACUGGAAUUGAGUUGCUUCAGUUCGCAUUGCUAAACAUUGUCUGAGUAUGGCUUACCUUGUUGUUGAAAUAGGCAAUUGUUCAGUUUGUUGAUUUGUGGGUGUAUGUGACGGCUCAACUAAGUGCUUCUGCCUUUUCAAUUGGUGACAUUUGUUGAGUUUCACUUGCUUUUUUUGUGUUUAUUUGUUGCAUUGGAAGGUGCUUGUGGCACUUGCGUUUGCUUAUUAAAGUAGGUUGCCUCUAAUUGCCUUGAUUGGGAAUAUGUUGUCUUUUUGUUUCAUUUACUAAGUUCAUUGGAACACUUGCUGCAAUUUAGGGGAUGCAUUGUUUCUGCAUUUGGCUAAACUUGGGACCACCAGUGCUUAUUGUUCAACAUUGUUGUAUUGUUGGGGUAUUUUUAUACCUUUUGGGUGUUUGAAUUAUGCAUUUUAUUGUUUGGGUGGCACCAGUGGUUCUUACAUUGUUAUUGCCUCAAAUUUUGCUGGUUAUUCUGCCUUUUGCCGUUUGGGUUGCCUGCUAGUUACCAUGGUGAGGCCACGGUCAGCCUCUAGGUCUAGGACACCUAGAACUUCUCAGCCUCCCCCGCCCCAACCCACCAUUCCUGCCUCUGACCCCUUGCAAGACCCUUCCUCCUCUGGAAGGAGGGCUCGCUUUGGGAGGUAGAGAGGCGUCCAUAUUUUUGACCCUUCACAUUUUGAGGGUAACUUGGACUUCACCUGGGUUGCCAACAAGCAGCGAUAUGCUGUUUGUUGUGAAUGGCGGAUUACUCCCUAUCGAAAUCAGGACGCUGACAUCUUGGGUCUUCUGAAUAUUCAAGUUGAUUUUGACCGAUUAAUUGCAACCAUUGGGUGGCGUCCCUAUUCUUAUAUUGUUGACCGUCUAGCUUUUGUAAAGUUGGUUAGGGAGUUCUAUGCCACAUUUAAGUUCGACCUUCCUACUGAUUACACAGUUUAUACUCCCAAUGUCAUCCGUUUUCGGUUAAUGGGUCAAGAAUUCCACUACUCCAUUACUGAUUUCAAUCUAACCUUAUGUUUGAUCGAUCAGACUUAUGUCGAAUCUCGUGAGUAUGCCGAGAGUGCAUGUGACUACGUACAGUCUUUUUUCUCCCGCUAUCGACAUAUUUGGGAUGAUAUGUCCGUACACCGUGCUAAUUAUGACUCUCGUCUGUCUAAGGGUUCUUAUCUGAAGGAUCCGGCGUUUCGCUAUAUCCACCGUUUCUUGGCCUAUAGUUUCUCGGGUAGGCGAGAUAGCUCGGGCGUUUUGUAUAAAUCCAAAAUUUUCUUUAUUUGGUGCAUGCAUAACAAUAUUAAGGUUAAUCUGGGGUGCUAGCUCGCUUCUCAAUUCAAAUCUGUUUUGCCAAAAAAGAAGCGCCCCCUGAUUUUUGGGUCAUACAUUACUCAUUUGACUGUUAAUUUGCAUGUGCUUGAUCUCUCUAAUCAUGAUUUGCAUGUUGCCUGUCAAAUGGAGCCCUUGGACUUUUCUUGUCUAGAAAAAUGGAUUUGGUUUGGGAGGGUGACAGUGGUUAGGAGGUUGUUCCCCCGGGACCGACUUGAGUUCCCCCUCGAUUCUCUUUUGCCCGAUCGUCCACUACUAGUGAUGACCCCGGCCCGUCUACCUCCUCUCAAUUCCCUCCACCCCCAGCAACUGAGGAUUGGCACCAACUCCAUAUGGAAGUUCAGAGACUGGAGGCUCAGGUGACUAACAUCGAUAACAACAUACAUUUCAUGGCGCAGAAUUUGACAGCAUUUAUGCACCAUACGGGUCUUGCUGCUCAAUUUCCACUUAACCCGCCGCUAUGACCCUGAUUUCAGGGAAGUACCGUUGCUCUUUUGCUUACUUUUGCUAUUAGAUUAUCAUAUUGAGGGCAAUGUGUGAUUAGGUGUGGAGGGGGAUCGUUGUGGUGCUAGUAUUUUUAGUUUUUAGGUUCUAGAGGUUUUUUCUUUAUUUUUAGUUUGCUUUUGUCUAUCUUUCAUUUAUUUUCUUUUUUUUUUAGUGAUCAGCUCUUUUAUGAAUACCAAGUUUCGAUAUUGGAUUGUUGACUCUAAUCCUACUAUUGUCAAGUUUUAAUAAUAAAAGUGUAUCUAACUAAUAUGGUUGAGUCUAAGAACAUCUCUUUAGUGAAUAUCGAUGAUUGUUUGACUCUUAUAAUUUUUGGGUUAACUUUUCUAAACAUUUGGAAUGAUUGUUGGCAUUUUCAUAUGAAUUGGUCCGAUUAUUAACUUUAGUUCUCCAUAUUUGAAGAAAUGAGGCUAGUUGCUACUGUUUUUGUUUUUAAGAUGUAUUACUUUGAGUAUUGAGUUAUUUGGCUGUGAAUAAAAGUAGACUGCGCUCCGCUAGUGGUUACUACUGAAUAACCGAGGAUUUUCACCUCAAGUGUCGAUUCUCGCGUCAAAAGGUAGUAAUUUCUGAGUACGUGAUCGUAUAGCGAUAGGAGCUGAGUAACCGGAAUUUUUCAUCUGACAAAUGUUGGGAUUCGCUUCAAAAGACUCCAAUGGCUAGAGCUAAGUCUUUUGCUACUACUGAAAAAGAAAGAAAAAAAAGAAAAAUACAAAAUGUGAAAAAAAAAAAGUGAAGGUUGUGUUAGUAUGUGAUAAAAAUCAGCUUGCCGAUUUGUGAAUUUAAUGUUGAGAUUUUAGUUAAUAGUUGGACCAUUUGCUGUUAAUGUUGAGCGACCAUUCCUUUUUCUUAAACUAGUUAACCUGAAAUUGGAGAAGUUGGUGGCUUAGGAGCUAACCGAGGUGAUGUUUCUUGGAUCUUGAUCACUGAUGCUUGAUCUAUAUUUUUCUUAGUAUCUUGGCAAUAUGGUAAAUAGAGCAAUAAUCACUAUCAAAUCUCGGUGUUUAUUUGAUGUUCUCAUGCUUGAGGGCAAGCAUGAUUCAGAUGUGGGGGGAAUUGAUAGGGUGUUAAUUGUCAGUAAUUUUAUUAUUAAUUUUCUCAUUUAUCCUUGUCAAAUAUUGUUUUAAAUUGUUAAUAUAUACUUAUGUUUGGUACUUGGACAUAUCUACAGGAAGGGGACGGAAAAGUGCUAAAAAGGGGGAUCUGUUGAAGAAAAUUGCUCCACACGUGGGAGACUUCAAAAAGGUUCACAAACCUGGCCCACAGGGUACUUAGCAACGGACUUCCCUUUUUUUUGUUGAUGAAGAGUCUUACUAGCAAGAGAAAACUAAAAAAAGUGGAAGUCGGCAGAGCUUCCUUUUUGUACUUUGACUCUCAAUUCAACGGGGACCACGGAGGGAAGCAUUAGUCAUUGUUUUAGAAACAAACGUAGGGAGCCGUGGGUGAUUGUUUUUUUUAGCAAUAGUUUAGUUCUCUUUUUUUUUCUCCUUUGCAUGCAUUCUUGGUGUUCGACGAUAUUCCCAUUUGAAAAACAGCUUUGACUUCUUGCUUUCUAGUGAAAAAUGUGAUGCCUUUGCAAUCAAUUAAUUUGCGUGGGGAUUUACUUAUGCGGGCGUGGUUAAGCUUUUCAUCUAGUCAAGGAUCAACGCGAUGACGCAGUCUCGAAUAUCUGUGAAUCGAAUUAGUUUUCAUGUGUUCCUUAAUUUGUUAAUAUUUGCACGUUGUCUACUUAAAUUUCCUUGGGAUUAGUUUGAUAAUUGGAUGUCAAGAGCCCGAUGUUCAAUGUGACUGAUUAAUCUCUUGUCAAAUUAGUCAAUUAAAUCCAUAAUUAUUUAAUCGAUUAAUAUCCGUGGCAACUAACGUUUUUACACACUAGGGGAACAUGCAAUCUGAUUUAAAUAACCCUCGUAGUGUGUUAUUGAUUGGGGUUAGGUUUUUCUAGUUUUUAAUGCAAUUGGGAAACUAAUUCCUAUGAUCGUACCUAGGAGUAUUUUCUAGUUAGGGGUAAUCAAUGGUCGUACCUUGGUUAUCAAUAAAUUAAGAAAAAGUUGGUCAUCGGAGCUCGUCGGCAACUAUAACUGACAUAUUAACAAAUUAAGUGAACCUCCCUUGCAUCAAUGAUCAGAUGAAUGGACUGUGUCUGAGUAGUUGUAUACUUGGUUAGAAUUUAUCUAUUCUUGAUUUAAUUCCUGUCUACAUUCGUGCUAGUUAAUUAUUCAUUUUAGUUGAGUUGCUUAAUUAUUUUUAACUUUAUUCUGAUAAAACCCUCCUUUUUCCGAUUGGAAUCUCAAAGAGACAAAUAUAUCCAGUCCCUGAGGAGACAACCCUGCUUGUCACUGUCCACUAGUCAAUAAAUUUUGUCAACUAAUUAAUUCUGGUAUAUCGGAUUAAGCAAACUCUUCGGGAACAGAGUGAAUCAAGUUACCCAUUACACACCUAGAGUCCCUGCUCCAAUACCUAGAUUUGAUUAUUGACUGCUUUUAGUGAUAGUUAGGUUUAUUAUUAUAAUUGCAUAGGCUCGACAACUGUCACAAACAACACUUUUCAAGGGUCUAUGCUAGAUUCAAUUGGAAAUAUGAUAAGCUUGGAAUCCUUGAACCUUUUCAUAUGAAACCAAAAGAUUAAUUUUAAUUGUCAACACUAUAGACCAACCUAUUGCGACAACAUUUGCUGCACAUGCAGAAAAGAAGGAAUAUUCCUGUUGACAUUCAGCCUAACUCUUUAAAAUCCUGUUAGCAUAUUAUCUUUCAUGCUUAUGUUGGCUCUUAAUGUGGUGAUUUCUGAUUUUCUGAAAUGAAGUUAGAACUUCUCCAAUUGCUAUCCUCUCCUCGAGUAGCUCUGCUAAGCACUUGAAAGCUACUUCCAUUGUCAAUGAUGUGCACUGAACUGAUAGGGCGAUAAUUGAGCGUUUAUUACGUUGGUAUUUGGUCCUAAUUUUGGCCAAUUGUUGUGCAGAGUAAUGGGUUUUUGCUCAUAUUUGGUAAUUGUGUUAUUUGUAAGCGACUGAUGUCAAAAGUGGCAGAGAGAGGCAAUUUUCCAGAAGACUAGUCAUUCCAGAACAUGCCCACGCUAGAGAUCCUAGGGUGACGUCCAAAAGACGAACUGCGGGACUUAUCCCUGGGAGCUUGCCGCUAUUCUUGGAAGGUGUAUUUUGAAGUCACGUGGGAUUAGGAGACAUCUUGAGAGACCUUUGGCAACAAAGCAAGGAGAAAAAAAAUAAGGAAAGAGAUUCCUUAUAGAAACAAGCACUUUGUUAGCUAAAGAGACGGCGGUGGCAAAACUUUAAAUAAGGCAGCAAUAGACUAGGAGUUGGUAUCUUUGACCUUGGAUCUUUAGUUUUUCUCUUCUUCUUCUUAACGUGACUUAGAGAUUCGUGGUUUUUACUUUAUCAACUAAAUUCUAUAAAACGCUUUCAAUUGCAUCAACGUUAUGCGACAAGGCUAGAUCCUUUGUCUAGUUGAGGAAUAAUCAAGGCCCAGUGCACGGAAAAUUGUGAGAUCUUUUUAAUUGUUCUGCGCUAAUUCAAAUUUUGCGUUAGUGGGUAUUUAAUUAUUCUUUGUUUUAAUAGCCUAUUCUUGUUUGGAUCAAUGUGGCCAGUUAUUCAAUUGUUUGAAUAAUAUACUGCCAAUUAGGACGAGGGUGCGUAUCACUUGAUUGUCUUAAAAUUAGUGGCAAACGGCACAAUUUCAUUGCCUUGCAAGCAGUCUAAUCUGUGUCGUAGGAAUAGUGAAUCUAGUUUAAAUGAACCUGCAUGUGUGUUUGUUAACUAGAAUUUGAUCUCUCUAAUUCCUAAACUGGGAAUAAAUUAAAUCUUUCGAGCGUCUCUGGGGUUAUCUAUUUUACAAGAGGGUGGUUUAAGAGCAUCUCUAGAUCACCAUAUAAUUAAGAAGAAAUUGGUAGUUUGGCGAGAUUAUUUUCUUGAUUAGGUUGUGUCAAUUAAUUAAUUAUUAUAUUCUUUAACUACUGCACUUUCUUGCGAGUAGAAAUUCAGUACUCUUACCUCUUUAAGUUUUUCUUUUUGUCUUCCUUUCUAAACCCCUCCACAUUCUCUGUGUGUGAUAAAUCUACCAGCUCCCUGAGGAGACGACCCUACUCAUCACUAUAUUCGUUUAGUUUUGAGAGUAGGUCUUGAUAUAAAUUUUAUUUUUGGUAGUUUGACAGUCACUAAAUUUUGGUGCCGUUGCUGCGGACCUGGUGUUUGAAGUGAUUUAUUACACAGGUUGUGUUUAGCCUUUGUUUUAAGCCUCGAUCUUCCCGUACAGGAAGACUCGAAUUUGACCCAGAGAUCAAGAAAAUAGCAAGGAGGUUGACGAAGGAGACUAAGUUGCAAAAACAACAAGUUUCAACGGCAAUACUCCCUGAACUUGAACAAAAUUCAAAUUUAAGUGAUUCAUCAGUUGAAUUGGAAACAGACUUGACUGGACCAAACGAAAAAAUGGCUGGCCAAAGGACUUUGGGGGAGUUUGCAACCCCGAAUGUUAACCAACAGCCUCUGUGCAUUACGUAUCCCGACAUUGAGGAGGCUUUUGAAUAAAAAUCUAGUUUGAUUCAUCUAUUGCUUACUUUUCGUGGUAUUGCAGGUAAGGACCCAUACAAGCACUUAAAGAAAUUUCAUGUAGUAUGUUCAACCAUGAGACCUCAAGAUGUUACGGAAGAAUAAAUCAAGUUGCGCACUUUUCCUUUCUCCUUAGCAAACAAGGCUAAGCACUGGUUAUUUUAUUUGCCAUCGGGGUCUAUCACUACGUGGGAAGGAUUGAAACGACAGUUCCUUGAGAAAUUCAUUCCAGCCUUUAGGGCCGCCAACAUCAGAAAGGAGAUAUGUGGAGUUAGGCAAACUAAUGGAGAAAUUCUCUACAAAUAUUGGGAGCGAUUCAAACAGCUGUGUGCUAGUUGCCCGCACCAUCAGAUCCCAGACCAGUUGUUGAUCCAAUAUUUUUACGAGGGACUGUUACCCAUGGAUAGAAAUAUGGUAGAUGCAGCGAGUGGCGGUGCUUUAGUAAAUAGGACAACAGAUGAAGCCAAACGGCUUAUCUCAAGCAUGGUUGAGAACUCUCAAUAGUUUGGAGUCGGAUCUGAGGGAGUGACUAGAAGGAUCAAUGAGGUAAAUCAUUCUGAUCUCGCAAAUAGAUUAACGGAACUUACCACCUUGGUUGGUCAAAUGACUAUAGGGCAAGUACAGACAAUUAAAGCAUGUGGGAUAUGUGCUGCUCCCGAACAUGCGACCGAUAUGUGCCUAAGCCUUCAAGAUGACCUAUACGAGCAAGCCAACGCCAUGGGAGAUGUGCAUGGACCACCAUAAGGGAGAAAUAACCCAUAUGCGCCCACAUACAAUCCAGGGUAGCUGGACCACCCCAAUUUCAGCUAUGCUCUGAAACUCUCAGAUUUUCAACAAUCGUUCUAGCAGAGACCACCAGUACAACAACCAUUCACGUCCAAUUCCGAUAUGUCCCUUGAAGACAUGGUUAAAUCACUAGCUGAUAGCACUUGUCAAAUGCGGCAGGACUUGCAGAGAUUUCAACAAAAGACUCGCACCAGCAUUAGGAAUUUGGAGGCGCAAAUGUCACAACUGGCGUCUUCAAUGAGCAACCUUGAGAGUGGUAAAAAGAAGCUAUCAUCUCAGGUAAUUCCCAAUCCAAAAGAGAAUGCAAAUGCAAUGAUUCUACGAAAUGGCAAGGAGGUACAGUCCUCAAAAUCGGAAGCAGCAGGAGAGGAAGACGAACGAGUGUAUGGGGAGUUUGAGAAGGAAAAAAUAAGCACCCCGCCAAAUUUUCUAAGAACUUUGAUAUUAACCCGUCUUUUCCUGGCAAGUUGGCUAAAGCCAAGAAAGAGGAGUCAGAGAAGAAAAUUUUGGACACCUUUCGGAGAAUGGAAAUCAACAUCCCUUUGCUUGAUGCGAUUUGACAUUUAUCAAAAUAUGCAAAGUUUUUGAAGGGGCUGUGCACUAACCGAAGCAAGUUGAAUGUUCAAGACAAAAUAAAGAUCGGUGAGAAUGUGCCCACGGCCCUUCAAAGGAAGUUACCGCAAAAAUACAAGGAUCCAAGUAUGUUCACGAUACCAUGCAUCAUAGGACAAAAGAGAAUACAAAGAGGUAUGCUUAAUCUAGGGGCAUCUAUUAAUAUUAUGCCUUUGUCAAUAUUUAGGGCCUUAAACCUAGGCCUUCUAAAAGAUACAAGGGUAGUAAUUCAACUAGCCGAUAAGUCAAAUGUUUACCCUGAGCGUGUAGUUGAAGACGUCCUAGUGAAAGUUAAUGAGUUUAUCUUUCCUGCUGAUUUCUAUAUUGUUGACAUGAACGACGAUAACUCAGUUAACUCAGCUGUACUCCUUCUGGGUAGGCCAUUCAUGAGUACAGCUAGAACCAAGAUAGAUGUACAUGAAGGUACCCUGUCUGUAAAGUUUUACGAGCAGACAAUUACUUUUAACAUUUUUUAUGCGAUGAAAUAUCUGGAUGAUACUGAGUCUAUUAAUUAUGUUGGUGUCACUAAUUCCAUUAUGCAAGAUCACCUUGAGCAGAAUCUUAUGGAGGACAAGCUGGAAUUCGUAUUACAAUAGAGCAAGAUGAAUGCAGACGUGGAAAGUGAGGAUGAAGAGGAUACUAUAGAAGCAAUUAUGUCGCUACAUUCACUCCCGAAAUUACUUGACAAGUCAGUCAACUCAUUUUUACCAUUGCCUACUUCUAAAGAGAGAAUUUUGCCCUCUGUCGAACAGGCACCGGAGUUGGAAUUGAAAGAAUUGCCAAGGCAUUUGAAAUAUGCUUACCUGGGAAACAAUAGCACUCUGCCGGUUAUCAUCGCAAGUGAUCUGACAAUAGAACAAGAAGAAAGACUUUUACGAGUCUUGCGGGAGUUUAAACCUGCAAUUGGAUGGACGUUGGCAGAUAUCAAAGAUAUAAAUCCAUCCAUUUGCAUGCACCACAUUUUACUUGAACCAGAUGCGAAACCGGUAAGGGAACGUUCGAGGAAGCUUAACCCACCAAUGAAAGAGAUAGUCAUGAAGAAGAUUCUCAUGUAAUUGGAAUUAGGAAUUAUUUUUCCUAUCUCCAAUAGUGAGUGGGUAAGUCCAGUACAUGUUAUCCCUAAAAAGACCGGCAUUACACUUGUGUGGAAUGAGAGGAAUGAGUUGGUGCCAGUGAGACUCUAAAAUAGGCGGAGAAUGUGUAUAGACUUCAGGAAGUUGAACGCGACCACAAGGAAGGAUCAUUUCUCAGUACCAUUCAUCGAUGAGAUGCUUGAUCGAUUGGCAGGUAAGUGUUUCUUUUGCUUGAUGGCUACUCUGGGUAUUAUCAAAUUACUGUUGCCCAAGAGGACCAGCACAAAACCACUUUCACUUGCCCAUUUGGAACUUUUGCUUAUCGCCGUAUGUCUUUUAGGUUGUGUAAUGCUCCAAGGACGUUUCAAAGAUGCAUGAUGAAUAUAUUUUUCUGACAUGAUUGAAAACUGCAUUGAAAUAUUCAUGGAUAAUUUCACAGUACAGUGAUUUGUUUGAUCAAUACUUGCAUCAUUUAACAAAAUUUUUACAGCGGUGCAUUGAAACAAAUUUGGUCCUUAAUUAUGAAAAAUGUCAUUUUAUGGUUAAGGAAAGUAUAGUUUUGGGCCAUGUUGUUUCGUCUAAGGGUAUCGAUGUUGAUAAAACAAAGGUUGAUUUGAUUACUAGUUUACCUUACCCCACUAAUGUCAAGGAGAUUUGUAGUUUUCUUGGGCAUGCAGGUUUCUACAGACGAUUCAUCAAACAUUUCUCAUGAAUUGCACAGCCAUUGUCUCGACUACUUCAAAAGGAGGCGCCAUUUGAUUUUGGAGAUGCUUACAAAGUGUCCUUUGACACACUAAAAAGCAUGUUGACCACGACACCAAUCAUUCAACCUUUGGAUUAGAGCCUGCCAUUUGAGCUUAUGUGUGACACCAGUUAGUAUGCAGUGGGAGCUGUACUUGGUCAGAGAAGUGGGAAGUGUAGCCAUGUCAUUUACUAUACGUCAAAAAUGUUGUCGCCGCCUCAAUACAACUAAACCACCACCGAGAAGGAGCUUUUAGCAAUUAUUUUUGCUUUUGAGAAAUUUCGAUCAUAUUUAUUAGGAUCGAAAGUAACAGUUUUCUCUGAUCAUGCGGCCUUGAAAUACCUAUUGGCAAAGAAACAGUCUAAGCCAAGAUUUAUUCGUUGGAUACUCUUGUUGCAAGAGUAUGACUGGGAGAUCAAAGAUCGAAAAGGGGUAGACAAUUCAGUGGUAAAUCAUUUGAGCCGAUUGGUUCGAAAAGAAGAGAGAGUGCCCAUGUCUGAGAUAUUUCCAAACGAACACUUAUUUCAGCUUAGAGGUGAGGAACCCUGGUAUGCUGAUAUUGUUAAUUUUCUGGUCAGUCACAAAUUUUCAAGUGGUAUGGGUAAGAAUAAACAGGAUAAAAUAAUAUAGGACUAUCGAUAUUACAUUUGGAAUGAGCCCUACUUGUGGAAAGUAAGUUCUGACCAGAUCAUUCGUCGAUGUGUUUCAAAUGAAAAUAUUUCCUCUAUACUUAUUCAUUGUCAUAGUUAUGCUUGUGGCAGUCACUUUGAUCCUAAGAGAAUUGCUCGAAAAAUACUUGAUUGUAGCUUUAUUAGCAAACCCUGUUUCGUGAUGCUUAUUUGUUCUGUAAGAGAUGUGAAAAAUGUCAAAAGUUUGGGAAUUUAUAUCACCGGGAUGAAAUGCCUCAAGUUCCUAUAUUAUUUUAUGAAAUCUUUGAUGUCUGGGGUACGGAUUUUAUGGGACCGUUUUUUAGUUCUUUUGGUUGUCUUUAUAUUCUUUUGGCCAUAAAUUAUGUGUCGAAAUAGGUAGAAACAAAGGCUACCCAAACUAAUGAUUCACGAGUUGUUCAAACUAAUGAUUCACGAGUUGUUGCAGGAUUUCUUAAGUCCAACAUUUUUAGUAGGUUUGGUGCGCCAAGAGUAAUCAUCAGUGACCAAGGUACUCAUUUCUGCAAUCACACCAUUGAGGCACUGAUGCGUAAGUAUGGAGUUCACCAUCAAGUUGGUACUACUUACCACCCACAGACCAACGGGCAAGCUGAGGUCUCUAAUCGCGAGAUUAAAAGUAUUUUGGAGAAAAUGAUCAACCCAAAUCGCAAGGAUUGGAGUACCCGAUUGGAUGAUACAUUGUGGACAUAUCGCACGGCGUAUAAAACACCAAUUGGAAUGUCACCUUACAGGUUGGUUUAUGGUAAGAUGUGUAAUUUACCUGUUGCAAUUGAAUAUCGUGCGUUUUGGGUAGUUAAGCAGUGCAAUUUGAACGCGGAUAGAGACGGGAAGAAAUGGAAACUCUAGCUUCAAGAGUUGGAAGAAAUCUGCUUGGAGGCUUACGACAAUGCACGACUUUACAAAGAGCGCACAAAGUCCAUCCAUGACAGACUCUUGCGUAAUAAGCAAUUUUCUAUAGGUCAAAAGGUACUUCUGGUCAACUCACGGUUGAAGUUCAUGCCAGGUAAGUUGCGGUCCCGAUAGAUUUGACCAUACAUUGUUGUUAACGUUUUUUCCAAUGGUGCAUUUGAAAUUAGAAGUUUUGAGACUAACAAAAGUUUUAAGAUCAAUGGUCAUCGUCUCAAACCGUUUAUAAAUGUUUUAGAACUUGGCACUAUGGAGGAGGUCCACUUGCUCGACCCCGGUUCCACUUAAGAUGUUAAAUUACCUUUGGUCUGGUCACAAACGUUAAAUAGAGGUGCUGCUUGGAAGGCAAUCCAAGAUUUCAAUUUUUAGUAAUUUUUAUGUUUUUAUUUCAUAAUUGCGUAUUUAAGAUCAAGGUGUUUGGAUUCCGAUUGAUAGAAUUCUUUAUUGCAGGUCAUGGAUGUGUUUUGUGCAAUUUUAUUUUGGGAUUCGAGACAUAAUUCUUGGGCAGAAGAUUUUCCCUUCUAAGGCAUGCCCACGCCUUGUGUUAGAUGCAAAGGGGCGUUUUUAAAGAUUGAUAAACAGAAGACUUACGCUUCCAAGGCGUGCCCGCGCUCUACAGGGAUGCGCCAGAUGAACUGUUCUAAGAAAUUGGUGAUCGGCGGGCUUUCGGUUCCACGGCGUGCCCACGCCGCACAACAAAUUGCAUCGAUGCUGUUAUAACGAGGGAGGCAUACGAUUUCCAUUUCCAAGGCGUGCCCGCACUUUCCAGAACAUCUCGCGCACGCUGUUACGAAGGGCUGGGCAAACGACUCCGGCCUCCAAGACGUGCCCGUGCCUUCCAACCAUCACGACAUAUAAAAACAAAAAGUCAACAAUGAUUAGACCCACUCUAAACCCUACCUUUAUUUAUUUAUUUUUCUUAUCUUUUCUUUCCUUUUCUCUUAGCGUCCUCCCCGGUCUUCUCCCUUCGCCGCUGCCAUCUCUGACGGCGUUGCAGCGGCACACUUCCCUCCUCGAUACCAACGCCGCACGCCAUCGUUCCUUUCCCCUUUUCGUCCUCGUCUCUCUCCUCGAUACACGCCGCCAUUUCGGUCACCAUCACCGUGACCCCAAUCGCGGCCCUGGUCACACUGCCGCACCACCGCCGUCAUCUCCACCCACAACACCCGCGAUGCUCACCCACGGACACCGCGCACCGCAGCCACUGUCCUUCGUCCCCGUGCAUCUCUCUCUCACGCGUGACCCACGGCCACCCGCCAUUAACCGCCAUCAUGAUUUCUGCUCCAUGGCCACUUAUCUCCUGCCAAGUUGCCCGGUGGUACCUCUCAUUUCUAUCUUUUUGCCAUUCGUGACUCGAAUUUGGAGUUUUGUUGAUAUAUUUGACUCCAAUUUGGGCGUAAAAUAUUUGUGAUUUUUUUGGUUGGGUACUUCGGUUAUGGUGGGUCUGUGAUUUGAUACACAUGGCUUGGUGAUUCAUUAGUUUGUUGGGUAUAGUUGACAGUUGAUUACAUUUUCUGCACCGUCAAUUGGUUGUUGACUGUUGACUGUGGGUAGUGUUAUUUGUGGUCCCUUGUCUCCAUUUUGAGUUUUCUUGUCGACCCCGUGCCUUUGGAAUUGACAUAUUUGCCCCUUUAUAGCUUUGAAAAAGGCCACUCCGUCUGAGGCAUCGGGUUCCAACUCUCAUAAGGGGAGGGCCCCGAUUCAACCGCCCACUAGGUCCCGGUUGGGGUUUUCUAGGAGCACUCUGUCUCCUGGGGUGUGGGGGGAACCUUUGAAGGAUCUCACGCCUAAGCAGAAGGAGCGGUUGAGCUCCUUGGUGGUGCGUCCGUUCGCCCCAUGCAAGUGUUUCCACUCUUCCACUCUCGACCAGUUGAACAUUGCUAGGGAAGUGGAGCAGUUGUUUUCUGCCAUUGGGUGGGGUCGAUAUCUAGUUAUUGACUAUUUUUCGCACGAGGAGUUCUGCUAUGAAUUCUACGCUACCUUCCAAUUGGAGAAAUUUGAUUCUCUAGCCUUAGACUCAUCGGGGGUGAUCCAAUAUAGGUUGCGAGGUACCCCACAGGCACAUUCUAUUAAUGAGUUCAACUUGAUCUUGGGGUUUAUGAGUGAGGACACCCUCACCUCCGGCACUUAUAUCAAUAGUGCUUGCGACUUCACCCAAUCCUUUGCAAGCAAUUAUAUCGAGAUCUAGAGGGAGUGGUGCACGGACACUCAACUUUACGACCCGAGUCAGUCUAGGGCCUCGUUUCUUAAGGAUCCAGUGCUGAAAGUUAUUCACUGAUUUCUGGCGUAUAAUUUCUCAGGUCGGAAGGAUUCCUCCGGCACCCUCACCAAGGCUGAAUUCUAUUUCCUCUGGUGUAUGAGUAAUAAGGUGCAGGUCAAUUUUGGUUAUUGGGUAGCUCACUCAUCACACGCUUGGCUAUCCGCUUGGGAGUGCUUGAUCUUAAUAAGGAGCAUAAGCUCACCAUGGCUCGCGAGCUUGAGCCUUUGGAUCUGCGCAGUCUAGAACGGAUAGGUGUCAUUCACAAGAUGGGGGAUGCCUAUCAGUUUACACCUCCUGGAGAGGGUGUGCCCGAAUCCCGGGUCCCCCCUACUGCAGCUACCUCGACGGCUGGUCAGGCAGGACCCUCCUUCUCCGCUGCUCCAUCCUCUUGGGACACUCAGUUCCACACUCCGCAGGACUCGAUUCUUGACUUGGGCGGCUGGGUUGAGUGCCUGGAUGACCGCCUCACAGUCUUGCAGGUCCAUGCUACCAUUCAGACCGAAAAUCUGGCAGCCUUCUUUGCUCACGUUGGCUUUCAACCACCUCAUCCUCCUCCUCCAUAGUGCUCCCAUUGGCCUUCAGUGAAGCUUCUAUUCCUUUCUUUUCACUUACUAUUUUUCUUUGCUCCAUUAAGAACAAUGUAGAUUUAUGGUGUGGGGGGAGUAGUUUAGCUCUUUAGGUCUACCAAUAAAAAAAAAAGAAAACAACAAAAAAGAAAAAAAAUCAAAAUAAUUAGAAAAGGGAACAAAAAAAUAUAUGUGAUGAGUUCAUUUGGCGUCAGUUGAAAAUGUCUAAAACUUGAUACUAUGAUGAUGAUUGCAAUUACUCUACAAGCAUGAGCAGUGAUAUUAUGUGGUUGAAUGUUUUAUCUUCUUAAUAAUGGAAUUGAAUGAUGAAGUUUGCAAGACUUGGUUAUUAAUAUCCCGUUGUGAGCUGUCGAGCCAAUAAGCAUUGCAUUGAUAACUGCUCUAUUUUCUUUCAUUGAGUGAUUUCACACAUGAUUUGAUUGUUCUUGAAUUUGCUUUGUUGUAAAUGUCAAGACCACAUUCAUGAGUUUGAUGCAUUAAAAUGACAAGGGCACUUAGGUUAACCAUUUUAACUUUCUAAAGACCAACCUUAAUCAGACCUCCCCUAGUUGACCAAGGUUGAGCGAAAACCUUUUCUUUGUUUAAUAACUCAUUUUGUCACCUCUAAACCCCUUGUGUUUGAACCCUCUUUGUUUCCAUUCGGUGUUAAAGGAAUGCCUUGAUUUCAAUGCAUGAUGAUUUUGAAUUGGGUUGAGAGGGGAUGAUUGAAGUUAGCGAGUGUGUUUAUAUUCCUAUGUAGUUGUGCGUAUUUUGAAAAGAAAAGAAAAAAGAGAAACAAAAAAAGGGAAAAAGAGAAGAAAAGGAGCACACCAAGAAAGAAAAAAAUAAAAAGAAAAAAAAAGAAAAGAAGAAUUACAAAGUGCUGUUAUCAAUAUGUGCGAUGUUGAGAUAGUGGGGUGAAACCCUUGGUUGUGCUGGCACUUGUUAAUUCUUUCUGGAAAAUUUUUGGGUAUGCUUUGGAAAGAUCAUUUGAAUGAAGGAGGAAGUUGGAAGUUAUGCAGUGAGUCAGUGGUAUUUCCUUUGACAUAAUGAGCCUAAAUUAUCUGUUUGAUCCAACCCGUGUCUGAAUCCCAUUACAACCCGCAUCAAGACCCUUUGAUUUUUGCAUUAAAUUUGGUCUUAGUGGUGCCGAUGUGAUUUAUUAGCAAGCAUAUAAUAAUAUUAUUUUAUCGUGUGGUGGGAGUGACCCUUUUUUACCCCAUAUCGAGUGGUAAGUAAUCAUAUUUCAUUCUAUAAGAGAGGGUUAAGUCUUAAAAUUUCUAAAUUUAAUAACAUUGUUAGAAGGAUGGGACACUUGAGCUCGCAUGAUUGAACUACUGUGUGUGUGUACCUGUAAUUGUAUCUCUGAACUUUAAAAUGCUUGAGGGCAAGCAUUGUCUUGGUGUGGGGGGAUUUGAUAGGGCGAUAAUUGAGCGUUUAUUACGUUAGUGUUUGGUCCUAAUUUUGGCCAAUUGUUGUGCAGAAUAAUGGGUUUCUGCUCAUAGUUGGUAAUUGUGUUAUUUGCAGACGACUGAUGUCAAAACUGGUAGAGGGAGGCAAAUUUCCAGAAAACUAGUCAUUCCAGAACGUGCCAACACCAGAGAUCGCAGGGUGACGUCCAAAAGACGGACUACGGGACUUAUCCUUGGGAGCUUGCCGCUAUUCUUGGAAGGUGUAUUUUGAAGUCACGUGGGAUAAGGAGACAUCUUGAGAGACCCUUUUGGCAACAAAGCAAUGAGAAAAAAAAAUAAGAAAAGGGAUUCCUUAUAGAAACAGCACUUUGUUAGCCAAAGAGACGGUGAUGGCAAAGCUUUAAAUAGGACAGCAAUAGACUAGGAGUUGAUAUCUUUGACCUUGGAUGUUUAGUCUUUCUCUUCUUCUUCUUAACGUGAGUUAGAGAUUCGUGGUUUUUACUUUAUCAACUAAAUUCCAUAAAAUGCUUUCAAUUGCAUCAACAUUAUGUGGCAAGGCUAGAUCCUUUGUCUAGUUGAGGAAUAAUCAAGACUCGGUGCACGGACAAUUGUGAGAUUUUUUUAAUUGUUCUGCACUAAUUCAAAUUCUGUGUUAGUGGGUAUUUAAUUAUUCUUUGUUUUAAUAGCCUAUUCUUGUUUGGAUUUAUUGGAUCAAUGUGAUCAAUUGUUCAAUUGUCUGAAUAAUAAACUGCCAAUUAGGACGAGGGUGCGUAUCACUUGAUUGUCUUAAAAUUAGUGGCAAACGGCAUAAUUUCAUUGCCUCGCAAGCAAUCUAAUCUGUGACGUAGGAAUAUUUAAUCUAGUUUAAAUGAAUCCGUAUGUGUGUUUGUUAAGUAGAAUUGGGUCUCUCUAAUUCCUAAACUGUGAAUAGAUUAAAUCCUUCGAGCGUCUUUGGGGUUAUCUAUUUUACAAGGGGGUGGUUUAAGAGUGUCUCUGGACCACCAUAUAAUUAAGGAGAGAUUGAUAGUUUGGCGGUUGUUGAAUUGCUAGAACCAAGUUACUUACGAACGUGUGAAUUAAUUCAGGUAUCUAUAAUCAAUUACAUGGACCAGUGCCGAAAUUAUUUCCUUGACUAGGUUGUGUCAAUUAAUUGUUUAUUAUAUUCUUUAGAUACUGCACUUUCUUGCGAUUGGAAAUUCAGUACUCUUACCUCUUUAAUUUAUUCUUUUUGUCCUCCUUUCUAAACCCCUCCCACAUUCUCUGUGUGAUAAAUCUGCCAGUUCUCUGAGGAGACGACCCUACUCACCACUAUACUCGUUUAGUUUUGGGAGUAGGUUUUGAUAUAAAUUUUAUUUUUGGUAGUUUGACAGCCACCAUGAACCAUCCCUGUUAGAUCCUCUUCCAGCCUCAUCAAAUUAGCAUGUAUAACCUCAGACACAGCAUCUGGCCAUGAUGCGUUUAUCCAGUCCUUCAAGGUCAUAUCUCCUGAUAACAUUUCAUUAGUUGGCUUCCUUCUUGUGAAAGUUUCCAUCAACAUGAUUCCAAAACUGUAGAUAUGACACUUCUUGGAUAUCAAACCUUCUGAUCCAUACUCUGCACCAAGUGAAACAGCUUAUCAGAAAGAUUACAAUUAUGUUGAGGGAUAUGAAACAAAAUUAGAAGCAACUAUCAUCACUUGGUGCCAUGUAUCCCAGUGUUGCUAGUGUCUGAGUUUGGGCCAUGCUCUCUCCCAUCCCUAAUAAUUUUGCAGUGCCAAAAUCACCCACAUGUGCUACGAUAUUUUCGUCAAGUAAAACAUUGUUUGGUUUCAGAUCACAGUGAAGCACAGGGAUUGAAUAACCAUCGUGCAGAUAGUCUAAUACUGAUGCCACAUCAAUCAUUAUGUCUAGUCUUUGCAAAAAAUCCAUGUACAGAUCCUGAUAGUACAACCACUUUUCAAGACUUCCAUUAGACAUAUAUUCAAAAAUUAAAGCUUUGAAGUCAAGGCUGGAACAGCUGCUGAUGACUUUGGUUAGAUUUCUGUGACCAAGGUUACGUAGUACUUCACAUUCUAUGUCAAAACUUCUAAAUGCACCUUUUAUUUGUAAGUUGAACACCUUCACAGCUACAUUUGAUCCAUUGAUUAAUGCCUUGUAAACAGAACCAUAGGCUCCCAUGCCAAUCAAAUUUCUCUCACUAAAUCCUUUAGUAGCUUGUUCAAUUUCAUGAUAUGAUAUUCUGCCAUGUGCUAUAGCAUCUAAGGAAUCUCCUCCAGUUAUUGUGCUGCUUGUUUUUCUAGAUCGCAUUAAGGCAACAGGGAUGAUGAUGGCCACAACUAUGAGAGAAACUGCUAGUGUAAUUAACACAAUUAGUAGCACUCUUUUUGUCCUUCGCUUUCCAGAUAAGCUAGCUCUGCAUGCUGGGACUUGAAGCUGAGGAGUGCCACAAAGUCUUUCAUUUGACAUAAAGGAUUUAGAUGUGAAGUUUGCAAAAGGACCUCCAGAAGGAAUUUCACCACUUAAUCUAUUGAAGGACACGUUAAAUAAUGAAAGAUGUGAAAGUGCUUCCAAUGAAUUGGGGAUGGAACCAGAUAGGUUAUUACUUGAUAAGUCCAGAGAUUCCAAGGCUAACAUGUUGCCAAUUGAUCUAGGAAUAGGUCCUUCAAAUCUAUUAAAUGCAAGGGAAAGAUCAAUCACAUCUUGCAUACCUCCAAUUGCACUAGGGAUGACACCUAAAAUUUGAUUCAUAGAAACAUUUAACAGUGUCGCAGCCUUUAAACUUCCAAUUUCUGAGGGAAGAGAGCCACUCAAAUAGUUUGAAGACAAAUCAAGAUGCAAGAGAUCACCGAGGCUCCCGAAGCUUGAAGGUAUAGCAGAGUUAAAUUUGUUGGAACUUAGAUAAAUGUAUCUUAGAGAUGUAAUGUUCCCUAAGCAUGCUGGCACCGUGCGGCAAAACUCGUUAUAGCUCAAACUUAGAAAUCCCAAGUUGUUCAAGCUGCAGAUGCCAUUUGGGAUAGGUCAUUCCAUUUUGUUGUCAUAAAGAUUAAAUGCUUGCAGUUUUGAUAGUGCUCCAAUUGUUGCUGGAAUGAAUCCAGCCAAGUUGUUGCCUUGCAGAAAUAAGAACGCUAAGCUGCUCAAAUUAGUGAAUUCAUUUGGAAUGUAGCCUCUUAUUCCACAAUAAGCUGCAUACACAUAUUCAAGAGAAGUAGAAAGGUUACCAACAGAAGAUGGAAGAAUUCCAUUCAGGGGAUUGUAACCUAUCCGUAGUCGUCGUAACUGUUGGCAAUGUGUUAAUGCACUGAAGAAGCUCAAUUCUGAUGAUGAAGAUUCUGUCAUCAAAUUAUUUUCAAUGACAUUUAGAUACUGCAAAUAUCUUAAAUCUCCAAAGGAGUGGGGAAAUGAACACUACUAGCUUCGCUAUUGACGUGAAGGCCAUGUCAUGUUUCCUUGGAAGUCAGAUUUUGGCAACGUUUCCUUUCAUAUCUUAUGCCAAUUGCUGCGGGAAUUGGCUUAUAAACAGAGGCCACGGCAAAGGUUUGGACUGCACUACCACUUCACGUGAAAGCUACCAGACACGGAAAGAAUCAAUAUGGAGCUUUAAGCUGCACUCAUGGAAGAGAAUUUCUGCCUUUCAAUUUAAGCUGCACAAGUUUUACCACAUUUUCCAACAGCUUGUGCUCUUGCUAAUGGUGCAUUACAUUGGCUUGUAGAGGAAGAUGAUGGUUUCAACUUUAUCAUUGCCUUCGAUAUUUCCAGUGAAGAAUUCGAGAAGUUGCCCCAUUAAUGGGGAAGGUAUUUUUUUCAGCAAAAUUGAGCAUCUUAAAUUGUUGCCUUUCUUUACUCUAUUGUUAUAUUUCAAGUGAAAGAUAUCGUGUCAAUUUAUGGAUCAUUGAUGAAUUAAUAUGAAGUGGAUAGAACUCGGACUAAGUUAAAAUCUCAUUUGAAAUUCUCGACAUUUGGUGUUGAACACCGAUCAUAUAUAUGCUCAAACCAAAGCAGGCAACUGCUUUUGCAAAUUGAUGGAGCAGAAAAGCUUGUGCUCUAUGAUCUUGGAACCAAAUACUUGAGAGAUGUAGCCACUGCAAAUGGAGCAGCUAGUUUCUUUAGAAGCCUUCUUGCAUGUCUUCAUGUUCCAAUUUCCAACUUGUGUAGCACUAGUUUUACCUCUUCUUGUUGCCAAUUCUCUGUUCUUAACCAAAAGUUCAUUUCUCCAAUUUCUUAUUCAAACUUAAUUUCAAUUGAAGAUGUUCAUUUGUUGUGAGUUCAAUCAUCCUAAUCCAGAUCCCUCUAUCAGUUAGAAGUUCAAGUUGCAAGCCAUUUCACUUUAUCCAUUUGCCAUCUUGCAUAGGGAUUAAAUUCAUGCUGAGUAAGUUCAUACUUUUUUUAUAUAGAAAAGAUCAUUUUAUUCAAAUAAAUCUGCACUAAUGGAAAAAAAAACACAUCAAACAAACAUGACACACAUACGUAUGGAUCUGAAAUAAAUAGAUAUAACUGAUCUAAAAAAAAAUAUAAAUAAAGAUAACAUUGAUACUCCUAUAUAUCUUCCAUUCGGAUAAAUCACUUUAGCCCAAUACAUCAGUGCAUGUUUGAUGAUGGAGCACCAAGGACCAAUGGAGAGAAAGACCAGGCCAUUUGAGUACCAAGUGGUCCGAUCACAAGAGCUCGCGCCAAGAAGAUGAGCGAGUCACUCCAAGCACUCGUGUGCACCAUCCAAGAGAGAAUUGGAGAUGAUUUAAAAAUCAUUGAAGGCUUGGAGAAUGAAGAUUCCACAUUAUACACCUUGCUCCAAGUUGAUGAGCCAAGUGAAGACUAGUCUUAGUCAAGGCCGAGAGUUAUUUGUCAAUCCAUAGUCAAGGCCGAGAAUUAGUUGUCAUUUAAUUGCUGUUUAGUUGUUUAAUUUUAGUUAAUAAAUCCAGCCCAAAAACAGUUUUCAAGAGUGGCCGGAUAUUAUAUAGCCUUUUUGCCAUUUUUCGGCCCAAGAGGCCUUAGCCUAGCCAAGAGCACCUAAUCCAUUUCACUUUAGGUUUAGUCAAGUGAAUCCAAAUCACUUUAGGUUAUCAAUUAUAUGGCUAUAUAUAGCCAAGGCAAGAGACCUUCACGAUCAGUCUUGAUAUUAAUAAAAUUGUGAGUUUUCACUUUCCCUUUCCAAGAGAGUCUCUUUGAAUAUUUGAGAAUCUUUCUCAAAUUGUUCAAUUGAACUUAUCAAUCAAGUAACUCCUUGGUUGUGGCGUUCAUCUACCUUUAAUUUGGUUCACUAGUUCGUUAGAUAACGGGUUGAGAUAGUAUCAAUAGUGUUCGUUCUAGAGGAUUAGAUUUGGAUCAAAUUUUCGCUGCCUAAGCCAUUGGUGAUUGGUUGUCUAGAUCGUGACCAAGUGAGUAUCACAUCAGUUGGUAAUCAGAGCUAGUCGACAACCACCAGGUUAUAUCCUUCUUUUCUUUUGUGUCGAAUCACAUACUCUUGUUUCAAAUUAGUUCGUGUGUCAAUUCAAAAAAAAAAUCGUACUGUUCAUCGUACUGUUCACCAACACUGUUCAUCGUUACUGUUCAUACGAAUUUUUUUUUUUUGGAUACGUCGUCUUGUCUCUUAUUGUUGUGUUUCUUGAAUCUUGAAUUCAUCUAAAGUCAGAAAAAAAUAAAAAGAGUCGCACCAAGUUUUUCUUGAGUCAAGUUGUUGGAAUUUUUUCUCUUGAACUGUCGAACCUAUUUCCAACAUUAAACCUUAAAUAUUUACGUUGUUUCUUGCAAAUCUUGGAUACCAAAACCUGAUUUGGGAAGUUCUUGAGUUUCUUGAUAAAAAAUCUUGAAGUUCUUGGAUCAACCAAAACUGUUUUGGGGAAUUCUUGAUUAAACAUCACGGGUUUCUUGAAACUUGGGAAGAAAGUCUUCAACUUUCUCAGCAAACUUGAACCGUUGAUCCGAAUAUAAGUUGUUGGGACAGAAAAUCUGAGUUCUUGAAAAACAAUUAGAGAGCCGCAAAAGAAAAAAAAAGGGGAGAGAAAGGAAGCAUCGGCUCUAGGUUUCCUACUUGAAAAACAAAUCCCAUUCUUGAAACACUCCUACUCCUAAAGCCUUUGGGAUUGAAGUCAGCCAAGAAAACCAAGAAACCAAGUCCAAACCUUCCUAAAACACCCUCACUCUUCCCACAUCAGAUCCAAACAACUACCACAAACCCGUGUCUUCCCCAAAACAAACCCAACCGCCUCUUAGCACUUGUUCCCCAACCGAAUUAAAGUUACCAUCAAGGGCUAAAACGAUUUGCCUUUUACACAUCCCAAACAGCCCAAAUACUCCAUAAACAACCUGCCCGAGCCCAAGAAGAAAACAACAAGCCAAAUUCCAACAAUACAAGAGUCCAAUAGUCCAAUCCACAUUCGACUUGAUAGAGUCCUUAUCAAAGUCAAAAUCUCACACACACUUGAGUCACUCAUUGCAGACUAAAUCAAUAAAAUUUCAAUGUGUUUCUCGUGUCCUUUGCUGUGUUUUUUUUGAGUCAUUAUUCAGUCUCAACUUUCAACUACUUUUACGCCAUUCCUUGGGGAAAGCUUGAAUAAAGUUUGAUUGAACAACUUGAAGGAAAUUUCUGAUUUCUUCACGGGGGAAAUCAAGGGAUUUGAAAAUGAGUGGUGAGAUCAUUAGAGUGUUCUAAACACUUGAAUGAUACACAAGAGUGAGCGGAACACGUGAGGGAGUGAGUGAGGAAUUUUUACCUUAACAUUUGUUGAAGUUUUGCAGGAUAAACCAUGGCCAAUGAAAACGACAUCACCAUAGCACAAUUGGCAUCAAGAAUGGAUGCUAUGUGGAGAGACAUGCAAAGGAAAUUUGAGCUCCGCUUUGAGUCCAUGCAAGAGCAAAUUGAACAAUUGGAUCCCUCCAGAAACGCACAAUUGGAUCCUUCCAGGAAGUCUUCUAGGAAAACUAGAGGGAAACUCACCGUGAACGAAUUCAAUGACUCUAAAUUAGAGAGAGAGUUCGAAGAUGAUGAGCGAAGGCCGCGGAGAAUGACACAAAGGGCUGACCAUGCCGAGGAUCAACUCAAAGGAAUAAAAUUAAAAAUUCCUACCUUCCAAGGUAAAUCGGAUCCCGAAGCAUACUUGGAGUGGGAAAGAAAGAUUGAAUUGAUCUUCGAUUGUAACCACUACACGGAGUCUCAAAAGGUAACGUUAGCCGCCAUAGAAUUCACAGAGUAUGUCGCAAUUUGGUGGGAUCAACUUCGCCUCAAACAACGAAGGAAUGAGGAACUGGCCAUUCGGACAUGGAACGACUCGAAGCGAAUCAUAAGGAAGCGCUUCAUACUCGAUCACUACCAUAGGGAUUUGCAUCACAAAUUGCAAACCCUCACUCAAGGUAGUAUGAUGGUUGAAUAUUACUUCAAAGAAAUGGAAAUGUCCAUGAUGCGGGCUGAUGUUCGAGAAGAUGAGGAGGCCACCAUGGCACGAUUUUUGGGAGGAUUACAGCCUGAUAUUGCUAACAUAGUGGAGCUUCAACACUACCUUGACAUAGGGUAACUCUUGGACAAAGCUAUCAAGGUAGAACGGACGUUCAAGAGGAGGGGAACGGGUCGUCAAAACUCCAACUUUCAAUCUGAAAAUUGGAAAAAUACGCCCUUAAAGAGGGAGGAUCACCCCUCGAGUGCCCUACACCUUGCAAAAUCGAAUGGAAAUUCAAGAGGGACUUUGAGGCCGAAUACACUACCUUCCAAACCAACUUCAAAGGAGGGACCCCAACAAGAGGUCUUUAAACUAAGGACCCGUGACACCAAGUGCUUUAAGUGUCAAGGGUUUGGGCACAUUGCUUCCCAAUGUCCAAACCAACGGACCUUGAUCAUGUUACCCAAUAGAGAUAUAUUGACCGAUGAAGAAGAAGAGAUACAUGAAGGGAUGCCUCCAUUAGAAAAGAAGGACGAGCUUGAAGAGGUACCAGUCAAUGACACGGUUGGAUGUCUAGUGGCAAGGCGAGCACUAGCCACUCAAACUAGUCAAGAUGAGCUCCAACGAGAAAACAUCUUCUACUUCAGAUGUCAUAUACACAACAAGGUUUGUAGCCAAGUCAUUGACCCAGGGAGUUGCACUAAUGUUGCAAGUGCACUAAUAGUGGAGCGACUCAACUUACCUACAACCGACCACCCACGUUCCUACAAGCUCUAAUGGCUAAACAAUAGUGGCGAGGUACGUAUCUCCAAACAAGUCUUAGUUACUUUUCGCAUUGGUCGAUAUGAAGAUGAUAUUGUAUGCGAUGUAGUGCCUAUGCAAGCUGCACACAUCCUUUUGGGCCGUCCUUUUCGAUUCGAUAAGAGAGUUAUGUUUGAUGAUUUUCUAAAUAAAUACUCCUUUUUGCAUAAUGGUAAGAAAAUUACACUUGCACCUCUCACACCACAACAAGUGCAUGAGGACCAAGUUAACUUGCAAAAGGAGUAUGAUAUACAUACCACUAGUCAAAAACAAUCAUCAAAAGAAAAAGUAAAAGAAAUGGCCGAGAACCCUAAGAAUAAGAGUAAACCUACUCGAACCAUUGAGCUAGGGAAGGAAAGAAAAACUAGCUUGCUACCUCGAGUGAAAGAUGUGAGGAAAGGUUUACAUUCUAACCAAGUCUUGCUUAUAUUGAUUUGUAAAGAAGCUUUACUCACUAAUGAGAUUGAUACUUCUCUGCCUAGUAUUGUCACUAACCUUUUGCAGGAGUAUCAUGAUGUGUUCCCUGAGAAUAUAACUAAUGGAUUGCCACCUUUGAGAGGGAUUGAACAUCAAAUUGAUUUCAUCCCUGGGGCUUCCUUACCAAACAAGGUACCAUAUAGGACUAAUCCCGAGGAAACUAAGGAACAACAAAGACAAGUAGAGGAGCUACUUGGUAAGGGUUGGAUUCAUCAGAGUCUAAACCCUUGUACUGUACCCGUCCUACUUGUGCCUAAAAAGGAUGGAGGAUGGAGGAUGUGCACUGAUUGUCGAGCCAUUAACGCCAUCACGGUAAAGUAUUGCCAACCCAUCCCUCGUCUAGAUGACAUGCUUGAUGAAUUGCGUGGUGCUAUUAUUUUUACAAAAAUUGAUUUGAAAAGUGGAUACCAUCAAAUUCGUAUGAAAGAUGGGGACGAAUGAAAAACUGCCUUUAAGACUAAACAUGGCUUAUAUGAGUGGUUAGUCAUGCCUUUUGGCCUAACUAACGCAUUUAGUACUUUUAUGAGAUUAAUGAAUCAUGUUUUGCGUCCUUUCAUUGGAAAAUUUGUGGUGGUAUAUUUUGAUGAUAUCCUUAUCUAUACUAGAAGUGUAGAGGAGCAUGCAUUACACUUACAAGCUGUCUUGGAUGUACUUCGAAAGGAAAGGCUCUACGCCAACCUUAAGAAGUGCACUUUUUGCACUGAUCAACUUAUUUUUUUAGGAUAUGUUAUCAGUGCACAGGGUGUACAAGUUGAUCAAACAAAGGUGAAGGUUAUAAAUGAAUGGCCAACACCUACCAAUGUAAGUGAGGUGAGGAGUUUCCAUAGCUUGGCAAGCUUUUACAGAUGCUUUGUCAAGGACUUCAGCACCAUAGCUGCACCACUUACAUCCAUUAUCAAGAAGAACGCACCAUUUCAAUGGGGGGGAGGAACAAGCUAAGUCUUUCCAAUUAUUUAAACACAAGCUCACACAUGCACCUAUUCUAAGUUUACCUAAUUUUGACAAAGCUUUUGAAAUAGAAUGUGAUAUUUCUGGUAUAUGUAUUGGAGUUGUUCUACUCCAAGAAGGUCGACUGAUUGCAUAUUUUAGUGAAAAGCUAAAUGGAGCCUUCUUGAACUACUCAACCUAUGACAAGGAGCUCAUGGCCUUAGUUCGAGCACUCCAAACUUGGCAACACUACCUUCGACCUCGAGAGUUCGUCUUACAUACUGAUCACGAAUCACUCAAGCAUAUCAAGUCACAAACCAAGUUGAGUAAACGACAUGCAAUUUGGAUAGCCUUCAUCGACACAUUUGCUUUCCUGAUCAAGUAUAAAACAGGUAAGUCUAAUGUAGUAGCUGAUGCAUUUUCUAGGUGAUAUACACUACUUACUACAUUAGAUGCAAAAUUACUAGGAUUUGAAUAUUUCAAGGAUCUCUAUGCUAUUGACCCAGAUUUUGGUGAGAUUUUCAACUCCUUGCCACGAGACACUCGUGAGCAUUACUUUAUAUCAUAGGGAUUCUUGUACUACAAGGACAAAUUGUGCAAUCCACUAAGUUCCAUGCGACCCCUGUUAAUUCAAGAAGCCCAUGGAGGAGGACUUAUGGGUCACUUUGGAAUUACUAAAACAUUGUCCACCCUCCAAGAACACUUCUUUUGGUCACGCAUGAAAAGGGAUGUUGAACGACAUAUACAGAGGUGUGUAACUUGUCACCAUGCAAAAUCAAAGGUAAAUCUUCAUGGACUCUACACCCCUUUACCUAUCCCACAUGCACAUUGGAUUGACUUGUCUAUGAAUUUUGUACUUGGAUUACCUAGAACUAGACAAGGUCAUGACUCUAUCUAUGUUGUGGUUGACCGCUUCUCUAAAAUGGCACAUUUUAUACCUUGCCAUAAGACCGAUGACGCUAAACACAUAGCUGACUUGUUCUUUAGAAACAUAGUACGUUUGCAUGGCAUGCCUCGUACCAUUGUGUCAGAUAGAGAUGUAAAGUUCCUUAACUACUUUUGAAAAACUUUGUGGUGUAGGCUAGGCACUAAGUUGCUUUUCUCUACUUCUAGUCACUCACAAACUGAUGGACAAACUGAAGUAGUUAAUAGGACUUUGUCUACCUUGUUGCGUAUCAUAAUAAAAAAGAAUAUUAAGACAUGGGAAGAUUGCUUACCACAUGUUGAAUUUGCUUACAAUCACACUGUGCACACUGCUACCCAAUAUUCCUCUUUUGAAAUUGUUUAUGGUUUAAACCCUCUCACCCCUUUGGACUUAUCUCCUUUACCUGAUCAUGGGAGAGUUAACAUAGAUAGUAAGAAAAAGGCAGAUUUCGUGCGAAACCUACAUGCCAAAGUUCGAGCCAACAUCGAAAAGCGUACAUUUCAAAACAUCCAAAAUGCAAACAAAGGGCGUCGCAAGAUGGUCUUCGAACCAGGCGACUAGGUCUGGAUCCACAUGCGCAAGGAGCGCUUUCCACUUCAAAGGAGCAACAAACUCCUCCCAAGGGGUGAUGGCCCUUUUCAAGUCAUGGAGAAAAUCAACAAUAAUGUCUACAAACUUGACCUUCCAGGUGAGUAUGGGGUACAUGCUACAUUUAAUGUUGCUGACUUGAGUCCAUUUUAUGCAGACGAUGAGCUUGAUUUGGGGACAAAUCGCCUUCAAGAGGAGGGGACUAAUGAUGGAGCACCAAGGACCAAUGGAGAGAAAGACCAAGCCAUUCGAGUACCAAGUGGUCCGAUCACAAGAGCUCGCACCAAGAAGAUGCCCGAGUCACUCCAAGCACUCGUGUGCACCAUCCAAGAGAGAAUUGGAGAUGAUUUAAAAAUCAUUGAAAGCUUGGAGAAUGAAAAUUCCACAUUAUACACCUUGCUCCAAGUUGAUGAGCCAAGUGAAGACUAGUCUUAGUCAAGGCCGAGAGUUAUUUGUCAAUCCAUAGUCAAGGCCGAGAAUUAGUUGUCAUUUAAUUGUUGUUUAGUUGUUUAAUUUUAGUUAGUAAAUCCGGCCCAAAAACAGUCUUUAAGAGUGGCCGGACAUUAGAUAGCCUUUUUGCCAUUUUUCGGCCCAAGAGGCCUUAGCCUAGCCAAGAGCACCUAAUCCAUUUCACUUUAGAUUUAGUCAAGUGAAUCCAAAUCACUUUAGGUUAUCAAUUGUAUGGCUAUAUAUAGCCAAGGCAAGAGACCUUCACGAUCAGUCCUGAUAUUAAUAAAAUUGUGAGUUUUCACUCUCUUUCCAAGAGAGCCUCUUUGAAUAUUUGAGAAUCUUUCUCAAAUUGUUCAAUUGAACUUAUCAAUCAAGUAACUCCUUGGUUGUGGCGUUCAUCUACCUUUAAUUUGGUUCGCUAGUUCGUUAGAUAACGAGUUGAGAUAGUAUCAAUAGUGUUCGUUAUCUCGGGGAUUAGAUUUGGAUCAAAUUUCCACUGCCUAAGCCAUUGGUGAUUGGUUGUCUAGAUCGUGGCCAAGUGAGUAUCACAUCAAUGUCUGCUGCCAAUCAAAUCUAAUUAAAAUUGGUUCAAGUCCAAAGUAAGUCCAUACUUUAAAUACAUAACCGAGACUUAAACUCUUUUUUUUUUUUUUUUUGCAAAGAACAUCACAUUCAUUCAUUGUCACCAACUCAUUUUUAGAUAACAAACAAACUGAAAAAAGACAAGGAAAGAGGCUAAAACUACCUUGGAGAAAUAAAGGAAGCAAAAUUGCAUGUUCAAUUAGUGGGAUACAGAAAAAGCAAAUGAUGAAGGAAAGCAAAUGCAUAAAUCACUUGUACACAGCCUAAUUUUACAUAAUAGACAGUCUGUCUAUAAACAUGACAGUUGGGAUAUUGUUACCAGUUUUUCCGUAUAAUGUUUUUGUGUGUGUAUAACACAAGAAUAGCACAUUACGGUGUCAUUGUAAUUAAAUGAAUGGUGUCCAAAUCAAGAAGAUUAGGUGGUCAAAUUUUUUGUCCAUUAAUUUGCCGUUUGACUUGAAAUUUUUUUCUUUUGAAUAUCAACGGUUUUAAUAGUUAAUUACCCAAAACUUUAGAAUAGUAGUUGUUGAGUUGCCUUCUAAGCCCUAUAUAUAUGAAGUCUGUUAUUGCUAGAGAAGUAUAAUAGUUGUUGAUAGCUAGUAUGUAAUUAGCUUCCCAUUGUUUUGUACAUCCACAUGUCACGUUUGCAAGAAGAUAGAGUGCAAUAUAUUUGACAUUUAAGACAGAUUAUCAGUCAAUGAAAAUAAAAUACCUACUCUACAAUAAAUGAAAUUGCAAGACAGUGGUGAACAAGAUCGCAUCCAUGAGGAUUGGAAUGAUAUAUUUCUUGGAAUAAUUUCAUAAACCUAUCCUGAGGUUUUUAACUAUUUUGCUUAGUUCCCUUGACGUUUUAAAAAUUACACUUACCUCCCUCGAUUUGACAUAUUGGUAACCAAAACUUAAAAUAGAGUAAAAAAUUUAAUGAAAAUCCUAAAAUGCCAUUAUCUUAUAAAGUUUAAUUUAUUCUUCUAAACAAUUAUAACGUAAUUUAGUACAAUUAUAAAAAAAAGUGUCAAGUUUUUUAUACCAAUAUUUAUUAUUUAAUAAUCAACUAUAACAAUAAAUCUUUUUUCCAUUAUAAGCUAUUUUUCGUAGUGAUUUAUUGGGGGAUAUAGAUUCUUUUUAAGAUAAAGAAAAAGUGUUAUCUUUAUUUUUUAAAAGUUUAUGGACUAUUUUUUUUAAAUAAAUGUUUAUGGACUAACUUAGUGAUAGAACUACCCUAGUUUGGUAGUGAUUUUGGGCUAUUUAUUUUUAAUUAUUGUUGAUUUAUUCUUGAUUUUGAUACAAAGAAAAAAGUUACAAAAAAAUUGGAUGAUGUUGAAAAUUAUCAAAAAAAAUUAUAAAAUCCAUCCUUUGCAUAAACAUGGCAACAAGAGAGUUUUAUUAAAAUAUUAAAGUUAGUAUUGUCAUUUUAAAUGGACAAGGGAGGUAGGUGUAAAUUUUAAAAUCUUAGGGGAACCAACUAUAAUUAUUAGAAACUUUAGAGGAGGUUUCUAGAGUUAUCCCUUGUUUCUUUCAAAGCAAUGAAUAUAAAGGGGAGAUUUUGGAUAUUAAACCAACUAAUUAAUUUAAACACAAAAUAACAUGCAAAAAUUAAGUAAAUUUUAAUGAAUAAUAAUGGAACUCUUGCCAAAGAAAUAACUUCUGAAAUGAUUCAUAAAACUAAUCAAAAUAAUAAACUGGUUAUAAUUGUCAAUGAAUUCUGACAACCAACUUUUCUUUACUUUUUUGAUAAUUAAAGUACGACUAUUAGCUACUUUUCUAAUUGAAAAGAUAAUCUUAGGUACAACUGACCAUAGGAUUUAAUCUUACAAUUGCAUUAGAAAAAGCUUAAUUCUAACUAGAGGUAUCAAAAUGGGUGACUUGGGCGGGUUUGGAUUGGGUAAAAUGAGUAAUGGGUAUAAGUGAGUUUAACCCAUUUAUAUCCAUUUAAUUAGAUGGGUAUAAAUGGGUUAGUCAAAAAAUGAAUUAGGUAACCCAAUUACCCAUUUAUAACCCAUUUAUUUUAACCUAUUGUAAAUUCAUUUAAAUUUAUUUUUGCAAAAUAAGUUAUCAAUUUGUACCACUCUUUGCACCCAUCAUUAGUUUUAAAUAUUUACUUAUAAUGCUCAAUAAGCCUAAUUACCAAUUUUUUCCCCAUCCAUACUCUAUGUCGCAAAAUUACAUAUUAUUUAAUAAUUAAAUAAUAAGAAUAUAAAAAUUUGAACUAAGUACUAUAAAAGUUAAUAUAAAAACUUAAUCCAAAAAUUUUGAACCCCUAACAUUUUUUUCAUAUAUAAAUUUAAAAUUUCAUUUUGGAAAGAUAAGAAAAGAGGCUAAAACUUAUCAUAAAUUGGUAAUGCUGAAAAAUGAGCAAGUUAAUAAACUAAAAGAAAAUAAAAUGAUAAGAUAAAACUAAUAAAUAAUGAUAAUAAUGAAACAAAAAUAGUUAAUAUCAUGACAAAAUGAAAAUUUUGAAAAAAAAAAGGGUGGAGAAAAGAGGAGACUUGGGGAAAGAAAAUUUUAAAUGGGUUAAUUGGGUUUGCUGGGUUAUCCAAUAAUACCCAUUUAAUAAAUGGAUAUUAUUGGGUAACUCAUUCAUACUCAUAUACAAAAAUUUAAGAUACCCAUACCCAUCUAUUCAUGGACGGGUAUGGGUAAAUUUAGUUAAAUGGAUUUGUUUGCCACCUAUAGAGCUCUCAUUGAAUGGUCAAGGGAUCGAAUCCUAUGAUUUGCAUUCAUCUUUAGAAUUUUAUGAAAGUUUCACCGGUUGAUGCAAAGGCACCCGUUUGGUCCGGUGGUGGUUCAAUUUCUUUCAGAUUCUCCUUUGGCCCAUUUGGGCCCACCCCUCCCCUUAGUAUAAAGCAAGAAUAGGAGUAGAAAAGAAAAGUUAUCGUGUAUAUUUUAAGUAGGACAUUUUGAAUUCAAAAUCUCCUAUUUAUAAUCCUUUCCAACUCCCUCCCCCUCUUUUUCUUCAUAAUACUUCAUUUUUCUUUCUGACAAUUAGAUUAUAGCAAUAAUUUCUUAUUUUUAUCCAUAUUUUAUCCAACAUACUAUGAGAAAAACAUUAGUCUGUUCAUUCUUGCUAUUGUUGCAAAAUUGGAAUUCUUGUCUCAAAAAUUACCAAAUCCACAAACAUAAUUUGUGGUGGAAACUUGUUAAUUUAUAGUUAGAAAUUGAAAUUUACCUAGACAUAAUAUUAUAUUUUAAGCUACAUUACUAUUGUUUUACAAUUCUAGUUUUUGGAAUGUCAUAUUUGUAUUGCUCCUUUUUUUUUUUUAAUAUUGCUCCUAUUAUCCAGAUCAUUUAAUUUAACAUGAUUCUAAAUUUUAUUCUUUACAAAAUAUUUGCAAUGAACUAUAAAUCAAAUUAAAAGGUAAUUUGGAGUCGUUUUUACUCACCAUAGUUUCACAAAGGAGGACCUUGGAUUACUUAAUAGCUGUGAAAACGAAGACAAAGCAUGGAAACAAGACUUUGGUAAUUUAUUUAUCAUCCUCCAAUUUAAUUUUUUCUUAAACUCUGCAUAAAAUGAUGGCAAAUAAAAUAGAAUUAAUGAAAUAUAUGCGGUCAUUUAAUGAAUUUUUCACACCAGAAAAAUAGAAAAUUCAUUUCAAAGCAAAAAUCUUUAUGAAUUGUUUGGACAUUUAGGCCCAAAGUUGAAUUGAUGGACCUUUGUUUGGGAGUCCUAAAACUUAGGUAGCUGACCAUUUACUUUAGAUUGUCUGUAUAUUGAACUGAAUAGAAAAGUUGAAUGUAGGAAGCUUAUAGCCCAACUUGAUUUUUCAGGCCUCCUAGUGGACCAUCUGACCAUGGAUCAAUUCCUAUUUUAUUAUCUCAUCCUUGUAACAGGUUCGUUUAGCCCGACAAAUUUCAGUGCAUAACCAAGCAGCUUUGUCAGGAUUUGGGGCUUCACAAUUUGUGUUUCGUACAAUUUUGUACAAGUUGACCUCUGGUGUUAAUUAAUAAAAUUUUAGUAUAAAUUAGGUCUGAUUUGCUGUAAAUUAGGUGCAGUUCAGUGUAUGUUGAUUUGUUAUUAUUUGGUAUAAAUCAAGUACAGUUUGGUACAAGUUAAUUACUAUCAUUUAGUAUAAGCUGAGAACAAAUUAGUGUAAGUUGAAAGUAAUUCUUAAUUUACACCAACUUGAGCGAAAUGGAACUUGUGAGGCCCCGUUUCCCUUCAAUUAACAAGGGAAAGAAGAAGAAGAAGAAAAAAAAAAAAGCAAUGUAAGCAUAAGAAGACUAGGGAUUAAAAGUUUACAUGCAGAAAAUUUGUAAAAGCACAAAUGGCAAAAGAAAAAAGCCAACGAGCACAUGGUAAGGCUUAGUGCAAUCCCAUCUUAGUCAACAUUCAACUCUAUGAGGGUUUUUUAUUAACAUAGUAACUUUUUAAUUUUUUAAAAUUUUUUUAGCAGGGAAAUGGUCAAAAUUAAGAAGUAGGGAAAGAGAAUGGAGAAUUUCAAUCCAGAACGUCUAAAUCUUGAAACCUCAACUUCAGCACCAGACACCACAGGAGUCUUGGACUAACAUUAGCCACUACAUUCUUGAAUUUUUUUUUUCACCCAAAUUAUCAGCCUGUUUGGAACCUGAGUUUUUUGGGAGUUUGUCUAAAACUUUACUGUAGUGCACUGUAGAAAUUUUUGAAAAAAUUUUGUAGAAGUUUUUAUAAGGUGAAAAUUUUUUUUGUAAGGUGCAAAAUUUUGUAGAAAUUUUUGUAGAGUGAAAAACUUUUUUUUUUCUUUUCAUUUUUUUUCUUCUUUUUUCUUUUUCUUUCUUUUUCUUUUCUUUCUUUCCUUUUUCUUUUCUUUCCUCUCUUCUCCUUCUUCUUCUUCUUCUUUCUUUCUUUGCUCCCCGUUACCUCCUAGCAGCAGUCACACCCGCCACCCCUCUCCUCCCUUUCCCCUUCUCCUCCCACCACCGUGACCUCCUCCCCCCCCGCCACCCCCUGUGCCUCUUCCCCCUCUGCCACCGCGACCCCCCCCGCCCGCCCCACCGCCUCCCUAUGCCCUUCCCCCUCUGCCACCCGCGACUCCUCCCCCCGCCAGCCCCCUGCCCUUUCCCAGCUUCUCCCCGCCACCCUCCCCUCCCCCGCCACUCCUGCCUUUUCCCCAGCUUCUCCCCGCCCCCUCUGCCUUUUUCCCCAGUUCUCCCGCACUCUCCUCCCCCGCAGCUUCUCCCGCCACCUCCCCUGCCCGCCCCCUCCCCUACCACCCCCCCCAGCACCCUCCCUGCCACCCGACCCCCUCCUCCCGCCACCCCGCGGACGAUGCUAAAAUAGUCCCCAGGUUUCUGGCAAAAAGCAUCGAGGAAUUUACGGAACUUGGAACGCUUCGUCGAGGAGGAUUUGCUCUUCUGCAUCCAAUUGAAUAAGGAAACCAUCACGUUGAAUUUGAUGUCAAAUUCCUCCAUUCUGGACUUUUUUGCUUUUUCUAGACUAUGAUUUUGCUUGUUCGGUUCUUGGGGAAUGUUCAUUUUUUGUGUUUGAAAAUGAAGGAUUUAAAAACCGUCUGAAAGGGGAAGGGGGAAGGGGGCAGGGGAGGCAGAGGGGAAGAGGGGAGGGGGAGGGAAAGAAAAAAAAAACUUUGUGUAUGGCCGGAACUGGCCGCCGGAAUAGUAACCGGUGUCGAAAGUGAUGGUGGAGGUGGUGGCCGGCGGCGGAGGAUGUGGUGGGUUGGGUGGGGGAGGAAAAAGAAAAAAAGUUUGAAGGGAAAGUUUUUUUGUGUAUUUUUUGAAGUGUGUAGGUAAAAAGUUUUGAGAAGUUUUUUAGGGUUCCUGUAGCAAAAGUUGUUAAAAAACUAGUAGGUAAAAAACUUGGGCAAAAAACUCACUUUCAAACAGGCCCUAUAUUGUGUGAACGCAAAUUCAUCAAAAAUUGAAAUACCAUGAACAUGAAUGAAUAAGACAACUAAGCUGCCAAAAGAAAUAUCAAGUCAAAGAGAUUGUAGUAAAAGAACAGGAACCAUGAAGAUAAGAAGGGUAAAUUACAUUUUACCCCCCUAUGGUUUACCCUUUUUUUACAUAAUUCCCCUAUGGUUUCAAAAGCUAUACAUAACCCCCUCAUGGUUUGGAUUAAAGUGUCAAAGUAACGGAAAUAGUCACCCGUAACGGAACUUCUAAAAAUGUCGAAAUUACCCUUAUAAAUACAUGACACAUUAAACCCGCAUGAUUUUUAUAUUUUACCAUAUAACCCCCUUAUAGUUUAAUAUUUUACCAUAUAACCCCCUUAUGAUUUUCAAAAUAUACACAUAAUCCCUCUUGGUUAAUACAUAAAUUUCAACUUUACAUAAGGGUAAUUUUGACAUUUUAGGUGAAGCCGCUAUGAAUGAUCAUUCCCGUCACUUUGACACUUUAAUUCAAACUAUAAGGGGGUUAUGUAUAGAUUUUGAAACUAUUGGGAUGUAAAAAAAUGCUAAACUACGGGGGGUAAAGUGAAAUUUGCCCAGAUAAGAAUGACUGCGUUCCCAUUUAAUUUCAUAUCCUAACACAAAGAUCAAAGCGUUUGUACAAACUCAAUAAUCUAAGUCCUUUCAUCUCCACUCCAAUUAUCCUUGGAUUUGGGACCAGUGGGCCCUUCCUCAGCCAACACUUCACUAGGAAGCUCACUAACUGCUUUUUCUAAAGCACUUUUUAAUUUCCCAGGCAAAAAUUUCUCAACCUUCUUGAUCUCAUCGUUGAUAUUAUAGCUGAUUUUUGGACCCCAUUCUCUAGUAUAAUUCAACCAUGGUGGUUCAACAAUUGUUGGCCCUAAGUAAUCAGCAGAAACCACUGAGAAAUUUGCCCCAGCAUCCAUAAAAAACUGCCCUUUUCCAGCAUCAUUUCUUAUUCCAACAUUUGAGUUAGACCCUUGCAAAAAAUCUCCUGUCUUUGGAUAAGCGGCAUGGCCAUGCAAUGAGGAAUACACCACUGGUUUGUUACCAUUUUGGAACUCAAGCCCAGAAGCGCUGAUCCAUGUCCCUCCACUAUGUUCUGAAAAAUAAACACACUUUAAUUCUCCAUUGAAGUUACUAAUCCUCAGUGUCACAUGCUCCCAGUCUCCAACAUGUUCCCCAAUUUUUCCUAGCUUAAUUGUAACAAACUCAACUUUUGCUCUAGCUGCACCAUUAAAAGGGUAAAAAACCCAUACAGCCAAGUCAGUAAAAGUUGCACCUAACAUAGGUUUAACAUGUAUAUAUACACUUGCAUCUUGUAGAUUUCCUUGCUUGACCCUAUCUUUAGCAGCAUUAUCACGAGGUAAAUCUAUCCAAUAUGCACCAUCAUUUGUACCACCUUGGGGCAUAUUUGACCCUGUUGGGGUAAUAGCAACAGGAUUGGAUUCCUGCCCUCUUGUGUACAGUAAUGCACCAUUCUGGAAAAACCAAUUUACUGAAGAAGGAAAGAACUCUUCAUCAGGGUGAAAGUAAAUCACUGGAGAAUAUUCAGCAAGCAAUGCUCGAAUCUGAUUCAGAGUAGGCAUAGCAUGAAAGUUGCCUUGCAGAUUCUUCAAACAAGCCAGUGAUGUUGCAGCCCCACUGUUUUGUGCUAAUAUAAAUGUACCUGUGGAAACCCCUAAAACUUGAAUCCCUCUAACUUUUGGCCUUGAACCAUAUAUGUUAAUGCCAUUAGAACUACCCCAAAUCCAAGAAUCUAGAUCAGUAGCAUCAGUGUAAUCAGAGCGGACGCAUCGAACUUUUUCCACUGAAGGCUUAUCAGGGGAGCUUGUGACUACAUGACCAAUGGCCUUGUAGCCAUCAGGAGGUGAUGGCAGCCAUAUAUAGCCCACGCCAUCUUGCUUGAUAUUCAAAGAUUCACUACUCCAAAUAAGUGUAUAAUCAGUGGGCUUGCUCAGAAUUCCUUGACCUGAUGAGGCAUCUUUUGCAGCAAGAACCCAUCCAAACAGGGGACUAUUGUUUGGUUGGCUAUAGUAACCAACUGUAAAGAAUCCAACUGGGAUUGAAGAUGGUUCAAAAAAGGUUGCACCAAGAUUAUCUGGUCCACCUUCAUGAGUAGCCCAAACUUUAUUGAAAGUUGAUACUUGACAUAUCCGUAAUCCUCCCAAAUCAAUUGUUCCACUAGCAAAUCCCGCACCUAUAAUCCACAAAUGAACAGAAAGUUAGCAGAUUUCCACAACUUUAACCAAAAAAACAGAGGAAAAUUCUGAUGGGUUAGCAUUUUUACCUUGAGGCCAGGCGGGUAAUGGGGAAGGAAGCUUGAACAUGGUUUCAAUAGGAGGUGGCUGGUUGUCUUUCUUGGACAGAUAUACCACAGAAGGAGAAAUUGCAUUUAUGCUAUUUCCCAUGCUUGCAUGGUCCAACUGAUUCUGAGGUCUUGAGCAACAGAGUUGAAUAUGGAGUGCAAGGAACAUGAAGUAGACAAACCCCAUUUUCUGCAAGAGAAAUUGCUUUAGAAAGUGUAAAGACAAAGCAAGAAAUCUAGUCAAGCGACUGUGGCGCGAAAGUUAUUCAUCUAUUGGUUUUCUAUACUUGAAGAAUGAAAGCAUAUUGUUUGAGAUUUGAGGAUUGGAUGUUCUUGUCUUCUACACUAAAGCUUUCUGCUUUGGCUUUGUUACACCAGUCGUUAUUAUACCUCUCCUAUUUUCACGGGACUGAUUCUGUGUAUCAGGAUGUAGAAUGGGUUAAUCCCAAUUUACUGUGCUAGAUAUACAAGGUGUGUAUCGAGCCUUUGCUCGAAUGUAAAUAUUUUUUGCCCAAGUUAUAUAUAUAGUCCUACCGUUUCGAACGAAAAAAAAAAAAAAUUCUGUGAAUCAGUAUCAGUGUAUGAGACAGCUCUAGCUGUCAUCAUAAUAUUUUUAAUGCCAUAGUUAAAAUGAAAACUAAGAAAAAAAAAAAACAUAAUCCACUGUAUGUAACUGUCUUAGAUAAUCCACUGAUGUGAUUGCUGACAACGACAUACUGAGUCUGCAGAUUUCUUGAUUCAAGGAACUAUACAAAGGAAUCUUUUUAUUCUUUAGGGAUAAUAUCAGAAACCUCUACUGAUGUUUCUUUUAAUAUCAUCUGAUACUCCUAAAGUCUUAAAAACGUCACUUACUUCCCUUACUUUUAUUAUUGGCUUAUCAAAACUUUUAAAAAUCUUAAACUACCUUUUCAUUUGUUAAAUAACAAUAUUCCUAAACCGUUUUAUUCACUUCAAAAAACUAUCACCUACAAAACAAUCUCUUAUAUUACUAUCACAUCAUAAUACUAUACCCCAUAAAAAUACAAAUUUGAAAAAUAAAAAAAUAUUUGAAAAAAAUACAUUUGCACCAAUUUAACUCUAUAUACUUGAAAUUGAUUUCUUAUGAACUUUAUAUUUUUUUUCAACAUCUUCUCAAUUCUUGUCCAAACCAUUAAAUUGUAUCUAUCAUUAUAAAAAUCAACUCAAAAUACGCAAAUAAAUCAUACCUCACUUUAUCACAAUUACAAAAAAUAAAAUUCAAUCAUAAUUCACUUUACACAAAAUUCAAUUUAUUAUAAUUUACAGAUAAAAUUUUGCAUAGUCAUCCAAAAAAUGAGUAAGAGAGAAUGACAAAUAAAAGGGAUAGAGAAAAAAGUGACUUUUGUUUCUUUUUUUUUUUAUUUUGAGUUCCAAAUUAAUUUUAAUUUGAUAUAUAAAUUAUGUUUCAAAUAAGAGUUAGUAUAGUCUUUUUACAAUUAUUAGAGGAGGUAACUGAUAUUUCAAAAAUUUUAGGGGACCAAGUGAUAUUAAGAGAAACUUCAAGGGAGGUUCCUGAUGUUAUCCCUAUUCUUUAUGAGCAAAGUAAUAUUCUAUUCGAUACUAGCAAAAAGGCAGCUCUAAUCACCAAGUGUGUGUUAUGCAUAGUAAGAGUACACAAUAAUGAUUCAAGAUUUUCUGAUUAGUUCUUGUACAAAUAUGACAUCAUUUUACUCAGUAGAUUCUGGGUGUGUUUGGACAAACAAGAUUUGAAUUAAAAUAAUUCACUUCACAAAUUUUAGUCACCUUUUUAUCUUUUCAAUCAACUUUUUAUCUCACAUUUAUCAAAUCACAAAAAGUGCUAUCGUAAUUAUCUCAAAUAAAUUAUCCAAAUAAACUCAGAGCCUAUCGCAUUGAGUACAACCGAUUUUGUGAUGUGGCGGACAGGAUAUUUGCAUGGAAACUUUUAAAUUCUUGGCACAACUGUCAUCACUAGCUUAAAAGGUAGACACAAGCAUUAUUGUUAUCUUCUUUGGUGAUUUACGGAGUAGAAUCUUUCUCAAAGUGUAAAGAAAAAGCUCAGCUAAUUCACUUUUUGUUUGGAUUGCAUUUUUUGAGCUAAAAUAAUUUUUUAUUUAUUUUAUUUACUUAUUUUUAGAUGUAUUUUAAAUUAUGCGUGAGAUGUUACUGUAAACUCCACAAACAAAAAUUUUUUUUUUUUGAAAAAAUAGGUAAUCCAUAUGGAACUUAAGGUUACAAUUGUGUAUUUUUCAAGUUGACAUGCAUUCAUGCACUAAAAGCUUGUAUUACUAUCAGUAAGAGAAAUGCAAGAAUUCAGGCUUGGAUUAGUUAAUUAACAAUAAGACUGGGGAUGUGACCGCAGAACUUUAUAUGGGGUAUUAACAAAGAAGGCAUAAGAUGAUAAGACAGCAAUAAGGCUAAUGCAUGUGAGUUUGUGACACUAACGCGUUCUUGAAGCAAGAUAGUCAAGGCUGACCUGUGUGCUAUAAUGUUUUGUAUUGCGUCUUCAAAAACACAAACCCCAAACUUCCCUUGUGGUUAUUACUUGUCAACUAGCUACACUGGCCCUUCGGGUCGGGUCGGUUGGUGCUGGGGUAGCCUCAUUAGGUCCUAGUACCGUAUGAUCGUGGUUCGAUUCCUUCUACUGUCUUGUGUAUCUUGAGAGACGGGUGCAAAAAUACAGCCACCAUAUUGUGCAAAGCAUCAUGUAAUAGAACGGAAAGCUAACAACUAAAAAGUGCAAAAUAUCAAAUGUUUUAUGAAUAUCAAGCUAACGGGAACGUCAAGGAAUUGGGUAGAACUAAUUAGAUCUUACAAUUAUGCAAAUUAGGAUUUGGACAGGUUUGUCUUGUAGGACUGCCUUUUAGUUUAGCCAAACUCUAUUAAGUGUGAUAUGUUGCUUUUGCAUUUAGGGUUUUUCCAUAAUGGACCCUAAACAUCAUUUCAGGGACCAUUUGAUAAAGUUUAUUGACAACGAAUUUCAUCUGCUAUGAACUCACCAUAUACAGUUUGUAAUCUCUUCAAGGAUAAGAACAAGAAGCUUUUGCACAUUUUUGUAAGACAUGCUAGGAGGAGGCUUUAUAUCCAAGAAUCUUCUCAUGAAUGAAGUAUGGAACCAGUGAGGGGAAAGAUGAAAGAAAAGAAUGGAAAAUAAAACUAGAGCUAAAUGAUGAAUGGAGAAAUGAAUGAAGGAGAACUUACUUGCAUUGGAAAAUGAGUGACAGCAUCCAUCUUCCUUCCCAUAUCAAUAACAACAACAACAACAACAACAACAACAAAAUUGCCGUAAAAUAUACAACAAAAGAUUGUUAGUGAUAGUGGAAGGUGAGGGGGUGAAAUUCUGUGCAAUUUUAGCUUUUCAGUUGCUUGAAAAAACUUCGCUCUGUAUAUUCUUGGCAAAUUAAGCAGAUGACUUGCUGUAACAAACUCUUCCGAGUCCUCGGAGAUGGAUGGCAGCAUAUCCCGUCCGAAAUUCCAAAGCAUAUUUCUGCUUAUGCUUUGGAAAUUUGAAUUGAAAUUCGUCUUCAGAUAAAAUUCUAACAUAGUAGCAACAAUAUUGUCACGCAAAAUUUUAAACCCACAAAAGUUAUAAAUCCCUGGAUUCUGUGUUAAAUUGCCACCAGCCUUGUCGGCCUAAAGAAAUGGAUACGAGAUGAGAAUGUGCCUGGCAAAACAUCUUUAACGGGUCCAACCUAGCUCGACUCCAGAUUAGUCGGGCCAAAAUGACUACCACACACUGAAGAUUAUUUGAAAAAAAAGAGAAAAAUAAAACAUUCUUGAUAUUUUUUUUUUCAAAUCUAGCAGGGGAGGGUGGGGCUUAAGAAACAGGAGGAAGUUGGGAGAUUUGAGUUUAAAAUCUCUAAUAUUUAGAAUCUCAAUUUUAACCAUUAGAUCAAUACCUCAUCGAUCUUGAGAAAUGCAAUAAUGGAGAUACUGUACAAUGUUAAAUUGCAAAUAAAAAUAUAAUGGUGCAAGAUUAAGUGCAACUCCAGCUCUCAGGUGACAAAAAAUAUAUAUAAAAAAAGAAUUAAUUUUUCCUAUGCACAGUAAGUGUUAGAUGAAUGAUAAUUAUCAAAAUUUAAAUUUAAACUCCAAUUUUUGCACAUGUGUCAGUGUAAAUAAAAUUACUGUAAAAGUGGUUGCAGCACAUUUCAGAAUGCCUAUUUGCUCAGUAAUUAAUCACUGAUCAGCCCAUGCUUCAUUACGUUAUUGCUUCUGCACAAGCUUUGUAAAAUCAGGAUCCUACGUAGGAUCGAUUUUAGUUUUACAGAAUCGGAUCGUAAGAUCGGAUUGUGGAGUCGUAAUAUCUCACCAAAAGCUCCUAAAUUUACUAAAUUAAUGAAUUUAAAAUUCAUAUACCAUUUUGUACAUACUAAAAGAUAUCAAAUAAAUAGGUUACUCAUAAAUAUUUUAUACCAUGUUGUUCAUUUCUUGUUUUGAGUUUUAACAGUCAGACAAGGAACCUUUACUUAAUCUUAGAGGUGGCAAUUUGUCCCAAGUUCCAAUGGGCUACCCAUGCCCAAAAGGACUUUGGGCGGGAUGGGUACCAUAAUUUGAUAUUGGGUUUAAAAUGGGAUGCAUCCCAAUUGUACCCAUUAUUUGAUGGGAAAUGUUGAGAAAUACUUGGGUACCCAUUGGGCCCAAAUAUCUUCCCAAAAAAUUUCAUUUAUCCAAAAAUGCAUCUUUGAUUUUUUUUUUUGCAAAAAUCUGAUUUUUUUUCACUUCCAUUUUCUUUCUUUUACUUUCUUCACUUUCCUACAAAAGAAAACUAGUUAAGUAAAAAUGAUUUCAUUUAAACAACUUUAAAAAAAUAAAGAUAACAAUAAAAAUAAAAUGAAUUGGUAAAAUUUUGGUGUCUACAAGAAUCAACACUUUACUAACAAUUGUUGGCACCCUUUAUGUUGAUUUUAUGCUAAUUGUUGAACUAUCUACAUAGAUUUCUAUAUGCAACCCUGUUAUCAAUUUUUAAUCAAUUUCUUCGUUUUUGUGCUAGCUUUAUUUAGCAUUUAAUGUGAAUUUCUUUUGUAUCAAAUUUUGAAAAUUUUAAGAAUGCCAUUAAGAAUGAAUUUGGUGUUAAAAAAUCUUGUUUCUAGUCCUUGUGUCAGACAACAUUAUGGGUAAGGUUGGAAUAUGGCUGUAUAUCUAUCUUUUCCUUUAUUUGUUAAUCCAAUUUUUGGUUUAAUCCAGGGAGAAGAUAUGUUCAUUCUUACCAAAAUGUUAUAUCUUUUAAAAGUAAUUGUUGAUCGUUCUAGAGUGUAAAUGAAUUCAGGAAAAUAUAAAUUCACAAUAAGAUCAAAAGAAAUUGAAUAAAUAAAAAUAUUAAAGUUAUAUAAAAAAUAAAAAAGAAUUAAAGGAAAAAAAAUAUAGAAAAUAGAUUUGGGUAUUGGGCGGGAUCAAUCUAAACACAUCCCAAAGUGAUCCCGUCCAAAUUAGUUCCAAAACACAUAUGGGUAAGUUUAACCCCAAACCCAUAUGAUUCGAUUUCAUUUCGAACCCAAGCAAAUCUCACCCAUCCCGCCCAUUUUGCCACCUCUACUUAAUCUACUAAUAUUUUCUUUACAACCUUUCAGCUGAAAAGUUGUGUUUUUGUGCUGGCCUGUAGUAGAAUGUAGAAUAGAUGAUCAUAGCAAAACUAGCUGUUAUAGAUAUAGACGAUGAUCCAUAUGGCUUGCAAUAUUAAACUAACAUUGUAAAAAGGGCAACAAAUGAAGGCUAAUAUAUAGUUGAGUAUCAUUGACCACUAUACAUCACUUGUAUGCAUCUCAAGUCAAGUUUGAAACAAGCAGACAAUUCUAGUUCAUAUUGGUUUGCCGGCCAUUUAAUUUUCAGACUUACAUUUUAUUAAUUCUCCAUAAUUUAAUUCUAAUAUACUAAAAUUAAGGAAGCAACCAAUCAACACAACAGGGGGCUUGAAAUACGUGUGCAUGGGGGCCUCAUAAUCAUUCAUUCAUUCAUUCAUGGGUUCAAAAGAAAAGAUGAAAGAAAACUGCCGACGAUCAUCAAUUUGCAGGCAUGUGGUGUGGAGCAACAACUAUGGAGGAUUUGAGUAGAGAAAUGCUUAGCCAAGCAAAAGGAAUACUAUAAGGCGAUGAAUAAUCUUGGUCUUGGUCUUGGUCUUGGGGAUCCAUCUCACACAAAAAAUAAUUUGCAAUGCGCGAAAGUGACUUAAGAUCUAAAUUCUAGAGUAAUUCAGUUGGCUGGAAAUCUUCAAACAAUUAAUGCGGAAACAUAUUUGUCUCAAGUCUGAGAUAUGUAGAAGGCAAUCAUAGGAAACUCGACUACCAUAGACUACCAUAGCCAUAUUUGAAGCACUGCUCAAUUCAACCGAUAGUAAAAUAACCACAUGUGACUUUAAUUGAAGUACUGGUGCUGGAGCUUCAGUGUGGUGGCAGCAAGGAGAUUGGAGAAGAACAGGUGUUGGAGCUUGAAGUUUUGAAGCUUGAAGGUGCCACAAUCCAGCGGCAGCAAAGGAGAUUUCAUCUUGAAGCCGCACGAAAUCUGGCUUGAAGCCUUGAAGCUGUAGCUUGUUGGUAUUUGGUAGAAGCCACAGCGAUUUUGUCUUGUUGGUAGGAGCUGCAGUGGUGGUGGUUUGAUGGAUAAAUUAGGGCUUUGGGCAGCGAUGGAGAAGAAGUGAAAAGUGAGAUUAGCAAAUGACAGAGAGGAGAAGACUAAAGAUGAGAAGAAUCGGAGCUUGUUUGACUUUUUGAGGCAAAAAGUGUUCAAACAUUGCAAUUAAAGACUGCAAUUCUUUGAUAAAUUACAAAUCUACCCCAAAUGUUUUCAUUUACUUGCAAAAUGGAGUCUCGUAUUUCACAAAUUAGCAAAAAAUUGUAGGAUCGAAGUAGGAUCGUAGAAUCGACGAUUCUAUACGAUCCUACAGAUCCUACUCGAUCUUAUGCUGAUUAAUGCAAUUUGUGACUCUGAAUGCGAUCCAGAUCGAUUUUGGUUAUCCGGGGAUCGCGAUUUUGACAACACUGCUUCUACAUUCAUCUAUCUGGGGAAGAUUGGUGCUACCGCGCUAAUGAUAUUAGUGGGAUAUUAAUUGCUCCAUUAUGGGAGUGCUAAAUUAUUUUAUUCUACAGUGGGGAACACCAAUUUGUAUCUAAAACAAGCCGUGUUUGGUUUUAUAAUGGAAGGUUAAGUUCAUGUUAGGAAAUUGGCUUAAUUUCUUUUAGGUAGAAUUCUUGUUUUGUGUAAAAGUAUCUAGUUUUCUAAUUGGUUUUAGUUACUCGAAGUAAUAGUCAAGAAAUAUUCUAUUUAGUUUAGAAUUAGAAAUUAUUUCAUAUUCUGUACAAGUUUAGGAAUUAGAAUUGAUUUUCUAUUAUUAUUUGGAUUUUUAACCAAAUAACGUUUCUUAUAAAUAGGUGGAUUGACAUACUAUACAAGAGACACAAGGGCACACAAGGGCAACAUAUAGCCUUAUACAUGGGGUGGUGAGAGAGGGUUCUUGAAAGAUGAGAGAUGAUAUACAAGGUUGGAAUUGGGUUCAACUUGUAUUCUUGUAUAAGGUUUUCCUCUCAUAAUAAAGAACAGGUUUCUCUCCGUGGACGUAGGCUCAAUGCUGGAGUUGAACCAUGUUAAAUAUUGUGUGUUGUUUAUCUUUCAUACCGUGGCUUGUUCCUCAUUAAAUUGUUGUAUACUUGAUGUCUCAAUAGUUAUUUGCUCAGCGCUUGGAUCCUAACAAGUGGUAUCAGAGUUUCAGGUUGUGAGACUGGGCAAUAAAGCAAAGUUCGUGGUUGGAUCCUAGUUAACUAUUAAGAUCAAGUGGAUUGGUAGCUGUUACUAAUUGAAUAAUUUAAUGAGUGGUAUCCUUGUUUCAAUGACUUGACAAAAAGUAUUGAUGGUGAAGGAUGGGAAGUCGAAAAGCGUGAAGAUACUUGACGGUGAAUCUAGGCAGGUGAUUCAAGGGUCAAGAAAAAGGUGAAGUUCAAUAUUGAUUUUGGACGUGAAUCGGUGGAGACUUUCUUACACCUCCAACGAUUGAUACUUCAUCCCAGUGAAUUUUAGAUUUUGGUUAUGUUAUUUGGGUGGUGUGGCAUGUGUCCCAAAGGAACAAAAAAAAUCUAAUUGUCAUGCGCCAUAAGACUUUGACAGUUAUGAGUUUUUUGUUUUAGGUGGAGUUUUGGAAACCACACAUGGCACGACAGUCCUGAAGAUGGGAAGAAGUAUGGUAAUUUUACCACUUAAUUGCCUCAAUGGUUAAGGUUAGAACUCACAGAAGGAGAUUCCGGAUUGCAAGUGGUGGUGAGAAAAAAUCAUGCAAAGGAAGAUGGUGAAUUGGACACUUUCUCACGAGUCAACUGGAGGUUGGAUUCGGGGUGAUUACAGAUGUUAAUUUGCCGAUUAAAUCAAUUUGGUGUCAGAACUGUAUUGAUUCAAGUGUGUAGUUCGGUACCAUAUUAUUUGGUAGUUGAAAGCAAAUGAUUGUUAAAAGAAAUUUUCGCCAACGUGGAGAUUUGUUAGGAAAUUGGUUUAAUUUCUUUUAAGUAGAAUUCUUGUUUUGUGUAGAAGUAACAAUUUUUUUAAUUGGUUUUAGUUACUUGAAAUAAUAACCAAGAAAUAUUUUAUUUAGUUUAGAAUUAGAAGUUAUUUCCUAUUCUGUACAAGUUUAAGAAUUAAAAUUGGUUUCCUAUUAUUAUUUGGAUUUUUGGCCAAAUAAUGUUCCCUAUAAAUAGGUGGGUUGGCAUACUGCACAAAAGAUAAAAGGGCACACAAGGGCGACAUGUAGCCUUAUACAUGAGGCAGUGAGAGAGGGUUCUUAGGAGAUGAGAAAUGGUAUACAAGAGUUGGGAUUGGGUUCAAGUUGUAUUCUUGCAUAGGAUUUUCCUCUCAUAAUAAAGAACAGGCUUCUCUCCAUGGACGUCGGCUCAAUGGUGGAGUUGAACCACGUUAAAUAUUGUGUGUUGUCUAUCUUUCAUACUUGUAUCUUGUUUACCAUUAAAUUGCUGUGUAGUUGAUAUCUUAAUAGUUGUUUGUUCAGCGCUUGGAUCCUAACAGUUCAUCCAGAAAUUUUAUAUGUAUUGGUUAAUCCAAUUCAAGUGACAUAAUAAGUUUUGCUGUUUUAAUUGAGAAUGGGAAUUAGGUUAGAAUUUCGCAGAAUUCCACACUAAUACGUUCCCAGUUUAAAUGCAAACUUAAAGUUAAUUUAAAUGUUUGAGCAGUAAAUUCUGAAUUUAGUUGUCAGUUCCAAUUCUGAAAUUAGAUCAGUUUGAAUACAAUUUUUAAGUUAAUUUAAAUGUUUGAGCAAUAAAUUCUAAAAUUAAAGCAAGUUAAAUUGGCAGGAAAAACUUCAAAAUGUUUCGGGAAUUCGUACUGGAUGUUCUCCAAUAAGGUUCAAUGACCCUACUAACUCGGACUGGAUUAAUCACAAAUUGGGUCCAACUGGUCAAGGAAUGUGCCCUCUCACUGGGCCUAGUUCGUUGCAGUCAGAAGACUACUCUCUCCCUUUAGGUAAGCUAUCUACAUGUCUUUAUAUAUGUAUAUAUAUAUAUAUAUAUAUAUUCUACUUCUACUCCUACUCCUAUUUUAGCUUAUUUUAGGGAGAGGGGAGGACGACGAAGACUAAAUCAAUGUUGGAUCAGACAGAUACAUUAUGCACCCAUAUGUAUUUAAGAGAAGCCACAUAUAGUGACACAAUAAUGGGAGGUAAGAUUUGAACUCUUGAUCUUUCACACUUCCAAGACUUAAAGUGUUUGAUGAUGGCCAAAAACUUUCUACAUGUCUAACAUGGAAUUUUCUUGACAUGGAGUAGAGUAGACGGUGACGAUUGACAAAAAAAGAAGGGGAAUUUCCUCAACCCACAAAAAAAUUUUUUUAAAAAAAGAAAGGAAGGUGAAAGUUACUUCAAGAACUGAAAUUUUCAAGAAUGCUUACUAGCUUAGGUGCUAGAGCCUCAUCUUUGCCCCCUGCAACAACAAUUCUACAAACAAGCAAUGUUGUUAGGUUGAAAUUUAAAAUUUUGUUUUUAAUAAUUGUUUUUGGUUUUGUUUUUUUACACCUGCCCAUGGCCCUUAGAUAAAUAAAAUUGUUUGGAAUAAUGGGAUUAGAACUGCUUUUAACGCAGGGCUUGUCUAAGUUGUGGUUGGAACUUGGAAGCUUGCAACUAGGAAUAUUAAAAAAGAAGCAUAUUAAUUCUAGCACUAAUUAACAGUUACCAUUUGUUCGAAGGCUUCGGACAAGCAGGAUCGCACAUCAUGAUAAAGCUAGCUAUAUAUAAGAACUUGUCUUUAACACUAAUUAAUCCCAGUUAAUUAAUGAUGAUCAAGAUUAGAUGGGCUUUCUCUUCCUGUUAGAGUAGGGCAAUAUUAGUGGUAUUGUUUGUUUAACUUUUUUUUUAAAUUUUUAAAAGGUAGUUUACAAUGUAAGUAACAAUUGUAUGAUGCUCUUUGUUUUAUGUAUAAUCCAAUUCAGUCAAUUUUCUUGCAGAAUUUUAACUGUUAGAGUUGAUUUUGCUUAGGUUAAAUCGCAGGGUGACGUCCAAAAGACGGACCGCGGGACUUAUCCCUGGGAGCUUGCGGCUAUUCUUGGAAGGUGUAUUUUGAAGUCACGUGGGAUUAGGAGACAUCUUGAGAGACCUCUUUGGCAACAAAGCAAGGAGAAAAAAAAAUAAGGAAAGGGAUUCCUUAUAGAAACAAGCACUUUGUUAGCUAAAGAGAAGGCGGCGGCAAAGCUUUAAAUAGGACAGUAAUAGACUAGGAGUUGGUAUCUUUGACCUUGGAUGUUUAGUCUUUCUCUUCUUCUUCUUAACAUGAGUUAGAGAUUCGUGGUUUUUACUUUAUCAACUAAAUUCCAUAAAAUGCUUUCAAUUGCAUCAACGUUAUGCGGCAAGGCUAGAUUCUUUGUCUAGUUGAGGAAUAAUCAAGACCCGGUGCACGGACAAUUGUUAGAUCUUUUUAAUUGUUCUACGCUAAUUCAAAUUCUGCGUUAGUGGGUAUUUAAUUAUUCUUUGUUUUAAUAGCCUAUUCUUGUUUGGAUUUAUUGGAUCAAUGUGAUCAGUUGUUCAAUUGUCUGAAUAAUAAACUGCCAAUUAGGAUGAGGGUGCAUAUCACUUGAUUGUCUUAAAAUUAGUGACAAACGGCACAAUUUCAUUGCCUCGCAAGCAAUCUAAUCUGUGUCGUAGGAAUAGUUAAUCUAGUUUAAAUGAACCCGUAUGUGUGUUUGUUAACUAGAAUUGGGUCUCUCUAAUUCCUAACCUGUGAAUAGAUUAAAUCCUUCGAGCGUCUCUGGAGUUAUUUAUUUUACAAGGGGGUGGUUUAAGAGCGUCUCUGGACCACCAUAUAAUUAAGGAGAGAUUGGUAGUUUGGCGGUUGCUGAAUUACUAGAACCAAUUUACUUACGAACGUGUGAAUUAAUUCAGGUAUCUAUAAUCAAUUAUGUGGGCCAAUGCCGAGAUUAUUUCCUUGACUAGGUUGUGUCAAUUAAUUGUUUAUUAUAUUCUUUAGAUAUUGGACUUUCUUGCGAUUGGAAAUUCAGUACUCUUACCUCUUUAUUUGUUCUUUUUGUCUUCCUUUCUAAACCCCGCCCCCCACAUUCUCUGUGUGUGAUAAAUCUACCAGUUCCUUGAGAAGACGACCCUACUCACCACUAUACUCGUUUAGUUUUGGGAGUAGGUUUUGAUAUAAAUUUUAUUUUUGGUAGUUUGACAGCCACCAUGAACCAUCCCUGUUAGAUCCUCUUCCAGCCUCAUCAAAUUAGCAUGUAUAACCUCAGACACAGCAUCUGGCCAUGAUGCAUUCAUCCAAUCCUUCAAGCUCACAUCUCCUGAUAACAUUUCAUUAGUUGGCUUCCUUCUUGUGAAAGUUUCCAUCAACAUGAUUUCAAAACUGUAGAUAUGACACUUCUUGGAUAUCAAACCUUCUGAUCCAUACUUUGCACCAAGUGAAACAGCUUAUCAGAAAGAUUACAAUUAUGUUGAGGGAUAUGAAACAAAAUUAGAAGCAACUAUUAUCACCUGGUGCCAUGUAUCCUAGUGUUGCUAGUGUCUGAGUUUGGGCCAUGCUCUCUCCCAUCCCUAAUAAUUUUGCAGUGCCAAAAUCACCCACAUGUGCUACCAUAUUUUUGUCAAGUAAAACAUUGCUUGGUUUCAGAUCACAGUGAAGCACAGGGAUUGAAUAACCAUCGUGCAGAUAGUCUAAUAGUGAUGCCACAUCAAUCAUUAUGUCUAGUCUUUGCAAAAAAUCCAUGUACAAAUCCUGAUAGUACAACCACUUUUCAAGACUUCCAUUAGACAUAUAUUCAAGAAUUAAAGCUUUGAAGUCAAGGCUGGAACAGCUGCUGAUGACUUUGGUUAGAUUUCUGUGACGAAGGUUACAUAGUACUUCACAUUCUAUGUCAAAACUUCUAAAUGCACCUUCUGUUUGUAAGUUGAACACCUUCACAGCUACAUUUGAUCCAUUGAUUAAUGUCUUGUAAACAGAACCAUAGGCUCCCAUAAAAUUCAUUGAAAUUGGUGCACACUGAUGUUUGCUAUAUGAAAGAUAAGUCUCUUGGUGGUGCUGUUUAUUUUGUAACUUUUAUUGAUGACUUUGCUAGAAAGGUUUGGUGUUUUGCUUUGAAAUCCAAAGAUCAGCUUUUGGAUGUAUUUAUGGAUUUUCACAGCAAAGUUGAAAGAGAAACUGAUAAACAGUUAAAGUGUGUACGUGCUGAUAAUAGUAGUGAGUAUAGAGGACCAUUUGAAAUUUAUUGUAAGUCCCGUGGGAUCAGAUUGGAGAAGACUAUGCCAAAAACUCCUCAAGAGAAUAGAGUAGCAGAGAGAAUGCAUAGAUUCAUCACUGAACGGGUCAGAUGUAUGCUCUCCAAUACUAAGUUGCCAAAAUCCUUUUGGGGGUGAAACAAUGAGGACUGCGGUCAAUUUGAUUAAUCUUUCUCCAUCAGUUUCUCUAGAUGGUGAUAUCCCAAAGAGAGUAUGGACGGGAAAAAAUAUAUCUUUUGAGCACUUGAGAGUUUUUGGUUAUCGGGCAUUUGUUCAUAUCCCCAAAGAUGAAAGGUCAAAACUUGAUGUAAAAUCAAAAUAGUGUAUUUUCUUGGGUUAUGGACAUGAAGAUUUUGGUUAUAUAUUGUAUGAUCAUAUUGAGAAGAAGGUGAUCAGGAGCAGAGAUGUUGUUUUUUUUGAAAAUCAAACCAUUGAAAACAUUGAUAAAGGUGAUAACUCAAAAUCCUCAGAUGACAUUCCUACUAGCUCAAAUUCAGAUCCAGAUCCAAUUCUAUUACCUGUUGAUUCUAAUCAAGGGGGAGCUGAGAUAGAGUAGAGAGAAGAUGUUUAUGAUGGUGAUAAUCCUACUGCUGAUGAACCUGAGUAUGAGGCAUCACCUACUCCACCACCACCACCACAAGAUGAGCUUAAGAGAUCUACCAGAGAAAGGAGACAUUCUAACAGAUAUAAUCCUCAUGAAUAUGUGUUAUUGACAGAUGGAGGAGAGCCAGAGUCCUAUGAUGAGGCUCUAGAGCAUGAGAAUAAAGAAGAUUGGUUGCAAGCCAUGCAAGAGGAGAUGGUGUCCCUGCAUGAGAAUCACACUUAUGAGCUAGUGAAACUGCCUAAGGGUAAGAGAGAUUUGAAAAACAAAUGGGUCUACAAGUUGAAGAUUCAGGAGCACAGCCCACAAGUAAAGUACAAAGCAAGAUUGAUUGUGAAGGGAUUUAGUCAAAAGAAGGGCGUAAACUUUGAAGAAAUUUUUUCUCCUGUGAUAAAAAUAUCAUCAAUUCGAGUUAUUCUUGGUAUUGUAGCCAGUUUGAAUUUGGAGAUCGAACAACUUGAUGUGAAGAUAGCCUUCCUGCAUGGUAACUUGGAAAAGGAGAUCCACAUGGAACAAUCGGAGGGGUUCAAAGAAAGUGGUAAGGAAAAUCUUGUAUGUCGUCUCAAGAAGAGUUUGUAUGGGUUGAAACAGGCACCGAGAUAGUGGUAUAAGAAGUUUGACUCAUUCAUGACAGACCAUGAGUACCAUAGGACUACAUCUGAUCACUGUGUUUACGUGAAAAUUUUUUCAGAUGGUGAUUUUAUUAUUCUCUUGUUAUAUGUUGAUGACAUGUUGAUUGUUGGUCGUGAUACUGUGAAAAUUGAUAGGUUAAAAAGAGAGUUAAGUAAAUUUUUGUAAUAAAGGAUUUGGGUCCGGCUAGACAAAUAUUGGAAUUGAAAAUCUCACGAGACAGGCAAAAUGGAAAGUUUUGAUUGUCUCAAGAAAAAUACAUUGAGAAAGUGCUCAACAUGUUUAACAUGAGCAAUCUAAGGAAAUCUCAGCUCCACUUGCAGGUCACUUCAAACUGACUAUCAAACAGUGUCCUACAAGUGAGAAAGAUAAAAAAGACAUGAAAAAGAUUCCUUAUGCUUCGGCUGUUGGUAGUUUGAUGUAUGCUAUGGUUUGCACCAGGCCAGAUAUUGCUCAUGCAAUUGGAGUAGUCAGUCGGUAUCUCUCUAAUCCUGGUAAGGAGCAUAGGAAUGAUGUCAAAUGGAUUCUCAUGUAUCUCAAGGGAACUCCUAGAUUGGUCUAUGUUUCAGCAAUGGUAAAAUUAUGAUAGAUGGAUACACUGAUACAGAUAUGGCAGGUGAUCUUGAUAAUAGGAAGUCCACAUCUAGGUACUUGAUGAUUUUUACAGGGGAAGCAGUGUCAUGGCAAAGUAAGUUACAGAAGUGUACCGUUCUUUCUAGUACGGAGGCUGAGUACAUCGCAACCACUGAAACAUGCAAAGAGACUCUUUGGUUGCAGAAAUUCCUUCAAGAGUUGGGUAUGAAACAAGAGAAAUAUAGUCUCUAUUGUGAUAGUGAGAGUGCUAUUCAUUUGUGUAAGAACUCAACAUUUCACUCUCGGUCCAAACACAUUGAUGUGAGGUAUCAUUGGAUUCGGGAAAUUCUGGAUUUCAAGUUGUUAACACUUGAGAAGGUACAUACAAAUAAUAAUAGUGCUGACAUGUUGACCAAAGCAUUGCCUAAAGAGAAACUCUUAUUUUGCAGACAAGAAACAGGUCUUGUAGAGGCCCCCAAAUGAGUUGGAGGGGGAGAUUGUUGGACUUGUAUGUGGGCCAGCCCAUUUGUGCAAGUAAAUAAAGCUUGAGGCUUUCUCAAGCUUAAAUACAUAGAGCAGCCGCAUGAGGAGUUUUUUUUCUUCGAUCCUUGCAUGCGAGAAAAAGUCAGCCGCCAUCUCUUUGCUAGUUGAGAGAGAAAAUGAAGAGAGAGAAAAAGCUAGAGAGAGAGACUUCAAAGUCUUGAUUGGAGCGUGAUUCGGAACCUGAUUGAGACGAAAUUUUACCCAUGUGAUCCUCUCGUCAGGCUCUACUCAUCUACCGGUUCAGAUUUCAUAUUUUCUCUUCGUUUGGUAACACCUUUCCAAACUCACUUCUUUGACAGUUGUAGUUUUUGGGGGUGAUUUUGUAGGAAUUUUGCUUAGUUGGUAUUGGUGAUAUUAUUGUUAUUCGAAUAUUUCGGGUAGACUUGUGUAUUCUCAUUAUUGUGCUAGUGGAGACUUUUGACUGGACUAGGUCCCGUGGUUUUUUCCAAUUUGGGUUUUCCGCGUAAAAAUCUUGGUGUCCUGUGCCUUUUAUUUUUCUUUCAUUUUGUUAUCAAUGUUGGUAUUAUUACUUGGUGAUUUGGUUUAUUCCUAUUUUAACUGGUACUUGGGGAAAGAGAAAUUUGUCCUAAACUAACUCUGAUAUUGUGUGCCUGUACCGGUACCCCUUUCCUAACACCUUCGAUAUUUCCAGUGAAGAAUUCGAGAAGUUGCCCCAUUAAUGGGGAAGGUAUUUUUUUCAGCAAAAUUGUUGCCUUUCUUGACUCUAUUGUUAUAUUUCAAGUGAAAGAUAUCAUGUCAAUUUAUGGAUCAUGGAUGAAUUAAUAUGAAGUGGAUAGAACUUGGACUAAGUUAAAAUCUCAUUUGAAAUUCCCGACAUUUGGUGUUGAACAUCGAUCAUAUAUAUGCUCAAACCAAAGCAGGCAACUGCUUUUGCAGAUUGAUGGAGCAGAAAAGCUUGUGCUCUAUGAUCCUGGAAUUGGAUACAUUAGAGACGUAGCCACUGCACAUGGUGCAGCUAGUUUCAUUAGAAGCCUUCUUGCAUGUCUUCAUGUUCCAAUUUCCAACUUGUGUAGCACUAGUUUUACCUCUUCUGGUUGCCAAUUCUCUGUUCUUAACCAAAAGCUCAUUUCUCCAAUUUCUUAUUCAAACUUAAUUUCAAUUGAAGAUGUCCAUUUGUUGUGAGUGCAAUCAUCCUAAUCCAGAACCCUCUAUCAGUUAGAAGUUCAAGUUGCAAGCCAUUUCACUUUAUCCAUUUGCCAUCCUGCAUAGGAAUUAAAUUCAUGCUGAGUAAGUUCAUACUUUUUUUUUUAUAUAGGAAAGAUCAUUUUAUUCAAAUAAAUCUGCACUAAUGGAAACAAAAUACAUCAAACAAACAUGAAACGUAGACGUAUGGAUCUGAAAUCAAUAGAUAUAACUGAUCUAAAAAAAAUACAAAUAAAGAUAACAUUGAUACUCCUAUAUAUCUUCGAUCCGGAUGAAUCACUAUAGCCCAAUACAUCAAUACAUGUCUGCUGACAAUCAAAUCUAAUUAAAAUUGGUUUAAGUCCAAAGUAAGUCCAUACUUUAAAUACAUAACCGAGACUUAAACUCUUUUUUUUUUUGGCAAAGAACAUCACAUUCAUUCAUUGUCGCCAACUCAUUUUUAGAUAACAAACAAAUUGAAAAAAGACAAGGAAAGAGGCUAAAACUAACUUGAAGAAAUUAAAGGAAGCAAAGUUGCAUGUUCAAUUAGUGGGAUACAGAAAAGCAAAGGAUGAAGGAAAGCAAAUGCAUAAAUCACUUGUACACAGCCUAAUUUUACAUAAUAGACAGUCUGUCUAUGAACAUGACAUUUGGGAUAUUGUUACUAGUUUUUCCGUAUAAUGUUUUUGUGUGUGUAUAACACAAGAAUAGCACAUUACGGUGCCAUUGUAAUUAAAUGAAUGGUGUCCAAAUCAAGACGAUCGGGUGGUCAAAUUUUUUGUCCAUUAAUUUGCUGUUUGACUUGAAAUUUUUUUCUUUUGAAUAUCAACGAUUUUAAUAGUUAAGUACCCACAACUUUAGAAUAGUAGUUGUUGAGUUGCCUUCUAAGCCCUAUAUAUAUGAAGUCUAUUAUUGCUAUGGAAGUAUAAUAGUUGUUGCUAGCUAGUAUGUAAUUAGUUUCCCAUUGUUUUGUACAUCCACAUGUCACGUUUGCAAGAAGAUAGAGUGCAAUAUAUUUGACAUUUAUGACGGAUUAUCAAUCAAUCAAAAUAAAAUACCUACUCUACAAUAAAUGAAAUUACAAGACAGUGGUGAACAAGAUUGCAUCCAUGAGGAUUGGAAUGAUUUAUUUCUUGGAAUAAUUUCAUAAACCUAUCCUGAGGUUUUUAACUAUUUUGCUUAGUUCCCUUGACGUUUUAAAAAUUAUACUUACCUCCAUCGAUUUGACAUAUUGGUAACCAAAACUUAAAAUAGAGUAAAAAAUUUAAUGAAUAUCCUAAAAUGCCAUUAUCUUAUAAAGUUUAAUUUGUUCUUCUAAACAAUUAUAACGUAAUUUAGUACAAUUAUAAAAAAAAGUGUCAAGUUUUUUAUACCAAUAUUUAUUAUUUAAUAAUCAACUAUAACAGUAAUCUUUUUUCUAUUAUAGGCUAUUUUUCGUAGUGAUUUAUUGGAGGAUAUAGAUUCUUUUUAAGAUAGAGAAAAAGUGUUAUCUUUAUUUUUUAAAAGUUUAUGGACUACUUUUUUUAAAUAAAAGUUUAUGGACUAACUUAGUGAUAGAACUACCCUAGUUUGGUAGUGAUUUUGGGCUAUUUAUUUUUAAUUAUUGUUGAUUCAUUCUUGAUUUUGAUACAAAGAAAAGGGUUACAAAAAAAUUGGAUGAUGUUGAAAAUUAUCAAAAAAAAUUAUAAAAUCCAUCCUUUGCAUAAACAUGGCAACAAGAGAGUUUUAUUAAAAUAUUAAAGUUAGUAUUAUCAUUUUAAAUGGACAAGGGAGGUAGGUGUAAUUUUUAAAAUCUUAGGGGAGCCAACAGUAAUUAUUAGAAACUUUAGGGGAGGUUUCUAAAGUUAUCCCUUAUUUCUUUCAAAGCAAUGAAUAUAAAGGGAAGAUUUUGGAUAUUAAACCAACUAAUUAAUUUAAACACAAAAUAACAUACAAAAUUUAAGUAAAUUUUAAUGAAUAAUAAUGGAACUCUAGCCAAAGAAAUAACUUCUGAAAUGAUUCAUAAAACUAAUCAAAAAUAAAUUCAAACAUUCAUUAAUAAACUGGUUAUAAUUGUCAAUGAAUUCUGACAACCAACUUUUCUUUACUUUUUUUAUAGUUAAAGUACGACCAUUAACUACUUUCCUAAUUAAAAAGAUAAUCUUAGGUACAACCGACCAUAGGAUUUAAUCUUAUAAUUGCAUUCGAAAAAACUUAAUUCUACCUAGAGGUGUCAAAAUGGGUGACUUGGACGGGUUUGGAUUGGGUAAAAUGAGUAAUGGGUAUAAGUAAGUUAACCCAUUUAUAUCCAUUUAAUUAGAUGGGUAUAAAUGGGUAACUCAAAAAAUGAAUUGGGUAACCCAAUUACCCAUUUAUAACCCAUUUAUUUUAACCUUUUGUAAACUCAUUUAAAUUUAUUUUUGCAAAAUAAGUUAUCAAUUUAUACCGCUAUUUGCACCCAUCAUUAGUUUUAAAUAUUUACUUAUAAUGUUCAAUAAGCCUAAUUACCAAUUUUUGUCCCAUUCAUACUCUAUGUCACAAAAUUACAUAUUAUUUAAUAAUUGAAAAAUAAGAAUAUAAAAAUUUGAACUAAGUACUAUAAAAGUUAAUAUAAAAACUUAAUCCAAAAAUUUUGAACCCCUAACAUUUUUGUCAUAUAUAAAUUUAAAAUUUCAUUUUGAAAAGAUAAGAAAAGAGACUAAAACUUAUCAUAAAUUGGUAAUAUUGAAAAAUGAGCAAGUUAAUAAAUUAAGAGAAAAUAAAAUGAUAAGAUAAAACUAAUAAAUAAUAAUAAUAAUGAAACAAAAGUAGUUAAUAUCAUGACAAAAUGAAAAAUUUGAAAAAAAAAGGGGGUGGGGGAAGAGAGGAGACUUGGGGAAAGAAAAUUUUAAAUGGGUUAAUUGGGUUUGAUGGGUUAUCCAAUAAUACCCAUUUAAUGGGUAUUAUUGGAUAACUCAUUUAUACCCAUAUACAAAAAUUUAAGAUACCCAUACCCAUCUAUUCAUGGACGGAUAUAGGUAAAUUUAGUUAAAUGGGUUGGUUUGCCACCUAUAGAGCUCUCAUUGAAUGGUCAAGGGAUCGAAUCCUAUGAUUUGCAUUCAUCUUUAGAAUUUUCUAAAAGUUUCGCAAGCACAAAGUUUCCAGUAGAGACAGAUAUUGAAACUGCUAAGAUAGGAUAGGAUAGUUCCUAUGUCUAUUAAAAUGUUAGAUGUUCUUUCUUAGAGGACCUGCCAAAAGGAAUCAACAGUUGUGUAUACGCCCUUUCUCAGCUUUGUAGGGCAAUGGAACAAAAGGAAAGCAAAGCAAUAGAACAAAAAUAAAAUGUACAAUAUAACCUUAUAUUGGGAAAAAUUGCAAAAGUUUUAGGUAAUCACAAAUCUAACGGUAAAUUGGACAAUGUUCACCUAGGUUUCAUCAGCUGCAGAUACAAAGGAAUCCUUUAGAUGCUUCCAUAUGUCUUCAAGUCUAAGUGUGUAAUUCUUUGAAAGAACGGAAAAUACAUCUGUAGACUUCACAAAUGGAGUUCAUAUGCUGAGCAUCCGCAAUGAAUUGAAUCUUCCACUAAGGGCUAAUCUAAACUCAAAGGACAAGCUGAAUGCAUUACUUCAUCGAUCUGAGCAAUAAAAAUUAAACAUUAGACAUGUACAAACUUUUUGGGAGUGCUAGUUUAGCAGAUGGUCAAGAAAACAAAACACGUAUUGCUGGCUUUUUCAGACAGGAAAAAACUGCAGAUGUCUCCAUAACCAGGACAUUUGAAAAACAGAAUUCUAGUGUCACCUGCGGGAGGGGGGUAGCGAUUCUAGAAGAGCAGAAGUUACAUGAUGACGCACUACCAGCUACCGGCAACUUUCUGAGGUGUAAGCAGAGGACUUGUUAAAGCUCAUCAGUUCUGUCUUUCCUGCUUUCUGCUCGUUGACAUUUUUCACUAGCUGGCAGCUAAUCUACUAACCCGAAGUUAAGAAGUUCUUCUCUUCGUCUUUGAUCAGCAACAAAGACAUAUAGGACCUGGAUACGUUUGAAGUAUUAUAAGAGCUAAUCAACAAGUACAGAACCGUUUCCAGGAUGAUUUCACUAUGGCUGCUUAAAUAACGGCACAGAAAUUAUAUGGAACUUUUCUUUUCUUAAGAUGUGAAACCCAAGAUUCUGAUAUAAGAUUGGGCAUCAUAAAGAAAAUGACCACCAUCUUCAUCUCUCUAUCUCACAGUUUCACAUGCACGCUGCAAGCUGCCCAACCGUGAAAAUCUUGAUUUUCCAACCUUGAAAAUCUUGAUUUUAUAUGAGACUGACUGUGAUUCCCAAGAUUCAAAGACACUUGCUCAAGAUGUAACUUUGGCAACCAAAAGGGAAUUCAAAUCUGAACUAAUGUGUAGGAAAUCCAUUUAUCAAGGUUUUUUUUUUUUUGCUCAUUUCCUCCACCUCCAUAAACUUUCAGCAGCUUUUCACUGAUUGACUAGAUGGACAAUCUAGAAUCAUAAAUUAUUUCAAAGAAAAAGUUCGGAUAGAUUCUCUCAAAGAUACACAACAAGAGUAGUUAUUCAAACCAUAUGAAGUGGGUGAACUUCAAGAAAUGAAGAAAACAUUCUAAUCACAACAUUUGAAAAUUUUUUACUUUGGCUUAUUUAUGCACAUCAAAAUGUCAGAACCAGAUGGCUAAUGGUCAAGUCUAAAGCACCAGUAGGGUACAAAGUUUUCAACAAUCUACAAAAACAUUGCGUAACAAAAUCUGCCCAAAAGCUGAGAUAAGCGGGAACAAGCUCAUCUAUUAAACAUAGAAGACAAAACUUAAGCUAAGAUCCAAUCGCAAAAUUUGACGUCAUUGGGACCUCAAGAUGACGGACAAGCAUGUCGCUCUCUCAUGUUGAAUUUGCAGAGGGCCGUUUACACUGAUUGUGAUCAGAACUACAAGAGAACUGAAGCAAGAAAAGAAAAUCGGGAAAAUAUAGGGAAGCCGAAACUUUACAAAUAGCAGAUCCCAAACCUUACCAAGUUGAAUCACAACUUUGGUGUGUUUCUGCAUAUAUUUAUACAUAAGUGCUUGUGCAGAAGUAUCAUACAAGAUCUGCCACGGCACAAAAAGUAUGUCUCAGUACACAAUUGUAAACUCAGCCAGACAUUGAACGAAAAAAACGUUUUAGGAACAGAGUCUGAUACGAAAAAACAAAAUGUUGACUUCUGAACAAAAAGAAAAACUGAAUUGUUCUGUCAUAUCUUUUGUUCUAGACUCUGUACAACAUCUAUACAAAUAGAAUUUGACUUUUGUCAAUUCCAUGAAAUCUGUAAUUUCCUAAAAAUUAGGAGCUAAUUUAUUCUAUCCUAAAAUACAUUAGGAGUAAAUUAUUCUAUCCUAAAAUAGAGCAGAAAUCAUGGGAUAUACAUAGAAAAAGAUAUUCUAGAUUUCAACACUCCCCCUCAAGAUGGUGAAUAGAUAUUUUCCAUUCCCAUCUUGCAUGUAAUGUCUUCAAAGUUGGAAGUUGGCAUUCCCUUAGUUAAGACAUCUGCCAAUUGAUUAUUUGAUGCUACAUAUGGAGUGCAAAUCAUGCCACUGUCCAGCUUUUCUUUAAUAAAAUGUCUAUCAACUUCGAUGUGCUUUGUGCGAUCAUGUUGCACUGGAUUGUGUGCAAUGUUGAUGGCAGACUUGUUGUCGCAAUAGAGUUUCAUAGGUCCUUCGCUCUUGAUUUUAAGAUCAUCAAGUAUUAUUUUGAGCCAUAGCAAUUCACAAACUCCAUGAGCCAUAGCUCUAAACUCUGCUUCAGCACUUGAUCUUGCAACAACCGAUUGCUUCUUACUCCUCCAUGUCACUAGGUUCCCACCAAGAAAUGUACAAUAUCCUGAAGUUGAUCUACGAUCUACAACAGAACCUGCAUAAUCAGCAUCAGUAUAUGUCUCUAUGAGCAAUCCUUCAUUUUUCUUGAACAAAAUUCCUCUACCCGGUGUCCCUUUGAGGUAUGAUAGAAUUCUAUUGACAGCCUGCAAGUGUUUCUCUCUUGGAUCAUGCAUAAAUUGGCUUACUACACUUACAGCAAAUGCUAUGUCCAGCCUUGUAUGGGACAAGUAUAUCAGUUUCCCAACCAACCGCUGAUAUCUUCCCUUAUCUAUUGUGCUAUCAUCCUUCUCUUCAUUCAAUCUCAGGUUAGGCUCAAUGGGUGUGCUUGCUGCCUUGCAUCCAAGAUUGCCUGUUUCUUUAAGCAAGCCUAAGGCAUACUUUUGUUGGGAAACAAAGAUGCCUUUACUUGAGUAUGCUGUUAUUCUUGAUUUUGAUGAUCACAAAAGCACUUUGAAAUAUUUAUCUAAUUCUCUCCAAACAUAAAAGUUUUGCUUUUUAGAGAAUCAGGUACAAAGGAAUCAAGGAUAGAAAAUCAACCAAAAGAAGAAGCAAAAACAGGGUACUUAUACCGGACGUCCAAAAGGAAUCUGUUGGACGUCCGAAAGGAUGAAGAACAUCAAGAAGAAACUCUGUCGGACGCUUGUAAGGAAGCAUCGGACGUCCAAAAGGAUCGGACGCAUGCUUCGAAAGCACAUUGAUCUCAUCGGAUGUCCUAAAAAUUCCAUAAAGUGUUGAUGACUCUCUGUCGACGAUCGGACGCUGAUGCUGUCGGACGAUAAUAUCCCAUAGGACGUCCGAACGACAACUUGGCUGAUUUUCGGACGAUGGAAUCGGACGAUGAUUAAUCUUUCGGACGUCCGACGGGUCCAACGGCUAGCUGACUCUUCAUCUGCCUACUAUCCGUUAGAAGCAUUAUUGAAGCCAAUUUUUGGUUCCCUUUAAAUACAAACGUUUCUGAACUAGUGAGAGACUUUUGCACACUUUGUUUACAAGAUCUCAAGAGAUAUUUUAGUUAGAAAAUAGUCUCCCAAGCAAGAUUUGUUCUCCAAGUGGUGUAAAUUUCUUGUAAGCACUUCUCUUGUGUUUGAAAUUUUCAAUAGUGUAGCUUUGCUGAGGGUUAUCUGAGUGAUAGUAAAACUUCCUAACUUGACUAAGUGAGGCUUGGGGCAAGGAGACAGUGAUCCCUCCAUUGUACAUUAAGUUGAUUUUAUUCUUCAAAGAGAAGAUGCUCAUCUUUGUGAUUGGUCUUCAAGUUUGAGGAAAGCUUGGUAGACAAUUGGUUUGAUACUCUAUCUUAUUCUUUUUGUUUAAUAAAAUUCUCAUUACUUAUAACAUUGUUCUCUUCUUUAAAUUUACUUGGUUGAUCACUACUAGAAAAGAAGGUAAGUUUUUAUUAAAGAAAAAGUGCAUAAACUAAAUUAAGGUUUUAUAAUCAACCUAAUUCACCCCCCUCUUAGGUUGUCUUUGGGUCUUACAAUUGGUAUCAGAGCUUGGUCUUCUAGAGAUUAAGCUCAAUCGGCUUGGAGUAAAGAUGACAACCAAUCAUGCCAUGUUUGUUGAGGGGCAAUCUGUCACUAGACCUCCCAUGUUUACUGGUUCCAAUUAUGUUAGUCGGAAAGAAAGAAUGAUUAUCUUUUUGUAAUCCAUUGAUAUUGAGCUAUGGUUUAUUGUAAAUGAAGGACCGCAUGAUGCUAACAUUCUUGAUGCAGAUACAGGUUUGUUUCGGCCAAAAACAAGAGUUGAAAUGAAUGCUCAAGAUAGAAUCAAUCUCACAUUAAAUGCCAAAAUCAUGAAUGUUCUUUAUAGUGCCUUAGAUUCAAAUGAAUCAAUUAGAGUAAAAGAAUGUAAAUCUGUCAAGGAAAUGUGGGAUAAACUAAGAGAAAUUCAUGAGAGUAGUGACAACGUGAGAGAACAGAAAAAGUCUAUCUUGGUCACUAAGUAUGAAUCAUUUAGAAUAGAACCUCUUGAGGAUAUUGACAAAAUGUACUGCAGGUUCAAUGACUUGAUCAAAGAUCUCGAGGCGUUGGGCAAAGAGUACACCUUGGAUGAGAAAAACAGGAAAAUUCUCAAUGCAUUGGGCAAAGAAUGGGAAAGUAAAGUGACUGCAAUAGAGGAUACUAAGGAUUUGAAUUCUAUACCUAUUGAAUCUCUCAUUAACUCACUAACCUCCUAUGAGUUGAAGUUGAAAACUAAAGUGCAGGAGGAAGAGGACACGAGAGCAAAGAGAAACAUAGCUCUAAAGGCAGUUCAAGGUGAAGAUGAUCCAGUUCAAUUGAAUGACGAUGACUCGGAUGGUGAUGACAAUGAUCUUGCUCUCAUCACAAAAGGUUUCAAGAGAAUCUUGAAUAAAAAAAAGUUUAGAAGGGGAGGACCUAGCAAUCAAUUCCAGAAUCAGCCUUCAAACGCAAGGUAUAAAGGAAAACAAGAAUUCAACAAGAAACAAUUGGACAAAUGCUACGAAUGUGGACAGCCUGGACACUACGCAAACGAAUGCUCCCUAAAGAAAAAGAAAGAUGGAAAAGCUGAUCGAAAACCAAGGUUCAACAACUUCCAGAUUACAUGGAAUGAAUGUAACUCUGAAGGCAAAGUUGAAGAAGAAGAAGAAUCAGCUCAAAUGGCCUUCAUAGCUAUCGGGGAUAAUGAAGUAACUUCCAUUCACUCUCAAUCUGAAAGUGAAGAUAAAGAUGAUGAUGAUCUUGAAUCCUUUGUUAAAAAAUUACAUAAUGCCUUGAAGGAAUCUUAUGAUAAAAACAAGCAGCUAAAACAGAAAAUUAUUUUUCUCAUUCAAGAAAAUGCAAGAUUUUUUCACCAAAAUAAACAACUAAAGGCUGACAAUGAGUGCCUUGUAAGAGCCGGUUGUGAUGUUUAAAAUGAACUUGAUAGAAAGACAAAUGUUUGUGAAAUACUAAAGAAAAGAAAUUAUGAUUUGAAUAAAAGGAUGGACUAUUUGGAUGAGAUUUUAAAAGCUAGAAAGCAAGAUUAUCUCAAAAAGAACAUGUCAUCCACCUUUCUUACUGCUCAUGGAAGAACAUUUGCUCACAACAAAAAUGCACAUGGUUUCACAACAUAUAGAAGGAAUGGAUUGAGAUUUAUCAAACCAUUACAUGCUAAAGACUCUUCCAUCUUGUGUAGUUUUUGUUAUCAAAGAAGGCAUUUGAAAGGAGAUUGUUAUGUUAAAAGAAAUCUGAACAAAGGAGGGAAAUGCAUGUGGGUAGUUAGGCACAAUGCUAACUAUUGAGGACCCAAAAGUUAAAGGGUACCAAACACUCUCUCUUUUCAGAAAAAAGGCUCAAACACGUCAAAAUGGUUCAUUGAUAGUGGUUGUUCAAGGCAUAUGACUGGUGAUCCUUCGUUGUUCAUAAAGCUAAAAUCAAAAUCAAGUAGAAAGGUGACAUUUGGUGAUGACGUGAAAGCUAAGACAAUUGGAAUAGGUAAUGUUUGUAAGGAUGGUGAAACUUUUGUUCAUAAUGUGCUCUUAGUUGAUAACUUAGGUUAUAAUUUGUUUAGUGUUAGUCAAUUAUGUGAUAAAGACUUGUAUGUGUUGUUCAAAAAACAUGAAUGCAUUGUACUUGACUCUAAAUAUAAUAUUGUGUUCAAAGGUAAGAGGUUUAACGAUAUUUAUAUUGUUGUUCUUGAUAAACUUGAUUCGUCUAGUUUCAAAUGUCUUAAAGUUUCAAAUGAAGAUCCUUGGUUGUGGCAUAGGAGACUUUGUCAUUUUAACAUGGAUUUACUAAAGGAAAUUUCGAAAAAGGAGUUGGUUAGAGGCUUGCCAAAAAUCAGUUUUGAAAAGGACAAAAUUUGUUAUGCAUGUCAAUUUGGGAAGCAAACAAAAAUUUUCUUUAAACUAAAGAAGUGUGUAUCAACUUCUAAACCUUUGGAACUCUUGCAUCUUGAUUUAUUUGGUCCCACUCAAAUCACUAGCUUGGGAGGUAAGAAAUAUUGUUUUGUAAUUGUUGAUGAUUAUUCUAGAUAUACUUGGGUGAUAUUCCUUACUCAUAAAGAUGAUGCCUUCAAGAAUUUUACUUCAUUGUUUGCUAAAGUGCAAAAUCUGCUUGGUUUAAAAAUGGUUAGGAUUAGAAGUGAUAAUGGGACGGAAUUCAAGUUUUGUGAUUUUCUAAAAUUUUGUGAUCAUAAUGGUAUAACACAUGAGUUUUCUAUUGCAAGGACUCCACAGCAAAAUGGUGUUGUAGAAAGGAAAAACAGGACACUCCAAGAGGCUGCUAGAACUAUAUUGAAUGAAUGUAGUUUGCCAAAAUAUCUUUGGGUUGAAGCGGUAAACACCGCAUGUUAUGUAAUGAAUAGAAUCCUCUUGAGAGCUAUUUUGAAUAAAACAUCUUAUGAACUGAUUUUUGAUAAGAAACCUACGGUUGAAUAUUUCAAAGUUUUUGGUUGUAAAUGUUUUAUUUUGAAUUUAAAGGAACAUUUUGGUAAGUUUGAUAAAAAAAUCUGAUGAAGGAAUAUUUUUGGGGUAUUGUGAGAACAAAAGAGGAUAUAGAGUCUUUAAUAGAAGAACUCUUGUGAUAGAAGAAGCUAUUCACAUGACAUUUGAUGAAACUAAUGAUGAUAAUUCCAAAAGUUCGGGUGAGGAUGAUGAUAUAGGUAUUCGUGAAGGAAUGAAAAAGCUAACAAUUGGAGAUGAAGGAAACUCUAAACCAGCAACAAAGGAAAUGGAGGAUGGAGCACAUGAUGAUCAAGAAAAGGAAGAUGAAGACAAGAAUGAUGAUUCAUUCAAAGACCUUCCCAAUACUUGGAAAUUUAGCCAAAAUCAUCCAAGAGAUCUUGUAAUUGGUGAUCCAUCCGAAAAGGUAAAGGCUCGUUCCUCAUCUAAGAAAUUGAUAGAUAAUUUUGCUCUAGUCUCUCUUUUUGAACCCAAAAAUAUCAAUGAUACUUUAAAGGAUGAAAACUGAAUUUUGGCAAUGCAAUAGGAACUUAAUCAAUUUGAGAGAAAUAAAGUUUGGACACUUGUUGAUAGACCUCAAAAUCAACCUAUCAUUGGCACGAAGUGGAUAUUUAGAAAUAAGUUGGAUGAUAAAGGUGUAGUCGUAAGAAAUAAAGCCAGAUUAGUUGCUAAAGGAUAUGCACAAGAAGAAGGAAUUGAUUUUGAUGAAACAUUUGCUCCCGUAGCUAGAUUAGAAUCAAUUAGAAUGUUUCUUGCUUUUGCUUGUUUCAAUUGUUUCAAAUUGUUUCAAAUGGAUGUUAAAAGUGCCUUUUUAAAUGGUUUUAUUGAUCAAGAAGUAUAUGUGGAUCAACCCCCCGGUUUUAAAAAUACAAAAUUUCCAAGUCAUGUGUUUAAACUAUCAAAAGCAUUAUAUGGUUUAAAACAGGCUCCAAGAACUUGGUAUGAAAGAUUGAAAGGGUUCUUGAUUGAAAAUGGUUUCAAAAGAGGUAUUGUGGACACCACUCUUUUUACUAAACAUGUGUUAAAUGAUUUUCUUAUUGUGCAAAUAUAUGUUGAUGAUAUUAUUUUUGGUGCUACUAAUGAGUAUCUAUACAAGGAUUUUUUCACCAUUAUGCAAAGUGAAUUUGAAAUGAGUAUGAUGGGAGAAUUAAAUUUCUUCCUUGGACUUCAAAUACAUCAAACCCUAGAGGGAAUUUUUAUAAAUCAAGCAAAAUACACCAAGAAAUUGCUGAAAAGAUUUGGCAUGGAGGACUCAAAGCAAGUUGGAACUCCAAUGUGCACUUCUACAAAACUUGACAAAGAUGAAGAAGGUAAACUUGUGGAUGAAAAGCACUAUAAAGGUAUGAUUGGAAGCCUAUUCUAUUUAACCGCAAGUAGACCUGAUAUUAUGUUUGUUGUUUGCUUGUGUGCUAGAUUUCAAUCUUGUCCAAAAGAAUCACAUUUGAACGCAGUUAAAAGAAUUUUUAGGUAUUUGAAAGGUACACUAGACUAUGGUUUUUGGUAUGCUAGAUCUUGUGAAUUUGCUCUAUAUGGAUAUUCGGAUGCGGAUUUUGGUGGUUGUCAUGUGGACAGAAAAAAUACUAGUGAAACUUGUCACUUUCUUGGCAAUUGCUUAGUUUCUUGGUUUAGCAAAAAACAAAAUGUGAUCUCUUUGUCUACAACCGAAGCGAAAUAUAUUGCCGCUAGUGCAUGUUGUACUCAACUUUUAUGGAUGAAGCAUACCUUGAAUGAUUUUGGAUUGUUAUAUGACUGCAUGCUUAUAUUCUGUGAUAAUACUAGUGCUAUCAAUUUGACCAAAAAUCCAAUUCAGCAUUCUAGGACAAAAUAUAUAGAUAUAAAGCACCACUUUAUUCGCGAUCUUGUUCAAAAAGGUGAAGUUUGUGUGAAUUAUGUUUGCUCUAAAGAUCAAAUUGCUGAUAUUUUUACAAAAGCUUUGCCAUUGGAUCAAUUCAUUCAUCUAAGAUCAAAAUUAGGGAUAAUCGAAAAAUCAUCUUAAAAAUUUUUUUCUCUGUUCAAAGCUUUCGGACGUCCUAAAGCAGAUGAACGGGCGUCCGAUAAUGUUCUUCAGCUAUUUUCCUAGAAUGCACCUGUUCGGACGAAACUGUCGGACGCACGAUUUCAUUCGGCCGUCCGACAGUGCAACGGUACUCUUUUUAAAGUAACUUCCCCCCUCAUUUGCUUCAGACUCCUCUUCCUCUCUUCCUUCUCGGACGAAAAACUCUAUCUCCUUGUGCUCUCAAUUCAUGCUAUUAUGAAGCACUCAUUCCAAAAUUGACUCAACCAAAAUCUUUUCCUGAUCAUUGCGAGUUGAUUCUCCUGAUUUUUUCACCAAAUCUCAUCACAUUUCGAGAGUUCCCAAAUUUCCCUCAAAACCCUACUUUCUCAUAACCGCUCCGCUCAAUCAUCUUCAAGGCUUCUUUAACCCAAAAUUCUUGUGUGAUUCACUCCCAUACCACUGUGUGCAUCAUUCACAUCCCACAUCUCACACAUUUAAGACAAUGGUGAAUCUAAGAGGAGGAAAAGUCCCUGCCGGACGCAAGCACACACUCAGGGAUGAAGAUGUGGAUUCUCCUAGGGUCAUAAGAUCAUCCAAACGCUUCAAAAGGGGAGUAAUAAAGACUCAAACUUCCCGGCUUUCUGCUCAACCUGAAUCCAGACAAGGAACUCCAUCUCAACAGCCUUCCUAAUCAACCCCCGUCUCUCCAUUCUUUGAUGCUGCUGCCAAAGAAAAACAUUUCUUGAUAACCCAGAAAGGUUUCAUUCCUCAACGAGCCAUCACUCUUUCUGAAUUCCGCAAGAUUGGUUUAGAGUCAAUUUUUAAUCUCUUUGAAUUCCAGAAAUGGUCUCAUAUCAUUUCCAUGCCUAAUGUUUAUUACCCUGAAAUGCUGUAUCAAUUUUUGCCAAUCUUAGGAAAGGCACUGAUCACACUGAAAUUAUGUCCAGGGUAAAUGGGGUAGACUUAGUAUUUGAUCCUGAAACUGUGAAUGCCAUCUUAAAUACUACUAUUGAACGUGGAUGCAAAAGUAAAAUUGCCAAUUUCUUCUCUUAUGAAGAGUAUCCUACUGCUGAUAAUCACUUUGAUAAUGCUAAAAUGCUAACCUAUUUUCGAAACAAAUUUUCUGCCCCUGCUGAUGCGAAAUUAAAUGACCUUGCUCCUGUGAAUCUUAUUACUUUCUCAAUCAUUUCAAAUCUGCUUGUGCCUACUGACGGUCAUAGAACAGAUGCAAAUAAAAUGGAGUUGUAUCUGUUUUAUUGUUUUUGAGAAAAAAUUCGCAUUGACUUUGGCUUUGUCAUGUGCAAGUUUUUAUUUCGCUAUACCACUGAUUCUUGUAGAAAACUGUCCUAUGGAAAAUUCCUUCAGAAGGUUUUUGAAUUCUACAAAGCACCUAUCCUUGGUGUUUGUCCCAAAGAUACAUUUUCCUCUGCCUUCACUAAGGCUUAUUUUGAGCGCAAAAAUCUUGUCUUUAGGGAUAAUUUGUGGGCGUAUAAGGGGGCCACUUCUAAUGAACCUAGAUCUAAGGUUGCACAUGAUCUACUUCACACUCCAUCCUCUGUUGCACCAACCUUUAUUCAUCCUAGGAAGACUGCCACUAAGGCAUCUUCUUCUUCAAAUUCUGAGGUGGUUGAGCUCCUUCGAGACCUUAAGCAACAUGUUCUACUUCUUGAACAUGGUCUCAUGCUCACCAUGUCAUCCCAGUAGCAGGCUGACUUCCUAAAUAAAAAGAGUCUUCUUUUUUCCCCACCUGUGGUUGAGGAGGUCCCUCCUGGCAAGGAGCCACGCUCCAAUGAUCCAAGUUCAUCAGCCCCUGUUCGCUCAAUGAGUCCUGCUCCUAUCGACCUCACCUCUACUCCAGUGGCACCACAUGAUCCUUCCACAUCUGAUAAAGACAAGAAACCAGUUGAUGAAGUUGCUGAAGAUGAUGAAGACACUGAGGAGGAGGAUCUCUCUCAGUAUCAGCUUACUCGAAGGACGCCUGGAUCCUCUUAGCUUAUCAUCUAGGAUCACUAGUCCUAUUAGGAUCAUUUGCAUUCUGUUUGAUUGUUUUUAUUUGCUGAAUGUUAGAUAGUUGCCUCGAACUCUUUUGAAUUCUGGUGCUUGGUGUCAUUUGGUGCUCUUAAUGUCCAAAACUGGACAUAUGUUUGUAAUGUUUGUGAAUGAUUGAAUCUUUACAUUUUGUUUGUGAAUGGCUGGUAUCAGAGUAAGAUCAUUUUGCUCUGAAUGGUUGGAUAUAUUACAUUUUCAAUUUUGUGAUGACAAAAAGGGGGAGAGAUGGUGUAGAUAUGAAUAUGGAUAAUAUGGAUAAUAAGUAGCCAAGUGAGAGGGAGUUCUACGAUUGAGGGGGAGCUCUACGAUUGAGGGGGAGCAAAUUUUUGUUGUUGUUGUUGUUCUUCAAUUGAGUGAGAAAGGGGGAGCCUAUUUGAAGUCAUCAAAUUUCAUUUCAAACUUUUGUUUUGUCAUCAUCAAAAAGGGGGAGAAUGUUAUUCUUGAUUUUGAUGAUCAUAAAAGCACUUUGAAAUGUUUUUCUAAUUCUCUCCAAACAUAAAAGUUUUGCUUUUUAGAGAAUCAGGUACAAAGGAAUCAAGGAUAGAAAAUCAACUAAAAGAAGAAGCAAAAAUAGGGUACUCAUACCGGACGUCCAAAAGGAAUCUGUCGGACGUCCGAAAGGAUGAAGAACAUCAAGAAGAAACUCUGUCGGACGCUUGUAAGGAAGCAUCGGACGUCCAAAAGGAUCGGACGCAUGCUUCGGACGCACAUUGAUCUCAUCGGACGUCCUAAAAAUUCCACAAAGUGUUGAUGACUCUCUGUCGACGAUCGGACGCAGAUGCUGUCGGACGAUAAUAUCCCAUAGGACAUCCGAACGACAACUUGGCUGAUUUUCGGACGAUGGGAUCGGACGAUGAUUAAUCUUUCGGACGUCCGACGGGCCCAACGGCUAGCUGACUCUUCAUCUGCCUACUAUCCGUUCGAAGCAUUAUUGAAGCCAAUUUUUGGUCCCCUUUAAAUACAAACGUUUCUGAACCAGUGAGAGACUUUUGCACACUUUGUUUACAAGAUCUCAAGAGAUAUUUUAGUUAGAAAAUAGUCUCCCAAGCAAGAUUUGUUCUCCAAGUUGUGUGAAUUUCUUGUAAGCACUUCUCUUGUGUUUGAAAUUUUCAAUAGUGUAGCUUUGUUGAGGGUUAUCUGAGUGAUAGUAAAACUUCCUAACUUGACUAAGUGAGGCUUGGGGCAAGGAGGAAGUGAUCCCUCCAUUGUACAUUGAGUUGAUUUUGUUCUUCAAAGAGAAGGUGCUCAUCUUUGUGAUUGGUCUUCAAGUUUGAGAAAAUCUUGGUAGACAAUCGGUUUGAUACUCUAUCUUAUUCUUUUUGUUUAAUAAAAUUCUCAUUGCUUAUAUACUCUCUUAUUUCUAAUCAACAUUGUUCUCUUCUUUAAAUUUAUUUGGUUGAUCACUACUAGAAAAGAAGGUAAAUUUUUAUUAAAGAAAAAGUGCAUAAACUCAAUUAAGGUUUUAUAAUCAACCUAAUUCACCCCCCCUCUUAGGUUGUCUUUGGGUCUUACAUAUGCCACUUCAAUGCCUAAAAAAUACUUCAGCCUCCCUAGUUCUUUAAUUUCAAACUCCUUUGCUAAGCACUUUUUGAGUGUUUCUCUUUCAAUUGGAUCAUUCCCGGUGAUGAUGAUGUCAUCUACAUAUACAAGUAGAGCUGUAACACCUUCUUUUGAAUGUUUUAUGAACAAAGUAUGAUCUCCUUGAUUUUGUUUGUAUUGCAUUGCUAACAUCACUUUAGUAAAUCUUCCGAACCAAGCCCUUGACGAUUGUUUUAAUCCAUAUAAAGCUUUCUUUAACCUGCACACUUUCUUUUCAAAAAACAUUACAUUGAAAUCCGGUGGAGGUUCCAUGUACACGUCUUCUUCUAAAUCCCCAUGUAAGAAUGCAUUCUUCACAUCAAAUUGCUGUAAACACCAACCAAAGUUAGCGGCUAAAGACAAAAGAACACGCACAGUAUUCAUUUUUGCAACGGGUGCAAAGGUCUCUUGGUAAUCUAUCCCAUAUGUCUGUGUAUAUCUUUUUGCAACCAACCGUGCUUUAUGCCUUUCUAAUGAACCAUCAGCUCUAUAUUUCAAAGUAAACACCCAUUUACACCCCACUGUUUUCUUUCCUUUGGGCAGGUUUACAAUUUUUCAAGUCAUAUUUCUCUCUAGGACAUUCAUCUUCUCUUUUAUAGCAUGUAACCAGUUCUUAUUUCUAAGUGCCUCUUGUAGUGUUUGUGGGAUUGAAAUGGAGUUGAUGGUGGUAAGAAAAGUUUUAUGUUGUGGAGAGAGUCUAUGGAAAGACACGAAAUUUGAGAUUGGAUGCUUAGUACAUUCUCGUGUUCCUUUUCGAACAGCAAUAGGCAGGUCUAAAUCAUUAAAUUCACAAGGAGCAGAGUCAGAUUGAACACACAAAGGAACAGAAUUUUCAGUACCUGAUUGUGGUUCAGACUCUUGGAUUUGCACAGGUUCAAAAAUAUGAACUUUCUUCCUUGAGUAGACUUUGAGUGGUGUAGUUGAAUUUAAACCAGAUUUUCCCUCAGCUCCAAGAUCAGGUUCAAUUUCUUUACUGGCAUGUUCAACUUCAAAUUCAGGUUCAGGUUCACUGCUAGUAUGUUCUCCUUUAGAAUUUGGUGGAUGGUCAAGCUUGAAAGACUUUAAGUUUAGUGUAGGACUUUGAAGAUCAAGGAGAAAUUCCUUAUCUUCCCAAGAACUCUCCCCCUGGGGAUGAGGAUUGUUACUUUGAGAGUAAGGUUCAUUUUCAACAAAUGUGACAUCCAUGGAGAUAAAAAAAUUUUUUGAAGGAGAAUGAUAACACUUGUAUCCUUUCUUUGUGUUUGAGUAUCCCACAAAAAUACAUUUGAAAGCUCUUGGAUCAAGUUUCCCUCUUUGUUGUGCAUGAACAUGUACAAAAGCAACACAACCAAACACUUUUGGUGACAAUAUGCAAGAGACAUUAAAAUCAGGGUAAAAAACAGAAAAAGCAGCAAUGGGACUUUGAUUAUUUAGUACUUUUGAAGGUACUCUAUUUAUCAAAUGUGCAGUAGUUAAAACAGCCUCCACCCAAAAAGUUUUUGAAACUUUAUGUUGAAACAAAAUUGCUCGAGUCACAUUGAGUAAAUGUCUAUUUUUUCGUUCAGCAAUCGCAUUUUGUUGGGGUGUAUCUACACAAGAUGACUCAUGUAUUAUACCCUCUUUUUGGAAAAAAGAAGAGAGAAUUUGAUUAAAAUAGUCUCUUGCAUUAUCAGAUCUUACUCUUUUAAUCAAACUUCCAAAUUGUGUACAAAUCAUUUUAUGAAACAUUGAAAAAAUACUGCUUACUUCUAAUUUUUCUUUCAUAAGAAAUAACCAAGUAGUUCUAGUACAAUCAGCAAUGAAUGUGACAAACCAUUUUGCUCCAGAAAUACUAGAAAUUCUACAAGGCCCCCAAAUAUCAGUAUGUAUCAAAGAGAAAAGUCUAGUAGAUCUUGUAUUACUCAAUGGAAAUGAUAGUCUAUGAUGUUUAGCAAUUUCACAUGUAUCACAAUGAAAACUACUAACAUCUUCAUUCUUGAAAAGUGAAGGAAACAUGCUUUUAAGUAGAAUAAAAGAUGGAUGACCAAGACGGAAAUGAUGAAGCCAGAUUUCAGAUUUAUUAUUUGAGGAGCAGGUGAGGGAUAACUGAUUUUUGUUCUUCUUGUUGCCACUCAUCUCCUCAAGGUAAUAAAGCCCGUUAUUCACCUUAGCAAGUCCAAUCGUCCUCCCCGUAACCAAAUCCUGAAAAACACAGUGAGUAGAAUAGAAAAUUACCCUACAGUUCAAACCUUUGGUAAUUUGAUGGAUGGAUAUGAGAUUGGAGGACAAUUUUGGGACAUGCAACACAUUAUUUAGGGAUAAAGAAUUUGAUAGAUUUACUGUCCCUUGGCCUACAACAGUUAUAGGAGAUCCAUCCGCAACAGUAUUUUUUCUAUUUCCAGGACAUGGGUUGUAUGUUCUAAAUCUGAUUGGACUGUGAGUCAUAUGGUCAGUAGCUCCUGAGUCGAUGACCCAAGAGUCUAGAGAAGACAUGCUUGAGGCACUUAAAGCAUAAGAGUUAAGGUACUUACCUGAUUGAGCCAAUGAACACGUACUAGAGAACUUUUCAAGGGAAUUUAUGAGGUUUCUUAGCUUUUCGAUUUCUUCUUUCUUGAAUUCUCCCAUACCAGCCUGGUUGGAUUUUUCUUGUGUUUGGUCUUCUCCAGCAGUUAAGUGGGCUUUUUCCCCUUUGAAUCCUCCUUUAUGACUAAAGGACUUGUUCCUUCCCAUGGAGUUUGAAGCAAUCAUCUCGCAUAUGACGUGAUUUUUUGCAGUACGUGCACCAAAUUGUGUCUUUAUUUCACUUUGUAGAAAUCAUUGCCGAGCCUUCUAAUGUUUUAGGCUCUAACAUGACUUCUUGCCUAUUCUCUUCAGUUCGAAUCAAUGAUAUUGUCUCAUUCAGAGAUGAUAAUCUUUCCUUCCCCAAUAUCUGGACUCUGACCUGAUCAAAUUCCACAUUCAGACCUGCAAGGAAGUCAUAAACUCUAUCCUUUUCGAUAAAGUUUUUCAAGGUGGCUGCAUCUUCACUACACAAUAUCUGAACACACCGAUAUUGGUCCAAUUUUUGCCAUAGAUUUUGCAGAAGGUUGGCAUAUUGAGUAACAGAAAGGUUGCCCUGUUUAGUGGCUAAGAUUUUUGUUUUGAUCUCAUAGAUUAGGGCAGCAUCUCUUGCCUUUGAAUAGGUCUGUCGAAUAGUAGUCCAUAUGUCUUGAGCUGUUGGUAGGAACAUGCAAGUAUCACUUAUUUCAGGUAACAUGGAGUUCCACAGCCAUGACAUGACCAUAGAAUCCUCUUCAUCCCAAGCAGCGAAUUUAGGAUCUCCCUUUUUCGGUCCAGUUCCAAGCAAGUGGCUGAUUUUGCCCUUUCCUUUGAGAAAUGUUUGAACAAAUUGUGACCACUUCAAAUUGUUUUUCCUGUUGAGCCUGUAGGUUGCCUGGAUACUCUGCAAAUCCCCUGUUUGUGGAAUAUUUGAGGUCUCUUCUGAUUUGGUAUUGGAGUGGAUUUCUGAUGUUUCAGUUUCAGACAUGUUGGAGGUUUCAAAGAAAAAUUGGCAAUGAAAGCCUAAUGAAAAAAAUCAGCAAUGAAGGCUGGAAAUUGCACUUGGCAAUAAAGACUUGAAGAGAGGAAAGCACUCAGCAAUGAAGGCUGACAAGAAGAGGUCCCAAGAGCAAAAGCUCUGAUACCAUGAACAAAAAGAAAAACUGCAUUGUUCUGUCAUAUCUUUUGUUCUAGACUCUGUACAACUUUAUACAAAUGGAAUUUGACUUUUGUAAAUUCCAUGAAAUCUGUAAUUUCCUAAAAAUUAGGAGCUAAUUUAUUCUAUCCUAAAAUACAUUAGGAGUAAAUUAUUCUAUCCUAAAAUAGAGCAGAAAUCAUGGGAUAUACAUAGAAAAAGAUAUUCUAGAUUUUCAACAACUUCCAUUGUGCUUGACAGUUCGUUUCACUGCAAUCUCGAAGCUAUAGCAUCAAAUCCAAACCAAAGGAUUGAGAAACUAGAAGAAUUGUUUUGACAAAUUUGAAUAACUUAAUUAAUGAAUUCAGUCAACAGAUAAUAUUAAUACUGUAGUACUAUAUCUAACCUAAAUUGCAGAAUCCCAACCUCCGUUGACUCUCUUCUGCAUCAACCAGCACAGAAUAGAGGUGAACAGUUCACCAUUUUAACAUGUGAUAAAGAAAUCAACUCUGUCCUUCCCCACUCAUUGUCAAGAUAACAUCCAAAUCUCAUUGCAUUUUCACUCCAUGGCUGUCUGGAUCACUCGCAAUGACAUGAGAGCACCAAUUCUUUUAAAUUCAGGGGGAAAGUUAAAACCAAACUCACGUACACAAAACUGAACCAAUUUGAGUGAUUCCAAUUGACUCAGAAAAUCCCGCUUGAUAAUUUUAUUGCAAAUCCUCCUGAUCAUGUUCCAAAAGCGUUCCACGGUAUCUCCUCCAGCAAUUUCUCACAUACAGAUCAAAAGUCUUUAUAAGUCCUACCCACAUCACCACUUGUACCAUCCUUGUCUACUGUCGCUCUUUAACAUCCCUAUUUAAUUCCUUAAUCUAGCAUCAUCUGCAAGUCAUCAUUUAACAGGUUGAAGCCAACCUGAAUGGUUGCUAAAGACUAGCAGAAUGCUAUUGCACUCCGCUCUUAAAUUUUUCUUCAGACAAGCAUGCUAUAUGUGCACUUACCCUGAGGAAAUUUUUGGGCUUGAGCACGAGGACUAUCUGGAGUUUAUAAUUUGUAUCUUACCUUCAUCGAUCUUCAGACACCAGAGUGUUAUUAAUUGGUGCAGGUAUUAUGUAUUAAUUAUACGAGCUUUUGACCUUUUUUGUGAGUUUUUAAAACGAAAGAUGCUGUAGUUAGUUCUUCUAAGUGUGUUACUUUGAGUUCUGGAUUGGCAACUAUCUCAAUAUCAAAUGAAUCUUAGAAGCAUAAUCAUAUGGUAGCUAGACACUACCAACUGUAAGCCUAUAAUGUUGCAGACAUUUGGUUUGAACUGUUCUCAGUUGACUGACUAUAUUAUUAUGAACUGAUGUUGUACAUUGAGGAGAUGAGUCCAUUAUCUUGAGUAAUCUAAUAAAUUUUGAUACAUAAAUGUCAAAAAAUAUGGAUGCAUUUUUAGCUGAGGGCCUGAAGGCUUUGUAACUUACAAUAAUGACAAAUUCAAAAUAAACAUCUACCACCGUCUUUCUUCCAAAUUAGUAGCAGUUCUCCAUUCUCUGUUUUUUUUUUGGGGGGGGUAAAGAUUUGGUAGUGCCGUAAGGCUGCAAUUUUGAUGAGGCAAUUCAAAAUGUGAAGUAUUUUCCAGAGCCAUUACAAUAGGAUAUCAAAUCCGUAACUUAAAAAAAAAAAAAGAUUACUGCAGUGUAAAUAUUGAACUAAUCUAAGAUCCAUGAAGCACCAUAAAUGAACAAAAUGAAACUUCAAUCAAUUUAUCAGAGAUGUCAAAGUAAAAGGUAGACUAGCCAGAAGUAAAUGGGCAUCAGAGGUUGAAAUGAGAAAGAGACAUUUUUCAUGAUUGAUGGCUAGCAUUACAAUUUCCUUCAAUCAAAACAGGAUUUUUCUUAAGACAUAGUAUGAAUAGAAAGUUCAACCAUUUCGUAGAACAUAUGCAAAAUGAACAAAUCACGGCUAAAAUCUCACAUUUUCAUUGUUCUGGAUUGCUUGACAUCAUUGCACUAGUAAUCUCUGUUAUUGGCCAUAUUGGUUGCCUAACUUUGGUGGGCAUGGGUAUAGAGAAAAGAAGGUAGAGUUGAAAAAGAAGGGAAAAUGGAAAACAUUAUUGUUCGGCUCAAGUUUGGGUAGCUUUAGUAAUUAGGCAACGCUAGUUCAUCAAAAUGAACCGACCUUAUGAAUUUUUGUGGAGAAUUUUGGUUUAGUUAUGGAGACUGGGGAGAAAGAUGUAAAGAAAAAGAGUGAGGGAAAAAAGUGGGGAGGUGGACAAUGUAUAAAGUUUCCAACAGACUGUAAAUUGUAUAUUAUCAUUGUAAAGUAUUUUGAACAAAUUGUAAAUAAUGAGCAUUAUCUUGUGAAUGUUGUUUUUAUCAGUAUUAUGCGAAAUUAUAUUCAUGUAACGAACAAAAACAGACACAAAUACCAUAAACAAGAACUAGAAUUUUAUCCUUCUUAUACUUCUCAAAUCUCCAUCAUGUAUUCCAAGUUAAAGACUGAGGGGUACACACUAUCCAAUUCAAUUCAGUAUAUACAGUUUUCCUUUUGAGAAAAAAAAACUUGCAAUUCAAAUAUUUUUCACUUGAUUACAAAUUUACAACAAUCAUUUCCACUUGAUUAACGGCAAAUGAAAUUUUUAUUGCUAUUCUUGCAAGACUUGUUCCCCUUCCUGAUGCAAUUAUUGAAGUAGGUUUCAUCAGGGAAUAACAAUGGCUACUAGUGACAACUUUUUAAGAUGAUAAUCAAGCUAGUGAGGUAUGGUCCUAGAAUCAAGGGAUUACCUGUCAAGAGCAAUAUCAAAAACAGGAAGGGCAUGAAGGUUAAGUAGCUCAUGCAAAGCCUCCAGUGGGUGAUAAAAUACUAGAUGAUCCGUCCGCUGGAAAUAUUCAAUUGAAGAACCUUGGUAGCAUCAUAAAUACUUCGCUGGUUAAGGCAUUUGUGGCAAGCCAAGAGUGAAUGAAGACUGUCAAGUCAUUCAUGCAUUCUGCACUACUUUGUGGUUUUAUUUUGGCUGUCCUUCUGUACAUGUAGAACUCUGCUCCAUUAGGUAAUUGAAUUAAGGGCAAAUUACACUUUACUCCCUAUGAUUUAGUAUUUUCGUAUAUAACUCCCUAUGAUUUCAAAAACUACACAUAACCCCCUCAUGGUUUGGAUUAAAGUGUCAAAAUGACGGAAAUGAUCAUUCGUAACGGAACUUAUUAAAAUGUCGAAACUACCAUUGUUUAAAAAUAAAAAUGGCUGAAGUGAUCAAAAUAUAUAAACAUAAUAUAUAUGACACACUAAUCAUAUAUGAUUUUAUAUUUUACCAUAUAACAUCCUUAUGAUUUUGAAAAUAUACACAUAACCCCCCUAUGGUUAAUAAGUAAUUUUCAACUUUACAAAAGGGUAUUCUUUACAUUUUAGUUGACUCCAUUAUAGAUUACAAAUUCCUUCACUGUGAUACUUUAAUCCAAAGUACAAGAGGGUUAUAUAUAACUUUUGAAAUUAUAGAGGGGUUAUGUAUAAAAACACUAAACUACAGGGGGUAAAGUGUAAUUUACCCUUGAAUUAAUCAAACAAACUAGUAGAAGAAAACAACAGAGAAUUGGAGCACAUAAACCUGACAACUGCAGGCAAACAACUUUUAAUAUAGUUCCAAUAUCUGUUUAAACGUCAGAUGCUCAUUCUUGGAGGACUGGCAAAAAAAAUUUAAGUUUUAUGUAUAUGUUGUUUUUGAGCUUUAUGAGGAAAUGGAACAACAGUGACAGGUUGUCGGCCUGUGCAAUAAUAAAACCUGCUCAAACUAAAAGUAAUUUCUGUAGAUAACGGUGAGCAGGGUCGAAUCCACAGGGAUUGGGAGUAAUUGUUUCUUUUCAAAUUCACAGUGACAAGGGGGUGUUUUUAUAUCAGGGGUGACAAUUUAAGCAAUUCAACUAAAAGUAAAAUAAUAAAAAUAAAAUAGCCAACUAGAAAUUAAAUAACAAUUUACUAAAAUCAAAUGAGUGAUAAUUAAGGAUCUAGCCAAGGAAUAACUUCAGCAACGGUUCACCUAAUUGAUCAUUGAAACAAAGGCAAUUCCAAUUAUUUACUAAUAAAUAGGUUAUAACUGUCAAACAAGUGAUGACAGUCAAUCCCUCCUUACUGUGUCGGUGAUUAAGGUACGCCCGUUAAUCACUACUCUAAUUGAGAAAUAAUCCUAAGUACGCCCGCAAGAUUUAAUUCCCCAAUUACCUUACGUAUUAGAGGAGCCCUAUUCAAACCAAAUAACACACUACCAGGGUUAGAUUAACCCGCGUAUUCUCCUGACACAAACCCAAUCAUGCCAGUUAUCACUAUUUUGAGACAAUUAAACAAUUACGGAUUUAACGUCCCAAUUGACAAUAGAUUAUCAAAUUAACUAAUUAUCCAGAUCCAAGACAAUCAAUUAAUUAAAUAACCAUAAGUACUGCAAUCAAAGAAUAUACAAAUACCAAUAAAUAAAAAAAAGAUAAAAUUAAAUCGAUCUCACAAUCUUUAGGCGAAUCAAAACUUUCGUUGUUCCUUGACUAGACAAAGGGAUUUAAGUCAUCCCUUGUCUACUCCUACCGAAAAGAAAAGAAAAGCAACUAAAGAUGAAAGGAAAAGUCAAAGGCUAAGCUCUCCCCCCCUGACAUGCGUCGGAAGCAAAAACUCUAAGAAGAAGCCAAAAGGGCAAAGUUCCAAAAGCUAAAGGAGUCCUAAUCCUUUGCAACUCCCUAUCCUAUCAAAAGUCCUACUCUACUUUUUUAUUGUGCGGUGGCUUCAAUGCCUCCCGAAGACUUCGGCAUUUUCGGUUCUUUUUCCUUUCUUGCUGUCUUCAGCCAAAUUACCAAAAUGGGCUCACAUCUCCUCGUUUCAAAAAUGUCCCUGAAUGCCUUCUAUUUGAAUUCAUUUCCGAUGACUGCCAAAUUGGCCUUAGUUGUGGUAUUUUCGUUCUACUCCCUGAAAUAAAUGUAAAUUACGAAAAGUGAGUAGAAUCUAAUAAUUAAGUCACAUCGGGUUAGGUAAUAGAGGAAAUUAAUAAUAAAAUAAAUGAUAAAUUGCAACCUAUCAAUUCCCCCCACACCUAAACCAUACUUGUCCUCAUGCAUAAGAACAGUAAACAAACACUAAUAUUUGACAAUGGCUAUUGCUCUAUCUACCAUAUUACCAAGAUAUCAAGAAAAAUAUAUAUCAAGCAUCAGUGAUCAAAAUCCAAAAAACAUCACCCCGGUUAACUUUUGAACUACAAACUCUUUCAAUUCCAAGUUUACUAAUCUAAGAAGAAGGAAUGAUCGCUCAACAUUUAUCAGCAAAUGGUUCAACUAUUCACCAAAAUCUCAACAUUAAAUCCAUAAAUCGGCAAACUGACUUUUAUCACACACUAACACAACUUUCACUUCUUUUUUUUCGUUAUUUAUUUAUUUAUUUAUUAUUAUUUUUUUCAAUAGCACAAAAGAUUUAGCCUCUAGCCAUCGAAGCCUUUUGACGCGAACUCCAACAUUUGCCAGAUGAAGGAGCCCGGUUACUUAGCUCCUAUCGCUAUACGACCAUGUACUAAUAGAAAUUACUACAUUUUGACGCGAGAAUCGACACUGUAGGUGAAGAUCCCCGGUUACUCAGUAGUACCAAAUAGCAGAGUACAGUCAAUUUUAUUUCAUAAUCAGAUAACACAAUAUCUCACAAUAUCACAAAGAAAAAGCAGCUAGCCUCAUUUUUCCCAAACAUGGAGAACUAAAGUUAAUCACUGGACCAGUUCACAUGAAAAUGCUAACAAUCAUUUCCAAUGCCUAGGAAAGUUAACAAAAACUUAUAAGAGUAAAACAAUCACCGACAUUCACUAAAGAGGUGUUUUUGGAUUCAAUCACAUUAACUUGAUGCACUUUUAUUAUUAAAACUUGGCAAUAGUAGAAUUAGAGUGAACAAACCAACAUCUAAAUUGACAUCACCAGGUAGGAGCCUUAUAAAUAAAAAUCUGCUCGACUAAAGUUAACUUUUAUAAAUAGUGGUAAGUAGAGUCGAAUCCACAGGGAUUGGGUGUAACUGUGUCUUUUCAAAUUCACAAUAACAAAGGGGGUGUUUUUGUGCAGAAGGUGACAAUCGAAAAAAUUCAAACAAGAAUAAAAAUAAAUAGCUAGUUAGAAAUUAAAUGACAAUUUACUAAAGUCAAAUGAAUGAUAACUAAUGAUCUAGCCAAGAAAUAACUUCAGCAAUGGUUCACCUAAUUGAUCAUCGAUGCAAAGUCAAUUCCAAUUAUUUACUAAUAAAUAAGUUAUAACUGUCAAACAAGCGAUGAUAGUUAACCCCUCCUUACUGUGUCGGUGAUUAAGGUACACCUGUUAAUUACUGAUCUAAUUGAGAAAUAAUCCUAAGUACGCCCGUAAGAUUUAAUUCCCCAAUUGCUUUACGUAUUAGAAGAGCCAUAUUUUAACCAAAUAACACACUACCAGGGUUAUUUUAGAUUAGUCCGCGUAUCCCCCUGACACAAAUCUAAUCGUGCCAGUUGUCACUAAUUCAAGGCAAUUAAACAAUUAUGGAUUUAAUGCCCUAAUUGACAAUAGAUUACCAAAUCAAUUAAUUAUCUAGAUCUAAGACAAUCAAUUAAUUAAAUAAUCAUAAAUACUGCAAUCAAGGGAUAUGCGAAUACCAAUAAAUAAAAGAAAAAGAUAAAAUUAAACCGAUCUCACAAGUUUUAGGCGAACCAGAACCUCCGUUGUCCCUUGACUAGAGUGGAUAAAUUAGUUCAUAUUUAAUGUGAAAAACCCACACACAAUUGAAGAGAAAGCAGCGGCCAUCAUACUGUGAAACUUGGAAAAUUCAACCCGUCCGAAUAUUGAAUAGAUAGUAAAGCUACAAAAGGUGAUUGAUAGUUUUUCCUUCGUCUGACACACAAGAAGGAAAAGAUGCUACUUAAGACUCUAAGGGAAGAAAAGUCAAAGUUCUAAGCUACACUCUCAUACAAAAAACUAAGGAAAAAGCCAGGUAGUGGCUCCCCCUCAAUUCCUAUUCUAUCUAAUUACUCACUAAAAACUCCCCUCCCUAGCCGCGGCUCCCACCAGGAAGAAGAGGACCUUCAGCCGUCUUUCCUUCUCAAAAUUUACCAGAAUGGGCGUAACACCUUCUUUUUCAAAAAUGCCCCUGAGAUAAGCUCUAUCAUCUACACUCCUUUUUUUGCCAAAUUAGCACCUGUUAUCAUAUUUUCAUUCUACUUCCUGAAAUAAAUGUAAAAUACUAAAAGUGAGUAGAAUCCAGCAAUUAAUCCAUAUGGGAUCAGGUAAUAGGGAAAAUUAAUAAUAAAAUAAAUGAUAAAAUCGCACCCUAUCAAUUCCCCCCAAUUAUAUGCUAAAUUUGGUAAUAGAAGUGCAGAAAAUUAGCAAUAGCAACACAGUCACAAGGUCAAGGCAGUUGAUCAAAUAUCCAACCAACAAGAGUUAACAAAUUCAGGGAAAAACACUCCAGCUAGUACCACUGGAGGAAAAUGGAAUGCACAAUUCAACUAACCGAAAUUGUAGCAACAGUCCCAGGAAAUAACAAUUCAAGCAAUAAUAACCCUCAAAUCUGACAGUAGCAGAGUAAUUCUAAGUACCCAGCCUCCAACAGUCAACCAAUAGAGUAGAAUUAACCCAGUAAAGUUAAAAUUCCCAAACAGUGGAUGAAACAAGUUUAACGGCCAACCCACACUAGUGAGAACCCCAUAUAACGUAACUCAAUUCAGACAAGUAGUAAUGUAGCCACAGGAUUCACAGGCGAAGCUAAUAAGGAACCCAGCAACAAAUGGUCCAAUUAAAUAGGCGAGUAUGAAGAAACAGGGGGGUACCUCCACCGUUGUGUGGAAAAGGAGGCCGUGGGUGAAGGGAAGAUGGCAGGCAGCAGCGCGGCAAUGGAGACGGCGCGUGGGCUGUCGAUUGCGAUGGAGGGUGAGAGGAGUUCGGAGUGGCGGGGAUCAUGAGAGGUGGACUGCGGUGACGCGCGGAGCUGCGGGCGGCGCAGUCGCAACCGUGGGGAGACGCGACCGCGCGAGGUGAGCGUUGGCUACUGGUGGCGCGGGAGCUCAGGAGGAGCUGCGUGCGAUAGAAAAGGAGCCGCAGCGCUCGGCUGUUGGCUGCGCGCUCGAUGGGUUGAUGGAGGAGAGAAGAGCGCGGUGGCUUGGCGAUGGAGAGAAGGGUUGUAGCUCCGUCGGUGGCUUGCGAUGGAGCUAUGGUGGCCGCUAGGAGCUUGGGAGCCACGGCUACGCGUGUCAUCGUGCAACGUUGUUCACGGGUGACAGUCGCAUGGGGUAGGUCGCGACUGGUGGUGGCCGCUUGAGAGAGAGCUGGUGAGCGAGAUGCGGCAAGGGAAGGGCGGCGGUGUGCGAUGCAAAGAGCCUCGGUCGAACAGGAGGAAGAAGCAACGGGGAAGAAAGAAAGAAAGGAAAAGAAAAUAUGUUGUUUUUUUUUUGUGUUGUGGUUUCUUUUGUAUUUCAAUUUUUUCGAUUUUUUUCUUUUCUUUUUUUUUUUAAUUUUAUUAUUUAUUAUUUAUUUUAUUUUUUAAAUUUAUUUUUCUUUUUAAAUUUUUUUAAGUUAAAUCUCUUUUUUUUUUACAAAUAAUAAUUUUUCCUUUUUUUUAUCUGAAUAUUAUUAUUAUUACAUAACUUAUUUUCAAAAUUAAAAAUUAGAGACUAACAGAAAAUCAAUAAUAGUUCUUGAGUUCUUUUGAAUACUUACCUUUCCCGCGCACAUGACGUGGGCACGUCAAGAAAGCACAGAAUGAGAAGCUCUGCAGGUUACUUGACGCGGGCACGUCAUGAGGACAAGAGAGUUCUCUGACCAUGAGCUCUCCAUGGGACUUGACGCAGGCACGUCAAGAGGACAAGAAAGCUCUCUGACCAUGAGCUCUUCAUGGGACUUGACGCGGGCACGUCAAGAGGAUCGAAACCCUUUUUACUAAGCAUCAGGAAAUUGCAAUGUGCCACGCGCCCAGUUGACACGGGUGCGUCAUGUCAGAGGGAUGCCUAUGAAUCAUCAAAAAUGAAAAUUAAACCAAAAAAUCAGUCAAAUCCAAGGAAAAAUAUAUUUAAAAUAUCAAACAAAAUCGAAAAAAUAACUAAGAAAAAUUGGGUUGCCUCCUAAUGAUCGUCUUUCUUUAAUGUCUUUGGCUAGACAUGGUAAGGUGGCAUUAAUUGGCACACGGCGGUGCAUCUAGACUUAUCGUCUCUACUUUUCUACUUGAAAAACCUUCGUGAUAAUACUUGAGACGAUGUCCAUUCACCACAAACUUAUUGUUGGUUUUAGCAUUCUGAAUUUCAAUUGUACCAUAUGGAAAGACGUGAGUAAUAAUAAAAGGUUCAAUCCAACGGGAACGUAGCUUACCUGGGAAGAAUUUGAGUCUGGAUUGGUACAGGAGAACUUUCUGACUAAGUUCAAAGGUUUUUUCUAGAGAUUUGCUGGUCAUGAAAUGCUCGGCUCCUCUCCUUGUAAAUCAAUGCAUUCUCGUACGUUUCGUUCCGGAUCUCCUCCAAUUCCUGCAAAUCCAAUUUCCGUUGGGUACCAGCCUCCUCUAGGUUCAUAUUACAUUGUUUAAUCGCCCAAAAAGCUUUGUGCUCGAACUCCACUGAUAGGUGACACGGCUUUCCAAAUACCAAUCUAUAGGGUGACAUCCCUAUGGGGGUUUUGUACGCCGUUCGAUAGGUCCAAAGUGCAUCUUCCAACCUUUGACUGCAAUCUUUCCUAUCGGGGCGCACCAUUUUCUCCAAAAUAGAUUUAAUUUCUCGAUUCGAUACCUCCGCUUGACCAUUGGUCAGCGGGUGGUACGAUGUUGAGAUCCUGUGGAAUACACCGUACUUGCGAAACAGCGCGGCUAUGGUUUUGUUGCAGAAAUACGUCCCCCUGUCACUAACAAUAACUCUCGGCAUUCCACAACCCACAAAAAUAUUAGACUUGAUAAAAUCUGCAACCACUUUCGAAUCAUUAGUCCGGGUAACCUUAACCUCCACCCAUUUAGACACAUAAUCAACUGCCAGCAAUAUAUGUAUAAAAUAAAAUGAAGUAGGAAAAGGCUCCAUGAAAUCUAUAUCUCAGACAUCAAAAAUUUCGACAAAAAUCAACGGGACUUGGGGCAUCUGAUCUCUACGAGCUACAUUACCUACCCUUUGACAGCGAUCACACGACUUACAAAACACAUAAGCAUCCUUAAACAAUGAAGGCCAAUAAAAUCCACUUUCCAAUACCUUAUGAGCAGUUUUCUUGGGUCCAAAAUGACCUCCACAGGCAAAAGUAUGACAAAAAGUUAGAAUUAGUUGAAAUUAAGCUUCACUUACACAUCGCCUCAUCACUUGAUCAGCACACCUCUUCCACAAAUAUGGGUCAUUUUAGAUAAAGUACUUGGCAUCGCUCUUCAAUUUAUCCCUCUUCGAUUUUGGCAAACUUGCAGGAAAAUUACUUGUUACUAGACAAUUGACUAAAUCGACAUACCAAGGCAAUUGAGAAUUUAGAGAAAAUAAAUGGUCUUCAGAGAAUGCAUCCUCCAACGGCUCGUUCUCCUUUCCAACAGGUAUACGACUCAAAUAGUCGGCUACUAAAUUCUCCGAGCCUCUCUUAUCUCUUAUCUCCAGAUCAAAUUCUUGCAGAAACAAGAUCCACCUUAUGAGCCUCGACUUUGCAUCUUUCUUGGUUAUUAGGUACCUUAGAGCUGCAUGAUCAGGAAAUACAAUAACUUUAGCACCCAAUAAAUAUGACCUAAACUUUUCCAAGGCGAAAAUAACAGCAAGAAGCUUCUUCUCAGUGGUGGAGUAAUUCAAUUGGGCCCCAUUUAAAACUCGAGAUGCAUAGUAAAUGACGUGAGCUGUCUUUCCUACUCUUUGCCCGAAUACAGCUCCUACAGCAUGAUCACUGGCAUCGCAUAUGAUCUCAAAUGACAAACUUCAGUCAGGAGGUUGAAUGAUCGGUGGCGAGGUCAAUAGCUCCUUUAACUUGUCGAAGGCUCUCUCACACUUGUCAUCGAAUUCAAAAGCCACAUCUUUUUGUAAAAGCUGGAAUAACGGGGCUCCCAUUUUCAAAAAAUCCUUGAUGAACCUUUGAUAAAAACCUGCAUGUCCAAGAAAAGAGCGCACCUCCCGCACACUAGCGAGGUAAGGUAAAGCAGAUAUAAUAUCUAUUUUCGCCCUGUCAACCUCGAUACCUUUAGAAGACACAAUAUGACCCAGAACUAUCCCAUGUUCAACCAUAAAAUGACAUUUCUCCCAAUUAAGCACGAGAUUAGUCUCUAUACAUCUCAACAAGAUCAAUCUCAGGUUAUCUAGACAUGUAUCAAAACUAUCACCAUACACACUGAAAUCGUCCAUGAAAACCUCAAUUAUUUUCUCAACAUAUUCAGAAAAAAUGCUUACCAUACAUCUCUGGAAAGUUGCAGGUGCAUUGUACAACCUGAAUGGCAUCCGUCUAUAUGCAAAGGUCCUGAACGGGCACGUGAAAGUCAUCUUCUCUUGACUCUUUGGUGCAAUUGCUAUUUGAAAAUACCCUGAAAAUCCAUCCAAAAAGCAAUAGUAAGUCCUAUAAGCUAAACGUUCAACCAUUUGGUCAAUGAAAGGGAGAGGAAAAUGGUCAUUUUUUGUGAUAGCGUUUAGCCUACGGUAGUCAAUACACUGCCUCCAUCCAGUGGGUUUGCGCACUGGUACGAGCUCACCCGUUUGGUUAGCCUCCACUGUCAUUCCUGCCUUUUUUGGAACUAUCUGGACCAGCCUCACCCAUGGGCUAUCCGAUAUCACGAAAAUGAUUCCCACAUCGAGCAACUUCAGAAUUUCUUUCUUCACCACUUCCAUCAUGAGGGGGUUAAACCUCCUUUGGCCUUGCCGUAUAGGUUUGGCAUUCUCUUUCAACCUAAUCCGGUGUAUGCAGAUGGAGGGGCUGAUCCCCUUGAUAUCGGUGAUAGUCCACCCUAUCGCCUCUUUAUACUCUUUAAGGACCCGAAUUAGUUUCUUCUCUUGGGUCUCCGAGAGUGCAGUUGAUAUAAUCACCGGGAGUGUUUCGUUGUCGCCCAGAUACGCAUAUUUCAAGUGCUUCAGCAAAGAUUUCAACUCCAACACAGGGGCCUGCACCACAGAUGGCAGUCCCCUCUAGUGAGGUUCGGGAAUGAAAAUUGGAGAGACUUCAUACAUUUUUGUUGUGGUUGGCAAUGAGUGUAGUGCCCCUAUUGUGCAUUUCAAGUCUUCACUCCACUCUACCUCAGGAGUUGUCUCCAACUCAAGGUGCUUGAUUAAAGCUAUUUCCAACUCAUCCUUACCAACAGUUUCAAACACUUCCUGCACCGCAGGGUCAAUAGCACUUACAGAAAAAACAGAGCUAAAGUUAGAGUUUGAUGGGUAUUUCAUCGUAUCAAAAAUACUAAAAUGCACAAUUUUUCCAUCAAAUUCCAUGAAUAGGGUGCCCUUAUUAACAUCAAUUUUUGUCUGCACUGUACUCAAGAAGGGUCUACCUAAUAGUAAAGGUGAGGGAUCGGGGGAGUGAUCAUCAUUCAUAUCAAGUACAUAAAAGUCAGUUGGGAAUACCAAAUCAUUAAUUUUUACCAAUAUAUCUUCAACUAACCCAUCAAGAUAUGCAUUUGUUCGGUCAGCUAAUUGAAUGAUUAUUCCAGUUUCUUUUAAUGGACCUAGUUUUAGAGAAGCAUAGAUAGAUUUGGGUAUGACAUUAAUUGAUGCUCCCAGAUUCAACAUGGCCUUCCUAAUCAAAGUGUUGCCUAUCUUACAUGGGAUAGUAAACAUACCUGGGUCUCCAUACUUUGGUGGGAGUUUUUUCUGCAAGACCACGGGCACGUUCUCCCCCACAAUGACCCUUUCAUCCCCCCUCAACCGCCUUCGGUUGACACACAAGUCCCUUAGAAACUUGGCAUAUUUCGGCACUUGUUUGAUUGCGUCUAAGAGGGGGAUAUUAAUCUCUACCUUGCAGAACACCUCUAGAAUUUCCUUCUCCUUAUCUUACUUUUUCGAUUUUUCCAACCUGGUAGGAAAGGGAGGCGGGUUAGUUUUUACUACAAUGAUUGGGUCUGGAAGUACCUCUGGAUUUGUACUAUUGUUGUCCUCCCUCUCAAACUCAUUUUCGAUCUUUUCCUCAUCCUUGUCCUUAGGGAUCACAGGCUCAGGCCCCUGAAUCUCCUUUCCGCUCCUUAGGGUCAUCACGCUUACAUUUUUCGGGUUCAAUUUAGGUUGAGAUGGCAAUUUACCUUGGACUUGGGACUCCAAACGGUUGAUUGUUGUGGCCAUUUGACUCAUCUGAUUUCUUAUGUUCUGCAUUUUGGAGUCCGUCCUUUGCUUAUAUUGCGCGGUGGUUGCUAUCAAUUGUUUCAUCAUCUCCUCCAAAGAUGGACUAGAGCUCGGGGGCGGAGGUGGUCGGGGUUGGUAUUGCUGCUGAUACCCUUGUUGUCUAUUUGGCACGAAAUUAGACUGUCUGUUCUCUCCAUAGUUGAGGUUGGGGUAAUCCCUCCAACCGGGGUUGUAGGUACUUGAAUAUGGGUCAUAGGGCUUCCUUGGCGCGAGCGCGUGUCCUGCCAUGUUCAUUUGCUCUGCACUUUUCUCUUGAAUCAUUGGGCACAUCUCUGUAGAAUGACCCAUGUCAGUGCAAAUUCCGCAUAUCAUGGUAUGAGAUGCAUUUCCUACAGCCAGUUGCCUAACAAAAGAAGUCAACUCAGUCAACUGUUGCUGGAUAGAGGAUGUUUCUACCUCGUUCACUUUGCGUAUCGAGACAUCCUCCCUCGUACCAAACUAUUGCGAGUUCUCAACCAUUCCUUCUAUUAGCUCCCACGCUGCUCGAGGGGUCUUGUUCACCAGUGCCCCUCCACUCGCAGUAUCAAUUAUGCUCCUGUCUCUGAAAAGUAGCCCCUCGUAAAAAUAUUGUAUGAGCAACUACUCACUUAUUUGAUGCUGGGGACACUUGAUGCACAAUUUCAAAAACGCUCUCAGUAAUCAUAGAGCGAUUCUUCUGGAUGCUGCUUGAUACUGCAAAUUUCUUUUCUUAGACUUGCAGCUCUGAAAGCAGGAAAAUACUUAUCUAAGAACUUUUUCUUUAGCUGGUCUCACGUGGUGAUACUACCGGUAGUAGGUAGUACAGCUAGUCCUUUGCAGAGUUCUUCAAGGAAAAGGGGAAUGCCCUCAUUUUUAUUUGCUCUUCUGUGAUUUUCAGGGGUUUCAUACUGUUGCACAUGACAUCAAAUUCCUGCAAAUACUUAUAAAGCUCCUCACCUGGUAACCCAUGAAAAGAUGACAAAAGAUGAAUUAGCCCAGAUUUUAAUUCAAAUAGAGUGUUAUCACUCAAACUUGGAAAAGUAAUGCAUAAAGGUUGCUGAAUUAAAUCAGGAGCAGCCAACUCCCUUAAUAUCUGGGCAUUAGCCAUGGGGACUUCUUCUUGCUCCGAGUCACUCGAAGUGUCACCAAACGAAUCUGUUGAUUCAACUUCUGGCUUAGGUAUCUGAUAUGCAAUACUUGAAUGCUCUUCUCUGAGUUGUCUGGUCUCUUUUCUUGUUCUACGCGCGGUCUUCUCUACCUCAAGGUCAAAAAUUAAUUCACCUGUACGAGAAGAAUGAGGCAUACACUCGAACAGCACUAGAAAAUUAGAACAAAAAUAAAUUUAAAAAGAAAUAAAUAUUAACGCCAGAACUCGGCAACGACGCCAAAUAUUGACAGGUUGUCGGCCUAUGCAAUAAUAAAAUCUGCUCAAACUAAAAGUAAUUUCUGUAGAUAGCGGUGAGUAGGGUCAAAUCCACAGGGAUUGGGAGUAAUUGUUUCUUUUCAAAUUCAUAGUGACAAGGGGGUGUUUUUAUAUCAGGGGUGACAAUUUAAGCAAUUCAAUUAAAAGUAAAAUAAUAAAAAUAAAAUAGCCAACUAGAAAUUAAAUAACAAUUUACUAAAAUCAAAUGAGUGAUAAUUAAGGAUCUAACUAAGGAAUAAUUUCAGCAAUGGUUCACCUAAUUGAUCAUUGAAACAAAGGCAAUUCUAAUUAUUUACUAAUAAAUAGGUUAUAACUGCCAAACAAGCGAUGACAGUCAACCCCUCCUUACUGUGUCGGUAAUUAAGAUACACCCGUUAAUCACUACUCUAAUUGAGAAAUAAUCCUAAGUACGCCCGCAAGAUUUAAUUCCCCAAUUAUCUUACGUAUUAGAGGAGCCCUAUUCUAACCAAAUAACACACGACCAGGGUUAGAUUAACCCGCGUAUUCUCCUGACACAAACCCAAUCAUGCUAGUUAUCACUAUUUUGAGAAUUAAACAAUUACGGAUUUAACGUCUUAAUUGACAAUAAAUUAUCAAAUUAACUAAUUAUCCGAAUCCAAAAUAAUCAAUUAAUUAAAUAACCAUAAGUACUGUAAUCAAAGAAUAUGUAAAUACCAAUAAAUAAAAGAAAAAGAUAAAAUUAAAUCGAUUUCACAAUCUUUAGACAAAUCAAAACUUCCGUUGUUCCUUGAUUAGACAAAGGGAUUUAGCUCAUCCCUUGUCUACUCCUACCGAAAAGAAAAGAAAAGCAACUAAAGAUGAAAGGAAAAGUCAAAGGCUAAGCUCUCCCCCCUGACAUGCAUUGGAAGUAAAAGCUCUAAGAAGAAACCAAAAGGGCAAAGUUCCAAAAGCUAAAGUAGUCCUAAUCCUCUGCAACUCCCUAUCCUAUCAAAAGUCCUACUCUACUUAUUUAUUGUGCGGCGGCUUCAAUGCCUCCCGAAAACUUCGGCCUUUUUAGUUUUUUUUCCUUUCUUGCUGUCUUCGGCCAAAUUACCAAAAUGGGCUCACAUCUCCUCGUUUCAAAAAUGUCCCUGAAUGCCUUCUAUUUGAAUUCUUUCCCGAUGACUGUCAAAUUGGUGUUCGUUGUGGUAUUUUCAUUCUACUCUCUGAAAUAAAUGCAAAUUACAAAAAGUGAGUAGAAUCUAAUAAUUAAUUCACAUCGGGUUAGGUAAUAUAGGAAAUUAAUAAUAAAAUAAAUGAUAAAAUUGCAACCUAUCAAACAGAUAAGCGACGUGACAGAACAGAAAAAUAAAGUCCACGAUAACCUUAAAUUGGGGAAAACUGUCAAAAUAUUUGGUAAAUCACAAAGCUAACACUAAAUUGGGCCAUCUGCUCGAGUAUCGUAUCGUCAGCAAACAGUAGGACUGGUACUUUUGGUCCUUCAAAAUGACUUUCAAUUCUAAAGAUGCAAUUGUUGGAGAAGAACAGAGAGAACAUAUAUUGACUACAAAACACCAAGCAGGUGAAGUAAAUUCCAGAUUAAAGGCUAAUGGAAGCACGAAGAACUACCUGAACGAAUGGCUUUCAUUACAAUUUUCACAACAAAGCACAAGAAUUAGACACGAACAAACCACUUUGGCUGUGCCAGUUUAGCAUCAAAUUAUAUUUAUUCUUUUACCAUUUCAGAUCUUAUAUCAAAUGGCACAAGACAAAAAUUUUGACAGCAUUGAGCAUCAACUUCUUAUAUAGACAAUGACUAUCAGGCUAUCUUCCAGAUAACUUUCCUUUCCACUGACCGGCAAAAGAUGAGAGAGAGUGAAUAAGUAGAUGCUGCACAAACAUCUUUCAUAGCCAAUCCUAGAAGAGCAGAAGUUACGUGGAUAAUGCACAACUAGUACCGGCAACUUAUAAUCAAUGAUGUAGUUCGCCUUCUGAAGUGUUAGAAAACGACUUGUACAACAAACUAAUCAACGCACCAAAGCAGAAUCAUGGUAGAGGCAUCAUGGCAUCAUUAAACGUUAGUUUCACUUUCAAGCAUCAUUUGUCAUAGCCAUUUGCUGAGAGGUAGAGACCACUUUUCUGAGCUCACCCGUCCCAUUCCAACAAGUAUAUAUUAAUGAAUACUUCGUCAAGAUAUUCAUCCAGUUGGUAGUAUUCCUGCUUUUUGCUCAUUUCCAUUUUUCUCUAGCUGGCAGUUGAUCUAUGAGCCAGAAGUUAGGAUAUUUUUCUCUUCCAUCUAUUUCAUUGUAUUUUUUUCCCUUCUUGAAAGAACUUCUCUUCCCACUUUGAUCAGCAACUAACAAAUACU